Molecule: long non-coding RNA, 337786 nt
Filed under: Arachis ipaensis
Lineage: Eukaryota; Viridiplantae; Streptophyta; Magnoliopsida; Fabales; Fabaceae
Description: long non-coding RNA (AIPA_LNC002305)
Rfam family: Plant small nucleolar RNA R71 (bases 277834-277937)
Source: RNAcentral
GCCUUCCCUUGCUGCAUGAUAUACUCAGUUCUGAUAUACUUUUGAUGGCCUGAUGCAUGCAAAUUCAACUUUUUCCUCUAUAAAUACAGGAACGAAAUCCCAGUUGUAAUCAUCAAAACCAUUCCAAACCAAUCCUUAUCAACCUCCCACUGCACCAUGAAACCAUUUUGUGUUUUUCUUACUUUCUUUCUCUUGCUAGCAGCAAGUAGUAAGAAGGUGGACUCAGCCGAAACAGUUUCCUUCAACUUCAACUCUUUCAGCGAAGGAAACCCCGCAAUAAAUUUCCAAGGUGACGUCACUGUUCUUUCAAAUGGCAAUAUACAACUCACGAACCUCAACAAGGUAAAUAGCGUCGGCCGUGUUCUUUAUGCCAUGCCGGUGCGCAUUUGGAGCAGUGCCACCGGCAAUGUCGCCAGCUUCCUCACCUCCUUCUCUUUCGAGAUGAAGGAUAUCAAAGAUUAUGAUCCUGCCGACGGUAUCAUCUUUUUCAUUGCACCGGAAGAUACGCAGAUUCCUGCCGGCAGUAUUGGUGGUGGAACCUUAGGCGUCUCUGACACUAAAGGGGCGGGUCACUUUGUUGGAGUGGAGUUUGAUACCUAUUCCAACAGUGAGUACAACGAUCCACCCACUGAUCACGUUGGAAUUGAUGUAAAUAGCGUGGAUUCGGUGAAGACCGUGCCAUGGAAUAGUGUGAGUGGAGCAGUGGUGAAAGUGACUGUGAUAUAUGACUCUUCAACAAAGACAUUGAGUGUUGCUGUGACCAACGACAAUGGCGAUAUUACCACCAUUGCUCAAGUUGUUGAUUUGAAGGCGAAGCUUCCGGAGAGGGUCAAGUUCGGUUUUUCUGCCUCCGGCUCCCUUGGCGGUCGUCAGAUACAUCUCAUCCGUUCAUGGUCUUUCACUUCAACCUUGAUAACAACAACCAGAAGAAGCAUCGACAAUAACGAAAAGAAAAUAAUGAAUAUGGCAAGUGCAUGAUUUGGUUUCUACGUACGCUACCUAGUACUUUUAAAGAAAGACCAGACCUUUGUGUGUUAUCAACUUUGUUUCUUUGUGUUUAAAUUAGGUUGUAUGGUUCAAUAUUUCCACUAAUCAUGGUCUGACGGUUGACCGUUUAAAUAAAAUAACAGGUCCAGUUUGGUAUAGUUUUUGUGCAUGGAUUUGGGUGUGAGAUUUUCUGUUGAAUCUCAUUCAUCCUUUCACCAGGCCAAUUAUAUUAUGCCCAGAUUCAAUAAUAAAGUCUGAAAUAUGAAUUUAAUAAUUAUCAUGAGUAAAAAUUUUUAAUUUUAAUAAUAAUGACAUAAUAAAUAUAUUAAAAAUUUAAANNNNNNNNNNNNNNNNNNNNNCAAAAGAGGAGUGCUAGGAGCUGUAACACCCUACUACACAGAGUUUUACGCUUAAGUCGUAGAACUAGAGGUAGUGUGGUGUUAUAGACCUCUGAACAGUAAAAUAAAUACUUAAUAGAGAAGAUGAUAAUAUACUAGGAGUCUUGAAACAAAAUGGGUAAGCAAAAAUCGUAAAAUGAAAAGCGCAGCGCUCAACGGAAAGAAUUACUUGCGUGCUAAGAAACCUAAUAGAAACAAGAUAGAGAUAAGCAAAAGAAUAAAGAAAAGCCAAGGAAACAGCAUAACUAGCCCCUGACUCAGCCUGCGAAACUAAGAUAUAUAUAUAUAAGUAUCCCCAAAAUAUACCAAAAUACCAAGUACCUUCCUAUCUCUCCCUCAACCUCUAAGAGGAGCAGCAUACACAUGUUACUUGGAGAGUAAGCUAGAUACAUAUGUACAUAUAUACAAAUAGAAAACCAAAAUACACCCAAUGGACUACUUCACUUCCCAAGAUCCAGACGCCUAGUGAGGAACCUCUCGACCUGCAUCUGAAAAACAACAAUACAAUAUGGAAUGAGAACCGGAGGUUCUCAGCAUGGUAAAAGUGCCACACGUAUAAUAAAUAAGGUCCUGAGAAUGCCAUAGGCAAUCCUAGAACUCCGUUAUUCAGUUAUCCAACUUAAGUACUAAACAGAAGCCAUAAACACGGGGUAUGUAUUCUAAAUCUACCUAACUUACUCAAGUUCAAUCUUAACCUAAUAUCAAACCAUUUCCCCGUUUUCUCCAUCUCUCCAUCAUUCAUAAUGCAACAGAAACAAGCAGCCAAAUGAGUUCACGCACAAGUAAUGAGCAGAUAGUACAAAUAGCAAGUAUAACAGAUAGCAGGUGAUAUAUAUAUAUAUCAAUUAGGCAAACCCAGGAAAUGCAUAGCAAUCAAACAAACAAAUGCAUAUGAUGCAUGCCUGUUGCCCAUCUGUCGGUUAUCCAGCCAACCCAACAAGUCCAAAAAUCUUAGACUGUCCCCCGUCGCGUAUCCCCAAGAGUCUAUGCAUAGAGUUCACAUUCAAUCAUCAUAUAAUCACUCAAUGGGGCUAUCUAUACUCGGAAAUUUAUACGUACCCGGUCACCCUUACGACGUAGGGUCAAUAGAGUAUCGAGAUUCAACCUGGAACACGUGGUGGCGAGCCACGGUCUUUACCCAGGAAAACUCGUAUCUCAGAUAUCAUUAUUCAUAAGCCAUUUCAUAAUCAUAUUCAUUAUUUAAUCAUUCAUCAAAGCCAUUGCAUAUUAACUUCAUCUAUUAACACUUCCUUUUCACACUCCUCUUCCUAUUUACCCUUUUCUUCACUCUCAAGUUAUCUUAAACUCCUACUUCUGCUAUUUACUAAAUUUACUAGUAGGAUCUAGGAUUAACAGGGCAUAAAUAGGGGUUUUAGAGUUUAAAACCAUGUUUAGAACAGAAAAAUAAAGGUACUAAAAAACAAGGCGUGUGCGCACGCACACACCUGUGCGUGCGCACAGCUCAAAAAAGAAAGCAGGACGUGUGCGUACGCACUUAUGCGUGCAUGCGCACAUAUCACUUGGUGUGCGAGCGCCCCACCUGUGCUGGUGCCACCGAUAGAAAACUCGCCCUGGCGUGUGCGUGCGCACAAGAGUGUGCAUACGAACACUUUAUGAAAAAUACCAAGUGUGCGGGCGCACAGAGGCGUGCAUACGCAUAGGUAGAUUUUCGCUUCUAUUGGGUGCGCGCGCACAGCUGUGUGCGUGGGCACACAUCAGGAAACCUGGUUCUGCUGCAACCUUUAAAAUUUCAGUUUUUCGCACCAAUUUUUCGGCAUCCAUAACUUCCUCUAUAAAAUUCGGUUUUCCGUAAGCUUUAUAUCAAUUUCAAGCUUAUAAAACACUCUUUAAUUUAAAAUAAACCUCAUGAUUAUUCAAAAUGUGUAGAGCAAGAUAUGGACUACCAAAGUUCAUCAAAAUUUACAUUUUAUCAAAAAUACCUUAAACCCCAUUUUUCACCAAUUCUCAUUCUCUACUCCCAAAACCUGCAAGUUUACAGCACCACAAGUCUUAUUCCAUCAUCAUCAACCACUAGCUCAUUAAUGUCCACAACAUUCCAUAACAUCCACCCAAUAAUCCCAAUAUAUCAACAUAUAUCACAACCCAUUAUAAGCAAGUCCAAAAGUAUGAAAUUAAUAACCUCAUAAUUCCAAUUUAAGCUCAUCAACAAUUUAUUCCAACAACAUUACAAACUACUCAUUAAGUAUAAUUAACAAUUCAACUUAUCUUAUGGUUCCUCUAACCUAAGUUUUCACAACACCGUAAAUAUUAAACGUGCGAAACUUAAACCAUACCUUGGCCGAUCACUUAGUUCACCCAAGGCAGCCUCACAACACAAAAUUACAGCCUCUCCAAGCUUAAUUAAACAGCCCCAAACCAAGCUUUGAUCAUCAACAAGCCUCUAAUUACUUCCAAUUCAAUUUCAAUACUUAUAUACCCACUUAAUCUACACCUAAUACAUAUACAUGUUCAAAUUUCAGUUUUCCAUUACAAAUACAAGAUUGAGCUAGGGUUAGUUUGUUCUUACCAUACCCAUAUGCUCAAUAGCUUGAGCUCACAAGUCCCGGAAGCUAACUUGAACCUAGAAUACAAAAAUUGGACAAGAUUUCACUAUAGGUUUUCAAUUUUACCAAAGAAAGAGGGAUAGAGAUUCUGAACCAAAUAUGAGACUUACUAGUGAAAUUGUUCGGAUAGAAAGGUAGAGCUCGACGCGCUAGACGCGUGACUGCAAAAGGUGCGGCGAUCGGAGCUCAAACGAGGGAGAUACGGUGGUUUGAAGGUUGGAUGAAGGUUAGGGUUCUUCUCCUCUCCCCCUUUCUGUUUGCUUCGUUGGUUGCAAAUGAAAGAGAAGAAGCGGCCGCUUCUUUUAUAUUAUGGGUCCGAUUAGACCCACGGGCCCGGUUUGGGCCCGGUUCAACCGGUUAGACCCUUUCGGUCCGAUUUUGGGCCAAAUUUUUUAAAUUGGUAUCAAAAUUCUUGUUUCGACGAGUUCUAUCCUAUUUUGAUAUUAGUUUUGCAUUCUUAGCUUUCCUAAUUAAAAUUCGAUUUAUUGACUAAUUAUCCGCUAAUUUCACGAGGUUUACAGGGGCCAGCAACUUUUGUGUUUUGUAACCAUCAAUUGGCCAUCAAUAGUAUUUUUAAUGGUGUGAGAUUAUAUCUAAUAGUGGGAGAUCACUCAUUUUUCUUUUGAUGGUUAAGUUUUGGUCACAAAACACAAAAAUUUUUGGCCCCUAGACUUUCUCUUUUUGCAAUUAGAUUAAGAAUUGAUGUGAUAAAUUUUUUACUUUUUAAAAAUAGUGAAUUUAUUAAAAUUAAUCACUUAAUUUUUUAAAGUUAUAGUANNNNNNNNNNNNNNNNNNNNNNNNNNNNNNNNNNNNNNNNNNNNNNNNNNNNNNNNNNNNNNNNNNNNNNNNNNNNNNNNNNNNNNNNNNNNNNNNNNNNNNNNAAUGUACAGAAACAAUGGAACAAAUUAAACAUCAUUUUACGUAUACUACAAGAAAAUUUUAAAAUAGUGACCGAUUUUGCGACUAAUCAAAAUGUUUUAGGAAAAGAAAAAGUUGGUCGCUAAAAUUAGUCGCUAAAUUUCAAUUAGCGGCUGAUUUAGUGACUACCUACUCUUGGUCGCUAAAUUCGGUCGCUAUUUUUUAAUUUAGCGACCAAAUUAGCAACCAAAACAAAAAAAAAGGCUUUUCGGGUCUGUUGGUGACUAAAUCGGUCGCUAUAUUUAAUUUAGCGACCGAUUUUGUAACCAAUAUAAAAAAGUCUUAAUAAUUGUUGGUCGCUAAAUCGGUCGCUAAGAAGUUGGUCACUAAAUCGGUUGCUAAGUGUUAAAAUAGCAACUAAUUUAGCGACCAACUUUAAAAUGCUACUUUUAAAGUAGUUGGUCGCUAAAUCGGUUGCUAUUUUAUAAUUUAGCGACCGAAUUAGUAACCGAUAUAAAAAUAGGCUGAGAAAAUAGUUGGUCGCUAAUUCGGUCGCUAAGGUACCGGUCGCUUAAGGGAUAAUAUAGCAACCGAUUUUAGCGACCAACUAUAAAAUAUGGGAUUAGAGCAAUCGGUCACUAAAUCGGUCGCUAUUGUAAUUCUUAGUGACCAAAUUUGCAACCACUAAAAAAUAAGUUAUAAAUUAAUUAGUUGCUAAAUCGGUCACUAUUUUUUUUUUUGUUGACAAAUCAGUGUAUUAAACAAAUUAAAUUUUAAACAACAAUGUUAGGAACCAAGAGCAUAUCAGCCAAAACCCAGCCAAAUGUGUCUGGGCUAGGACCCGAAAGCCCAAUACACAUCAGCACCAUCCAAAAUUGACCCAGGGUAAACCAUAUUCACCCUCCCCAAAAACCCUACCCUUCCUUUCACCGUUUUACCACACAGAAUUUGAAAAUCAUCUACACCCACGUCACGCCUCCGGAAACAUCGCGCAACCCUCUUCCCUCUCUUCUCCGGACACCGCGACGCCGCUCCUAGCGGCUUUGCCCAUCGCGACUCCACCCAAGCUACCUGAGCGCAACCCUCUUCCCUCUCUUCUCUAGACGCUUCGACGCCGCGCCUAGCCUCCCCGCCCAUCACGCCUCCACACUCGGAACCAGAGCGACGCCACUCUGCUGUUGCAUGCGGGUUUUUUCGGCGCCGCCGAAGCUUCCUGGUGUAGCUGCGCCGUCCGCCGGUGGACCUCCCCUAUCUCCAGCCUGGAAUCCUUCAUUCGUCUCACUAAUUGGUAAGUAUGGUAGAUGUUCCCUUUGACUUCCUAUGCAUGUUUUGAAAAGGGAAUUGGACAGUGUUUUGUUGUAGUGGUUCGUGUGAGUUUUAAUUGAAUGGAUGUUCUUUCCAUGUUGUACAGCUCAGGUAACACAAUUUUGGAGCAUCACUGGUCCUUGGCGAAUAUAGCAGCUGCAUGUUUUUCCUAUUUUCGGAGUGUUGCAAAAUAUUGAUCACAAGUAAGUAUGUUUUUUUAUUCCUAAUUGAAUUUGGUAGAUUCUGAUUAAACUCUCUAAAAGGGAAGAUAGGAAAAUAAAAAAGUAAAAGGGCCAGGGUCAUGGUAUGAUGAAGCAAUGUAAUACUAGUGUUGAAAUAAAAAUGGUCCAUAUAUCCUCUUAUAACAUUCUAUUUCUAAAGAGGCAUGAUGCCCAGCAUUCCAAAAAGAAUAAUGAAAGUAUAGCAUUACUUCAAUUAGAAAUCGAAUGUUGUUGAAGUUUUGCUCGGAUGUUGCAAUUGGUAGAGAUUGGAUGUUGCUUUUAUCUGGGUUGGAUAUUGUAAUUGUAGUUGUUAGAGGUUAGAUGUUUCUAUUCUGCUCUAUGGUUUAGAUACUAGGAAUGGUAUUCAUAUGAGAUGUUCUUUGAUAUUGCUAAAUUACUAGACGUUUUUGUUGAAUAAUUUUAGAUAUUUGAGUGUAUGAUUUGUUAAAUUAUUAUAAAUAGAGUAUUUUUUCUUUAAUUCAGAAGUUGAGAAGUUCUUGAAAGUAUGAAAUUUUCUUAUGUUUUUUUCUGAUUUGUCAUAAAAUGGUGAUGUUAUGUUGCAUCAUGUUUCGAUUAUCAAAGGGAGGAAAAAAGAGUUUAUUUCUCUCCAUCUUUCUAUGUUUAUGCUUUGGUUGGGGUUGCAAAUGGGUUUGAUUUUGAAAUUGGCACUGCUGUUUUCUUCUUCACUUGUUUAUUUAUUAUUGGUUUAAUUUUGCUUACUUUUUCAGCCUUUGAAGGCCUUGUUAAUUAUUAGAGAAUAGCCAUAAUUCUAAACACAUCAACUUCAAUUAAGAAUUGAAUAAUCACUGUUCAAGUAGCUAUUUUUUCUUCAUUUAAAUUAAAAAACUAAAUUGUUGACUCCUAAAAUUUGAAGUUGGUACCAUUUGAGACCAUGACACAUAGAUGCUGUAAUAUUUGUAAAUUAUUACAUUGUUGGUUAACUACUUGCUAAACUAAGGUGAUUAAAUGGUAAUUAUAGUGUACAUUCGCUACUUGUUUUGUUUUUUCUCUCUUCUUCUAAGAACAAGAGAUGGUGUGUAAAAUAUUUUAAUAUUCAAUUAGGCCAUCAACCAAAUAAACUAUAUGAUGUUUCUAUUAUAUUUCACAUCCUUUCACCAUCACAAACAAACAAGAUUUGAAUGUAGGGACAUUACAUGUGGCCCUCUUUUUUGGCCUAAAUAGUGGGUCCAUGUUUCUAUGUGAAUUUUAGCCCUUCAACCGUGUGAAUUUUCCAAUUCUUUUAAUGGUAUAAAUCAUCUAUUAAUGUUUGUCUAAACCACUUUUUUUUACUAUAAGCCAUUUACAGUAUGAGGAAAUCAUUUAUUUUUUAUUUUGACUUUGAUUGGUAAUUGAUUUUUGUUGUUUUCUUAAUUGUGUUCCGGAUUUUGGGUGGUGAAAUUAUAAUAAAUGUUGGCUGAUUUGUGUUUCGGAUGGUGAAAUAAUUGUAUUUUGGAUGGUAAAAUUGUUGUUGUUUUUCUAUAUGCAGUUUUGAGGGGCUGUUUCUUGUGAGACCGCAGCAGGAUUGAUUUGUAGUAAAACCCAACUAAUAUGGGGAAAAAGGUAAAAUAAUGUCUACCAUUCACAUUUUAACAUUCGACAUUAUCUUAUGUGUGACUUACAAUUAGUGUAACAAUUACCAGAAAUUGUUAGAGUCCCGGUGCUCGCCCAGCUACGUACAUGACAUGAUGAGCACGCUGUCAAAAAAUAACUCCGUUGAAAAGCUUGCGGAGAUUGAUGAGAUUGGUUUUGGAUUCUUGAGUCUUGUUCCAAAUUGGUCGGUAAAAUCAAGCCAUCAUGGUUCACCUAGCUGAGUCAUAUCAAGUUAAGCCGAGAACUUUUAUACUCGACAUUAGCAACAUCUGCCUCAAUGCCGAGUUAAUCGGGAAGGUUUUCGGCAUUUCAUCGCGAGGUAACUUCUGCUAUCUUAUUUACCUAGUCUUGCAUAGGCGUGCUGGUGUAAAUAUCUUUGCUUAUGCAUACAUAUUAACAUGGAAUAACACAUGAACAUGUUGUAGGGGAUCCAUUUCCAGCACUGGAUGACAGUAAUCCGUGUCACGUUGCCAUAAAAAAUCGGUUCCAUAGACGGACAACAACCGAGCUCUGGGAUUUAGUUUACAGUUGUCCAAUGGCCACAGAAUCAGAUAGGAUGGAGUUCAGAAGAUAUUUCAUAUUGGUGGUGAUGAAGAUGUUCCUGUGCCCCACCACUCAACAGGUACUUUCUCCAUGGCACAUCUACCCCAUGUAAGAUGUUUCUGAUCCACGGAGAUUCAACUAGCCGUUGAAAACUCUGAAGUGGUUCGACAAGGCAGUCGAGAAGUAUAAGCUGAAAGGGAACAAAACGUGUGAAGGCUGCAUGUUCAUCAUGCUGGUAGGACACUGUUCAUGCCCUGGGUCGAGCUGUACAAUCCGGGCUUAUUAAAGACAAGUCGACCGACCUCUUCAAGUAUGGAUUCCCCGACCUCUUCUUAAAGAGAUUGGCCAAAUCGUCAGAGGGGCCCAAACAGACCCAAAUGAAGGGACACAGCCCAAUCUAAAGGCAGUUAAAGCCUAGAAAGAUAAGGGCGGUUCCCCAGAAGAUAAGAUGACCUCACUUAAAAGAUAAGAUAAGAUAACUAUCUUUAUCUCCAGAAAGGUCACACCAUACUACUAUAAAUACACUGGAGCACCCAGGUAUAACUCAUACUCUGAUUCUACAAAAAAAUACCUGCUUAAAGCCCAUGCUAACUUAAGCAUCGGAGUCUCUUGCAGGUACCACCACCCUCCGGUGACGAAGGAUCAGCAGCAUCUCCAGCUCCACCAGUUCCACCAGGUCGGACACGAAAGCUCCGGCCACUAGUUCCAACAAGUCGGACACGACAGCUCCGGCCACCACAGCAGAUCUCGUCUGAGAUCAACCUACAGUUUCAGGUAACCCUCGGAACAUUGGUGCCGUUGCUGGAGAACCUGGCAGUCAUCCCAUCACCAUGGCAGACAACAUAGACAACGAUCACAACUGAUUUAGAAAAUAGGACGCCGCAUAAGAAUGCAGACACCACACCGAAAGACACUUCUCAACCAAACGGAGAUAAGCACCCUCCAAACACAAAAAUUCUAGAAGCUCUCCGAGAACAGCAGAAUCAUCUCAAGCAGCUCGAACAGGAGGCUGAAUACCAGCACGAAACCAAAAGAAACCUCUGAAGAGAAACUUGACGACGCCGAAAGUUAAAGGACAAACUGCUAAAGCUUGAAGCCGACCUUAGAGCCAAAGCCAUUCAGCCUAAUCACGGGGACAGCCCCGACAAGGAUCAAGAUUCCUUCACAAAAGAAAUCAUGAAAGCUAAGGUUCCAAAAGAUUUUAAAGCUCCGACAUGACCCCUUACGACGGAACUUCUGACCCAAGUCAUCAUCACAGCAAUUUCAGAAGCAGAAAGUAUCUCACUGACGCCUCAGACGAUAUUCGUUGCAAAGCCUUCCCGACAACCCUAACAAAGAUUGCUAUUAAGUGGCUCGACAGUCUGCCUCCCAGAUCUAUCACCAGUUUUGAUGACUUAGCCAAGAAGUUUCUUGCUAGAUUUUCCAUUCAAAAGGACAAAGCCAAACACGUCCCAAGCCUAUUAGGAAUCAAACAAGGAGAUCGGGAGAGUCUUCGAUCUUACAUGGAAAGAUUCAACAAAGCGUGCCUGGACAUACAAAGCCUACCAACAGAAGCAUCCAUCAUGGGUCUUAUCAAUGGCCUACGAGAAGGACCCUUUAGUCACUCUAUAUCAAAGACACACCCAACAUCUUUAAAUGAAGUGCAAGAACGGGCAGAGAAGUAUAUCAACAUGGAAGAAAAUUCUCAGUUAGGAGAGACCACAAAAUUUGGAUUCUCCUACUCCUCCCGGGAUAAGGAUAAAGAGUCCAAGAAAAAAGAAGAUCAACACAGAGAGAAGCCUAAAAAAUACCACAAUUACACCCCUCUUCGGGUGUCUCUUGUGGAUGUUUUUCGAGAAGUAUGCCACACUGAGAAGAUUCAACCACCUCGUCCAAUCAAAAGCAAAAAAAAAGAGGGGGAAAUCAGACAAAAUACUGUGAGUACCACCGAAUCUAUGGACAUCUUACAAAUGAGUGCUUCAACUUGAAGAAUGUCAUAGAAAAAUUGGUAAGAGAGGGGCGACUAGAUCGAUACUUAGCUAACAAAACAGAUGAACCCAGAAAAAGAAGAAGGGACGAAGAGGUCGGACGAGCUGAACUACCACCCCGCACCCCGGAGAGGCACGUUCACAUGAUAAAUGGAAGAUUCGCAGGAGGAGGGAUCUCUAAAUCAUCUCGCAAAAGGCACUUUAAAGAAGUAUAUCACGUUGGAGGAGGAGAAGGAUGAUCCCAUGGUCAUUACUAUCAUAUUGGCCAAUGCCAACCUCCACCGCACACUGGUGGACCAAAGAAGGUCAGCUAAUAUCUUGUUUAAAUCUGCCUUCGACAAACUCGGCCUACAAGAAAAAGAGCUCAGAGCAUACCCGAACAGCUUGUUUGGAUUAGGAGACACUCCAAUCCAACCCCUUGGAUAUAUCUCACUACACACAAUCUUUGGAAAGGGAACCCGAUCAAGGACACUCAACAUAGACUACAUCGUAGUCGACGUGAGCUCAGCCUACAAUGCCCUUAUAGGUCGAACAACGCUAAAUCAGCUUGCCGCAGUAGUUUUGACUCCACAUCUAUGCAUGAAGUUUCCAACCCUAGAAGGGAUCGCCACGAUAAAAGGAGACCAGAAAAUUGCGCGACGUUGUUACAACGAAAGUCUAAACCUUAGAGGCAAGGGAGAAGAAAUCAACAGUAUCGAACUCGGAGGAGUUCGAGGUCAGGAAGAACUUCGUCCACAACCUGAGGGCGAGAUCAAGGAAGUCCAGAUCGGAGAUAUCCUAGAUAAAACAACAAAUAUUGGGGCCACUUUGGAAGGAGACAUAAAGGAGUCUCUGAUACAGUUCCUCAGAGAUAAUGCCGACCUCUUUGCAUGGAAGGCCGCGGACAUGCCAGGCAUAGAUCUCAAACUAAUGUACCACAAACUGGCAGUAUAUCCAGGAUCUCGGCCAGUACAACAGAAGCGUCAGAAGCUCGGACCAGAAAGAUCCCAAGCUGUGAAAGAUCAGGUACAAGCUCUACUGGAGGCAGGAUUCAUAAGAGAAGUCAAGUACCCACUAUGGCUAGCCAACGUUGUAUUGGUGAAAAAGUCAAAUGGGAAAUGGCGGAUGUGCACUGAUUACACCGACCUCAAUAAAGCCUGUCCAAAAGAUCCCUAUCCACUCCCAAGCAUAGACACUCUAGUGGAUGCCUCCUCCGGAUAUAAGUACCUUUCCUUCAUGGAUGCUUAUUCGGGAUAUAAUCAAAUCCCAAUGUACCCACCUGAUCAAGAAAAGACCUCAUUCCUAACCCCAAAAGCAAAUUACUGUUAUGUCGUCAUGCCAUUCGGACUCAAAAACGCAGGAGCUACAUACCAAAGAUUAAUGAAUAAGGUUUUCACAGACCAUAUCGGGAAACUCAUGGAGGUAUAUGUGGAUGACAUGUUGGUAAAAGUAUAAACUGAGGAAUCAUUACUGUCCGACCUCGCCAAAGUGUUCGACACCAUCAGAAAGCAUGGCAUGCGACUUAAUCCCGCAAAGUGUACCUUUGCAGUAGAAGCCGGUAAAUUCCUGGGUUUCAUGCUAACACAACGAGGACUUGAGGCGAACCCGGAUAAAUGCCGAGCUAUACUCAACAUGAAAAGUCCGACCUACGUCAAAGAAGUACAACAACUCAACGGAAGACUGGCAUCCUUAUCCAGAUUUCUAGCCGGAUCGACCAUAAGAUCUCUCCCCUUUUACGCCACUCUAAGGAAGGGAAAGAAGUUCGAAUGGACAACGGAGUGCGACCAAGCCGGAAAGAGGUUUGAAUGGACCACAGAGUGCGAGCAAGCCUUCCAGGAUUUCAAAAAGUUUCUGAGACAACCACCCAUUCUUACUCGGCCACGGGAAGGAGAAGCACUCAUAUUAUACCUCGCAGUGGGAAGUCGGGCAAUAGCCUCGGCACUAGUCAGAGAAGAUGAAAGUGGGCAACAACCCAUCUACUUCAUCAGCAAAGCCCUACAAGGGGCCAAAUUGAACAAUCAAAAGAUAGAAAAGUUCGUCUACGCUCUCAUACUAACUUCUCGAUGACUUUGUCCAUAUUUUGAAGCUCACACCAUUAGGGUUCAAACCAACCAGCCCAUAAAAGGCAUUCUACAGAAAACAGACUUAGCGGGAAGGAUUCUACGAUGGGCAGUCAAGCUAUCUGAGUUCGAUCUUCAAUAUGAAGCUCGGACGGCCGUCAAGUCACAGUUUUUGGCCGAUUUUAUUGGUGAGUAUACUGACACCCCGGGAACUCCUACAAAAUGGGAUCUCUAUGUAGACGGCUCUUCAAACAAAACUGGGAGUGGUGCAGGUGUGAUAAUAGAAAGUGACCAGGGAACCCAAAUUGAACUCUCCCUAAAAUUCGAGUUCCCUGCUUCAAAAAACCAGGCUGAAUACGAGGCAUUACUAGCUGGUUUGAGACUGGCUAAGGAAGUUGGAGUUCAAAAGCUUAUCAUCUUCAGCGAUUCGCAAGUAGUCAUUUCACAAAUAGCAGGGAGCUACCAAGCUAAGGAUCCUACCAUGAAAAAGUACCUGGAUAAAACUAGGGAACAACUCAAACAACUCGGGGAAUAUGAGGUCUGCCAUAUUCCCGGGGAACAGAACGCUCGAGCUGAUGCACUCUCAAAAUUAGCCAUCACCAAACAAGGGGCAAUAAUAGAAGCCUCAUCCAGGAAAUACUGAAAAGCCCAUCAAUCUCGGAGGAAGAAAAGGUCCUAGCCAUAUCAGAUCAGGAUCAAGGAUGGAUGACCCCCAUAAUCAAUUACCUCAAAUCAGAGACACUCCCUACAGAUAAGAAGGAAGCGAAGAGGUUGAGACGGGAAGCACAAUACUACACCAUCAUAAAUAACACCCUAUACAAAAUGGGGAUUUCGACACCCCUAUUAAGAUGUGUGCCGACCUCUAAUACAAAGGAGGUUUUGGAAGAAAUACAUAACGACAUAUGUGGCAAUCAUCUGGGGGCACGAGCUCUCUCCAAAAAGGUACUCCGGGCAGGAUUCUUUUGGCCGACUCUGCAAAAAGAAGCAAUCGAGUUCAUUAAGACAUGCCCACCAUGUCAAAAGCAUGCUAACUUCCACAUCGCCCCACCAGGGGAGCUCAUCAGCGUAACAUCACCUUGGCCAUUCACAAAAUGGGGACUCGACCUCCUCGGAACCUUUCUCCAAGGAUCGGGACAAGUCAAGUUCCUCAUUGUAGGAGUAGAUUACUUCACAAAAUGGAUUGAGGCAGAGCCCCUAGCUAAUGUCACUACUCAAAGAAGUCAGAAAUUCUUAUACAGGAACAUUGUUACAAGGUUUGGGGUUCCUUACUCCAUCACUACAGACAAUGGAACUCAAUUCACAGACAUAGGCUUCAGGAAGUUGGUAGCAGACUUAAAAAUAAAGCACCAAUUCACAUCCGUAGAACAUCCACAAGCUAAUGGACAAGCAGAAGCAGCUAACAAAGUCAUAUUGGCUGGGUUAAAACGGAGAUUAUAUGACACAAAGGGAGCCUGGGAUGAAGAGCUCCCACAACUCCUACGGGCAUAUCGGACAACUCCACACUCCACCACAAAGGAAUCACCCUUCCGAUUGGCUUACGGAAUGGAGGCAAUGAUCCCGGUAGAAAUUGAAGAAGGAUCCCCCAGAAUGAUCUACUACAAUGAAGAGGCCAACUCCCAAAAUCAAAGGAAAGAGCUUGACCUACGUCCAGAAAUCCGAGAAAGAGCUCGGAUUAGGGAAGAGGCGUUGAAACGUCGAAUGGCCUCAAGAUACAAUCGAAGAGUCAUCCAGCAAAGUUUCGCCCACAACGAUCUCAUUUUAAGCCGAAAUGACAUCGGAACAGGUCAACCAGGAGAAGGAAAGCUUGCAGCUAAUUGGAAAGGACCCUACCGAGUUACCGAGGUACUGGGAAAAGGCUACUAUAAGGUUUCCAAACUCGAAGGGCGAGAGCUACCAAGGUCGUGGCAUGCCUGCAACCUAAGAAGGUAUUAUAGUUAGGAGGUAAUAAAGAUCUUAGGUCAAGGUGCACUCUUUUUCCUGAAAAGGUUUUUUAACGAGGCACCAAGCCAAGAUCUGUAAAAUUGCCUGACUUAGAGGGGGUAAACACCCACAUGUAUAUAUUCUUGCCUAUAUGCCUAUUUUUUAUUUGAAUAAAAUUUUCCAGAUUUUCUACAAAGUUUCUCUACCAAGACGCAUUAAUCCGAAGGCAAAAAAUUCAUCGCCCGAUUACAAAGCUACAGGUCAGCAAGGUGAAAACCAAAUUCACCAGCCGAUCACGAUGAGAAUCGAAUUCAUCGUCCGAUUUCGACAAAGGUCAGCAAGGUGAAAACCAAAUUCACUGCUAGACUUCGACAAAGUUGGCCAAGUGAGAACCAAACUCACCGCCCGAUUUCUACAAAAUCGGCAAGAAAAAAGCGAUAAAGACGGAUUAAUGCAAGAAGUUAUAGAAAGUAAUCCAUAGAAAGAGGCCUGACGAGGUCUGAGUAAAAAUGGAUUGCUAAAAAUAACUUAGGACGAACCGACAUAAAGAAGUUGGACCAAUCGACCAAAGUGACUAAAGUUAUAAAAAGUAAUCCAUAGAAAGAGGCCUGACGAGGUCUGAGAAAAAAUAGAUUGCUAAAAAUAACUCAAGAAGGACCGACAAGAAGAAGUCGGACCGGACCGAUCAAAGCGAUAAAAGUUAUAAAAAGUAAUCCAUAGAAAGAGACCUGACGAGGUUUGAGUAAAAAUGGAUUACUGAAAAUAACUAAGGGCGGACCGGCGUGAAGAAGUCAGACCAACCAAACAAAGCUACAAAGUUAUAAAAAGUAAUCCAUAGAAAGAGACCUGGUAAGGUCUGAUUAAAAAUGGGUUACUAAAAAUAACUCGAGAAAGAUCGAUAAGAAGAAGUCGGACCAACAAGAGGCGUGCGCUAGAAGGGACACAACUCAUCCCAAAAAGCCACGACCUCACGAUAAAGCUACCAAAAUUAUUUUAAAAGGUGUUCUAUGAGAAUACUAAAAAAGUCAUUAGACAAGUCAUCAGAUCGACAAGAAAGAGGUCGGAUAGCCGAAUCUCGACACCUUACAGAAGAUCUACAAAAAUCCCAAAAACACAGCCAGCACGUCAAAGAAAACAAGGCUAUUCUAAAAGCAUUAAAAUCUCAAAAGGCCACCUGAAGGUCGACCUCAAGAGUUCAAAGAUAUCUUUUGUUUUUCCAAAAUAAAGUUGCUAAGAAAAGCAACCAAAAUGUCAGAAAAAGAAAGAACACCAUGCAAAGGUACAAAAAAUAAAAGAGUUCAAAAGCCCACAAACCGGGCUAAACAAAUACAUAAAAAGUCACAAGGGAUCCAAGGUCUCCUCAGCGGCGGCACCCUGGGUCGUUGAGGGAGGAAUGAUCUUCAUAGGAAUAGCAUCUACCGUCCCAUCCUCCCGAUUUAAGAUUUGGACGUCAGGGUCGGACUCGGGGUGGCUGACCUCAGCAGCAGCAGUUGAAGAAGUCGUGGCAGUAGAAGCUUUGAUCGGCGGCUCUGGGGAAGGACCUUCCUCUUCAUCUUCAUCCGGCGCAGGGACAAUCUUACCAUUUUUAACAGUGUUAUCCAAACCAAAAAGACUCAGGUCGAGCUCGGGAGCAAGAACUCGGACCUGAGCUUUUAGGUUCUCAUAUGUGUCAGUCACACUGCCCACAAGGUGGCCCUGAAGUUCAACAUAGUUAGCAUGGGCCGACACAAGUCUCUCCCUGACCUCCAUCAGCUCGUCAUAAGUGCGGGUAUAACUCUCCUUUGACUUCUUGGCCAUCUCCUUAUCUAGAUUCGCAGCAGCUUCUGCAGUAAUCGCCCUAGAUUUCUCCUUCUCAACAUCUAGUUCCAGCUUGGCCACCUUAGCGUCCAGUUCAUCCUUCAAAUCCUUAAUCCUAUCAAACUCGGACUUGGCAUCCUUCAUAAAGGCUUUAGUAGCAUGAACAGAAGACUCUUGAACAGUACGGAAUAAGGCUGCACCCAUGUGAGCCAUCCGAACACUGUUACUGGUGAUAAAAUCCAGAUGGCGCAGGAUAGACACAUCGUCCAUGGGAAGUCGGCCAUAAGGAGCGAUCUGGUUAUCAACAAACCCCACGGCAUCAAAGUCAGGGGCAUCCAGGUCGUAGGGCUCAAUAGUCUUCUGCUUCUUGGGAGGAGGACCGGCAGCAGAAGGAGAAGCAGCACCAGAGGUCGACUGGGGAGGAUCAGAAGAAGCCAGGCGAACCUGGGGAGUCGGUAUGACUUUUCUCGACCCAGAAGUAUCCGAGGUUGACCUCUUCUGAGUAGCCUUUGAAGAUUCCUCCCUAAAACCUUUAGCCGAGAUGUUUUGAGCCGCGGUCGCCUUCCUCGCCCUCUUAAAAGCCUUCAUGGAAUCAGUGGUCUUCACCAUCUCUAAAAAAAUAAAGCAGCAAAACCAAAGUUGCAAGUUAGAAAGAGAUGGAUUGACAAAACAAACAAAAUAACAAAGACAAGGCUAAAAAGAAAUCGGCAGCUACCCAAUUCAGCUCGAAGAAGGGAGGGAUCCCCCAAAAACAUCUUCGUAUCAAGAUAGGGAGGCUCCCCCCAAUUUUCUUCUAGUACAUGUACAAAAGCCUGCUCAACUUCAUCCAACAUUUCCCAAAAAUACUUAGACACCAUCACAUUCUUUUGCCAGCAUAAAGGAAAAGCUGGUUCAUUAUUUUGGUCCAAGAAGAAAGACCGACCUCCUUCAACAGCUCGAACCUUGAAAUAGAAGUUUUUAAAGUCCCUAAAAGACUCAUCAUACAUGGAUAACAAGUUUUUUCCCUGGGUAGCGCGGAAAGAAAUCCAGAAAGCCUUCUUCUUAGCUACCCCAGGCUUCAUCAAGACAAAAAGGUAAAGAAAGAGAGUAUGAGAAGGUUGAACAUCCAGUUCUUGACACAACAGUUAGAAGAUUUUUAUGAAGCCCCACGAAUUCGGGUGAAGCUGAGAAGGAGCUACAUUGCAGGACCACAACAAGUCAGUUUCAAAGGAAGUAAAAGGAAUGGUAAUGUUCAUUUGACUAAAAAAGUAGUCAUACGCAUAAAAGAAUGGACGGUCCCCUUGAGUAAGAGAAGGAAAACAAACCCUCUCAUCAGGAUCGGGCACUACCAACUCAUAGUUUUUCUCCUGCUCUCUACUACUACAAAUCCUAUGAUGCCUCCUAAGCCGCACACAAUACUCAGAAUCAACCACGGAAACACACAUCAAAACAAGGGAGUCCAGCCAGUCAGACAUGCCAUCCGGGACCUUGGUAGACAUCUCAACAAUAUUUUUGCAAGAAGACAUGGGUCAACUAGUCCUACAGUGAGAAAAGGGAAAACUGGGUUACUAAUCAAACAGCUCGGACAAAAUAGGAAACAUCUCGGACAAAUAUGGAGAUAACUCGAACAAAUAGCAUGCGAAUGUUAAAAGACUCAGAAACAGCAAAAGGAAACCCCAGGACUCACACCAAAGUCCAGGGGCAUCCUUUGGAGGCAAUAACAAAGCAAGGAUCCAGAAAAAAGAAAAAUCUCGCAGUUUAAGCCCUAAAAACACAAAGAAGAUCAAAAGCCUUCUCUGACAAAUGGCGAUCCAUACAAAACAGCAAACCAUCAACAUCAGACAGACCAGGCAGAAAUCAUAAAAAAGAUACAACCUUUUUCAAAUUAACAGUUCAUUACUUCAAGCUAUAAACAGGAAAAGAUCUACGCAUAAAGAAAUCAAGUAAAAGGGGCAGAAACAAGCAACAAAGCGAAAAAACCCUCAAGGCGCGCACUACAAGCACAACGACACAGAAAAGAUUCAAACUUUCUAAACACAAAUCCGAGCAAGAUCAAAACUUUUUCAUGCCCAAACAAAGCACAAGCAUAAAAAGAACGGUGUGAAAAAUAAAAGAGGGAAAGAAGAUUAAAAACCAACCUGCAGUGGAGAGGAGAUGAUAAAUGAUCAGAGACUGAAGCAACGACCAAAAUGACGCCAACGAUCGCCUUUGCAAGUGAGGAAAAUACGAAGGCCCAGAAACAGAAGGGUAAGGAGAAGGGAGAAGUUACAGUAAAGCGAAGAGAAGAAAAACUGAGGGAAAAGGCUUUGAAAUUCAAAAUAAAGACACAAAGAGGGAAGCAAAGGAAACAGCAAAGAAUUUACGAGUUUUUGACCUUUGCACGUUUCCAAGAAAAAGUAAAAAUGCGUGCCGUAAUUAAAAGAGGAAACGUUCCGCAUUCAAACCACUAAAUAGGAGUGCUACAACGAGAUCAACAAAAGAAUGCUCGAGAUCGGCUUUUCCAAAAAGAAAUCGAAGUCUAAAAAGACACGACUUCAAAAGGAAGACCGCACUCAAGCAGGGGCACUGUUUAUGCCCUGUGUCGAGCUGUACGACCUGAGCUGAUUAAAGACAAGUCGACCGAUCUCUUCAGGUCUGGAUUCCCCGACCUCUUCUUAAAGAGAUGGGCCAAAUCGCCAGAGGGGCCCAAACAGGCCCAAAUGAAGGGACACAGCCCAAUCUAAAGCCAGUUAAAGCCUAGAAAGAUAAGGGCGGUUCCCCAGAAGAUAAGAUGACCUCACUUAAAAGAUAAGAUAAGAUAACUAUCUUAUCUCCAGAAAGGUCACUCCACACUACUAUAAAUGCACUGGAGCACCCAGAUAUAACUCAUACUCUGAUUCUACAAAAAAAUACCUGCUUAAAGCCCAUGCUAACUUAAGCAUCAGAGUCUCUUGCAGGUACCACCACCCUCCGGUGACGAAGGAUCAGCAGCAUCUCCAGCUCCACCAGUUUCACCAGGUCGGACACGACAGCUCCGGCCACCAGUUCCAACAAGUCGGACACGACAACUCCGGCCACCACAGCAGAUCUCGUCCGAGAUUGACCUACAGUUUCAGGUAACCCUCGGAACAGACACAAUGACCAUUAAUAAAUUUUGUUUGCCUUUUUUUAUGAAGAUCAUAACUUGUAUAAAAUUAAUUUCCUAUACAUUAGUUUGGAGAUUUCAGACUCUAGUACUGUUACUUGUAUGUGAUAUACUGAUAUGUUGCUGAAUUACUUGAAUCUUUGUUCACUAAUUUUAGAUGGUCCAAUAUAUGAUUUCAUCUGAAUGUUUCCUAUUACUAGUUCUGUGUCCCUUGCGAGCCUUAUACAAUCUUGAACCAUAUCUGAUGCUAACUGUUCAACUUAAGAAUAUAUUCAACGUGGUUUUCCGUCAUGUAUAACUUAAAUUGUGCCCAUCCUCUAUGUAGAUACUCUAUUUUUAGCGGUUGCAAUACGGUGUGCUCGACAACUGUCUUGAGCAUGAGACACGGCUCGAUGGGUGGACCUCAGAGAGACUUGAAAAGAAGGCACAAUAUAUUCUAUCCGAGGCACUCAUUUCUCUCUUGUAAUCGGUUAAUUUAUGCUGUUAUGUAAGUCAGAGCUUCCUAUCAGACCACUCAAGAUGUUUUUUAUGUUUACUUUUUUUUGUCAGUUGUGCUAGGCAGAUGUCGCAGAUCCCGUGUGUUUGAGAUUUUAUUUUUUUUAUUUUUCUAUUUCUGGUUUGUGGUUUGGUGGUGCUUUGAGGUUUGAUUAAGAUCAUUGAUUCUCUUCGUUUCUUAAUUCAGGGGCGCCUUUUGACUAGACAUGGGGGAGGUGAAGACAUAAAGGGCCGGUCACCACAAGCUACGAGGAGGAAACCGGGGAAAAAAGAACCACAGAAUCGUGGGAAAAAGGAUUCGGUGCCGCCAAGGGUAAACACGUUUUAAGACUUCAGCGUGUUAGCAAGCUUACUUCACCAUUGUUAAUUUGGUUCAUGCUAUUGCUUCAAAUAGGGGAGGUCAGUCGGUGGAGAGAGUAAGCAGGUAUCAAAGGAAAGACGACCAAGGGGACGCACAACAUCUCCACCUCCAACAAGGAGAACUUCACGGCACGCCGAACAAUAAAAAACUAGCCCAAGAGUGAGUAUACGAUUACUGUUGUCUACGGUUUAAAUCAUCGACUAGCUUUGCUUAAGUUUAUUAGGUUCAUUUGAAUGUACUUGGAUGUUUCUUUACACAACAUGUUCGUUAUACGUAAAACAGCCUAGCAGAGGAGUUGUGCAAAAAAAGGAGGAGGCUAAAAAGGACCGAUCACGUAGGUCCACCCCAAAAAAAUCUUGAGAAAAAGGAUCUCCCAAUUAGCACAGAUGAUGAUGAGGAGAAUGAGCCUCUUGCCAAGCGGAUGUGCCGACUCUAUAACCAGGGAGUUGACCAACAAAAACCAAGUGCCGAACCAAUAGAAGGCAACCUUAAUCAGGAUAAGGGAACCCAUGAAACACCUGUCUCUAUAGUUCCCGAUGUAGGAACACUCUCCGUUGUGCUAGUGCAACAUGAAGAAUGGGAGUUCGACGGGCAAGUCUCCUAAUCAAAACUAUUUCAUUUUGUGGUCUAUUUUGCUUGUUAGUGAAUUAGGGAUUGUAUCCGUAUACAACUGCCAUUUCUCUAACAUCGGUUGAGUUUCUUGCAGUAAUCCCAAUUUUCUGUCGAACCGAGACCCCGAAAGUGAACGAAUAUGGCAAUACCUUGAGCAACUGCAGAACACGAGGCCACUACAGACCGUGAUGCCAACCACUCCGUCUUGCAUGACUCCUAGCCCACCAAGCAAGGAAAUCUCACCGUGCAAUACUCGGACGGAACAAAAGUAUACCCAAUGUACUCCUAUAAAGGUGCAUCCACUUCUAAAAGGGUGAAAGCUGGACGAGGAUGAUGAGGAGCAAUUGCGACGAUGGGCGGCCAAUGGAUCGUUGGAGCAAAGUCAGGUUGUGGCGUCCUAUGAAGGAAGACAGCAUCUAUCAUUGAUCCGAGAAGACAUCUGCUCACUGUUGCUCCGGCACUGGGUCACCAGCAAUGUAAGUAUAACAUACUAACACAUUGAUAGAAUGAAUAUGUUUCUUAAUAUAUAUCGUGGCUAAAACAGAUGACUCUAAUGCAAUUUAAAUUUUUUAUGCAGAUCGUUCAGUGGAUGCGUUCAACCUUUAAUGACUCAGAAUCGUUGCGGUUUAAGGAUGACUUUUAUUGUAUUUCUCUAGAAAUUUUGGUAUGCACGAAUUUGCGGAUUCUUAUCGAUAAUGAUUUGAGAUCUGAACCUAAAUAGUGCUUUUUUAAUAGAAAACUGUGUUGCAAAAGAGGAACUUGGAUUCCUUCAGGGAGAUUUCCACCGUUAGUUAUGUGGGGCUGGGUCCUCACUUCGGUGAUGAUUCUAGAUUUUUUGACAAGAUAGCAGCUUCCAUGUGAAAAUGGGUAAGUUAAUGCACUAGUUGAAAAAAACUGUAUGGUUCUUGUAAGGUCUCACAUCGGUUGGGGAAGGGAACGAAGCAUGCCUUAUAAGGGUGUGGAUACCUCUCCCUAGCAUGACGUGUUUUAACGAGUGAGUGUGGGGGGUUUUGGCUAUCAUCCCUAUCGUUAAAGGCAAAACCGUGAGGCCUUGUGUGCCAAAGCGGACAAUAUCGUACUAGCGGGUGGUCUAGGCUGUUACAAGAAAUGUUAAGAGAAGAGAGGGAGAAACGGAGAAGGAGAGGAAAGGGAGGAAGGAGCCGGGCCGGCGCUGCUGAGUUCGCCGCCGCCGUCGCGUUGCCGUGCCGUCAGAAAGCCAGAACCGCAAGAGAAAGAACUGCGAAGAGAGAGGGAGACCGCAUCAGCUCACCGCGAAGCCAGCGCCGUCGUCGUCCUUAUUGCGGGUCUACACCGUCGCGUCUUGCCACCGCCGCCACCACUAAGCUUGCCGUCGUCGCCAUUGAAGCCGAAGAGAGAGAGAGUGUGUUCGCGAAGAGAGGGAGAGCGCGCGCUCACGAAGGAGAAGAACGACGAAAAGGGAAGGAGAAGCAGAAGACGAUGAACCCAGGGGAGAAGGAGGAGGUCUGUUCUCGCACCGUCCUGCUCUGCACCCAGGUGAGCUCUUCAUCCCCCUGUAUCCUCUGCCCUCCUUUCCUCUCUCUUGCCCUUUCUUGCCGACAUUGAUCCAUUGUUGUCUUGUGUGUUGCAGAUCUCACUUCGCGUAGUCAUGGUCUUCCCCGCAGUCACAGUCGCAAUCGCCGUCUACGCAGUUUGUAGCUGCCAUCAUCCUCCGCGCAGUUCCCACCUGCUCACGGUACCAUAUCCUUGACUCUGUUUUCUGUUCCCAGAAUCUUAGAUAUAGCAUAAACUUGUUAUCUUGUGCAUUUUGUUGUUUUUAUGGAAUAUGCACGAAACUUUAUAUAUUAUUGGUUGUUAUUAAUAUUGUUUCAAAUUAAAGAGUUGUUUCUGCUCACCUCUAUCUAUAUAUGGCAAUUAUAUGACAAUUUGUUUGACCUUGGAAUUCUAGUAAACAUGAGAGAUUUGAAGAGGAAUUGUUAUGGUUUUGGUUGACAAUAAUGAUGUGAGCACUACAUAAGCUUGCUAAUUAUUAUGCUUGUAAUAUCGUACUGCUGUUUAUUGGCUUGUUUAUUGUGCACAUACCUGCUGUUUUAUAUUCUCCUAUAUCAACUGGGUUGUUGAAAUGGUAUUGCACUUUUUUAGUUAUGCUAAUAUUUCUAUUAUCUGCCCAUGGUAGCAAAUCUUUCAAGUAAAAUGGUAAUGAAUACUUUUCUCCUUCCUCUCAGGAAGCAAUCUUCAGAGUUAUAGCUGCUAUUCCUCAUCUUGGAAACAUUAACUUUGCAAAAUCAGAGGAAGAAACUGAUUCAUCAGUUCUAGAAAAUGAAGAGUCCAAGUUGCAUCUCCAAAUAACCGCAGAACUUCUCAUGUGUGACAAAAUUUCUAUUGUUAUCAUUUGCAAUAGCUUUCUUUUUGUUAAUGUUACAUAUCUUUUAAAUUAUUUCUUAUUUCAGGUGCGAUCCUAGUGCUUUGGAAGAUGCACUUUGUAAGCGUGUGAUGAUUACCCCAGAGGAAGUUAUUAAAAGAAGUCUUGAUCCUCUUGGUGCAACGGUUAGCAGGGAUGGUUUAGCCAAAACACUAUAUUCUUGUUUAUUUGACUGGUACUAUGUUAAUGUCAAGUGUAAAAUUAUGAAUUUAAAAUAUGAAAAAUGUGUCCUAUCCUAUGUUUAUUGCACUUAUGUUAUUUGAAUCUGAAUAAUUUUUUAUCUGUUCUAUUGUUAUGUGCAGGUUAGUCCAAAAAAUCAAUGUCUCAAUUGGGCAAGACCCAGAGUCAAAAUGUCUCAUUGGUGUUCUUGACAUAUAUGGCUUUGAAAGCUUUAAGAAUAACAGGUGAACAUAAUCAUAUUAUUCACUCAAACACAUGCGUGUGCACGCACACACACACACAUAUCAUUGUUCCUCUUGAGAGUAGCAUAAAUCUGAGUUGAUAUCUAAUUCCCUCUUUACAGUUUUGAGCAGUUUUGUAUUAAUUUCACAAAUGAAAAGCUGUAGCAACAUUUCAACCAGGUAUGAGGUUAGUUUUUAGAUAUUUGACAACUUCAACUAUCACUUUUUCUCAUAACAUGCAUUCCAACAUGGAUAAUGUCCUGCAGCAUGUGUUUAAGAUGGCGUAAACUCUUCCGAACUUCCGGCUUCGAUUUCUUGAAAUCCGUAACUCCAAUAAAAAAUCUAAUCCGGUAAGAGUAUUCGUAACCUCCUCCUCUACACGUUGGUACCAUUUUUGAUUAGGGGAAGUUGAUAGUGACGUAGCUCCUCUUUCCUUUGGGUUUGGUCAACGGGAGUUUUAGGAGGCACAGACGAUUCUGGACAUUUUCUUUUUCGAUAGCUCACUCAGAAAGCUUCUCCUGAGCUUUGAAUAUUUUGAUUUCGUACGAAGGUAUGGUUUUGGUUUCUCGUAGUUAAUGUUUAAUGUCACGUGAAAAAUUUAGGCUAGAAGACCUUAAGAUAGGAAUGAAUUGAAUGUAUAAUUGAUGGAUUGUGCAUAUUGGAUAAAAUGUGUGGUUUAGCUGUUGAUAAUAAUUUGCUGUUGAAGUUGGUCGGUUUGGAAAAGAUUUAAUAUUGGUAUUUGUUUGAUUUUGAAAUAAUUUGUUACUGGAAAUGAUUUGAAGGACUGAGAGGUGUUUGAUUUGAUAGUUGGGACCCUUGAAGGGUGGCAGAAAUUCGAGCUUUAGAAGAGUUACUGCCAAAACUUCUAUGAGAAUUGGAGUUUUGAUUUGAGAUGGUAUUUUAAGAAGAAAGAGAUUAUUAUGUGGCUUGUGUAUUUGAGACUAUUUGUUGACCCUCUGUCGCAAGAUGUGACCGGGCACUUUAACUCCCUGGAUUUUCCCAUGGGCAUGCAUAUAUAUGAAUAUUGAAUAUUAUAUUUGAGCUUGGAGUUCGACUCCAUGGAAUAUUAUAUUUGAGCUUGGAGUUUAACUCCAUGGAAUAUUAUUGAGCUUGGGGAUGCGCGCACAGAGGGACUGUCCAAUGGUUAACUACCAGGACAUAUUGGCUUGGCUGUAUAACUGACAGAUGAGACUCAUCAGCCAUAGGACAGGCAUACAUCAUAUGCAUUUGUUUGUUUGCUUGAGUCUGCAUUGUUUUGGUUUGCUUAACUGUUUAAUUCUGCUUAUCCGCUACUUGUUCUACUUGCUGUAAAUACUUCUCUAUCUGUGCUUUCCUUGCUUGAAUUGUAUGUGUAUGUUUUCUGAGAAAUCCCUCUUGAUGAAGGUGUGAGGGGAGAGGGUUGUUCCACCAGUGAUUCAGAGGAUUGGAGGCGACAGAAAAUGAAGUAUUAAGUUAAAUUUAGAUUCAGAACUUGAUCUUUACUAUAGGAAUAUAUAUAAUUCACUCUUGAAUGUAAUUAAAAUAAAUAUAUAUUUAUUUAAUUUUUUAAAUUUUAUAUUAAUUAUUAAAAUCAUGAUACAAUGGAUGUAUUCCUAUUAAAAAAAAAUAAAAAUGACUUCAUAACUAUUUGUUUGUUGGAAGAAAAUAUGACUCAACAACUAUAGAGUCUAAUUUAAAUAAUUAUAGAUAGGUAACAUAAGUAAUAAAAAGCAGACAUAAAAUAUAACCUUUUUGUUAUUUAGUACAAAAUAAAUACAAUAAAAUAAAUCAUUUUUCUCAUACAUAAUGAGAUAAAAUUUAAUAUUAUCCUUUUCUAGAGUCUUCUAUUAUUUUAGUUUUUAUCCUUAUUUUUUACUUUAUUUCAAUUUUAUUAAACCAAAAAAUACUAAUGUCAUUUAACUUUAAUUUUCAACUUUUAUCAUAAAUAAAAAUAUGUGACUUUGUAUGCAUUAGAUAAUAAAAAAAAACUCAUAAUAAAAAAAAAUUAAAUUUACUCAUUUAUUACAUUUAUAGGAGCGUAGAUGAUUCGCAUAAGAGUUACGAGAUUUUUGUUAAGCUUUUAUUUUUAAAGUAGUAUUCACUUCUAAGUGUAAUAAUUAUAAAUUAAUAUAUGUUGGUAAAUAAUUGCGAUCGAAGUGAAGAUAGAAAGAGAAUAAAAAACGGAGGAAGGAAGAGAGAACAAGCUAAUAUAAGAGUGGUAGUGAGGCAUAUGUAGAUAGAUAAUAAUAAGAAAAAAGAAUAAUACAACUUAAUGAUUUUAGUAUUAUACCUAAAUUAAUUUAAAUUUAAUUAUUUUAUAUAUUAAAAAAAUUAAUUAAUUUAUAGAUUUUUUAUUUUUUAUUUAAUUAUUCUAUACAAAAUUUUUGAAUGCUUGAUAUCUUAAUUUUUUUUUAAAUGAUAAAAUAUGACUUAACAAGUAAGAAUGAAAAAUAAGUAUCUAUAUAAUAGUUAUAUAUUUAGAUAUCUAAAUCAAACAAAAAAUAAUUCUUUUAACAAAUCUUUAACAACUCAAAAAAUUAACACAAUGGAUAUGUAUGAAUCAAAGUGAUAAACAAAAAUGAGAUAUGGAAUAAUGAUAAUAUGAUAUGGUGGUAAUUGAUUGCGGUUGGGGUUAAUAGAAGAAGAACACAAAAAAAAGAGAAUAAAACAAGGCAAUAGAAUAAUGAUAGCGAGACAAUAAUAGUUAUACAUAUAAAAAAACUAAUAGUGUAUAAUAUGAUGAGAUGAUACAAUCAAAAUAAAAAUUAAUAAUUUUAAAAUAGUAAUAAAAUUAAAGAUGUUUAAUAUAAAAUUAAAGAAAUAAUUUUUUAUCUAUUAAAAUUAUAUAUUAAAAAAAGNNNNNNNNNNNNNNNNNNNNNNNNNNNNNNNNNNNNNNNNNNNNNNNNNNNNNNNNNNNNNNNNNNNNNNNNNNNNNNNNNNNNNNNNNNNNNNNNNNNNNNNNNNNNNNNNNNNNNNNNNNNNNNNAUUUUUUAUUUUUAAUUUAAAUUUAUUUAUUUUAUAUUUUCUACAUAUAUUAAAUAACUUAAAAUAUUUUAUUUUUUAUAAUUUAUUUUUUAAUUAUUGAUAUUAACUUUAUAAUUUUAAAAAUAAAAAUAUAAAAUAUUUUUUAAAUUCAAUAGAAAAGCGCCUAAACAUGCCUGUUGAGCAUAUAUAACUUAAGCAUGACACGUUUAUUUUUCAUUAAUGAUCAAAGACACCUAAAUCUUUAUGUGUAACUUUUCUCUCAAAGUCAUGAUUAUUAGUACCUCAACCUUGCAUGCUUCAUUUUGGCUAAGGUAAGAAAGAAAGAACCGAGAGAAAGAAGAGAGAAAUCGUGACCCACACCAAAAGUUUUGUCUUUUAUUUGUUGUGAUCCGUAAUUUCAAUAAAAAAUUUAAUUUGAUAAGAGUAUUUGUAUCUUUUUUUUUUUUAUAUGUUGGGAUUACUUUUGUUUGGUAGAAGUUGAUAAUGACGUAGCUUCUCUUCCACUUGAGUUCGACCAAUUGGAGUUCUAAGAAGUACAGAUUAUUUCUGACGUUUUUUUUUUCGGCAACUUGGUUGGAAAGCUUCUCCGGAGUUUCCAUUAUUUUGAUUUCGUACGGAGGUAGGAUUUGGUAAUUCUAUAAUAAUUAAAUGUGAAUUUGAUAAGUGAAUAUUGGUUUAAUUGAUUAUUAGUUGAGUUUGAUUAAGUUUAUAUUAAAAUUUUGUUGAAUUAUUGUUGUUGUUUGUGAAUUGUGGUUCAAUCACGAAGAACAGCCUAGUUAGGGUUAUUUUAAUGAUUUUGGGGCUGUUGUGAAUGAAAAUUGUUGAUUAAAAUUGUUGAGGUUUGAUAGCCAAGAGAUUAGAUGAAUAGCGGCAAAAAAUCAGUAAUAGUAAAAUUUAAAAACAGACUUAAAACUCAAGUUGAAAACUCGAAAAAUUUUGAAAAUGGGGUUCAGUCCUUUGAUAAAAGAUGAUUUCUGAUAUUAAAGCAAGGGAAAAAUAAGAAGAAAAUAAAAGAUUAAAAGAAUCUAAAGAACCUCUGCCACAGGAGAGUAGAGAGCAAGAAUAAAAGAAACGAAAGAAAGAACGAAACGAAGAGGAGAUAAGUGGAGAUAUUGUUUGGCAUUAAGAACGAGCUGAAAUGAUUGUUUACCUGCUAAAAAUGAGCAGAGAUAUGGUGGUGAGUCCACCGAAAUUUGCUUUCCAGAGAUACAUCGGCCAAUUCAGGGGAUGGUCGCAUCUGUAAGACGGAGGUUGCUUACAAAGUUUAUGUUUGCAUACAUCGGCUCAAGAGAGUCGCACCUGUAAGACAGAAGGUGCUUACAGAAGUUAUGACACUGGAAAUCAAACUCAGACAAAGGUUGCUGAGUUACGACGGGAGCGAGUCAAAACCGACAGAUGAGCUCAUUACCUGCACUAGGGAUAGACAUGCAUCAUACUUGUUUGCGCAUACUUCUCUGUGAUAUAUGUUUCUGUGAUUAUGUGUGUACGCUUCUUGGCUUGUGAUUCUCUCUGUAUCUUUGGUCUGUUAAAGUUGUUUGUAUUAUAAGUUUUGUUGCUGUUGGCUAUGGUAAUAAAAUGAAUAUAACUAUACACCUCGAUUCUAUUAAGAACUCCCCAGUUCUUACCCCAUAUCUCCACCCCUUUUCAGCUACAGGUGCGAAGGUUUAGUGCGAAACUACAGGAGCAUAGAAGAUUAUGAUCAUGAGUUGAGUUGUUAGAAUUUAUUUUCCCCUCGUCGUUUAUUGUUUUUAGUUUCUAGAAGGGUAGGACUUGUAUUUGGAGAUCUUUGAAUAAAUCUAUGUAUUUAAUACUAUGUGAGUAUAUAUAUACCUUGUGGUUAACUGGUUUAAAAUAAAGAAUCUUCGUUUUCAUAAGUAAAAGUUUGAUUUGUAUUCUCAAAGGCUCAAUAUUAAAUAAAGAUAGUAUAGAAUAAAAAGAUUUAGAGGUACGUGACGCCUGGGUUUUUAGUACGAUCAUGAGGUGCUAAAAGAUAGGGUGUUACAGUUACCAUUAUUAUAAUGAACUGUGAAUGUGACUUAAGAAACUCAUUUCUUUAUUCAUUCAAUCCCCUUGGCCAAAGUUUUAUUCAUCUCAGUCCUUAUAAUCAUAGAGCUCAAACUCUUUACCGAGAGUUGACAGAUUCCUUAUUAACUAAUCAUUAACUCUAAGUAUUUAAAUCAUACUUAAUAUCCAUUCAACUAGCACCCUAAUGUAUUAGGUGUCCGGAAUUAAAGUAUAAUAAAUACAUUGUCAAUUACUAUGAUAGUCGCAGGUCAAAGGAACUCUAUUACUAUAUUCAUUUUGAGAAUAUCCUAUUGACAAAUAUGCGGUAAUUAUAACCAUUAGAAAUUCUCAAAGUGAGUCAGUUCAAUGGACAUAUCUCUAUAUGCACCAUCUAUAUAUAUAAUUUAAUAAAUGAGAUCUAUUAAUUUUCAUCUAAUGAAGACCAUUAUAUAUAUAUUGAUCUUUUCGAAUUACUAUCAUAAUGAUAAAUUUUUAAAUUUAAUUAAAAAUCUUAUUAUAUUAAUAUUUUAAUAUAAUAACAAUAACAAAUUAUUUCACACAUGAUUAAUUAAAUUAUGGUUAUACUAUUUAUUCCCAACAUGUUUGCAUUGUGAUGAUGGCUAUAAGAGACAUUAUAUGGAACCUGAGUGGUAUGAUAGUUGAGAAGAAUGGCUUGUUAGUUCUGCGUUAGAUUUUAGUGUUGGUUUACGUGUUUGAGGAGAUGAAGGAGGGGUGCCCCAUAGGUUCCUAGCUACUCUCUAGGCGAGAAUGAAUGUCCCUCCAUAAGGGAAAAAAUUUCAAAGUUGUUUUCCUUUUUUUUUUUCAGUUCAACUUAGUAACAACAACCUUUUCCACGAUUUUUUGGGGGAUGGGUCUGCGCAAAAAGAUACAACAACAAGAAAGAAGACCCAAGAACAUGUAUAGGAAAAAUAUUGCACUUAAGGUUCUGGGCCUAUGGGCUUUGGCUGGGAGGCUGUCAUUAAACAGCUUGGGCGUAUAGGGCAAAGAAGUAGAAGUUGGACAACUUGGUAAGCCCAAUAAAGAAAAAGUACCAACUCUGCUUGAGCCACUUAUAAGAUAGAGCCCAAUAACUUGGUAUGAACCCUUUUUUAGUGUUGUGUAUAGAGUGGAUGAGUUGUUAUAUGACCAUAAAAAAACUAAAUAACUUCUUUUUGGUACAUAAUAUUUGGAUUAACUUUAAUAAAUUAAAGCCUCUAAUAACUUGAUAUAUACUACAUCAUCAUCAUCAUCAUCAUCAUCAUCAUCAUCAUCAUCAUCAUCAUCAUCAUCAUCAUCAUCAUCAUCAUCAUCAUCAUCAUCAUCAUCAUCAUCAUCAUCAUCAUCAUCAUACGAGAAAUGACUAAAUGUCUUUAUAUCGAAAAUUUUUUUUUAUAUGACAUAGAUGUUGAUAAAGAAUAUCUUUUCAUACAAAUUGUCCGCGUCAAAAUUCUUGAACAGAGAUAAAUUUGGGAAAACAAUGAAAAAAGGUCAAUAAGACAAUAACCGGAUAACAUGAAUUUUGGAGUAUAAUUUUUGAAUUUGGAACGUAUAGUUUUUGAAUUUCUAUUCAUUGUUAUUUUAGAUUCUUUCGCCCAGGUUAAUUACUUAUUAAUUUUUUUUUUAAAUUAAGUAUGAGACUUGAAUUCGAAAUNNNNNNNNNNNNNNNNNNNNNNNNNNNAAUGCAUGCAGAUGGAUUGAAUGGUCUUAAAUUGUAAAUAUUACAGUAUCACAAACGCAUAUCACUCAUACUAUAUAUUUAUUAGUUUUUGUCAAAUUUCAAACUUAAAUGUAACAUAUUAAAAGGCACUAAUUUUUCAGUUCAACUAAAAUUUCUACUGACAUUUAUCUUCAAAUUAAAAAGAUAAUCUAACAUCUAACUUUUAGUAUGUCAUGAUCGUACAAAAAAUACGGAGUUACUAAUCUGUUUUCCUUAUUUACUAUUUAAUAUUGAGCCUUUAGUUCAAUAUCGUGUUUCAGUUUUAUAGAAAAUCUCAGAAAAUUUUUGUUUUUGUUUUAAAAAAAAUCAUAAAUAAAAAAUCAUCAAGUAAUAAUAAUCACAUAAUUAUUGAUAAUAAUAUAUGUGAUACAAAAGAAUUCAAAUGAAACACAGAUACAAUUCUUAUCUCUCUGUAUAAAAUAAAAUCUUAAAUAACAAAGACGAGGGAAUUCUAUGAAAACAACUCAAUACAUAAACUUAACUUAAAUAAAAUUCAUAAUCGCUUGCAGCUUCAAACUGGGUCUCCGAACCUGUGUCACUGAAAGGGUGGAAGAUUUUGGGGUGAAAACAAACCACUAGUUCUCAGUAGGGAAUAGAAAUGCCGUAAAAGUAAUGAAAUAAAAUGCAAAUAACUAACUUUACUCAUUAAAACUAUUUUGGUAAACUUUUGAAGAUACUUUUUAUUUUUACUUUAUUAACUUAUUACCUUCUUUAAAUUUCCGAACUUAAACUAAUCUCAAUCACAAUCUCAAUUCCCAAUCACAGAGAAACAAUAGCAUAAGAAACAGAUCAACACACAAACAAAUUGCAAUAAGAUAAACAAGUCAAGCAGUACAAUCACAGAGAAAAUAUAACAAGCAAAACAAGACCAAAUACAAAUGUGCAAUCAAUAUGAUGCAUGUCUGUCCUAAGCAGGCCAUAAGCUCAUACGUCGGUUGUCUACCCGCAACCUGACAUUAUUCGGAGUGACCCCGAAUAUGGUCCCUUUACUGUGUCAAUUAGACACCUUGGCAUCACGGUUAUCCGUGUCAAUUAGGCCUCAUUAUAAUAACGUUUUAAUGUGUAUCACAGUAAGGAAUAGUGCUAUCAAUUAGGCGAACAUUCCCGCAUUAGCAACCCCAGGCUAUCCGUUAGGCGGGCCCUUUCGCAUUAGUAAUUUGGCACAAGACUCAUUCACAUUUCAUUUUCAUGAAUCAUAAUCUACUUCAGUUUUUUCAUUCAUGACUUUACAUUAUUCCUCCACAUCACCAAUUACAUACUCAUACUUCCGCAUCAUCACCACUUAACUAUACAGACCUCCGCAUCACCUUAUUAUUAUUCACACCUCCGCAUCACCACAUAUUCCUUCGCUUAUCAUACCUCAAAAUAUUAGUUUCUAGACAGCCAAACUUCUUUAAUGAUUAAUAAAAAUUUCUUUCCUUAAUAAAUCGGACUCAAGUUAUUAUUUAAACAAAAAACUUUUCUCAGUAGAAUAAGCUUAAAACAUAACUCUUUUCCUAAUAAAUUGAAAGCCAAAUAGAAUGAGUUUUAAAUCAAAUUCUCUUUUCAUUAACGCUUUAAGCAAAGCCUCGAAUUUUUAUAAAAAUUUUUGCAGCAUUUCCUCUAAAAUUUGGGUUUUGCCACCCUUCAAAGGUCCCAACAAAUCAUUUUCGAUUCUCAAAUAUCAUUCCUAAUAAACCAGACAAUCCAAAUCCAAUGCCAAAUCAUUUUAUAAAUCUUAAGGCUAAUCAGGUACAAUUUCAAAAUCUUUUCUCAAAAUAAGCUUGUAAAUCAGAUUUUUUAUACAAAGUUUGUUUCUUAAUGUAAAUACAUAUUUAAAUCGGGUUUUCAAAACAAAACCACUCUUUCGUAUGCUUUUUACAAAAAAUUCGAACCAAACAUCCUCUUGAAAGUUAGACUUCACCACCCCCUUGGACUCCCUCAUUUCCUCAACAAUUCUCAAUACAGCAUAAUUUUCAAUAAUCAAUUUACUUUAUUUCAGUUUAGUAACUAACAUUUCACUUUAACAUUCAAUACAAUAAUAUCCAAUCAAACUAGCAUCUCAGUUAACAAUAAUUCCCAAAUCAGCUUGCAACAAAGCCCAUUAUUAUCAAAUAAAUCUCAAAUCAACAACCAAAUUGAGAAAUUGACAUGACUAGAAAUUCCAGUAACAAUCACUACGUCAAUCUAAACUCAAUUCAUAAAACUUAAUUCAUAUUUUAGUUUAACAAAUAACACCAAAUUAAGCACCAUCCACAACCAGAAUUCAACCAAUCCUCAUCAACUAGUCAUACUAAAUACUUAUAAAUUAUUUGCAAUUAUUCAAUCAGUCUUUUGGGCAUUCUUAAAUUGAAAACUGUUAACUUUAAAAUAAAACCCCCUACCUCAAUUAGUCGAAACCGCAGAAUUUAAAUGCGACAAACCCUCUUAUUCUAAAUUCACACCAGCAGUGGCUUAAAACCAGCAGUAGCAACAGCAGUAACAUUAUCAAUAAUCAUAGCUAUAGGGGAUGAAAUGAAAUAAAACGAGAAUAGGGUAACAAAUGAAAUAGCAGCAGAGAAAGAAUAAAAACAGAGCAAAUUAGAGGAAGGGAUCUAGACCAUAUCAGAGGUACUUGGACGGCAUCCCAUUUUUUUUAAACGACAACGGUGAUCAUGGCAGCAGCGGUGGCGGCUGAACAGCCCUCUGUCUCUCGGCACAAGCCUCACACAACUCCUUUCCUUGUUCUCAAGGCCCCUCUCUCCUUUCGCACAUGCAACAGAUGAUGGCGGCUAUAGAAACAGCGGCAGCGCUAGAGCAUUCGGUGGUGACGACGGGGUCAUGGCGUGGCGGCAGUGACAGAACACAACAGCAGUGACGGUUCUAACGGCGACUGGUCCCUCAGCGGUGGCAGAACGCGACGGCUCUUCUCCUCCGAUGCGGGCUCUCUCCUUCUUGUGACAACGCCGGCAACGACUUCCCACGGACAGCGACUGGCCGGCGCGAUUCCUUCCUCCAUCGUGGUCCUCUCUCUUGCCUCAGUUCUGAUCCGUGAUGAAGAUGACUUCGCGGACAGCAGCGGCAGUAAGGCGCGGCUUCCCCUCCUCUCCUCUUCUCCCUUCAGUUCUCACUCACAACACACACAACAAAUAAACAAACAAGCACACAGACACAUAAACAUACAUAGAGGGAGAGAAAGAGAUUGUAAGGUCCCAAGGUCUCACAUCGGUUGGGGAGGAGAACGAAGCAUACCUUAUAAGGGUGUGGAUACAUCUCCCUAGCAUGACGCGUUUUGACGAGUGAGUGUGGGGGGUUUCGGCUAUCAUUCCUAUCGUCAAAGGCAAAAUCGUGAGGCCUUGUGUGCCAAAGCGGACAAUAUCGUGCUAGCGGGUGGUCUAGGCUGUUACAGAUGGUAUCAGAACCGAACCCGGAUUGAUGUGCCAGCGAGGGCGCUAGGCUCCCUUGGGGAGGUGGAUUGUAAGGUCCCAAUAAGGUCCCACAUCAAAGGCAAAACCAUGAGGCUUUGUGUGCCAAAGCGGACAAUAUCGUGCUAGUGGGUGGUUUAGGCUGUUACAGAUGGUAUCAUAGCCAGAGCCCGAAUCGAUGUGCCAGCGAGGGCGCUGGGCUCCUUUAGGGAGGUGGAUUGUAAGGUCCCAAUAAGGUCCCACAUCGGUUGGGGAGGAGAACGAAGCAUGCAUGCCUUAUAAAGGUGUGGAUACCUCUCCCUAGCAUGACGCGUUUUGAUGAGUGAGUGUGGGGGCUUCGACUAUCAUUCCUAUCGUCAAAGACAAAAUCGUGAGGCCUUGUGUGCCAAAAUGGACAAUGUCAUACUAGCGAAUGGUCUAGACUGUUACAGAUAACAUAUCACUUUUCCAAAUUUUUUGAAGUGGUGGACCAAGGCAAAUGAAGUUUUUGAGAUACUUUUACACUUCUAUGGUAAACAAAAUUGUCAUAUGAGUCACGCAUUCAAAAAUUUUAAACAGUAAAGACAAAUAUAUAAUAUAUAAAAAUAAUAAAAGUAAAACACAUUUUUUAUUAAUUACGUAAUAUAUAUAGUAUUUUAAAAAAAAUUAUAUAUCANNNNNNNNNNNNNNNNNNNNNNNNNNNNNNNNNNNNNNNNNNNNNNGUAAAUAAUAUAAAAAUAUAGUAUAUUUUUAUUUUAUUAAUGAUUAUUCAUGUUGUUCAAAAAAAUUAUUAAUUACCUAACAUAACCCUAUCCAAUAUUAAUGCAUUAGGCAUGAAAACACGUCCAUGUUCAAUCCCCUCGUUAUGCUAAAAAGCUAUCUUAAAAGGAAGAAUUUUAGAUUAAUUUGAAAUACUAAUGUAAAACACGUUUUUAUAUCUGUAGAUUAAAAAAAGCCUCACGUUUCAAUAAUUUGCAGAUUGUAUAUAUAUAAAUUCGUCGUACACGUGUCUUCAAUUAUUGUACCAUUGCAUAUUUAAUUUGAAUAUUAUAAUGCAAAGGGAGAAAAUAUCUAUAUGACGAGUUGACGACAGAAGUUGAUGUAAUAAUAAACUAUAGUCGUCAAUUAUUGAAAUUAAUAAUCAAAUAUAAUAUUCUGGUGAUGUAGUAUAUAUAAACUUUAAGGAUUUGCAUCUUUUAAAGUUUAAAUUUUACUUUAGAGAGUAAAGUAUGAUCUUCUAUUUUUGAAUAAAUUUUUUUUAUAUAUUUAUUAUUGAUCUCACCUAUAAAAUCAAUAAUGAGAGAUCACACUUUAUUCUCUAAAGUAAAAUUCAAACUUUAGAGAAUCCAAAUCCAAACUUCAAUUAUUGAAGUCCAAUCCUUUCAAUAGAUUUUAAAUUCAAGGAUCACUUUACUUGAAAUGAAAAUAAAUAUCAAUUUGCGACCAAACUCGACUUAUCUCUUCAAAAAUGUAGAUAUAUAUAAUUUUGACAUGUUAGAUAUAAAAUAAAGUUUAAAAUUGAUAUUUAAUUUAAUAUAAUUCUAAUCUAAUUUAAUUUUUUCGUAUUUAUCUUAUUUUAUUUGAAUAAUGUAAUACUACUCAAUUUUCUAUUUAUUCUAUUAAAAAUAUAAGCUCUAAGUAUUUUCCUUAAUUUAAUCCACUCUAAUAUUCAUGAAAAUGAGGAUUUCCUGGAUUGGUGUGACGGUGAUGACACUGGGGUGGCUUAGUAUCAUUUUAUUUUUGGCCGAUUGCAUAGGUUCGUUCUCCCUUGCUUUCUUUGAUGCUUUGAUGAUGUGAAAUAAGAAUAUUCUGUAUAAAAUAAGAUGAUUAGAUAAUAAUAAGAAUGUAACACAUGAAGUGUUUUUGUCAUUUUGUCAAAGUUUUAUUUGUUAAGAUUUCAAGCUAUUCAUGGAAGAUGGUCUAAUAAUUUGGGAUUUUAUUGAUUAAGAUUUUUUUUUUCAAAACUAGUAUUUUUAUUUGUAAUAAAAUUACGAAAAUAUAAAUCUUUUAAAAUUAUGUUGAUUUUGUCUUGACAUUAUAGAUUAUAGAACAAAAAAUUUAUAGAAUUAAAUUACUUUUACAAAAAGGUUACAGGAGACAAAAAUUUCUGUCGACUAAAAAGAUCAUGAUCUCUGUAGAUUAUAAAAAAUCAAAUAAUAUGAUUUUUAGUUAUUAUUUUCAUGUGAAGAGUUUUAUUUUUACUAAUAAUUAAUUUUAACAUUCGUUUCUAAAAUUUAAAAGAAUUUAACGUGUAUACUUUUAUAUUUGAUUACAUAUUUUGGUUAUUAAAUUAAUUAGUAAUAUAUAAUAUAUAAUAUAGUUAUAUUUUAAUUUUAAUAUUUUAAUUUAAUUUGAAUACAAUUAGAGAAUGACAUGUUACAUAUUUUAAUUGUCAAAUUUGUAAUUAGUCAUUAAUAAUGAUAUAUAAGAGAGAUAGAAUUGGUGAAGAAAUGAGAGAAAUAGAAAAAAAGGAGUGGAAAGAAGGGAGAAUUCUUUAAUGUUUCGAAUGAAAGAUUCGAUUUCAACUGGAAUGAGCGAGGGAGUGACAUGUGGUACAUUUUGGUUGUAAAAUUAGUAACAUAUAAUAGAUAGGUAUAAAAUUAACUCAAAAUUAUUUUUUUUAAACAAUUGAAUUUUGAUUCUAACUUUUAAACACAACAUUAGUAUUCUUUUCAAAUUAUAUAUAAUAAAUAUUUGAAGGAAGAGAAGUAAAAAUAUAGAGUAGAAAUAUAAGCAAUAAAAAUUUUAAAAUUAAAUAAAAAAAUAUGCAUAUAAUAAUAAUAACAUUAUUAUUAUUUUUUAUUUGAAUUAUAUUAUGUUGUUAAUUUUUUUUAGAACAUAAAAGUAGAGAAAAGUAGAGAAUGAAAGAAAAGAGAGAGAAAGAUAAAGAAGAAGAAUAAGAGAGGAAAUUUGUUAAUUUUGAAAAGAAAAAUUUUAUUUUACUUGUAAUAAAAAAUAUCUAGUGACACAUUUUAUUUGUCAAAUUACUAAUAUAAAAUAUAAAUUAUAAAUGAUAUAUAGUGUGAAAAAGAUAGAGAUAAAUAAAAAAAAGAGAGGGGUAGAUAAGAAAAUGUAGAAAAGAAGAUUAUUAACUUUGGAGAAAAAUAUUUUCUCUCAAUUUUAAUAAGAGAGUGUCAUGUGACAUAUUUUGAUUGUUAAAUUUGUUAGUAAUAUAUAAUAUAUAAUAUAGUUAUAUUUCAAUUUAAAUUUUAAUAUUUUAAUUUAAUUUAAAUGCAAUUAGAGAAUAUCAGGUUACACAUUUUAAUUGUCAAAUUUAUAAUUAGUCAUUGAUAAUGAUAGACAAAAAGGAUAGAUUGGGUAAAGGAAUGAGAAAAAUAAAAAAAGAGAAUAGGAGGAGGGGAGAAUAUUUUAAUUUUAGAAGAAAAUAUUUGAUUUAAAUUGAAAUGAGAGAAUAAUAUGUAACACAUUUUAGUUAUAAAAUUAGUUCAGUAAAUAACAGUUUAAUUUCAAUUUAAAUUUAUAUAUUGAUUAUUUACGCAUUUAUAUAUUUUUCAUCAAAUAAAACUAUAUUUUACCAAGUAAUAAAACUCAUCCACUUGUCACACAUUUUUAUUGCUUAAUUAUAUUACUUAAAGAAUAUGUAGAAAUAUUGAAAUUGAUGUGGUAAAAUGAAAUUAAAGUUCAGAUGAACAAAGAAAGAAAAGUGUGAUUGUUUAUUCAAUUCACAGAGAAAAGAGUUCAUGUCAAUACAAUACAAUGCAACUCCUUUAUAGUAAGCUAGCAUAACCGAUUCUAGCUCAAGAAAGUUAACUACCUUUCUUUAACUCACUCUUCCUAACAGAAACAGAAUCUGUUUAAUAAUCAAUUCUGUGUCAUUGCUAAUUUGCUAUCCCUUUCAGUCCCCCUCAAAUUCAAGAGUACUUUUAAAGUGACUUUGAGUUUGGAUUUAAAAUUAGAGAAUAUUAAUAGAGAGAAUAGUUUAGUGUAUAUGUUUGCAACUUGGUCUACUCCAAAAAUAUGAACAAUAUUAAAUUUAUGUUGAAUGACUAAGUUUCGAACAAAGCGAAUAUUGAUCUCAAAAUAUUUGUUCGUGGAUAAAGAAUUGGGUUUGCUGAGAGUUGAACCGCACCGGAAUUAUCACAAUAGAUUGUUGGAAUUUCAGAGAGCUUAAAAUGCAAUUCGACUAGAAGAUUUUUGAGCCAUCUGAUCUUAGUAGUUAAUCAGCCAGGGCACGAAAUUCUGCCUCUGCACUAGAGUGGCCGACACAAUGCUGUUUUCUACUUGUCCAAGACACAAUUUUCGAUCCUAAAUAUACGUACGGAAAUAUUUAGUAACCAAAGAAAAUUAGUAAAAAAUAGUCAUAAUUUAUCUUAUUUAGUAUUUAUUAAUUGUUGUAAUAAUUAAUGAAUGUUAAAUAAAGCAAGUUCUGAUUGUGUUAUUUGUCUCCCUAGCAUUAUUGGCACACAUAAUAUCUAGAAGUUAAGCUAUGAUGAUCAAUCAGCAUCUGCAAAGGAGAAAAUUCUUAAGUCCGUGCAUGGAUGAAAGAUAAUUCUUUGAUCCAAUGUCCCAGUUAGAUAUCGAAAAACACGCUUCAUUGAUUUUCAAUGAGCUAGCAGAUGUGUUUGCAUGAAUUAGCUCAGUUUGUUAACUGAGAAAGCGAUUUCAGGUCUUGUUAGAAUGCAAUAUUACAAUGCAACCAUUAUGGAACGGUAAUGAGUUGGAUUUUCAUAUGCUUCAGAUCCAUGAUUAGAAAGCUUCUUUGAUGUGAUCAUUGAUGCUGGAGCAGGUUUGGCUUUACUCAUUUCUGCUCGUACUGAGAGAUCUUUGAUGUAUUCGCUUUGGGAUAGAUGGUAAAUUCCUGAGAAAAACUUUACUGCUUCAAUAUCCAAGUAGUUGAAUAUUCCUAGAAGAAGACAAUGAAUGAUGAACAAAAAGAUAGGAGUAAGAUCGAGUACUCUUAAAACCAAAUUGUGCAAGGAUUGAUGAUAAAGUAAUGUACCAAGCUUGAAGUGCUUGGCAAAGACUGUAUAUAGCUUUAUUUAAUUUGCAUACUUGAUAGUGGUUGUUUAAGAUAAAUAGUUUUGUUUACUUUUUUAUUCAAAAAUGCAUUGUUGAAAUCAUACUAUAUAAAAGUCAAAUACACAAUAGCUAAAGUUAGAAUUAGGUUUGGUUUGGUAAAGUUUUUUGAAACAGACUAUAUACUUGUACUUGCAGUUUUUAAAAGAUUAGAUUAAAAUACUUUUAAAAGCACAUAAGAUAAAAUUUUUUAAAAUUGACUUAUACUUUUCAAAAUUUAAAAGUAUAAUAUAAUCUCAUAUAUCAACUAAUUUUUAAAUUUUAAAACUAUUUUACUAAACGAAAUUGUUAUUACUUAUAUUAUUAAAAAUUAUUUUUAAUUUAAUUUACCAAACAUAAAUACUACAAUUUUUAAAAAAUCAUCAUUUAAAAUUUAACUUUUAUAAAUUACUUUUAAAAAAUAAAAACUUUAUCAAACUAAACUUUACUCUAAUAGAAACUGGUUUAAUCAGUGGACGGAAGACCUCAUAAAAAUCCACUCCUUCAAUUUGAUAAUUAUGUCUAUGGCACCAAUUUUGCUAUAUAUCUAAGAACAAUGUCAUUAGGAUGCCUUUUGACGAAAACAUCCAUUUAGAUCUAAUACUAUUUUAUUGUUAUCCCUUUUUAAAUAUAAUUUUUUUCUAUUAUUUUUCUUUUUUUUAAGAAAAACUAUUAAAAAAGAGUGAUUUUUUCUGCAUUAAUUUAUGAUCGCAAAAUAGUUAANNNNNNNNNNNNNNNNNNNNNNNNNNNNNNNNNNNNNNNNNNNNNNNNNNNNNNNNNNNNUAUAUUAUGUAUUUAUUAAAAUAAAUUAUUUAAUUUUAAAAAUAUUAUGUACACACUAAAAAUUAUGAUGGUUUUCAGUGACUAAGAGAAUGGGUUGAAUCUUAGCCCCUUUUUUCUUGACAAUACUUGCUGGUCUUUGAAACAGCUUCUGGAGACUUUUUGCCUUUUUUGUCUCGUCCCUAGCCACGAGACUUUUUCUUUUGUCUCGUAUCCAGCCAUAAGACUUUUCUUUUUGUCUCGUCGAUCAGCACGAGAUAUUUUCAGUUUUAUCUCCUGAGCAGCAGAAACAGAAAUGGAGUAGAAGAAGGAGAGAAUUACACCAAGAUAUAUCCUGGUUCAGCUGCUAAGUGCAAGGCAACCUACAUCCAGUCUCCAUCACAACAAUGAUGAAAUUUCACUAUAAUCAUUCUUGAUUACAAACACCAAUUUUUCCUACGAACUACCCUUCCUAUUUGGGACAAGUCCAGAAUCUAAUCCCAAACUGAACUUGACUUGGUCACUGCCAAGCUUUCAACUGUAAAGUGCUAACCCAUCUUACAAGGGGAUUCCCACAGAAUCAUGAAACACAACACAUAUGUACAAAGGACCUCUAAGGACAUCUAUGGCUUUUCUUUUAAUUUUGCACUCUUUGCCUUUUUUCGCUCUAUGACUUUUUCUUACAAACCUCACUGUUUGCCUUUUUCCAUGAGACUCAAGACAUGACAAAAUUAAACAGAAAAAUACAAAAUAUAAAACAUUGAAGGAGAAGAACUUCUGUAAGCUUGGGGAGCUAUAGGAACUCUGUGCUCACUCUUUUCCUUAAAUCAAACCUUGACUGUUCACCCUUACUUAUAGGGAGAAGCCUCCAAGGUUGAAACCAAACAAACCAAGCCAAUCUUCUUCUUCUUCAACCAGAACCGGUUCGGCCAGAGAGAGAGAAGAGAUAACCCAUGCAAAACCCAACAUCCAAUUACCUCUAGUCCUUCCUUGGUCACCACUCUUCAUCAAUCCGAGCCCUUCAUCCUUGCCUUGCUCUCCAAGAUGAACUUCUGGCCCUUGAUGCUUCAUGAUGAUGAUAGCUUCAUCUGCUCAAAUCUCUGCCUCUUCUAUCACGUAGCCACUCUAGCUAUCUCCUGUGGUGGCUGAGCAGAAUCAGAGACAAGCCAUCCCUCCAAGGAUCUUCUUCUCUGACCGAGAUCUUCUUCAACCAUUUUUGGUAUGGAGAAGCCAAGAUGUCAUCACAAAAUCUUACCACAAGUGAAUGAGAAUCUUAACCACAGUAUACUUUUAGUUUUCUUUUUCUUGCCAUCAUUGUGAUGGUCUUGUUACUUGCAUCUUCAUCUCUUCGGUGUCUAGCCAUAGCUUCCAUGCUUUCUCUGUAAUGAUAUGACCGAAGGUAGAAGAGAGAGUAGAGAGAGAAAGGAGAAAAAGUAAAGCUAUGAGUAAUGAGUGUUAUUCAUAAAUAAAUUAAUUAAGAUCAACUUCCCAUACUUUUGUGUAGUAGCGUGUAAGCCACAUUAAAACCAUCUGAUCACUUUUCUCUUUCUUUUUCAUAUUUCCAAUGCAAGUCAUUCAAGUUUUAAUUGAAUUUGAAAUCCACCAAAACUUGAGGUGGGAUCCGUUGGAAACUUAGAACUUUACUUUUCUUUCAUUGUAGAUUUCGGACCAAGUCUUGGUUUAGAUAGUAAAGAUUUAAUUGGGCUUGUAGUAACAAUAUUUCAAACUGGCCCAUUUAUAAAAACUCUUUAGCCAACAAUCAUAUAACAAAUUUGCAUAAGGCUGAAUUUUGAUUUUGUUGGGCCUAGGAUCUUUUCUUUUCUUUUCGGCCCAAUUAACCACAAAUUGCUUCAUCCACUCAAUUUAUCAUUUUUUAUACCCAAGGCUAAAUAUAUGAAUUCAUGUUAGGCUGAUCAAUUUAUUUGGCCCAGCAGAAACCUGUAUCAACAAAAUUAUUAAUUAAACAAGUAUGAAUUAAUAUCAAGUUAAUAAUUUUAUAAAUAAUUAUUUUAAUAAUGUUUAGUCAUCACAAAAAUUAAUUUAGAGUUUUCCAAACUCAUCAAUCUCUCCCUUGAUGACAAACAUUAUUAAAAUUGAAAUGGAAAGAAAUCACUCUUCCCGGGUGUGGCUUUCUUCGGUGGAGAUGGUGGUGGUGACGGAAUGGGUGAGGUGUGAGAUUCUUCCUCUUCCUCCACAGGAACUUUCUCUUUCUUCUUCCUUGAAGAGGUUUUCGUGGCUAUGACCUUCCUUCUCAUAGUGUCGGUUUGUUUUGAGGGAGGUGAGGGAGAAGAUGAUGAUGUAGAAUGAAUAUGGAUGUGGGUGUGUGAUUGUGGUGUGGAUGAUUUUUGAGAGAAGAGAAUUCGUUCGCUUUUUCUAGGUGCAGUUUUCUUUUUCAUGAUGAUAAUGGUGAAGUGGAAUAGGAAGGGUUGAUGAAGGCCGAAUUGAGUGUGGGAGUGGGGAGGUUAGAGAUGUAAUAAAUGAGGAGUGGAGAGGAAAUUGGAGGGAAUUUAAUGACCAUUAAGGAGUGGUUAUUACCCAAGGGAGUUUCUCUUUUAUUUGAAAUAAAUUGAAAAGUAGUUUCCUAGAAUCAAGGGAUUAGUUGAGGAAAAGGAUUUGAUUUGACAAUCACCACUUCCAACUAGAUUUUAUGAGAUAACAAAAAGAGAUUGUGAUUUACAUAGAGGAAAACUAACAAAACGGUCAGUGUGGGGUCAAAGAAAUUUGGUGGGCCCAUGAGAAUUGAUUUCGGCGCAGUCUCCCCCUUGAUCACAGCCCUUCCAACACACUCUGAUUUUUAUCUCGUCGUUUCCUACGAGACAAAACUGAGCAGAAUCAAAAUUUCACAAGUUAUCAACGGAAAUUAAAUCAAUCAUUCCCAAAAUUUUUCUCAAAGUGCAGAAUCUGUCUUCACAGAGGGGUUUUGUAAAAAUGUCAGUAAGUUGGCCUUCAGAUUUUACAAAUUGAAUAUCAAUAGUACCCUUUUGCACAUGUUCCCUAAUGAAAUGAUAUUUUAUCUCAAUGUGCUUGGUUCUUAAGUGCAGAACAGGAUUUUUUAAAAUGUUUAUAGCACUCGUAUUAUCACAAAAUAAGGGUAUACUAUUGAUCUUUAAUUUGUAAUCUUUCAACUGCGUUUUUAACCAAAUUAAUUGUGAACAACAUGCAGAUGCAGAAAUAUAUUCAGUUUCAGCUGUGGAUAGAGCCACUGUGGUUUGCUUUUUGCUUGACCACAUGUUGAGUGAGCUUCCAAGGAAGCAACACAUGCCGGAUGUACUCCGUCUAUCCACCCUAUCUCCCACAUAAUAUGCAUCACAAAACCCUACUGCACAAAAGUCAUCAGAUUUAGGAUACCACAAGCCAUAGUCACUAGUUCCCUUAAUGUAUCUAAUGAUGCGCUUAACGGCUGAAAGAUGGGAUUCUUUUGGGUGAGAUUGAAACCUUGAACAUACACCCACACUUUGAACAAUGUCCGGUCUAGAAGAAGUAAGGUACAUGAGUGAACCUAUCAUUUUUCUAUACCUUGUUUCAUCCACAUCUUUGCCAUCAUCAUCAUUUUCAAGUUUUGUGUUAGGAUGCAUUGGUGUUCCCAUUGGUUUGGAACUUUCUAGGCCAAAUUUUUUUAUAAGUUCUUUUGCAUACUUUCCUUGGUGAAUAAAGGUACCACUAGGAGUUUGUUUAAUUUGGAGGCCAAGAAAGAAAGUAAGCUCUCCCAUUAAACUCAUCUCAAACUCACUAGUCAUGAGUUUUCCAAACUCUUCACACAAGGACUCAUUGGCCGAACCAAACACAAUGUCAUCCACAUAAACUUGUACUAGGAGAAUAUCAUCAUUAGAUGCUUUAAUGAAUAAAGUUGUAUCGGUGAUUCCCCUUUGAAAGUGAUUUUCCAAUAGGAGGGCAUUAAGCCUUUCAUACCAAGCUCUUGGAGCUUGCCUAAGGCCAUAAAGGGCCUUUGAUAGUUUGAAAAUAUGAUUUGGAAAAUCUUUAUGUUCAAAAUCGGGGGGUUGUGUCAUAUACACUUCUCUAUCAAUAAAGCCAUUAAGGAAAGCACAUUUAACAUCCAUUUGAAACAUUUUGAAACCCUUAUGGGCAGCAUAGGCAAGAAGCAACCUAAUUGCUUGCAUUCUAGCUACCGGCGCAAAAGACUCAUCAAAAUCUAUACCCUCUUCUUGAUCGUAACCUUGGGCCACUAAUCUAGCCUUGUUACGAACAACUUGUCCAUCCUCACCAAGUUUAUUUUUAAACACCCACUUAGUACCCGUAACUUUCUUACCAUCCGGAUGUGGUACUAGUGUCCAAACCUCAUUCUUGUCAAAUUGAGCAAGCGCUUCUUGCAUGGCUUUGACCCAUGAUGGAUCUUCAAGAGCUUGUCUUACAUUGUUGGGUUCCAUUUGUGACAAGAGAGCAAAGUUGCUUGGUUCGGAUUGUCUUUUGGUUGAGGAUCUUGUUGUAACACCUUGAGAGGGGUCACCAAUGAUAAAGUCAUGAGGAUAGCCUCUCAUAGACUUCCAUUCCCUGGGCUUCUGUAGUGGUGUUGUGCUUUGAUGAGCUUCUGGGGGUCUCACUGUUUCAAAUUCUCGUGCUGGCUCAAGAGACAAAAUGGAAAUGUCUCCUCCAAUCUGACGAGACAAAACUGAACUGGCAGAUUCUUCAUUUUGAGCAGAUUUGGAAUUUUCUUUACUUGUUCUAGCUUCUUCACAAUCUGAAUCAUUAUCUAUCACAGAACUGGGAAUUAAAUUAGAAUCACAAAAAGUAACAUGUAUGGAUUCCUCUAUGGUCCUAUGUUCUUUGAGAUAAAUCCUAUAGGCCUUGCUAGUGGUGGAGUAUCCAACAAAAUUCCUUCAUAUGAUUUUGGAUCAAAUUUGCCAAGGUUUUCUUUAUUGUUAAGUAAAAAGCAUUUGCAUCCAAAAAUAUGAAAAUACUUAAGAUUUGGGGGGGUUCCUUUCCAUAGCUCAUAGGGAGUUUUCUUUAACCCUUUUCUAAUAAUUGUCCUAUUCAAAAUAUAACAAGCUGUAUUUACAGCUUCUGUCCAUAAAAAUUUUGGAAUCUCAUUCUCACAAAGCAUGGCCCUAGUCAUUUCUUGAAAGCUUCUAUUCCUUCUCUUAACCACCCCAUUUUGUUGAGGGGUUCUAGGGCAUGAAAAGUUAUGAGCAAUUCCAAAGUUAUCACAGAAUUUUUCAAAGUCUUGGUUUUCAAAUUCUCUUCUGUGAUCACUUCUUAAAUGAGCAAUUUUUAAAUCCUUUUCAUUUUGAAUUUUCUUGCAAAGGAUUGAGAAAGCAUGAAAAGCAUCAUUUUUAUGAGCAAGAAAAAGUACCCAACCAAAUCUAGAGUAAUCAUCUACCACCACAAGACCAUAGUAUUUACCUCCUAAACUUUGAGUUCAUGUUGGACCAAAAAGAUCAAUGUGUAACAUCUCUAAUGGCCUUUUGGUUGAGAUUCCAUCUUUUGGUUUAAAAGAGGAUUUUACUUGUUUGCCCAAUUGGCAAGCAUUGCAAGUAAAAUCCUUAUCAAAUUUGAUAUUAGGAAUUCCUCUAACCAAAUUUUUCUUGACUAGCUUAGAAAUUUGGUACAUGCUAGCAUGACCCAACUUUCUAUGCCAUAGCCAUUUUUCAGAUUCAAGAAAGGUAAAACAUGUUAUAUUUUGUUCUUUCAAGUUCUCAAGAGUCAAUCCAUACACAUUAUUGCACCUUUUAGCUUCAAAUAAAAUAUCCCUAGAUUUUUCACACACAACCAAACACAUAAAUUUUCUAAAAGUAACUUCAAAACCUAGAUCACACAAUUGGCUAACACUAAGUAAAUUAUGUUUCAAACCAUUUACAAGAAGAAUAUCAUUUAUACAAGAUGAAAAGCUUUUACCAACUUUUCCAACAGCCACUAUCUUUCCUUUAGCAUCAUCACCAAAAGUGACAAAUCCUCCAUCAUAUUCAUCAAGCUUUAUGAAGAAGUUUGUCUUUCCGGUCAUAUGCCUAGAGCAUCCGCUGUCCAUAUACCACAUAUUUUCCUUCCGUUUGGAUGCUAGACAUACCUGUUCAACAUGGUCAGCCAUAAGACAUGGUUGAGGCAUAGUUUCGGUUUCUUCAUCAUCUUCUGCAUCAUUUUUCAGAUCUUCCCAUGAUGCCAUCAGUCCCUUUUUCUUUCCUUUCUUCGGCUUUUCUUCCUUCUUCAACUCAGGGCAGUCAGACUUGAAAUGGCUUAUUUCCUUACAGUUGUAGCAUGUCACCUUGCUGAGAUCUUUCUUCUAUUUUCUUGAGCUGCCUCAUUUGCCUCUCUCCUUGAGCUUUACCAUUUUCCUGAAUUUUUUGGUAAACAACACAAAUUCAUUUUCAGAAUCACUGGAUUCAUCAUCCAGGGGGUUAGUCACAGAUGUAAAAGCAAUCCCUUUCUUUUUUGAAUCCUUUUUUAAAUAAGUGUUUUCAAAAGCAAGAAGAUUUCCUCUCAAGUCAUCAUAUGUCAUGGAAUCAAGACCACUACUCUCAGAAAUUAUUAAUGCUUUUGUUUCCCACUCUUUUGUGAGACAUCUUAACACUCUUCUCACUAGCACAGAUUCAGGAUACUUGAUUCCCAUAGCAUCCAAGCCGACAAUGAUGAUGUUGAAGCGCUCAAACAGUUCAUCAAUAGAUUUUCCUUCCUUCAUUGCAAACUUUCAUACUCUCUGUUCAACAUGUCUAUCCUGGUCUUCUUUACAAUGGUGGUACCUUCAUGAGUCACUAGAAGUUUGUCCCAGAUUUCCUUUGCUGUUGUGCAUCGUGAUACCCGUCGAUACUCCUCGAAGCUGAUAGCACAGUUGAGCAAGUUGAUAGCCUUGGCAUUGAGCUCCACCUUCUUUCUAUCUUCUUCGGUCCAGCUUGCUUCUGGUUUAGGAGUGACAACUCCUUCAGCACUUGUGAUGGUUCGAUAUUGAGGACUUUCCAGGAUAAUCUUCCAAAGUCUGUAAUCCACUGCUUGCACAAAGAUCUUCAUUCUCUCCUUCCAAUAGGUUUAGUUUUUCCCAUUGAAAAGAGGAGGUCUAUUGCUUGAUUGUCCUUCGGUCAGGUUGUAGGACACCAUAUUUGAGCCAUUAUUUUCUGCCAUCUGGAUCUUUUCUCCAAGCUGCAAAGCUUGAUCUCUUUGAGAUCAAGCUCUGAUACCAAUUGAUGGUUUUUAGUGGCUAAGAGAAGGGGGUUGAAUCUUAGCCCCUUUUUUUCUUGACAAUACUUGCUGGUCUUUGAAACAGCUUCUGGAGACUUUUUGCCUUUUUUGUCUCAUCCUUAGCCACGAGACUUUUUCUUUUGUCUCGUACCCAGCUACGAGACUUUUCUUUUUGUCUCGUCGAUCAGCACAAGAUAUUUUCAGUUUUAUCUCCUAGGCAGCAGAAACAGAAAUGGAGUAGAAGAAGGAGAGAAUUACACCAAGAUAUAUCCUGGUUCAGCUGCUAAGUGCAAGGCAGCCUAUAUCCAGUCUCCAUCACAACAAUGAUGGAAUUUCACUAUAAUCAUUCUUGAUUACAAACACCAAUUUUCCCUAGGAACUACCCUUCUUAUCUGGGACAAGUCCAGAAUCUAAUCCCAAACUAAACUUGACUUGGUCACUGCCAAGCUUUCAACUGUAAAGUGCUAACCCAACUUACAAGGAGAUUUCCACAGAAUCAUGAAACACAACACAGAUCUACAAAGGACCUCUAAGGACAUCUAUGACUUUUCUUUUAAUUUUGUACUCUCUGCCUUUUUCUGCUCUAUGGCUUUUUCUUACAAACCUCACUGUUUGCCUUUUUUCAUGAGACUCAAGACAUGACAAAAUUAAACAGAAAAAUAUAAAACAUAAAAUAUUGAAGGAGAAGAACUUCUGUAAGCUUGGGGAGCUAUAGGAACUCUGUGCUCACUCUUUUUCUUAAAUCAAACCCUGACUGUUCACCCUUACUUAUAGGGAGAAGCCUCCAAGGUUGAAACCAAACAAACCAAGCCAAUCUUCUUCUUCUUCAACCAGAAUCGGUUCGGCCAGAGAGAGAGAAGAGAUAACCCAUACAAAACCCAACAUGCAAUUACCUCUAGUCCUUCUUUGGUCACCACUCUUCAUCAAUCCGAGCCCUUCAUCCUUACCUUGCUCUCCAAGAUGAACUUCUGGCCCUUGAUGCUUCAUGAUGAUGAUAGCUUCAUCUGCUCUAAUCUCUGCCUCUUCCAUCAUGUAGCCACUCUAGCUACCUCCUGUGGUGGCUGAGCAGAAUCAGAGACAAGCCAUCCCUCCAAGGAUCUUCUUCUCUGACCGAGAUCUUCUUCAACCAUUUUUAGUAUGGAGAAGUCAAGAUCUCAUCACAAAAUCUUACCACAAGUGAAUGAGAAUCUUAGCCACAGCAUACUUUUAGUUUUCUUUUUCUUGCCAUCAUUGUGAUGGUCUUGUUACUUGCAUCUUCAUCUCUUCGGUGUCUAGCCAUAGCCUCCAUGCUUUCUCUGUAAUGAUAUGACCGAAGGUAGAGGAGAGAGUAGAGAGAGAAAGGAGAAAAAGCAAAGCUAUGAGUAAUGAGUGUUAUUCAUAAAUAAAUUAAUUAAGAUCAACUCCCCAUGCUUUUGUGUAGUAGCGUGUAAGCCACAUUAAAACUAUCAGAUCACUUUUCUCUUUCUCUUUCAUAUUUCCAAUGCAAGUCAUUUCAAGUUUUAAUUGAAUUUGAAAUCCACCAAAACUUGAGGUGGGAUCCGUUGGAAACUUAGAACUUUGCUUUUCUUUCAUUGUAGAUUUCGGACCAAGUUUUGGUUUAGGUAGCAAAGAUUUAAUUGGGCUUGUAGCAACAAUAUUUCAAAUUGGCCCAUUUAUAAAAACUCUUCAGCCAACAAUCAUAUAACAAAUUUGCAUAAGGCUGAAUUUUGAUUUUGUUGGGCCUAGGAUCUUUUCUUUUCUUUUCGGCCCAAUUAACUACAAAUUGCUUCAGCCCCUCAAUUUAUCAUUUUUUUAUACCCAAGGCUGAAUAUAUGAAUUCAUGUUGGGCUGAUCAAUUUAUUUGGCCCAGCAGAAACCUGUAUCAACAAAAUUAUUAAUUAAACAAGUAUGAAUUAAUAUCAAGUUAAUAAUUUUGUAAAUAAUUAUGUUAAUAAUGUUUAGUCAUCACAAAAAUUAAUUUAGAGUUUUCCAAACUCAUCAAAUUAACUUAAUUUAAUAUAUAUAAAAAUAUUUUUAUAUAUUAUUAACUAAAUUAUUANNNNNNNNNNNNNNNNNNNNNNNNNAAACAAAAAAAAUUUAUUAAUCACAAUUUAUUUUUUCUUUUUAUAAUUAUAUGAUAUCUAUUAAUAUUAUUUUUAAAAUAAAUACUUAUAGUAUAUAAUAAUAGGUAAAGACUCAUAUAACUAUCUUUAUAUGAAGUUAAUAGUUGAAAAAUUUUAGAUGAUAUUUAGUCAAACUUGUUAAAUCAUCUAACGGUUCUUAAAUAUUAACUUCACAUGAAAAUAACUGUAUGUGAGUUUUCACCUAUAAUAAUAUAAUAAUACAAUAAAUAUAAACUAAUUAAUAAAGUAUUAAAAUUUAAAAAUGAUAAUUAUUUUUAGAAAACGUUUAGGGGCCAGCAACUUUUUCAAAUUCUGGCCAGCAUAUAACCAGCAAAGAAAAGUGAGCCAUUGGAUAAAAUCUCACACAAUUAAAAUCAUCAUUAAUAGCUAUUUGAUGAUUAUAAAUCAUAAAAAUUAAUGGCUUCUAACACUCUUAUUUUUAUAAAAACAAAAUAAAAAUACUUAUAAUAAAAAAAAUUAAAUUUUAUAUAAUUAUUUUAAUUUUAGCAACCACUCCCCUGUGCCAACAUAGAACUUCCCCUAAAAUAAUUGUUAAUUUUAUCGUAUACCUCUCAUAUGAAAAGGAUAUAAUCUUUUUUAUAUAUAUAAUAUUUAGAUUAAGAUCAGUUUGAUUUUGAUGCCAUUUUCUCCCUCUGGUGGGUGUAUAAAUACAUGAACUUCCCCCACUGGCAAUCAUCAAAACCAUUCGAAGCCACUAGUACUUAAUAUUGAAAAUCCUCACUCAAAUAACUCUCCCUCCCACCAUGAAACCAUUUUAUGCUCUUCUUACUUUCUUCCUCUUGCUUGUAGUAGCAAGUAAGAAGGUGAACUCAGCAUCCGAAACUGAAACAGUUUCCUUCAACUUCAACUCUUUCGCCCAAGGUAACCCCGCAAUAAAUCUCCAAGGCGACGCCACCGUUCUUUCCGACGGCAAUGUACAACUCACCAACGUCAAAAGUUCCUAUAGCGCCGGGCGUGUCCUGUAUGGCACGCCCGUGCGCCUUUGGGACAAAGCCACCGGCAAUGUUGCCAGCUUCGUCACCUCGUUCUCUUUCCAGCUGACGGAUCUGCAAGGUUAUAAUGCGGCCGACGGUAUUAUUUUCUUCGUUGCACCGGAAGAUACGCAGAUUCCGUCCGGCGGAGUUGGCGGCACCUUAGGGGUUGCAAGCUCUAACGGCGUCGGUCAAUUUGUUGGUGUAGAAUUUGAUUCCUACUCCAACUCUGAGUUCAAGGAUCCACCCUAUCAACACGUUGGAAUCGAUGUAAACACUCUGGUUUCGUCCAAGACUGUGGAAUGGAAAAGAGUGAGUGGGUCGGUGGUGAAAGUGACUGUGAUCUAUGACUCUCCAUCAAAGACAUUGAGUGUUGCUGUGAUCAAUGAGAGUGGCGAUAUUAAUACCAUCGCUGAUGUUGUUGAUUUGAAGGCGAAGCUUCCGGAAAAGGUCAAGUUCGGGUUUUCAUCUGCUUCGUCGGUUGGCGGUCGUCAGAUUCAUCUCAUCCGUUCAUGGUCUUUCAUUUCAACCUUGAAGACAACAACAAGCAUCAGCAGCAAUGGAACAAUAAUGGAUAUUGCAACCGCAUGAUUUGGUCUACGCUAACUAGUACUACUUUAAAAUAAAGAAACAGACCAUAUGUGUGUAUCAGUAUCGACUGUGUCUGUGCGUGUACGGUUCCAUAUAUAUUUUCACUAAUCAACUUGUGGUUGGACCGUUGAUUAUUUAAAUAACAACUUUGUGAGAGAACUUGGUGCAUUUAAUUGUAGCUAAUUAGUAAUUUUUUUUAUUUUUUUAAAAGAACAUGAAUUUAAACUAUUAUAAAAAAUACUUAAAAUUAAAUAAAAAUCUAAAAUUUAAAAAAUAUUUGCUCGGUUAACUUACAUUUUAACUUAUCAAGAAACCAACCCAGGUCAACUUGCUUGGUUAAGUAAGUGUUGUAGAUUUCAAUUUUGCUUUGUGCAUGCAGCAAACUUUAAAUAGAGUUUCGAGCCACGAAUUAAUUUUUGACCUAUUGAACUGUGGGAUACCAUGGACAACAAAAAAAACUUAUCAAGCGAAGCGACACUUUUCUAAUUUACCAUAUGUACAUAUCAGUCACAUUUUGGACACGUACAAAUUUGAAUAAAAUUGAUUUUUUUAUUAUAAUAACAAUAAAUUCAAUUUUUUUUUUAGAAAUUUAAUUAUAUUUUUAAAUUUUUAGGAAUUUAAAUAUCCACAAAACAAAAAGUUAGGGAUAUAUUUAUCUUUUUAUCAAAAAAUUUAAAAAUAUUCUAUUUAGAUUGUAUAAUUCGAUCCGAUCAAAUUGGUUCUAAUAAUUAUAAUGCAAACCAUUGAAUUUAUUAUUGUUACUAUAAUAAAUCGAUUUUGUUCUAAUUUAUUAAAAAAUAAAUUAUUAACCAAUUUAAUAAAGAUAUCUAAUAAUAAAAUAACACAUAUAAAUGUCUUUAAAAAAAAUAUUUUAAAUGUGUUUAUUAAAGUGGUCUCCAUCUAUUAAUGCUUGUGCAUCAUAAAUUCUAACUAAUUUUUUAUUUGUAUAGUUCUUAAUUUUUUAUUAGUCAUGACUCAUGAGGACUAAUCUUUUAAAUAGGACCCAGCCAUAUGCCGAAGUUUUGAAUGUUAAGACCUAGUUACUAUAAAUAAAUGUUAAAAACUUAAAAUACAUAUUCUAAGCGACUACCUCUGAUAAGUAGGAUAAAAUCUAAAAAAAUAUGCAUACAUAAUUAUUGAAGAAUAUUAGAUCAUAAAAUUUAUUAAUUUUUGGUUAUUAGUUAAUCGUUAAUAUUUAAAAGUAUGGGAUAAAAUAUAUUUUUUUGUUGUUUACGAUAUUUUUCAAUCUGAACUGAUCAUUCGACCAGUCCAAGUUAGUUAUGGGAUAAAGUAUUUUUUUAUCAAAGAUAGGAGACUCGAACCCGCAACCUCUUAAUUGAGUAUAGAAAGACUAUGUCAUUUGAGCUAUGAUGAUUUCAGUGGCUAAGAGAAUGGGGAGUUGAAUCUUAGCCCCCUUUUUUUUGGUUGCUAAUACUUGCUGAACUCAGAGGAGACUUUUCUGUUUUAGCUCGUCUCUGGACACGAGACUUUUUCUUUUGUCUCGUCCCUAGCCACGAGACUUUUCGUUUUGUCUCGUCACUUAGCACGAGACAUUUUUAGUUUUUGCUCCUGUGCAGUAGAAAACAGAAAUGGAGUAGGAGAGAAGAAAGAUUACACCCAGAUAUAUCCUGGUUCAGCUGCUAAGUGCAGUGCAGCCUACAUCCAGUCUCCAUCACAACAAUGAUGGAAUUUCACUAUAAUCAACUUGAUUACAAACUGUAAAGUGCUAACCCAACUUACAAGGGGAUUCCCACAGAAUCAUGAAACACAACAUAGAUGAACAAAGGAACUCUAAAACAUCUAAGGCUUUUUCUUUUAAUUUUGCACUCUCUGCCUUUUUUCGCUCUAUGGCUUUUUCAUACAAACCUCACUGUUUGCCUUUUUCCAUGAGACUCAAGACAUGACAAAAUUAAACAGAAAAAUACUAAACAGAAUACAUUGAAGGAGAAGAAAAUCUGUAAGCUUAGGUAGCUCUGAGAAUCCUGUGCCUUGCACUCUCACUGCUUACUUCUAACUCCUUGCUCCAAACAGUGGCUGUUCUCUCUUUUUAAAGAAGAGGGAAGCCUCCACACUUGAAGCCAACACCCAAACCAACUUCUUUCUCCUUCAACAAACAGAACCGGUUCGGCCACAUAGAGAGAGAAGAGAUAAUCAUGCAAAACCCAACAUACAAUUACCUCUAGUCCUUUCUUGAUCAUCACCCUUCAUCAAUCCGAACUCUCCAUCCUUGACUUGCUCUCCAAGAUGAAUUUCUGGCCCUUGAUGCUUCAUGAUGAUAAUGACUUCAUCUGCUUCAAUCUCUGCCUCAACCAUCACUUCGCCACUCUAGCUACUUCCUGUGGUGGUUGAGCAGAAUCAAAGACAAGCCAUGCUUCAAGAAUCUCCCUUGCUGGCCGAAUCUUCAUCGUCCAUUUUUGAGCAUGAAGAGCUCAAGAUUACUUCACCAAAUCUAACCAUAUUUGGUGAAAAUCUUAGCUACAGCUCAUUUUUAUUUUAGUAUGUUUUCUUGCCAUCAUUAGCUUGAUGGUCUUGAUGCAUGCAGCUUCAUUUCGGUAGCUCCAUAUAGCUUCCAUGGCUUCCUUUAUUUUCUAGAUAUUGACCGAAAAGAAGAAAGAGAUGAGAGAGAAUAAACAACUUAAAAUAAAAGCAAUUCAAAUGUAAUAAACCAAUUAGUUGGUGAAAGUUGCUUUUACUUCCCUAGCUUAGAGUGGCGUGCAGCACUAUGGCCAUCAAUCAAUUCAGCUGCAACUUUCUCUCUCAUAGUUCCCAUGCAUUAAAUGACAAUGUAAUGAAUUUUGGAAUCCAUCACAUGGUGAAGUGCUUGGAUCCGUUGAAAGCAAUUUUUGCUUUCUUUAUCAUGGAUUUCGGAUCAUGCAUGAGGAACUUCUCAUUAAAUGUGAAAUUGGGCUUAGUUGCAACAACAUUUAAUUUCUGGCCCAAUAAUAACAUUUGCUUUCCUGAUGAAAUUUGGAUCAAGCAUUGAACAUAUAGGAAAGCUUUGCUUAUAGUAACAAAAUUUAUUCUGGCCCAACUGAUAAAACCUUUUCAGCCAACAAUCACAAAACAAGAAUUACAUAGGGCUGAAUUUUAAUUUAUUGGGCUUGGGAUCUUUCUUUUUAUUUCGGCCCAAUUAUAAAACCUGCAACACAAAAUUAUUAAUUAAUAUAUGUUAGAUGAGAAAUCAAAAUUAAUAAUUUUGUUUAAUAAUGUUUAGUCAUCACAAAUAUUAAUUUGGAGUUUUCCAAACUCAUCAAUCUCCCCCUUGAUGACAAACAUUUAAAAUUGAAAUGGGAAUUUUUUUUUUUUUUAAAAAUUGAGUAAAGAAUACUCCCUUUGAAGAUUGAAUUUCUCCCCCUUUCUAAAUGUCACAUGGCUCCCCCUUGAUGUAUGCUUAUUUUACUAAGGGAAGCACUAACCUGUAACAUUUUAAUCAAGCUUCAAGAACAAUGUUAUUUAGCAUAUUAUAUGAUGCUAAAUGCUUGAUUUAUGAGCAAUUUUAAAUUGAUAAUCAAAACUCAUUUGAUAUCAUAAACUGAUUUACUGCUCAAACUUUUUACACACACCAAUCAACAAGAAAGUUUAUUCAAAUAUUUUUCUAAACAAGAUAUCAGAGCAUUAUUAUGGUAAGAAAAAUAUUUGAAGCACAUAUGGUCAAAAACAUGGCAGUUUUUUUAUGCUUUCCAUGGUUUAAAGGAACUGUCAAAAAAAUUAAGCAUAUUAACCAAGAUGAAAACAGAGUUUUAAUCAUGCGUAUACAUUCAUCACGGUUAAUUAUCAACCAUUCUUCAUAAAACAAAUGCAUUGUCAACUCAUUAUUAAACAAUAUCAGCAAACACAAUGCAGUUUCAAUAUUAUCAUCAAGCAAAUCAGCAAACACAAUGCAGUUUCAAUAUUAUCAUCAAGCACCAAAUAUAACAAGGGUGAUCAUAAAUUUUCAACAAAAAAUUUCAUCCCCUGUUUUCUAUUUUCUCCUCCCCUGUUUUUCAUAUUUCAAUUUUCAGCUUUUCUCCCCUGUUUUCUAUUUUCUCCUCCCCUAUUUUUCAUAUUUCAAUUUUCAGCUUUUCUCCCCCUUUUGUCAUCAAAGGGGCAUUAUGUACUCGGUUGUGUGAGCCGCUUUGGGGAGUUAAAAUAUGGGUGAUGAUUCGGUGAAGCAGAGAAUUGACUGGUCCUAGAGCUUUGUGGGUUGGAAUCGUUCCAUGCAAGCCAGAAAGAUUCUCGCAGAUGUGCUGAAGAACUGCUUUGUAUGAAACACCGACUUGUAUAUCCCAUUUGUCUACCAUAUACGCUCGCGGUCCUUCAUCCUUGAAGCCCAGGGUCGCUCCAAUGGUCUCAGAAUCAAGGGCUAUUUGAACCCUUUUGACAUAGGAAUGAAGAGUGCUGUCAAUGAGCCGCAUAUUGGCGUAGAACUCUCGGACUAGGCCAGGAUAGACUGGUUUCUGAAUGAGAAGAAGGGGCUUCCAGUUUAGGAGUUCAAACAGAGAGGAGAUGUUGAUGCCCUUGUUAGUGAGAGUGUCGAGAUUCACAAGGUAGGUUGUACAUAGAUGACGUUUUUCCAUAACCUCAUUGUGAAACUCAAAGGAAGUACAAGAGUUGAAUCUGCUAGGAUCAAAGUGGGAGUGAGUCUUGCCAUACUUGUUUCUGAAUUCCAGGGAUUCCAAAUUUGGAGGUUCGGUUGUGUCGUGAAGAGCAAAACCCUUAGUCUUUUGAGUACUCUUUCCGGAUGCAUGAGGAGUUGAUCUCUUUGGUGGUGAUUGUGGAGGGGAAGGGAUAGGAGAAGUAUGAGACUCUUCUUCUUCUGCCACGGGAACACUUUUCUUCUUCCUUGAGAAAGUUUUUGUGGCAAUGACCUUUCUUCUCAUUGCGUCUGUGCGUUUUGAAGGAGGUGAGGGUGAUGAAGAUGAUGUAGAAUGGAUGUGAAUGUGUGUGUGAGAUUGUGGAGUAGACUGUUUUUCAGAGAAUAGGAGCCUUUCACUUUUUCUUGGCGCGGUUUUCUUUUUCAUGGUGAUGGGAGAAAACCGAAUAUGAAAGGUUGGUGAGGUAACUGAAUGAGUGGGGAAGAAGGAAGGUGAGAGACACAUUAAAUGAGGAUUGGAGAGAGAAUUUGGUGGAAGUAAUGACCAUUAGUGAGCGGUUAAUGACCAUUAUGGAGAGGUUAUUACUCAAAAAUGAUUUUUCUUUUAAUUUUUGAAAUCUAAAACUGAAAAGUUGUUGCCUUAAAUCAAGGGAUUAGAUGGAGAGAGGGAUUUGAUUUGACAAUAACCACUUCCAAUAGGAUAUGAUGACAUAAGGAAGAAGAUUCUUAUUUGCAUAGAGAGAUAACUAACAAAAUUGUUAAGGUGGGGUCAAGAAAUUUUGGUGGGGCCCAUAAAAUUUUGAACUCUGCGUUGCCUCCCCCUUGACCACAGCUCCUUUAUGUAUUUUAUCUCGUCCAAACCUACGAGACAAAACUGGACAGUGUUAAAAAAUUCAAGAAUUUUCAAUGAAACUUAAAUCAAACAUUCCCAAACUUUUUUCUUAAGCUACAGAAUCUGUCUUCAUAGAGGAGUUUUGUAAAAAUAUCAGCAAUUUGGUCUUCAGAUUUUACAAAUUGAAUAUCAAUAGUUCCCUUUUGUACAUGUUCCCUAAUAAAGUGAUAUUUUAUCUCAAUGUGCUUUGUUCUUGAGUGCAAAACAGGAUUUUUUGAAAUGUUUAUAGCACUCAUAUUAUCACAAAAUAAGGAUAUACUAUUGAUUUUUAAUUUGUAAUCUUCUAAUUGUGUUUUUAACCAAAUUAAUUGAGUGCAACAUGCAGAUGCGAAAAUGUAUUCUACUUUAGCAGUGGAUAAAGCCACUGUGGCUUGUUUCUUGCUUGACCACAUGUUGAGUGAGCUUCCAAGGAAGCAACACAUGCCGGACGUGCUUCUUCUAUCCACUCUAUCUCCCGCAUAAUCUGCAUCACAAAAUCCUACUGCACAAAAGUCAUCAGAUUUAGGAUACCAUAAUCCAUAAUCACAAGUUCCCUUAAUAUAUCUAAUGAUGCGCUUAACAGCCGUGAGAUGGGAUUCUUUUGGGUGAGAUUGGAACCUUGAACAUACACCCACACUUUGGACAAUGUCCGGUCUAGAGGAGGUAAGGUACAUGAGUGAACCUAUCAUUCCCCUAUACCUUGUUUCAUCCACAUUUUGACCAUCAUCAUCCUUUUCAAGUUUUGUGUUGGGAUGCAUUGGUGUACCCAUUGCUUUGGAAUUUUCUAGGCCAAACUUUUUAGUAAGUUCUUUUGCAUAUUUUCCUUAGUAAAUAAAAGUAUCACUAGGAGUUUGUUUAAUUUGGAGGCCAAGAAAGAAAGUAAGCUCUCCCAUUAAACUCAUUUCAAACUCACUAGUCAUGAGUUUUCUAAACUCUUCACACAAGGAAAUGUUGGCCGAUCCAUAUACAAUAUCAUCAACAUAAACUUGAACAAGGAGUAUGUCAUCAUUAGAUGCUUUAAUAAAUAAAGUAGUGUCGGUGGUACCCCUUUGAAAUUGAUUUUCCAACAAGAAGGCACUAAGCCUUUCAUACCAAGCUCUUGGAGCCUGUCUAAGACCAUAAAGAGCUUUAGUUAAUUUGAAAACAUGAUUUGGAAACUCUUUUUGUUCGAAACCGGGGGGUUGUGUCACAUACACUUCUCUAUCAAUAAAGCCAUUAAGGAAAGCACACUUAACAUCCAUUUGAAACAUUUUGAAACCUUUAUGGGCGGCAUAGGCAAGAAGCAAUCUAAUUGCUUCCAUUCUAGCUACCGGAGCAAAAGACUCAUCAAAAUCUAUACCUUCUUCUUGAUCAUAACCUUGGGCCACUAAUCUAGCCUUGUUACGAACAACUUGUCCAUCCUCACUAAGUUUAUUUUUAAAUACCCACUUAGUACCCGUUACCUUCUUACCAUCCGGAUGAGGUACUAAUGUCCAAACCUCAUUCUUGUCAAAUUGAGCAAGUUCCUCUUGCAUGGCCUUGACCCAUGAUGGAUCUUCAAGAGCUUGUUUAACAUUGUUGGGCUCCAUUUGUGAUAAGAGAGCGAAGUUGCUAGGUUCAGUUUGCCUUUUGGUGGAGGAUCUUGUUGUUACACCAUGAGAGGGAUCACCAAUGAUGAAGUCAUGAGGAUAUCCCCUCAUAGACUUCCAUUCUCUAGGCUUUCGGACAGGUGUAGAGCUUUGAUGAGCUUCUGGUGGUUUCACUGUUUCAGUUGCUCGUGUCUGCUCAGGAGACAAAAUGGAAAUUUCUCCUCUAAUCUGACGAGACAAAACUGGACUGACAGAUUCUUCAUUUUGAACAGAUUUGGAAUUUUCUUUGCUUGUUCCAGCUUCUUCACAAUCUGAAUCAUUAUCUAUCACAGUACUGAGAAUUAAGUUAGAAUCACAAAAAGUAACAUGUAUGGAUUCCUCUAUUGUCCUAUGCUCCUUGAGAUAAACUCUAUAGGCCUUGCUUGUGGUGGAAUAUCCAACAAACAUUCCUUCAUAGGAUUUUGGAUCAACCUUUCCAAGGUUUUCUUUAUUAUUAAGCACAAAACAUUUGCAUCCAAAAACAUGAAAAUACUUAAGAUUUGGAGGGGUUCCUUUCCAUAGCUCAUAAGGGGUUUUCUUUAAUCCUUUUCUAAUGAUUGUUCUAUUCAAAAUAUAACAUGCUGUGUUCACAGCUUCAGCCCACAAAAAUUUAGGAAUUUCAUUCUCACAUAGCAUAGCCCUAGUUAUCUCUUGAAGGCUUCUAUUCCUUCUUUCAACCACCCCAUUUUGUUGGGGGUUCUAGGGCAUGAAAAGUUAUGAANNNNNNNNNNNNNNNNNNNNNNNNNNNNNNNNNNNNNNNNNNNNNNNNNNNNNNNNNNNNNNNNNNNNNNNNACAAGUAAGAUCCUUAUCAAACUUGAUGUUUGGAAUUCCUCUAACCAAAUUUCUUUUGACUAGCUUAGAAAUUUGAUACAUACUAGCAUGUCCCAACUUUCUAUGCCAAAGCCAUUUUUCAGAUUCAAAAGAUGUAAAGCAUGUUACAUUUUGUUCCUUUAAAUCCUCAAGAGUUAAUCCAUACACAUUGUUGCAUCUUUUAGCUUCAAGAAGAACAUUCCCAGUUUUCUUACAAACAACUAAACAAACAAACUUCUUAAAAAUAACUUCAAAACCUAAAUCACAUAGUUGACUAACACUAAGUAAAUUAUGUUUCAAGCCAUGUACAAGGAGAACAUCAUUUAUACAAGUUGAGAAAUUUUUACCCACUUUCCCAACAGUCACAAUUUUUUCUUUUGCAUCAUCACCGAAAGUGACAAGCCCUCCAUCAUAUUCAUCAAGCUUUAUGAAGAAGGUUGUCUUUCCGGUCAUAUGCCUAGAGCAUCCGCUGUCCAUAUACCACAUAUUUUCUUUUCUUUUGGAUGCUAGGCAUACCUACAAAAACAAGCUUAAGUAACCUUAGGUAUCCAAAUCCUUUUGGAUCCUUUUACGUUAAACUAUCUUCUAUGUCAUAAGCCAUUGUAAUAAAAAACAAUUUUAUAAACCUUAUCACCGACCAUUCUUUCACCAAAAAAGCAUUGAAUGGGAAAGUGUCCAUUCCUAUUGCAUAGUCUACAAAAUCUUGGAGUUGCUGUUUUGUUAAAGUAGGUGGGAUCUUGAAAUCUUGUAUUAUUAGAAGAUGAAGUAAUAUUUUCGAAAUGUGAUUUUUCAGAUUUAUAGAACCCCAACCCAGCCUUAUCAUAAAGAGAUUUUUGACUAGCCAAGAUGUGAUUCAGAUUUUCGGAACUUUGGGUGAACUUGGCUAAGUCUUCCUUAAGUCUUUUAACCUCUUUAAGCAACUCUUUAUUUUGCUUAAAACAAUCUACAUAUGCAAGAACAUAAUGGUUAUUUUCACAGCUUCUAACUUGGGCUCUUAACUGCUUAUUUUCUUCAACAAGAUCACAAGCAGUUUCGGCCUCUCUUACUUUUUCUUUUAGAAAACUGUUUUCAGCCUUAAGAAUGGUAAUUUGUUGUUCAAGUUCUUGAUUUUCCAGCAGAAAACAUCUUAUUUUUUCAGAAAGGUGGUCUAUCAUAAGAUGAAGAUCUUCAGUAUUAGGGUUAUGAAAGACUACCUGAUCUAUGUGGUCUGCCGUGAGACAUGUUUGUGACUUGGUCUCAGUUUCUUCAUCAUCAUCAUCAUCGGAGUCAUUCUCCAAGUCUUCCCAUGAGGCCAUUAGUCCUUUCUUCUUUCCUUUUUUUGGUUUUUCUUCCUUCUUUAACUUGGGACAAUCAGAUUUGAAAUGCCCCAUUUCCUUGCAGUUGUAGCAAGUCACUUUGCUAAGGUCUUUCUUCACUCUCCUUGAGCUGCUGCCUUUGCUUUUGAGCUUAGCCAUUUUUCUGAAUUUUUUUGCAAACAACACAAACUCAUUUUCAGAAGAGUUAUCAAUGGAUUCUUCAUCCAGAGGGUUAGUCAUAGAAGAAAAAACAAUUCCUUUCUUUUUUGAAUCUUUUUUCAAAUAGGUGUUUUCAAAAGCAAGAAGAUCUCCUCUCAAAUCAUCAACUGUCAUGGAAUCUAAGCUACUGCUCUCAGAAAUAAUUAAAGCUUUAGUUUCUCACUCUUUUGUGAGACAUCUCAACACUCUUCUCACUAGCACAGAUUCAGAGUGUGUAAUUCUCAGAGCAUCUAAGCCAACGAUGAUGGCAUUGAACUGUUCGAACAGUUCAUCAAUGGACUCUCCUUCUUUCAUUGCAAACAUUUCAUACUCUCUAUUCAACAUGUCUGUUCGAGUCUUCUUUACAAUGGUGGUUCCUUCAUGGGUGAUUUGCAAUUUGUCCCAGAUUUCCUUUGCCGUUGUGCAUCUUGAUACCCGUCGGUAUUCCUCGAAACUGAUAGCACAAUUGAGUAAGUUUACUGCCUUGGCAUUUAACUCCACCUUCUUCCUAUCUUCCUCUGUCCAGCUUGCUUCUGGUUUGAGAGAAACAACUCCUUCGGCACUUGUAACAGUUGGAUAUUGAGGUCCUUCCAAGAUUAUUUUUCACAGUCUGUAAUCCACUGCUUGUACAAAUAUCUUCAUCCUCUCCUUCCAAUAGGUAUAAUUUUUCCCAUUGAAAAGAGGGGGUCUAUUGCUUGAUUGACCUUCAGUAAGAUUAUAGGACACCACAUUUGCACCACUGUUUUCCGCCAUAAGGAUCUUUACUCCAAGCUGCAAAGUUUGAUCUCUUUGAGACCAAGCUCUGAUACCAAUUGAUAGUUUCAGUGGCUAAGAGAAGGGGGGGGAUUGAAUCUUAGCCCCCUUUUUUUUGGUUGCUAAUACUUGCUGAACUCAGAGGAGACUUUUCUGUUUUAGCUCGUCUCUGGACACGAGACUUUUUCUUUUGUCUCGUCCCUAGCCACGAGACUUUUCGUUUUGUCUCGUCACUUAGCACGAGAUAUUUUUAGUUUUUGCUCCUUUGCAGUAGAAAAUAGAAAUGGAGUAGGAGAGAAGAAAGAUUACACCCAGAUAUAUCCUGGUUCAGCUGCUAAGUGCAGUGCAGCCUACAUCCAGUCUCCAUCACAACAAUGAUGGAAUUUCACUAUAAUCAACUUGAUUACAAAUUGUAAAGUGCUAACCCAACUUACAAGGGGAUUCCCACAGAAUCAUGAAACACAACAUAGAUAAACAAAGGAACUCUAAGACAUCUAUGGUUUUUUCUUUUAAUUUUGCACUCUCUGCCUUUUUCCGCUCUAUGGCUUUUUCAUACAAACCUCACUGUUUUUCUUUUUCCAUGAGACUCAAGACAUGACAAAAUUAAACAGAAAAAUACUAAACAAAAUACAUUGAAGGAGAAGAAAAUCUGUAAGCUUAGGUAGCUCUGAGAAUCCUGUGCCUUGCACUCUCACUGCUUACUUCUAACUCCUUGCUCCAAACAGUGGCUGUUCUCUCUUUUUAAGGAAGUGGGAAGCCUCCACACUUGAAGCCAACACCCAAACCAACUUCUUUCUCCUUCAACAAACAGAACCGGUUCGGCCACGUAGAGAGAGAAGAGAUAAUCAUGCAAAACCCAACAUGCAAUUACCUCUAGUCCUUUCUUGAUCAUCACCCUUCAUCUAUCCGAACUCUCCAUCCUUGGCUUGCUCUCCAAGAUGGAUUUCUGGCCCUUGAUGCUUCAUGAUGAUAAUGACUCCAUCUGCUUCAAUCUCUGCCUCAACCAUCACUUCGCCACUCUAGCUACUUCCUGUGGUGGUUGAGCAGAAUCAAAGACAAGCCAUGCUUCAAGAAUCUCCCUUGCUGGCCGAAUCUUCAUCGUCCAUUUUUGAGCAUGAAGAGCUCAAGAUUACUUCACCAAAUCUAACCAUAUUUGGUGAAAAUCUUAGCUACAACUCAUUUUUAUUUUAGUAUGUUUUCUUGCCAUCAUUAGCUUGAUGGUCUUGAUGCAUGCAGCUUCAUUUCGGUAGCUCCAUGUAGCUUCCAUGGCUUCCUUUAUUUUCUGGAUAUUGACCGAAAAGAAGAAAGAGAUGAGAGAGAAUAAACAACUUGAAACAAAAGCAAUUCAAAUGUAAUAAACCAAUUAGUUGGUGAAAGUUGCUUUUACUUCCCUAGCUUAGAGUGGCGUGCAGCACUAUGGCCAUCAAUCAAUUCAGCUGCAACUUUCUCUCUCAUAGUUCCCAUGCAUUAAAUGACAAUGUAAUGAAUUUUGGAAUCCAUCACAUGGUGAAGUGCUUGGAUCCGUUGAAAGCAAUUUUUGCUUUCUUUAUCAUGGGUUUCAGAUCAUGCAUGAGGAACUUCUCAUCAAAUGUGAAAUUGGGCUUAGUUGCAACAUUUAAUUUUUGGCCCAAUAAUAACAUUUACUUUCCUGAUGAAAUUUGGAUCAAGCAUUGAACAUAUAGGAAAGCUUUGCUUAUAGUAACAAAAUUUAUUCUGCUCCAACUAAUAAAACCUUUUCAGCCAACAAUCACAAAACAAAAAUUAUAUAGGGCUGAAUUUUAAUUUAUUGGGUUUGGGAUCUUUCUUUUUAAUUCGGCCCAAUUAUAAAACCUGCAACACAAAAUUAUUAAUUAACAUAUGUUAGAUGAGAAAUUAAAAUUAAUAAUUUUGUUUAAUAAUGUUUAGUCAUCACAAAUAUUAAUUUGGAGUUUUCCAAAUUCAUCAAACUAUAAAAUAAUUAAAUUAAAAACUAAGUAAUGAUAAAAAUAAUAGAUUCUGAUGAUCCUAACAUUUUUAUAAUUGCUUUUUAGUGUGAAUAAUAAAAAAAGAAAUUGAGAUGGAAAAAAAGGGAUUUAUAUAUUAAAAAAAAUGUGAAACUAAACCUUUAUUGUUCACAUCCAAAAUUAAUAGAGAGGAAGAGUACACUCAAAUGGGUAUACAUCUGUGUGUGUGUGGCAUAGCAAUAGUAUUGAGCAAUUAAUUUCAUGUCCAAUAAUAACUACUAGUAUGAAUAUGAUACACCAUCCAAUAUGCAUAUUUAUACUUGGGUAGUGUGAGACUGUGAGGUGGCAUUGUUAAGCCCUGAGGUGUUGCCUUCCCAUGCUGCAUGAUAUACUCAGUUCUGGUAUACUUUUGAUGGCCUGAUGCAUGCAAAUUCAACUUUUUCCUCUAUAAAUACACGAACGAAAUCCCAGUUGUAAUCAUCAAAACCAUUCCAAACCAAUCCUUAUCAACCUCCCACUGCACCAUGAAACCAUUUUGUGUUUUUCUUACUUUCUUUCUCUUGCUAGCAGCAAGUAGUAAGAAGGUGAACUCAGCGGAAACAGUUUCCUUCAACUUCAACUCUUUCAGCGAAGGAAACCCCGCAAUAAAUUUCCAAGGUGACGUCACUGUUCUUUCAAAUGGCAAUAUACAACUCACGAACCUCAACAAGGUAAAUAGCGUCGGCCGUGUUCUUUAUGCCAUGCCGGUGCGCAUUUGGAGCAGUGCCACCGGCAAUGUCGCCAGCUUCCUCACCUCCUUCUCUUUCGAGAUGAAGGAUAUCAAAGAUUAUGAUCCUGCCGACGGUAUCAUCUUUUUCAUUGCACCGGAAGAUACGCAGAUUCCUGCCGGCAGUAUUGGUGGUGGAACCUUAGGCGUCUCUGACACUAAAGGGGCGGGUUACUUUGUUGGAGUGGAGUUUGAUACCUAUUCCAACAGUGAGUACAACGAUCCACCCACUGAUCACGUUGGAAUUGAUGUAAACAGUGUGGAUUCGGUGAAGACCGUGCCAUGGAAUAGUGUGAGUGGAGCAGUGGUUAAAGUGACUGUGAUAUAUGACUCUUCAACAAAGACAUUGAGUGUUGCUGUGACCAACGACAACGGCGAUAUUACCACCAUUGCUCAAGUUGUUGAUUUGAAGGCGAAGCUUCCGGAGAGGGUCAAGUUUGGUUUUUCUGCCUCCGGCUCCCGUGCCGGUCGUCAGAUACAUCUCAUCCGUUCAUGGUCUUUCACUUCAACCUUGAUAACAACAACCAGAAGAAGCAUCGACAAUAACGAAAAGAAAAUAAUGAAUAUGGCAAGUGCAUGAUUUGGUUUCUACGUACGCUACCUAGUACUUUUAAAGAAAGACCAGACCUUUGUGUGUUAUCAACUUUGUUUGUUUGUGUUUAAUAAUUAGGUUGUAUGGUUCAAUAUUUCCACUAAUCAUGGUCUGACGGUUGACCGUUUAAAUAAAAUAACAGGUCCAGUUUGGUAUAGUUUUUGUGCAUGGAUUGUGGGUGUGAGAUUUUCGGUUGACUCUCAUUCAUCCUUUCACCAGGCCAAUUAUAUUAUGCCCAGAUUCAAUAAUAAAGUCUGAAAUAUUAAUUUAAUAAUUAUCAUGAGUAAAAAUUUUUAAUUUUAAUAAUGACAUAAUAAAUAUAUUAAAAAUUUAAAGUUUGCAUGUUUUCCAUAAAAAAUCAAUAAUAUUAAUAUGCUUGUUUUAAAGAAUCAAGCUACAUGUUUACUAAAUUUUUGAAAGAAAAAAAUUUAGAGAGCGAAUUAAAACAUAAGCCAAUUCAAAUCAAUUUUUUAUAUUUUUAGUGUUAANNNNNNNNNNNNNNNNNNNNNNNNNNNNNNNNNNNNNNNNNNNNNNNNNNNNNNNNNNNNNNNNNNNNNNNNNNNNNNNNNNNNNNNNNNNNNNNNNNNNNNNNNNNNNNNNNNNNNNNNNNNNNNNNNNNNNNNNNNNNNNNNNNNNNNNNNNNNNNNNNNNNNNNNNNNNNNNNNNNNNNNNNNNNNNNNNNNNNNNNNNNNNNNNNNNNNNNNNNNNNNNNNNNNNNNNNNNNNNNNNNNNNNNNNNNNNNNNNNNNNNNNNNNNNNNNNNNNNNNNNNNNNNNNNNNNNNNNNNNNNNNNNNNNNNNNNNNNNNNNNNNNNNNNNNNNNNNNNNNNNNNNNNNNNNNNNNNNNNNNNNNNNNNNNNNNNNNNNNNNNNNNNNNNNNNNNNNNNNNNNNNNNNNNNNNNNNNNNNNNNNNNNNNNNNNNNNNNNNNNNNNNNNNNNNNNNNNNNNNNNNNNNNNNNNNNNNNNNNNNNNNNNNNNNNNNNNNNNNNNNNNNNNNNNNNNNNNNNNNNNNNNNNNNNNNNNNNNNNNNNNNNNNNNNNNNNNNNNNNNNNNNNNNNNNNNNNNNNNNNNNNNNNNNNNNNNNNNNNNNNNNNNNNNNNNNNNNNNNNNNNNNNNNNNNNNNNNNNNNNNNNNNNNNNNNNNNNNNNNNNNNNNNNNNNNNNNNNNNNNNNNNNNNNNNNNNNNNNNNNNNNNNNNNNNNNNNNNNNNNNNNNNNNNNNNNNNNNNNNNNNNNNNNNNNNNNNNNNNNNNNNNNNNNNNNNNNNNNNNNNNNNNNNNNNNNNNNNNNNNNNNNNNNNNNNNNNNNNNNNNNNNNNNNNNNNNNNNNNNNNNNNNNNNNNNNNNNNNNNNNNNNNNNNNNNNNNNNNNNNNNNNNNNNNNNNNNNNNNNNNNNNNNNNNNNNNNNNNNNNNNNNNNNNNNNNNNNNNNNNNNNNNNNNNNNNNNNNNNNNNNNNNNNNNNNNNNNNNNNNNNNNNNNNNNNNNNNNNNNNNNNNNNNNNNNNNNNNNNNNNNNNNNNNNNNNNNNNNNNNNNNNNNNNNNNNNNNNNNNNNNNNNNNNNNNNNNNNNNNNNNNNNNNNNNNNNNNNNNNNNNNNNNNNNNNNNNNNNNNNNNNNNNNNNNNNNNNNCUUUUUUAGUUGAUUUUCUAAUGAAACUGUUUUUUAAAAAAAUAAAUAAAAUAUAUUGACAAAUAGUUAAAAGAAGAGAAUAAGUAUAAAAAUUAAUUAGGUAUAAUCUUACAAAAUAGUUUGUAACUUUUGUAAUUAACAUUUUUUCAAAGUAAAUAACUAUAUAAAGAUGAAAGAGCAUAUUUUUGCAAUUAGAUUAAGGAUUGAUGUGGUAAAUUGUUUACUUUUUAAAAAUACUGAAUUUAUCAAAAUUAUCACUUAAUUUUUUUAAAGUUGUAGUAUUUAUGUUAAUAUCAAACCAAAAAUAUUUUUAAUAAGUAUAAGUAAUAAAUUAGCGACCAAUUUAGUGACUAUCCACUCUUGGUCGCUAAAAUCGGUCGCUAUUUUUUAAUUUAGUGACUGAAUUAGUAAUCAAAACAAAAAAGGCUUUUUGGAUCCGUUGGUGACUAAAUCGGUCACUAUAUUUAAUUUAGCGACUGAUUUUAUAACCAAUAUAAAAACAGUCUUAAUAAUUGUUGGUCGCUAAAUCGGUCGCUAAGAAGUUGGUCACUAAAUCAGUUGCUAAGUGUUAAAAUAGCAACUAAUUUAGCGACUAAUUUUAAAAUGCUACUUUUAAAGUAGUUAAUCGCUAAAUCGGUUGCUAUUUUAUAAUUUAGCUACCGAAUUAGCAACCGAUAUAAAAAUAGGCUGAGAAAAUAGUUGGUCGUUAAUUCGGUCGCUAAGGUAGCGGUCGCUAAAUUGGUUGCUAAGGGAUAAUAUAGCAACCGAUUUUAGCGACCAACUAUAAAAUAUGGGAUUAGAGCAAUCGGUCACUAAAUCGGUCGCUAUUGUAAUUCUUAGUGACCGAAUUUGUAACCACUAAAAAAUAAGUUAUAAAUUAAUUGGUUGCUAAAUCGGUUAUUAUUUUUUUUUUGUUGACAAAUCGGUUUAUUAAACAAAUUAAAUUUUAAAAUAAAUUAAAAGAAAACAUCAUUUUUGAACCUUAAUUUACACUGAGCUCUCUCAUCACAGUGUCUCUCUCGCCGCCUCCCUUACUCUCCGGCGAGUCCUGGUCGGCGCCGUUCUUGUCAACGCCAUUCUCGUCGACGCCAUCUCGCCUCCUCGAUUCUUCGUCAGCGUCUGCCCCCUCGCUGCGUUCUUCCUCUGCUCGUUCAACCAUUGUCGCAGAUCGUCACAUCCGCGUCCAGAUCUGCGGUUGCUCGCAUCACGUCGUUCUUUUCUCAGCGCCCUCUCCUAAGGUAAAUUCUUCUCCGGUAACAAUAGCGUCGAUUUGGUUAUAUCUAUUAGGAUGUUAACUAAGCCUCUCUAAUCUAAUGUUGCUUAUCUAUUUCUCUGACUUUUUGUCUAUUAUGUGCUUUAAUUUCAAAUUAUUAGUUUUUUCGCAGAUCAUUGCAUUGCCGUCUAGAUCCGCUGUUGCUCAUAGUCCGAAUCCUCCGGUGAUUAUGUUUUUGAGUUUUUGUGUUUUUUGGUUGGAUUGAACUAACCUAUGAUGCACAGACACUGACACUGACACGGGACAUGCUGACACGCAAUUUUAAAAUCUUAUAAAACUUGGGACACGCAUACAUAUAAAAUAUAAAGUAUUUUUUAGAUAAAUCAUAAUAGUAUUUUGAUAUUUUAUUGAAUACUAAAAUAUAAAUUAAUUUUUUAAUUAUUUUAAUAUCUUAUUUUAAUUAUAUCAAGUAUUUAAAAUAUUUUUUGUUUUAAUAAAUAAUAAAUAUAUACUAUAUCUAAAUUUAUUUUAAAAAUAUAUGUUAAGAAUAAGAUUGAACACGCUAACACGUGAUGGUAUUUAGGUGUGUCCAAGCGUGUCGGUGAAGAAUUUUUUAUUUUUUAUUAAGACACGAUUUAGACACAGCAAUCAGCAAACACGCGUGUCGGGCGAGUGUCGUGUCCAAAAUGUGUCCGACACGCGGACACGACAACUCAGCGAAGUGUCCGUGCUUCAUAGGAACUAACAGGUUCACCGUCUUCAUCCAAGCGAAGCCAUGGCGUUGGUGAGUUGUUCAUUUCUUCUUAUAAUGUUCAUCACUUGCUGAUUAAUUUGGUUUUAGUUUCGGUCUUUUUUUUAUUAGGCUUUAAGGUCAGGGUGUGUUUCCUUGGGGUUAAAAUAUGAAAAUUUACAUACGAAUUUCAUUUAUGUUUUGUGCACAAUUAUUCAACUUAUAGCAUUCCUAGUUAAUUAAUAAUUAAUUGAUGUAAUAAAGAACAAAAAGUAAGGCGAAAGGUUGCUAUUUUUAUAAUUAUUAUAGAGUUAGUGCUUUAGUUUUCAAUAAAUUUAGGCUUUACUAAUAACAUAGAAAUUUGAAAUCAGGGUGCGCAGGUUUGGAACCCUAUACAAAGGGCCUUUCCUUGUGAGAUGCUAGAUGGUGUCAACAAUAGUUUAUAAAGUUAAAACUAGUUUCUCGGAGGGGAACUCUUGAAAACAUAUAGAACUCUUCUUAAUGAGAAACAGGUAUGAGUUGUGUUAUUUGUAAUGUCUCAUUAGCUUUAUAUACGAGACAAAAUAAGUAUAUAAAAUAUUUCACAAUUGUUAGUUAAAUGUUCAAUUGAAGUUUGUAGUCUUAAGUUUAUAUAUAUGAUUUUCAUUUGCCAGGUUUUUUAUUUGGGGGAAAAUGCUCCUGAUAAGGUGCUGCAUUCAAUCUAUGCUAAGUUGGAAAAUUUCAAAGUCCAGGGUGAUCAAUUUGCCAUGAAGAUUAUGGAGAGGCUGAAGUUAAUUGUAAGUUUGUGAUUAAUAAUGUUUUAUGGGCUAUUUUUAUGUUUUUUGAGUAAUAAUAUAUGUAUUCACUCUUUUUCGUAUAAAGGGAACUGACUCACCCUUCUUUUCUAUUGGAUGAGGUUUAGGGUCUACACUAAAUAAUACAUAUAAUAUUUUUCUAAAAACAGAUUUUGCACAUUUUAACCACUUGUUCUGUAUUGUCUUUUUUUGCUGAUGCAGUGAUAUUUGACUCCUGCACGGAGAAAAAAGAGAUGGUAAAUAAUAUGAUUAACAUAACUCUACAAGCACUAUUUACUACUAAAGGCACUUUGUUGAAAUGUAUUAUAGAUUAUAUCAAAUGGCAUAUAUACAGCAAAGUUGGUCGCCUUUGACCAAUUCAGCAAGCAAAAAAUCUAGAUUAUCAAAACUGAUAUCUCCAAGGCAUUUAGGUAUUGGACCAGAAAGACUAUUAUGAGAGAAAUCUAUAAUUGAUAACACACUAGCUAGUAAUAUUGCACAAUUCAUUGGGUAUGUUUCCUAUAAGUUUGUUCCCUUUCAAGAUAAGAAUAUUUAGAACACCAAUGAUGCUUAUGAUGUCUGCAAUGGUGCUAGAUAUUUCAUUAUUGUUAAGAUCCAAUAUUUGUUUGUGACCAUCUCUAACAAGAGGCUAGGUCUUGAAUUUGGGGGGUUGCUGCAGUUCAAUUUUAGCCCAAACUUAUUUUUAUCAUACAUUUUCAGUGAUUCUACUUGUCAUAAGUGGGAAGAGACACAGAGGCUUCAAUCAACAAGAAAAUUAACAUCUGCUCUAUUUUUUAGGACAUUAUGUAAAUGAAACAAGAUAUUGUACUACUAAAAUGUUAACUCUACGUUUUUAUAGUUGAAACUUUAAAUUGGACAUGCCAAACGAUUUAUUAUUGGUUUUUAAUGGUUAAAGCAUAGCUUGGUUGAUUAGUUCCUAGAUAAACACAGUAGCUUACAUAUAUAAUACGGUAAGCGUUUCUGUUACUUUUAAUACGUGCUACCUGUUGACAUUAGGGCAUAUGUAUGUUGAAUUUUACCCAACACUAGUUCAUGUGAUGCAAGGAAGAUUUCCAUGGUUAUCCAUUUGGAGUGAGAUAAGUGCAUAAUUCAGUAAUGUUGUUGAAACUUACUACUUUCACUUUUUAUACAUGCAUGUUAACACGGAUUCUUUUAUUAUAUAUUUAGCAUUUAGGCUUUAUAUAUAUACAUUCUUUAUUCUUACAUAUCAUAUUGUAAUCAUGUGAACUUGUUCUUAUGUUAAUGAUAUAUGGGAUAUGGUUUGCAUUUUGUUACUUAAAUGUAUAGUUCUGCUCUGACACUUGUAUAUAUUUUGAAUAUUAUCUAACAUGUAACGUUGUCAUAUCUUUCAGGCAAAAGAGUAUACAGUAUCUUGUGUUGAAAAGAGCUUUGCUUGUGAUAGCCAGAAUCUUCAUGCAUGUGUAUCCAUUUGGAAGGAGACCAAUAACAUUUAGAAGUGCAAUUACUAUAAUAAAUUAGUAAGUGUUAUGUUUCCAUAUUUUAGUCCUGUUUAAGUUUUCUGCUGUAGAUGCAGGGUGGGUCGUGAAAGAGGAUGCUUUUGGGGGGUUGCUGCAGUUCAAUUUUUGCCCAAACUUAUUUUUAUCAUACAUUUCCAGUGAUUCUACUUGUCAUUAGUGGGAAGAGAAACAGAGGCUUCAAUCAUCAAGAUCACCACUUUAACCUUCUUGGUCAUGUAAGCAUGGACUUGAAUUAUAAUUAAUCAAGCUUGAUAUACUUCUAAGUUUUAUUAUCAACCAAAUGUAUAAAAAAUGUGCAGGCAUGGAGAUUGUUUACAGAAGGCAAAGGCUAUGAAAAUUGUUUGUAAUGCAACAAGAGACACAUCGAAUUUAUUACAGGCAGGUGCAUAUAGUAGGAUAUGAUUAUGCAUAAAUAAAAUAUUAACAUUUAAUAUUAUAUUAUUCAUUAAAUCCCAUAGUGGUCCUGAGAUUGACGCCAUACACCAAAAUCGUUCCUGAGAUUUCAAUUGCACCAAUUACGUCCCUAAGAUUGGAAAAAUUGCACUAUAGUAAUUCCUGACCCGUUUUUCGUUAACGAUGCACUGGCGUGGCUUGAUGACGUGGACCUUUGGUGACACGUGUCAUCUCAUGGUUUGGCCACGUGUAACGGUAUGAUGACGUGUCGAUCAACGACACGUGGCAUGCUGACGUGGAUGGGUAUGCCACAUGUCACAAUGCUAUUUUGUCACGUGUCAGAUUAUGCCACAUGUCGCAAUGCUAUUUGUCCACGUGUCAUCCACUAUGUCAUCGUUACAUGUGCACCAAAUUGGUCGCUUACUUUGCAUCAAAUGACUCAUUUUAGUCCCUGAAAUUGAAUGUCGUGCACCAAAUUAGUCCCUUCAUCAGUUUUUUUUCAUCUUUUUAUAAAUUUAAAAUUCUCAAUAUUUUUUUAUACACUAAUUUUAAUUAUAUUUUUUAUUAUACAUAUUUUAUAAUAAAUUUUUUAAUUAAUAAUGUUAACUUGUAUUAUUAGAGUACAUGUUAACUAAAGCCAAAAAUUUAUUAUUGUCUCUUGUGUUUAUUUGUAUCUGUUUUAAUACUGUUCAAGUCAUGGUUACAAUAAGUACUUAUAUUGAUUAAUAGUGUAAUAUAUGAAAAAGCCGCCUAACUAAGUUAUAAAUAAAAUGAAUUAUUAUAAUCGACAGUAUAAAUCUAUCUUAUUAAUUUAGUGAGAAGUUAAUUAUAUAGGAAAGCGGACAUUCUUAAAAUGGAUGGGAAUAAUGAAUUUAUAUUAGUUAAUAAAUGCCUUAUCAAGUAUUCCUAAAAUAUUUAUUAAAGUGUUAAAUAUUAAAAAAAUUGUAAUAAGGAAUAUUAUUAUACUCUUAGCUUACACUCUUUAUUAAAUCAAUAUCAAUAUGUCACAUAAUUCUUUUAAUAAAAUAUUUUAGAAAAAAAUUGUAUAAUUAAAACUAAUAUUUUAAAAAUAUUUUAUAAAAACACUUAUAUUUAAAUAACUUGUGAAAAGAUAAAAUUAAAAUUAGUGUAUUCAAAUAUAUAAUGAGAAUUUUAAAUUUAUAAAAAAAUGAGAAAAAACUAAUGAAAGGACUAAUUUGGUGCAUGACAUUCAAUUUCAGGGACUAAAAUGAGUCAUUUGAUGCAAAGUAAGGGACCAAUUUGGUGCACAUGUAAUGAUGACAUAGUGGAUGAUACGUGGACAAAUAGCAUUGCGACACGUGGCAUAAUCUGACACGUGGCAUAAUAACAUUGUGAUACGUGGCAUACCCAUCCACGUCAGCAUGCCACGUGUCGUUGACUGACACGUCAUCAUACCGUUACACGUGGGCAAACCAUGAGGUGACACGUGUCACCAAAUGUCCACAUCAUCAAGCCACGUCAGCGCGUCCUUAACGAAAAAUGGGUCAGGGACUACUAUAGUGCAAUUUUUUCACUAUCAGAAACGUAAUUGGUGCAAUUGAAAUCCCAAAGACGAUUUUGGUAUACGACGUCAAUUUCGGGGAGCACUCCGAAAAUUUACUCUAGAAAUAUUAAACUAAUUUGGUUUAUGAGAUACGUUCGGCACUUCCAUUUUAUUUUUUUGCAUUAGUCUGAACUUUGAAAACUGAUACUGGUUUACGUGCAAAAACUAAUUUAUUCUAUUCUACAUCCAGAUGCUAUUGUGGACUGGUUGUUGUGUUGGGAAUAAGGAGUAUGAUCACAAUCCAAUCAAUUAUGUGUCAAAUAAUUUAUUAUUGUUAUUAUAUUAAAAUGUUAAUAUAAUAAAGUCCUUGAUUAAAUUUAGAAAUUUAUCAUUGUGAUAGUGAUCAUAAUAUUGAGAAAUAAAUCUUUUGUAAUUUAAUCUAAAUUGUUCUUGGUCAUAUGAUUAUUAGAAAAUGACAUAAAUAAUCCAGAAAGAUCAAUAUAUAUAUAAUGGUCUUCAUUAGUUGAAGAUUAAUAGAUCUCAUUUAUUAAAUUAUAUAUAUAGAUGGUGUAUAUAGAGAUAUGACCAUUGAACUGACUCAUUUUGAGAAUUCCUAAUGGUUAUAAUUACCGUAUAUUUGUCAAUAGGAUAUUCUCAAGAUGAACAUAGUAAUAGAGUUUCCUUUGACCUGCGACUAGGGGUGGAAAUAGGCCAAGCGGCCUGCCAGGGGCCUGCAGCCUGGCCUGUGUUCGGCCUGACCUGGCCUGGCCUGAUAGGAAAUAGGCCCAGGCUCAGGCUACUAAAAAAGCCUAUAUUCUUUAAAAGGCCAGGGCUAGGCUUUUGAAAUAGCCUGUUGGGCCUGUCAGGCCGGCCUGAGCCUGCAAAUAUAUAUAAAGAGUUUUAUUAUACUAGUAAAAAUGCUAUUAGAAGGAUUUGAACUUAGGUCUUCUAUCUUAUGAAAAUACCUUUAUCCAGUCAGCCAUUUGUCUCUUUAGUUAUAUAUUUGUAUUUUGUAUCAAUAUUAUUCAUAAAUUUAAUUAUUAUUAAAAAAAAAACAGGCCUAGUGACAGGCUUCAGGCCAGGCCAAAUUUAACAACAGGCCAGGCUCAGUACUCAUUAAAAAGCCUAUAUCAGGCUACAGGCCAGGCUAAAGCCAAUAUACUCUAUUACAGGCCUGGCCUGUUAAGAGUAAAGCCUGGCCUGGCCUGGCCUGUUUCCACCUCUACCUGCGACUAUCAUAGUAAUUAACAAUGUAUUUAUUAUACUUUGAUUCCGGACACCUAAUACCCUAGGGUGCUAGUUGAAUGGAUAUUGGGUAUGAUUUAAAUACUUGUAGAAUUAAUGAUUAGUUAAUAAGGAAUCCGUCAACUCUCGGUAAAGAGUUUGAGCUCUAUGAUUAUAAUGACUGAGAUGAAUAAAACCUUGGCCAAGGAGAUUGAAUGAAUGAAGAAAUGAGUUUCUUAGGUCAUUCACAGUUUAUUAUAAUAAUGGUAAUAAGUUAGAGUUUGACAAUUAAACCAUACUCUAAGGGUUAACCAAGAGCUGGAAAGAUGGAAGGAAUUAUACUUUGUUCUUCUGAGGUUCUUAGUAAAAAUAUAUUACUUCAUAUUAUCGGGUCGUUGAGGAGUGUUGCUAGACACCAACCUUGAUUAGUAAAUUUAGUAUGACUAAUUUACUACCCGCUUAGUAUUGAACCUAUGGGGUCACACACUAACGAGUGUUCUAAUCUUUGCUAUAGAAUUAUUUAAUUAUUAUUUUGAUUUGAUCAAAUAAAUAAUUAUAUUAAUUCAGAUAAAAUAUUAUUAUAUUUUUUUGCUAGCACCAAGAAUAUAAUAAUAGUAUGAUAAUUGAGAAUAUUAAAUAAGAUUUGAGAAUAAUUAGUUAUUCUAUUUCUAAAUUUGAAUUCUAAAUUUGGAUGAGAUCCUAACUGAUUCUGUUUCAAAUUGAGUUAUGAUAUGAUUCAUAAAUUUGAAAGAUUUAGAUUUAGAAUUUUAAGAUAUGAUUUAAAUUUGAAUUGAGAUUCAAAUUUAAAAUCAGUAACAAAUCUCAUUGAUGAAUUUGGAAAACUCUAAAUUAACAUAUGUGAUGACUAAACAUUAUUAAUUUAAUUAAUUGCAAAGAUAUUAAUUCAUAUAUAGUGAUUAAAUUAAUCUUUGCUAUGCAGAUUUAACAUUUGGCCAAAAAUAAAAAAAAUGUUGCAAGCCCAAGUGUUUUAUAAAUACAUUUAGCAUUGAUGCAAAAAUACUUUGAUUAUUGCGGCUGAAUUAUUAUUCUUGUUAUUGGGCCAGAAUUGAUCCUAAUUAGCCCAAAUUAACUUUGAUGGAAAAAGAUCCAAUGCUUGGUCCGAAACCUAUUAAAAGAAAGUAAUUUGGCUUCAUGCUUUCAACGGAUUCCAUUUCUUAUUGUGGGAUGGAUUUCAAAAUUUAAUUUGUUAGCAUUGGAAAUAUAAAUGAGAGAGAAAGUAUGAUUGACAUGAUUGAUUGGUUUAAUGCAACACGCUACUCAGCAAGGGAAGUAAAAGCAAUCCCAUUUCAAUUAAUUUGUUCUAUUUCAAUUAAUUAUUUUUCUUCUAACUCUAUCUUCUCUCUCAUCUUUCCUUCUUCUCUUUCGGUCAUUACCCAGCAACCAUGGAAGCUACACCUAGCCACCGAAAAGAAGUUGGUGCAAGCAACAAGACCAUCACAAUGAUGACAAGAAAAAGAAAACAUAAAGUAUGCUGUGGCUAAGAUUCUCAUUCACUUGUGGUUAGAUUUUGUGAAGAGAUCUUGGCUCCUCCAUACCAAAAAUGGAAGUGAAGAUUUCGGUCAGAGAAGAAGAUCCUUGGAGAGGAUGGCUUGUCUCUGAUUCUGCUUAGCCACCACAGGAGGUAGCUAGAGUGGCUAUGUGAUGGAGGAGGCAGAGAUUGGAGCAGAUGAAGCUACCAUCAUCAUGAAGCAUCAAGGGCCAGAAGUUCAUCUUGGAGAGCAAGGCAAGGAUGAAGGGCUCGGAUUGAUGAAGAAUGGUGACCAAGGAAGGACUAGAGAUAAUUGCAUGUUAGGUUUUGCAUGAGUUAUCUCUUCUCUCUCUCUGGCCGAACCGGUUCAAGUUGAAGAAGAAGAAGAUUGGCUUGGUUUGUUUGGUUUCAACCUUGAAGGCUUCUCCCUAUAAGUAAGGGUGAACAGUCAGGGUUUGAUUCAAGGAAAAGAAAAGAGUGAGCACAGAGUUCUCAUAACUCUCUAAGCUGACAGAAUUUCUUCUCCUUCAAUGUUCUUCAUUUUGUAAUUUUCUGUUUAAUUUUGUCAUGUCUUGAGUCUCAUGGAAAAGGCAAACAGUGAGGUUUGUAUGAAAAAGCCAUAGAGCGAAAAAAGACAGAGAGUGCAAAAUUAAAAGAAAAAGCCAUAGAUGUCCUUAGAUGUCCUUUGUACAUCUGUGUUGUGUUUCAUGAUUCUGUGGGAAUCCUCUUGUAAGUUGGGUUAGCACUUUACAGUUGAAAGCUUGGCAGUGACCAAGUCAAGUUCAGUUUGGGUUUAGAUUCUGGACUUGUCCCGGAUAGGAAGGAGGGUAGUUCCUAGGGAGAAUUGGUGUUUGUAAUCAAGGAUGAUUAUAGUGAAAUUCCAUCAUUAUUGUGAUGGAGUCUGGAUGUAGGCUGCCUUGCACUUAGCAGCUGAACCAGGAUAUAUCUUGGUGUAAUUCUCUCUUUCUUCUACUCUAUUUCUGUUUCUGCUGCCCAGGAGAUAAAACUGAAAAUAUCUUGUGCUGACUGACGAGACAAAAAGAAAAGUCUCGUGGCUGGGAACGAGACAAAAGAAAAAAUCUCGUGGCUAGUUACGAGAUAAAAAGACAAAAAGUUUCCAGAAGUGAUUUCAAAGGCCAGCAAGUAUUAUCAAGCAAAAAGGGGGCGAAGAUUCAACCCCCUUCUCUUAGCCACUGAUAACCAUCACUCAUACUAUAUAUAUGUAUGCCAAGAGUGAAGGAAUAGACAGAUGAGAAUAACAAGAGUUUUAUUCCGUUACCUUUACACACAUAAAUAUAUGUGAGCCUGAUUCUUGGAGAAGAAUUUUAUUGCGUGCAAAGAGUUGCAAGAGGUUUCUCAAUUUAGAUCAGAUGUCCAUUGGUCAAGGAGUUGACAGCAAAGGUUGGUCUCGGUGUGGAUACGCAUAGCGCCUUCGUACCAUCGAAGGAGAAAGUGAUUUUUACUAAAGCGUCUAAAGGUAUUUAGAUCUGAUCUAUAUAUUACAUUUAUAUUAUUGGAAUAAAGUUUAAGCAUAAAAUAGAUCUUUAAGGAUUACUUUCUUUUUCUUCUGCUGCAUGUUAUGAACACAUGGUAAUUCUUCAGUGGUAUCAGAGCUUUGGUUUUUUUGUGUUUAAAUUUUUAUUCCUAUUUUUUUAAAGUUUGUGAAUUAAUAGGAUUAAUUCAAAUUAUUUUUAAGCAUGUGAUGUAUUUAUUUCCGUUGAGAUGGUUUUCUAAUAAAUUAAUAGUUAAUUUAUUUUAAUUAUUUAAUUGUGAUUAAAUUAUCAUUCUUUUAAUAUAAAAGUUAUAUUUAUAAUCAAAUAUUUUGUUUGAUUUUAUUUAUAUAUUAAAUUUUAUUGUGAUUUUGAUCACAAUAAAAGGAAUAAGAUGUAAAAUAUCUUUUAUUUGUUUCUUAUAUAUAUAAGUGUAUAUAUAAAACUCAAAUUUGAUUUGAUAAUUUUUUAAGGCUAAACGUUAGUACAUAAAAAAUCAAAUUUUGAUUUGAUUGAUGUGUUUUGAACACUAUAAUUUUAGAAAUUAAUUUUUCUAAUGUUCUUGAUUAUAAAGAGCGAUCUGACAACCAGGAAUUUUAUUUUUAAGAUAAUAAUCAGUGUAUACAUUUGAUGUAUUAAGGAUUUAAUUUUAUAUUUUUACCUAGACAACCUGGGAGUAUAAAAUUUAAUCCAUGAAUAUUGGUACAAAUUCUCUAACAAUUGAGAUAAAUCCUAAAAGUUAGGAGUUUGCCAAAAAUAAAUUUAUCUCUUGUUUACAAGGAGCAACCUGACAACCAGGAGACUUGUACUCAAAGAUAGAAUUUAUUUAUACAUGUGAUGAUAUACAAGGAGAAUUAAUUUUAUACUUAAACCUAGACAACCUAGCGGUAUAAAAUAUAAUUCAGUUAAAUAAUUGUCUGACAACCAGAUAAUUAUUUGGGAUUAUAAUUGUAUGUGAUACAAUUUAAUCAUAUUUAUUUGGAAUAGGUAUGAGUAACAACUUGACAACCAAGAUACUCAUUUAUGAUUCUAAAUAAUUUUAACAGAAAUAUAGAUUUUUUAAUUUACUUUCGUAUUUUAAUUUUUUAAAUAUGUCCAUUUUUUUGUAUGGCAUACUUGAAACUUGAAAGUAAUAUAUUGGCUAACAUUUGAAAAUUGUUCUCAUGUAUGAAAGGGUUAUCAUGGAGAUGAUAAUUCUAUUAAAAUAAUAUCCUCCAAUAAAAUUAUUUUUGAAAUGGUCAGAACUUUUGAAAUAUUUGUAAUAUUAUUUUACAUGGGUUGUUUGGACAGUCAUAAAUUCUAAUUUCAAAGGCAUCUCUCCACUAUUUAUUGCUGAACAUCUUGAGAAGAUGUGGUGCCUAAAGUAAGAUAGUAUGACUAUCAAAAAUUUUAUUUAAACUAGUGGGAGUAUUGGGUAAUAUAUUUUGAAUUAAACAACUUUAGAAGUUAGAAUGCCAUUAGGCAAAUGGCUUUAGUGAGAAUUGUUCUUGCAAGCAUUUUUGGAGAUUCAUUUUGUUACAAACAAUUUAUAAUUAGCCUUAAUAUUUGUGAUAUUUUUAGAAAAACCCAAUAUGAGUAUUGAGGAUGCCAAUCAAAAUUGCUCUUAAGGGUUGGUUUGACCAAUAAUAAAGAUAUUGAGUAUUUUUAUUAUAAGAGCUUAAAGUAAAAUCUCUAAUUAUCUAAUUGAUAUUCUAUUGAAUAGAGAAUGAGAUUCUCUCAAUGCACAAAUAUUAGUACUCUAUGUACUAAGAAACAAAGAAUUUAGCUGAGGAUCACUAUUUGUUAAAUAUUUAGACUACAUUUUAGAAAUGUUGCUAAAUUAACAAAUUUCUUACUAAAUCAAUUUUUUACCCAUAUGAGAUAUAGAAAAUGGCAUAAGUCAAAACUCAAGAACAUUAGAGUUCGAUAAAUGAGAUUUAUUGGUUGCCCUAAAAGAAAUAAUAAGUAUUAUUUCUAUCAUCCUUCUUACGACAAAGUGUUUGUGAUAAGAGGUUGAACUCUUUUUUAGAAAAAAGAGACUCCUUCCUAAAGAAAGAUAAGGUGAACAAAUAGAACUUGAUAAAGUCAAGACAAUCAAAAAGUUUGAUUUAUACAAUGUCAAGAGAAACUUUGUAUUUAUAAAGAAAGAGUGAGAGUACAAUUACUUUUAUUAGAAUUGUAUACCACUCAAUAGAGGAUAUACUUUCUCCUGAAAGUAUAAAAAGUUUGAUCGUCAAGCUAACUUUUUGAAAAAGUAGCCUAUUUGUAUAAUGAUACAAUUCUAUAAAGAUAGAUCUAAUGGUUACUUAGAUUUUUUUAUAAUCAUGUUCAAUAAGGAUUGUCCUUAAAAUAAAAUUAUGCACUAUUGUAGUGGGAGAUUUCAUGUUUUGAGAAAACGUGAUAUUAUUAUUCACUAGGUAUUUUGCAAAAGGUCAAGCACAUAUGCUCAAAAAUUAAGGUGUUUAAGGUCAAAAGAGUUUUGAUAAACACAAAUGUGCAUUGAAAAAUUAUACACAUGAUUGAUUGACUCUAGUGCAAGUGGGAGACUAUUGUGAUAAUAGUAUUCCCAAGAUCCAAUCUAUCAUGAUUGGCUCUCGUGCAAGUGGGAGAUUGUUGGGAAUAAGGAGUAUGACCACAAUUCAAUCAAUCAUGUGUCAAAUAAUUUGUUAUUGUUAUUAUAUUAAAAUGUUAAUAUAAUAAGGUCCUUUAUUAAAUUUAGAAAUUUAUCAUUGUGAUAGUGAUCAUAAUAUUGAGAGAUAAAUCUUUUGUAAUUUAAUCUAAAUUGUUCUUGGUCAUAGGAUUAUUAGAAAAGGACAUUAAUAAUCCGGAAAGAUCAAUAUAUAUAUAUAUAAUGGUCUUCAUUGGUUGAAGAUUAAUAGAUCUCAUUUAUUAAAUUAUAUAUAUAGAUGGUGCAUAUAGAGAUAUGACCAUUGAACUAACUCAUUUUGAGAAUUCCUAAUGGUUAUAAUUACCGUAUAUUUGUCAAUAGGAUAUUCUCAAGAUGAACAUAGUAAUAGAGUUUCCUUUGACCUGCGACUAUCAUAGUAAUUAACAAUGUAUUUAUUAUACUUUGAUUCCGGACACCUAAUACCCUAGGGUGCUAGUUGAAUAGAUAUUGGGUAUGAUUUAAAUACUUGUAGAAUUAAUGAUUAGUCAAUAAGGAAUCCGUCAACUCCCGGUAAAGAGUUUGAGCUCUAUGAUUAUAAUGACUGAGAUGAAUAAAACCUUGGCCAAGGGGAUUGAAUGAAUGAAGAAAUGAGUUUCUUAGGUCAUUCACAGUUCAUUAUAAUAAUGGUAAUAAGUUAGAGUUUGACAAUUAAACCAUACUCUAAGGGUUAACCAAGAGCUGGAAAGAUGGAAGGAAUUAUACUUUGUUAUUCUGAGGUUCUUAGUAAAAAUAUAUUACUUCAUACUAUCGGGUCGUUGAGGAGUGUUGCUAGACGCCAACCUUGAUUAGUAAAUUUAGUAUGACUAAUUUACUACCCACUUAGUAUUGAACCUAUGGGGUCACACACUAACGAGUGUUCUAAUCUUUGCUAUAGAAUUAUUUAAUUAUUAUUUUGAUUUGAUCAAAUAAAUAAUUAUAUUAAUUCACAUGGAAUAUUAUUAUAUUUUUUUGCUAGCACCAAGAAUAUAAUAAUAGUAUAAUAAUUGAGAAUAUUAAAUGAGAUUUGAGAAUAAUUAGUUAUUCUAUUUCUAAAUUUGAAUUCUAAAUUUGGAUGAGAUCCUAACUGAUUCUGUUUCAAAUUGAGUUAUGAUAUGAUUCAUAAAUUUAAAAGAUUUAGAUUUAGAAUUUUAAGAUAUUAUUUAAAUUUGAAUUGAGAUUCAAAUUUAAAAUUAGUAACAAAUCUCAUACUAUAUAUAUGUAUGCCAAGAGUGAAGGAAUAGACAAAUGAGAAUAACAAGAGUUUUAUUCCGUUACCUCUACACACAUAAACGUAUGUGAGCCUGAUUCUUGGAGAAGAAUUUUAUGGCGUGCAAAGAGUUGCAAGAGAUUUCUUAAUUUAGAUCAGAUAUCCAUUGGUCAAGGAGUUGACAGCAAAGGUUGGUCUCAGUGUGGAUACGCAUAGCGCCUUCGUACCAUCGAAGGAGAAAGUGAUUUUUACUAAAGCGUCUAAAGGUAUUUAGAUCUGAUCUAUAUAUUAUAUUUAUAUUAUUGAAAUAAAAUUUAAGCAUAAAAUAGAUCUUUAAAGAUUACUUUCUUUUUCUUUCGCUCCGUGUUAUGAACACAUGAUAAUCUUUCAUCUUAGAUUUGGAAAUAUGGAAAACGCCAAGCAAGAAGCAAUUAAGGCUAAUUCAGGUGGAGAACGUAAGUUUCAAUAAUCUUAUACAUUUUUAAUAAUUGUUUUAUCUUUGUAAAGUAAUGAAUAGUAAACGGUGCAAUAUAAUUUGGGUUUAACAUGAUAACAUGAAGUCAUGAACAGUUUCUAGUAUAGAGCAUCAACUUAUAUUAUAUUCAUAUGCUAAUACACUAUAGUGGUAAUUUGUUUAUUUAUAAAUUGUGUUUUGAGUUCUAAUUAUGUUAAUAACUUUUGCAGUUUUAAUUGAUACAAAAUAUGAGCCAUUGAUCCCUAAGAAAGAGAAGUCAACUCAAUCAAAGAAGUUUUAGUUUUUUUAAGGGUUUUUUGUUUUUUCUACUUUAUGUAAUGAAAAAUUUUUUUCGCUUGAUUUUUGCAUACAUUUAGCAUCAUUGGCUAUAAAAUCAUCGAUGUACAUUUGGAUUGUAAAUCAUAAAUUUAAUAUAUUUAUAAAUUUUGUCUCUUUUAAUUUUUAUAUUUUGAUAUAGAUAUUGUGAAUAUUUUCGGUAUUUAUUUAAAAAAUUGAUCUAUAUUUGAUUCUUUUAUAUUUUGUUGAAAUAUAAUUAUUUAUAAAAAUUAAGUUUUAAUAGUGGUAUAUGUGAAAUUAGUAAAAUUCAAUAAUUAGAAAAUCAGAAACAGUGACCGAUUUAGCUACCAAAUUUUAGAUUUUUAAAUCAGAUAUCAGCAACCGAUUUAGCGACCAAAAAGUUGGUCACUAUUUAGUGACCGAUUCUCUCAGCGGCCAAUUUAGCGACAAAAAAAGUGGUCGCUAUUUAGUGACCGAUUUUAUUAGCGACCAAUAUUGUUUGGUAUUAGUUUGGUGGCCUUGUUCAAAAAUUGGUCGCUAAAAUCGACCGCUAAGAAUUUAGAGACUGAUUUAAAAAAAAAAUUGGUCGUUAAAUCGGUCGCUAUUCCGGUAAUUUCUUGUAAAUAUAAACUAGCAUUCUUAAUUGCUAUAGUCAUGUCCUUUGUUCUCCUAAGCUUUUUAGAGAGGGUUUGAGGAAUUAUAUUCAUAUAUACAACUUUUUUUUUAAAUGAGAAGGAUAGCUUUUAUAAAUUUAUAUAUAUUAUAUGGGAUCUAAGUCCAACAAAAAGUCUACAUAAAGUUAAAUGAGGUAAAGUAGACCCAUUAUAUCAUUAUUCAUGAGUAUACUAACAAACUCAUGAGGAGGUGAAUCCCAAAAAACAAGUUCCAAUAUAAAGUUAAAAUUAAAUAAAUCUCAUUUUAAUUUGUCUACAUCCACUACAAGAAAUAUAUUGAAUAUUAUCGAAUUUAGUGUCACACAUUAGCAUCGAUUUUAUCAUUGGAUUUAAUGACAAAUUUGAUGUGAAAUUCGUUAUGCCAAAUAACUACCGACAAAUAGCCACUUUCGACGGUAAAGUCGUCGAUAAUUUUUGGUAGAAACCACAACAAAUAGGCGCCAAAUUUAACAUUGAAAUUACUGGAAGACGAAUUCGACAAUAAACACGUUUAAUAUAUAGAACGUUGCAUUUUAGUGAUUCGCACCGCGUUACCGUCGAAAAUAUUUGCCGAUAAAUUUGACGGUAACCGUGUCCUAAAUUGGAACCGAGAACCCUCUCCCCUUCAUUUCAAUUUCACUCUCUCUCUCUCUCUCUCUCUCUAAUCUCUCACCUUCCUCUCUCCCUCUCUCUUUCUCUAACCUUCUCAUUUCUCAUCUCUCAUCUCCGUCAAUCUCCUCCGCUGCUAUUGUGAAAGCUGCAGCCGCUAUAGCGAAAGUUGCUACCGCUACCACAAACGUCACCGCUGCAGUCGCGAACACAGCCGCCGCUGCUGCAAGCCCCUGCCGCCACUGCUGCAACGCCCCUGCCACUUUUGCCUCUGUCGCCGCUGCACCUCCACCCCUCUUCUUCGUUCUCUCUUGUUCUGCAUUCAAAAUUUUUUGUUUGAACAUUAUUUAUUUCAAAUUUUGUUAUUUCAAGUUAAUUAAUUAGUUAGUAGAGUUUAGUUAGUUUAAUUUUCUGUUUUAGUAUAUUUAGGUGGUUAGGAUAUGUUAGAUUAGGUUCUGAGAUUGUUGGAAAAUAUUGAAUUAUUGAGCUAUUCUCUGAUUUUUCUUGCUGAAAUUAUUUGAAAAAUGCUUGACUAUUUAAUAAUAAUUUAGUUGUUUGUAUAUUACUUUAAUAAUGAUUGAAAAAAUUAAUAAGUUGAGAAGGCUUGAUGAAUAUUUGGUUUAGAUGGAAUCUUUGAAGGGUGAAAAAAUUCAAAUUUUAGGAGAGACUCUUUCAAAACUUUUAUAAGAUUUUCACUGAAAUUAAAAAAAAUUAAAAUUAUGUUUAAGGUUGAUAGAUAUUUGUGUUAAUUGAUGGAAAAUGNNNNNNNNNNNNNNNNNNNNNNNNNNNNNNNNNNNNNNNNNNNNNNNNNNNNNNNNNNNNNNNNNNNNNNNNCCUGCUGCUGAAAUGGUUUGGAAAAUGUUUGACUGUAUUAAUAAUGAUUAAGCUGUUUGUAUGUUACCUUAAUAAUGAUUGAAAAAAUUAAUAAGUUGAGAAAGUUUGAUGGAUAUUUGGUUUGGAUAGAAUCCUUGAAGGGGGGAGAAAUCCAAAUUUUAGGAAUUAUUUCGAAACUAAAACACUAUGUAAUUUCUUUUUUUUUUUUUGUUAAUUUACUAAACUAAAAUACUUUUAGAAUUAUUUAUUAUUUCUUGAGUUUCUUCUUAUGUUAUUAUUAUUUAUUGGUAUCUGUUAUGUUAUUAAUAUAUUUGUUGUAAAGAUAUGACGAAAGGUAGCAGAGGUAGGUCGAGUGGGUCACGUGGUCAUGGUAGAGAGCAGACUUCCACCGAAUUUCCGAGGACUGCUAGUCAUCGCCCUCUAUCCCGGAUACCCCGUCGCCCCCUGUUACGUCAACGUCAUAGGCAGGUCCAGCAGACCAGCAAUUCAGCAUGGUCCCAAACUGGAAUUGGGUGCCUCCUUCUGCUAUGCCCCUGCAGAUGCAGCGACGACAUCGAUAGAGCCCGCGGUGGGUGAUUUCUCCAGUGCCCCCCAACAUGAUGCCCCUCUACUACCUCCUGUCAUCUGGCUGAAGAUUUGGCUCGAUCACAUGCAGUCACGAGUUCAACUUUUUAAUCUUAAGUUUGUUUAUCUUAAGUUUGUUUAUCUUAAGUUUAUGUGUUUCUAUUUGUUUAAUAAUGUGAGGUUUUUUCUUUGACAGGUUUGCACCAAACCCCAAGCUUGCACACAGGAGACCACCGAGGUCAUUAAGUCUAUGUACGACCACACGUGGCUGACCUACUCGCAGAUCUUGGCUAAGACCAGAGAGCGAUGGUUUCAGAAGUGAGCAGUAAUAAUCCAAUUUAGUUUGAACUAAUUAACUGUAUUUAAACUGUAUUUUAUUUUGACUAACUAAUUUUGGUGAAUCACUUUGUGCACUUGAAAUUUAUAUGGGAUGCAGAACACAAUCUCAUGAUCAGGAAGAUCUAUGACCACCGGGCAACCAAAUGACUUCAGCAGAUGAUGAGCGACAUUCGUCAGGGAAAAGACCACCGAACAUCGUGGAUCUGUCCAAACAUCAAGAAGGAACUUGAGGCCUAUUUUUGAGAUAACGAGGGUCUCAAGCAUUGCCGUCUGACAAACAUCGCUAACAGGGCUUCGCCUAGGUCGUCGAGGUAUACGAGUGGAUCGGCGACCUUCAGGAAGACGAAGAGUAGACUGCUAAGAAUUUUGACAUUGUUUAAUGUUUUAGUAGUCACUUGAAUUAGUUAUUUAAUUUGUUCAUUUAUUUUAUAAGCAUGUAAUUGAUUUACAAGCAUUCUUAUUUUGAAUAUGAUCUUUAGUGUUAUCCUUACUCUGUUGAUAUAUACUUAUAUAGUUCUGUAAGAAUUGAAUUGAGUUGAGCUGAUAUAAAACUGCUUUGUUGGUUUGAUUGGUUGAUUUGUGUGGUUAAUGAUGAGAGAAUGUUUGAAUCAUAUAUAAAAUGGGUUCAUAGUUGAACUGGUUCUGAUACGGAUUGACUGCUUUAUAACGUGUAAAAAUAUUGGUUUAUUUUAAUUUAGAAUGAUUAAACAAGGUUGUGAUACUUAUUAUAACUAUAUAUAGCCAGUAGCUUGGGAAUUUUGUGAUGAUGAUCUUAGUUGUUGAAUUUUGGAUUAUCAUAAUAAUAAACAAGGAUGAUGAUUUAAUAUACAUUUUGAUUUCCUGUAUUUUGAUUCAUAUAUAUUUGUCUGUCAUUAUUUAAUUUAUUUAUUUAUUUUAUUAGUUGAUAUAUUAAUUUGUAGUCUAAGUCGUUGGAUCAUGAGGUAACACUGGCAGAGACCUUUAAGUAUACUCAUACUUUGAAGGCAAACAAGGAGAGAUUUGUUGAUGAGUGGUCUGUGGCCUAUUAUAUGAGUUUAAAUUAAUCCUAAUUUUUAACUUUAUUUGGUUUAAUGUCAAUUAUUUAACUAUUAUCCUAAUUAUAACUAACGUGUGUGACGCAGGAGGAGUACACGUAGAGGUUGGAGGCCGCGACCUAGCAAUAUCAGUCGCUUAGUAGGGACGAAAAAGCCAGAUCCGAGACCUCAUCAGUGGUAGAUCCUGAUAGGAUUUGGCGCGAGACCGCCUCUGAACCUCACAGGAAUCGUCGCUUCAGGUUGGGGUCAUUCUUUGCUAGUGGCCUCUGCUCCUAUGUGUUGGCAGCUUCCUCUGCCUCUGUCUCUGCCACCAGCCCAGCUGAUCCCCAGAAAGUUAUCGACUUAAGGAAGGAGGUGCAGAAGCUAACACAGGAGUUUCACCAGCAAGGGAGCAGUUUGGGCAGAGGUAUCGAGACCUUCUUGAAUGCGUUGCGUCAGCUUGGACCUGAUAGAGAAGCUGGAGCAGCUCGAUCGGUUAUGACAACAGAUGGAGGAGUACAACCAGAAGAUGUGUGCUGGAUUCAGCGGAACUGCUGGUUCCAGCGGCAAUGCUGCUGGUGGGGCACCGAUGGCAGCACCUACUCUGCCUCCUCAGCAGCAGGACCACGACGCCGCCGACGAUGACAAUGACGAAGAUUACCGGGACUUGUAGGAGUUAGAAUUUUAUGCAUUUUGUUUGCCUACUUCAUUGUAUUCUAUAUCUGUGACAUUUUAUUGUAUUCAGACCAUUUAUUUUUUAAUGAAAUAAAAUUUUUAUGCUAACUUUAAAUUUUUUUCAACAGUUUUGUUAACAAGAGUCUACUAAUUGUGGCUUAACUGUGCCAAAAAAAUUACCGUCGGAUUUACUGUCAGUUAAAUCUGACGGUAACUUGGCGUCUUAACACGUGAAAUGGCGCAAAAGUUAUCGUCGGAUAUAUCCGACAGUAACUAUCAACACAAUCUCGCCAAAUCUAUUGAAAAAGUUGAUGAAAAAUCUGCUGGUAAUUAGCUUCGGACAAAAAAAAUCCAGCAGUAAGCAGUUUCCAGCGACGUUUAUACCGUCAACUCAAGAACAACGGUAAAUCCGGCGGUAAUUUUUUUACUGGCGGAUUUAUUUAAUGAAUCCGACGGUACUCAGUGCAUUUCUUGUAGUGAUCUUUUAUAAUAAAGAGUAAAGUACUGUUUUGGUCUCUAACAUUUGGGAUGAAUCCUAUUUUGGUCUUUAACAUUUAAUCGUCCUAUUUUUAUUCUAAAACGUUUAAAAUGGCAUCAGUGUUAUCCCACCAUCAAUUUUCUCACUAACAAUUAAUGGAAUUGAUGUACUAUUAAUAAUAUUUUUUUAAAGUUAUAUUUGCUCAACUCUAUUCUCCUACCUUCACCCUCUCAACAAGUCCAAAUUUUGUUGUCUUACUCCCUUCUUUCUCUCUCUUUUACACUAUUAAAUCUCCAAGAGGGGUUUGAGAAAUAAGAAGAAAGGAGUAGGAAAAUGGGAUUUAGGCUUGUGAGAGAGUGAAGGUGGGAGAGGGAUUGAGCAAACGUACCUUUAGCAAAAGCAUUAUUAAGAGUAUAUCAAUUUUGUUAAUAAUACUUAUAAGUAUUAGAGAGGAAUUUAACAGUGGGAUUAUAUUGAUGUCAUUUUAAACGUUUUAGGAUAAAAAUAGGACGAUUAAAACGUUAGGGACCAAAAUAGGAUUCACCCCAAACCAAACGUUAGAAACCAAAAUAGUACUUUAUCCUAUAAUAAAUGUUAGGUUUAAUUAUUCUGUUGAUAUUUAUAGUUUAACAAAAUUUAUAAAGAGGUUCUUAUACUUUUUUUUUCUUUCAAUUGAGUCUCUACUAUUUUUAAUUUUGUAAUUAAAUCUUUGUUAGUGUAAAACAUGUUAGAAUUAACGUAAUAUUUUUUGUGAGAAAUAAUAUUUUUAUAUUGUAUGUUUGUAUGAAUUUAUAAAAAAAAUGACAUUAUUAAAAUAGGAAUGUCAAAAUAUAUAUUUUCUUUUUGAGAAAAUAUAGAGAACCAACUUUAGGACGUUUGGAAGGAAGAUGAAGAUAGAGAGACAGACACUGAGAGACAUACAGAGACUGAAAUUAAAUUAAGUUUUUAUAUUGUGUUUGGUGUAAAAUGUAUUGGAUUGAAUUAUUCUAAGUAUCAUGUUUGGUUUAAGAUAAAUAUGAAGAUUGAGAAGUAAAUUUAGAAUUUGAAGAGUUAAAUAAGAGUAUUUUUAGAAAAAAUAUUAUUAAAGUUUCGGUUUUUAGUCUCAAAAUUUGUAGUCUUAUCUAUCCCUACUUUUUGGAGAUAUUUGUAUUUCGGAACUGAAAUUUUAGUUUCAGUCUUUGACUACCAAACACAAUAUUGAGUUUUAGUCUCUCAAUUUCAAUUCCAAUAUCUGAAAACAAACACUAUCUUAAUUAGCUAAUUUUAAUAUUUGGGUGUAUAAUGUAGAAUUUAAUAUUAAAAGUUUAUGAUUUAGUGUUUAGAAUUUAAGAUAAACAAAAUAAUUUUUAAAAAAUUGGAUAAAAAAAUUGUUACUUAACAUAACUCUUUUUUUUUUUUUUAUUUUUACACUUUUUUGUCCUUUUAUUUUUGUGUUAAGUAAUUGAUAAGAAAGGAAAACAAAUUGUCUUUUGUUGUAAUAUGGAUAUCUAUGACUUCUUUCAUAAUAUGGGCGAUUCAAUUUUUUUAAUGUUGGGAGACUCAGGUUAUCAAGACAGAUUGAAUUUAAUGAGGUUUGAAAAUAAUGAGCCUUGUAAGUGUAUAAAUAGAAUAAUGUAGCUUAAGAUAAGUGACACACACUAUCAACAUAAUAAGCACCUCUCUCUCCCUAUAUAAAUUGACGCGGUAACAUAUUAGUGAAUAUAUAUGAAUCUCUCAGUUAUAUUAAGAUAAUAAUAUUAGUGAAUAUUAAUACUAGAGUUCUCUAUUUACACUUUUUUAUUUUAUAUUUAUUUUUCUUAUUUAUUUAUUUAUUUUACAACACAUUAUUAGCACGAGACUCUGAUCAAAAUUUAGGAAGACACAGGUAAUAAAUUUUUAUUAUGUCAAAACUCUCUUAUCUUGAAUUUAAUACUCUUGAUAUAUUUGAAAAUAACUACUUAUCAUAGAUACUAGAUGCUGAAAUUUAUCUUGAUUCAAUGGAUCUUGAAGAUACCAUUAAAGCUGUAAAUAAAGUAUCCCAGAAGGAUAAAGCCAAAGCGAUGAUCUUCCUUCGUUAUCAUCUUGACGAAGGAUUGAAAAAUGAAUAUCUCACACUAAAAAAUUCUACAAAUUUGUGAAAGAAUCUUGAAGAAUGAUAUAAUCAUCAAAAGACAGUGAUAACUUCCUCAAACCUAAUAUGAGUGGACACACUUGUAUCUACAGGAUUUUAAAUCCAUAAAUGAAUACAAUUCAGCAAUAUUUUGAAUCACCUCAUGAAUAAAAUUAUGUGGAAAAAAGAUAACUGAUAAUGAUAUGUUAGAGAAAAAUUUCUCGACAUUCCAUGCCUUGAAUGUGCUCCUACAGCAGCAGUAUCGAGAAAAUGAUUUAAAAAAUAUUCUGAGCUAAUUUCUUACCUUCUUGUUGCUGAACGCAACAAUGAGUUACUUUUAAAAAAUCAUGAAACGCGCCCAGCUGUCGGCGUCCUAUUUCCUGAAGCAAAUGCGGAAAAUCAUAACCCCAAAGAGAUAAAUGACAAGGUUUUAGCAACAAGAAAAAUUAUGAAAGGAAGAAAAAUUAUGUUCACAAGAAAGGAUCUCACCAGAAGUGGGAUAAAGAAAGAAAUAAUGGGUAAAAUAAUUCAACAGAGGAGAAAUAUUUCCGUUGUGGUGGAAAGGGUCAUUGGUCGCGUACCUGUCGUACCCCAAGGCACCUAGUCGAUCUUUAUCAAGUAUCUUUGAAAAAGGACGACAAAGGAAAGGAGACGAAUUUUGUUUCAAAUGAUGCUGCUGAAAAUUACACCACUCAUUAUGAAGUAUCUGAUUUCUUUGAGGAUCCUGAAAGAAAUAUUGGUCAUUUGAUCAAUGAUGGAAAAGUUUGAUAUUUGGGUUUAGUACUUAUGUAAAUAAAUAAUGUAAAAAACUUUUAAGUUUUAUUCCCUAUGUAUUUGAAUUUCAAGUGUGAUGUAUAUAAAUAAUAUUUAAUAAAAUAUUUAUAUUUAUAAAUUUGAAAAUUACUAAAUGUCCUAAGUACUAAAAUAGUAAUAAUAAUAAAAUUUUUUGUAUAUGAUACUAUGUACAAUACUCAGAAAAACGAUUUCAAUCAAGAAAAUAAUUUUACUGCAGAUAUAUUUUUACUCAUUUUAUUAUUAUUAUUAUUAUUUGUCUUUGAAAAAAAUGACAAAAACAUAUAGUGAAGAUGUUUGCUUUACGGAUAGUGCAAGUUCCCAUACCAUUUUCAAAAGUAAUUGUUGGGAAUAAAUAGUAUGACCACAAUCCAAUCAAUCAUGUGUCAAAUAAUUUGUUAUUGUUAUUAUAUUAAAAUGUUAAUACAAUAAAGUCAUUGGUUAAAAGUAUAACCAUCAAAAGACAGUGAUACUUCCUCAAGCCUGAUAUGAGUGGACGCACUUACGUCUACAGGAUUUUAAAUCCAUAAAUGAAUACAAUUCAACAACGUUCCGAAUUACCUCACGAAUGAAAUUAUAUGGAGAAAAGAUAACUGAUAAUGACAUGUUAGAGAAAAUUUUCUCGACCUUCCAUGUCUCGAAUGUGCUCCUACAGCAGCAAUAUCGAAAAAAAGAACUUAAAAAAUAUUCUGAGCUAAUUUCUUGCUUUCUUGUUACUGAAUAUAACAAUGAAUUACUUUUAAAAAACCAUGAAGCGCACUCUGCUGGUGUCGCCCCAUUUUCUGAAGCAAAUGCGACAAAUUAUAACCCCAGAAGAGGUAAAUGGCAAAGUUUUGGUAACAAAAAAAUUAUAAAAAAAAAAGAAAAAUUAUCUUCACAAGAAAGGAUCUCACCAGAAGUGGGAUAAAGAAAGAAAUAAUGGACAAAAUAAAUCAACAGAAGAUAAAUGUUUCCGUUGUGGUGGAAAGGGCCAUUGGUCACGUACCUGUUGUACCACAAGGCACUUAGUUAAUCUUUAUCAAGCAUCUUUGAAAAAAAUGACAAAGAAAAGGAGAAAAAUUUUGUUUCAAAUAAUGUUGCUAAAUAUUACACCACUCAUAAUGAAAUAUCUUAUUUAUUUGAAUAAAAUAUUAAUGUUUAAGCUUAAGAAUUUUAAAAUUACUAAAUGUGUCAAGUUCUAAAAUAAUAAAAAAAAAUUAGUAUAUAUAAUAUUAUGUACAGUGUUUUUNNNNNNNNNNNNNNNNNNNNNNNNNNNNNNNNNNNNNNNNNNNNNNNNACUAUUCCUUUGUACAAUGCUACUUAGACAAACAAUUCCAAUCAUGAAUGCAAUUUUACUACGCAUGUACCUUUACUUAUUUUAUGAUAUGAUCUUAUUAUUAUUAUUUGUCUUUGAAGAAAAUGACAAUGACAUAUAAUGAAGAUAUUUGCCAUGCAGAUAGUGCAAGUUCGCAUACCAUUCUCAAAAGUAAUAUAUAUUUUACUUAUCUUGUACCAAAAGAAGAAUGUGUUAAUACAAUUAUUGGCUCAUGCAAUGUGAUAGAAGGUUUCGAAAGAGCUAUAAUUUUAUUUCUUGGAGAAACAAAAUUCAUAAUAAAUAAUGCACUAUUAUCUACUAAGUCUCUAAGGAACUUGUUGAGUUUUAAAGAUAUUCGCCGAAAUGGAUAUCAUAUUAAAACCAUGAAUGAGAAAAAUCAUGAGUACUUAUAUAUCACAACUCAUGAUUCAAAUAAAAAGGUUAUAUUAGAAAAGUUACCCUCACUUUCUUCUGGGUUAUAUUAUACUAAAAUCAGUGUAAUUGAAUCACAUGCCAUUGUAAACCAGAAGUUUACUAGCCCAAAUAAAUUCAUAAUUUGCUAUUAUCGAUUGGGGUAUCGUGGAACAACCAUGAUGCAGAGAAUUAUUAGAAACUCCCAUGGAUAUUCACUAAAGAGUCAGAGAGUUCUUCAAUCUAGUGAAUUCUAUUGUGCCGCAUGUUCUGAGGAAAAGUUAAUUGUAAGGCCAUCACCAGUAAAAGUUAGAUUUGAGCCCCUGAAUUUCUAAAAAGAAUUCAAGGAGAUAUAUGUGGACCAAUUCAUCCACCAUGUGAAUUCUUUAGAUACUUUAUGGUCCUAAUAGACUCAUCCUCAAGAUGAUCACAUGUGUGCUUAUUGUAUGGCUAACUGAAUAAGUGUUGAACAUCUAGUAGCUCAUGUUCACACACAAAAUGGAUUAGCAGAAUCACUUAUUAAACGCCUAUAAUUAAUUGCUAUACCUUUACUUAUGAGAACAAAUCUCUCUAUUUCUGUUUGGGGGUAUGCGAUUUUAUAUGCCACAACACUUAUUCAUUUGAAGCCAACAAGUUACCAUCAGUUCUCUCCCCUGCAAUUAGCUGGCCAGCAUCCAAAUAUUUUCUAUUUGAAAAUAUUUGGGUGUGCAAUAUAUGUUCCUAUUGUCCCACCUUCUCGCACCAAAAUAGGACUUCCAAAAAAAUUGGAGAUUUAUGUGGGAUAUGAUUCUCCCUCUAUAGUGAGGUAUCUUGAGAUACAAAUAGGAGACUUGUUUAAAGUCCGAUUUGCAGAUUGUCAUUUUGAUGAAUCAAUGUUUCCAACAUUGGGGGAAACGAAUAAGCCACUUGAGAAAAAAAUUAAUUGAAAUGCAUCAUCGUUAAUGCAUCUAGACCCACAAUCAGGCAAUGUGAACUAGAAGUUUAAAAGAUUAUACAUUUGCAAAGAAUAGCAAAUGAAUUACCUAAUGCAUUUUCUAAUACAAAGAGGAUAACCAAAUCCUACAUACCAGCUAAAAAUGCUCCAAUUUGAAUUGAUGUUCCAGUUAGACAAAUGGCUACUGAAACAAGUAUAGACCAGAAGCGUGGUAGACCAACUGGAUCCAAAAAUAAAAAUCUUCGGAAAAGAAGAGAGGAAUUUGAUAUUACCAAGACAAAUGAUAUUUCUGUUGAAAAAGAUAAAGACAUAGAAGGGACACCAGUAAGUGUCCAAAAUUCUGAUAUUGUUUUGAUGCCAGAAGACGUUCAGAUACCUGAAAAUUGUAAAAAUGAUAAAAUCUCGAUAAAUUAUGUCUUUACAGGAACAAAAAUAUAACCGAAAUAAAACAAUUGUCAAUAAAAUAUUUACAUAUAAUGUGAUAUUACACAUCAUGCAUGAAAGUAAGGAUCUUGAGCCAAGAACAGUCGAAGAAUAUCGACAAAGGAAUGAUUGGCCAAAAUGGGAAGAAGUUAUGAAGGUUAAGUUAGACUCACUUGCAAAACAUGAAGUCUUUGGACCUGUAGUCUGUAUACCAGAAGAUGUAAAAUCUGUUGGAUAUACAUGGGUAUUUGUGAAAAACAAAAUAAGAAAAAUGAAGUUGUACGCUACAAAGCUCGAUUUAUGGCACAAGGUUUUUUACAAAGGUCCAGUAUAGAUUAUGAAGAAACAUAUUCCCCUGUAGUAGAUGCAAUAAUAUUGCAUUAUUUGAUCAGUUUAUCCGCAUACUAUAAACUACAUGUGCAUCUAAUAGAUAUGGUGACAGCUUAUUUAUAUAGAUCAUUAGAUCGUAAUAUCUAUAUGAAAAUCCCUGAAGAACUAAAGAUAUCUAAACCAUCCAAUGAAUAUUCUCAGGAAUUAUACUCAGUCAAAUUGAAAAUAUCUUUAUAUGGUCUAAAGUAAUAUAGACAAAUGUGGUAUAAUUGUCUUACUGAGUAUCUGGCAAAAAAUGGAUUCAAGAAUGAUGAUAUCUGCCCAUGUGUUUUCAUAAAGAAAUCUGCAUCUAGAUUUAUUAUAAUUGCUGUGUACGUUGAUGAUUUAAAUAUUAUUGGAACCCUUAAAGAGAUUCCAACAAUUAUAAAAUCUCUAAAAGAAGAGUUUGAGAUGAAAGAUCUUGGAAAGACUAAAUUUUGCCUCGGCCUAUAGAUCGGGCAUAUAAAAAAUGGGAUCUUUAUUCAUCAAACAACAUACACAGAAAAGAUCUUGAAGAGAUUUUAUAUAGAUAAGUCACAUCCAUUAAGUACCCCAAUAAUCAUAAGGUCUUUGGAUGUGGAAAAGGAUCAAUUCCGUCCUAAAGAAGAAAAUGAAGAUAUCCUUAGUCCUGAAGUAUCAUAUCUUAGUGCCAUUAAAGCACUAAUGUAUCUUGCUAAUAAUAUACAAUUUGAUAUAUCAUUUGCUAUGAAUUUACUAGCAAUGUAUAGUUUCUCUCCAACCAGAAGACAUUGGAAUGGAAUCAAACAAAUCUUUUGAAAUCGUCAUAGAACUGUUGAUAUGGGCUUGUUUUAUCCAUAUGAAUCCAAGUCACAAUUAGUUGGCUAUGCAUAUGCAGGAUACUUGUCUGAUCCACACAAAGGAAGAUUUCAAAUAGGAUACCUAUUCACAUAUGGUGAUGUAGCUAUAUCGUGGAGGUUCACAAAACAGAUGAUAGCAACAUCAUCCUCUAAUAAUGCUGAAAUACUAGCGAUACAUGAAGUAAGUCACGAGUAUUUUUGGCUCAGGAGUUUAAUCCAAUAUAUUCUAUCAUCAUGUAGACUGACUAAUCAUAAAAUAGCUCUAACUAUUUGUUUGAAGAUAAUACAACAUGCAUUACUCAACUUAAGGGUGUAUACAUCAAAGGUGAUAGAACAAAGCAUAUUUCUCCUAAAUUCUUCUUCACUCAUGAUCUUCAAAAUCAAAGAACAAUUGAUGUCUAACAAAUCCACUCAAGUGAUAAUCUGGCAAAUUUAUUUACAAAGUUACUUCCAAAAUCUUCCUUUAAAAGAAUGGUACGUCAGAUUAGAAUGCGCUGAUUUCGAGAUAUUAAAUAAUAUUCAAUAAGAGGGGGAGGAUGUACUCUAAUAGAAGGAAAUCGUCGGUAUAGAAUUUUCACAAAAUAAUUCCGUUGAAGUAUAGAUCCAAACUGAUGAACAACCCUCAAUCAAAGUUUAAUUUGUUUGUCACAAGUACAAACCCAAUAAAAACUGAAAGUAUUUAAACCUUGGGUCGUCUCUAAAGGAAUUGCAGGGAAGUGUGCAUAUUAUUGGUUACAGGUGUAUAUUUUUAGGGUUUUGGGUUUGAUAGACAAGAAAAUAAAACUAACAAUUAAGGAAUUAUAAAUGCUAAAAGCUACUCAAGGCAAGGAUUAAGAAUCAAGGUAUCCUAUCCUGGAUCUUUGACCACAACAUGGUGAUUACAAAGGAUUAAUUCCACUUAGUUUUCCUCUAACAUCGAAGGGUUAAGUCAAGUGGACAUAAUUGGUCCUAGAACCAAUUAACAACCCUAAAUUACCAAUAGAACUGGACAUCAAUAAUCUCAAGGGACCUAAAUCCUCAAUCACAAGCCAAGAGUACCAAAAUCUACUCUAAAAUCCAACCAAGCAUCAAACACUUGGAAGGUAUACAAGGAAAGCAUGGUAAAAUAGCAAGAAAUAUAAAAUCUAAAACUACCAAAUACAAGAAAACAAUAAUAACAACUCAAUUAGACAAUAAGAAAUAUAAAACAUAAAAAAUUGUAUUAAAGAGAAUCCAAAUCCAACAAUAGUGCAUGAACAUAAAAGUGACAAAAUAAAGGAAAGAACGAGUAAAACUAAGAAAGCAAAGAUGCAAGAACAAUAAAUUGCAAGAAAACUAAAUUAAAGCAAGAAAUAAAUUCUAAACCUAAGAGAAAUCUAACUUAAAUCUAUCCUAAUUCUAGAGAGAAGAGAGAGCUUCUCUCUCUAGAAUGAGUGACAAAAUAAAGGAAAGAACGAGUAAAACUAAGAAAGCAAAGAUGCAAGAACAAUAAAUUGCAAGAAAACUAAAUUAAAGCAAGAAAUAAAUUCUAAACCUAAGAGAAAUCUAACUUAAAUCUAUCCUAAUUCUAGAGAGAAGAGAGAGCUUCUCUCUCUAGAAUGACUUAAAGCAUGUUUCUAUUCUAUUCUUAAUUGCUCUCCCCUCCUUCCUUCUUGAUUUUGGCCUCAAAUAGAUUCAGAAAUGAGUUAGAUUGGGCUUUGGCAGAUGCAAAAUUCGCCCCUAGCGUGCUUCAUUAAGUUGGUCACGUGCUGCUUGUCACGCGUACGCAACGUCACUUGGCGAAGUUUCUUGGUCACGCGUGCGUGUCGCUAUGAUUUUCCUAAAACUUUAUUUCUUCAUGAAUUCUCCACUUUACAUGCUUUUUCUUCACUUCUUCAAUCCAAUUCUUGCCUUCUAAGCCUGAAUUCAAUCAACAAACAUAUCAAGGCAUCGAAUGGGAUUAAAGUGAAUUAAAAUUAGCAAUUUUAAGGCCUAAAAAGCAUGUUUUUACUCUUAAACACAAUUUAGGAGAAAUUCACAAAACCAUGCUAUUUCUUUGAAUAAUGUGAGAAAAGUUGAUAAAAUCCACCAAAUUCAAUACAAGAUAAACCAUAAAAUUGUGGUUUAUCAUACUCCUUUUUUCUUGGUCAGGUUUUUUAUCCUUAUAUUAGGUUUUUUUUGACAAGGUUUUCAACAAGGUAGUCCUCGUCACAAAGGAUAUUGUACACUUUUUUCUUCACUAGAGCUUUUUUCCAUUAGGUUUUUCUUUAGUAAGGUUUUAAUAAGGCAUAAUCUUAAAUGGACAUCCAAGGAGAAUGUUGUGAUAUGGAUGUCCAUGACUUUUUUUCACAAUAUGGGCAGCUCAAUUUUUCAAUGUUGGGAGGCUCAGGUUAUCAAGACAGAUUGAAAUUAAUGAGGUUUGAAAAUAAUGACCCUCGUUAGUGUAUAAAUAGAAUAGCGUAGUUUGAGACAAAUGACACACAAUAUCAAUAUAAAACACCUCUGUCUCCUUGUAUAAAUGUACGCUAUAACAUAUUAGUGAAUAUAUAUGAAUCAUCUCAGUUAUAUUGAGAUAAUAAUAUUAGUGAAUAUUAAUACUAGAAUUCUCUAUGUAACUACAAAAUUUUUGCUGUUUUAUGGCGGUUUUUUUCUUAUUUUAUGGCAGUUAAAAACCCUACAGAUAGGUUUGUGAGAGUUUCUCAAACCUCUAAAUUGGAGGUGCCACGAGCUUAUUUGUGGCGGUUUUACAAAAUCGCUAGGACUUCAUUCAGUGGCAGUUUAAAACCCCCACAAACAUAAUAUUCAAUUUAAAAAAUGCCACAAACUGAACAACAGUAAUCGUUUACAGAAUUAGAAAAACCAUGCCACACAAUAUUAGCAUCAUUUAAAUUCAAAAUGACACUAAUUAAAGCACUAAAAUACAUAAUAAGAUGAGAAAUAAUAAAUAAUAAAAUUAGAAUUAUGUCAAAAAAUAUCUAUUCCAAAUCGUAAUACAUAUGCAAAUCAAGGAUUCUCCCAUCAAUUCAUUCUUUCUUUCACCUCCUUUAAUACAAGGAGCAACCUCUUAUUAGUGGCAUAACCAAGCUAAAUAGAAUAUUCACAGUAUGGAAGAAAGAAACCAUACCAUUUUUGGUUGUGAAUGUCCUCCUGUAUGUGUUGACAUACUUCUUCACAUCAUCUUCCUUGAAAAGGUUGAACAGCUUAUGGAUUUUGGAGGCUCUCUUUGGACCCUCAUCCUUGGCUUUUCAAUGUUUGUCAGGCCUGGUAAAUCAUUGUCACCCUUCUUCACAAUUACCAAGUUCAGAACUGAGAGGUCUUGAAUACGAAAAAAUUAAAACGCAAAACACAUGACUUGAAUGAAUGCUCUAUACAUUAUGCAGGCUAUACUAAAUGUCAUUAUAAUCUUAAACUCAAAGCAAAUUAAAAGAGACAUAUAAUAGUGUAGUGUAUUAUCUCUAUGGAGUAAGAGGCGAAUGCGAUAAUGGGGUCAAUACUCCUUGCUUCAUUGGAAUUCCUUGUUUGUCACAACCUCUAGUGAUCUUGUAGAUGUGGCCUUUGAAUUCUUGUUGGUAGAACAACAACGAAGAUGAUUAUGACAAUCUCAAAAUUGCUUAACAAAAAUUUCAGCACACCUCACCCAAAGCAUCACCAAGAACCUCUUGUGAGAUUCUCUUGUCCCAAAAUGCUCACCUAUAAUACAAAGUAGAGAUUACAACUUCUGGUCAUCAUCAAUAUCGAGCUUCUUUUGGCAUCCAGUGGUGGGAUUUGCAAUGUUGAACAGAAAAAGCAAAAUGUAUACAACAGCAAGUUUGAUUCAAUCAUGUCACCUAUGGUUUUAAAAAUUUCAAAGGAUAUGAUAAGAAUCUGGUGUACUUAAAGAUGAGGUUCAUAUUGAAUCAUUAUUAUAUGUCCAAUUUUGGUUCUCUUUUGGCCUUAGAACACUUUGUUGAGGAAAUAUAAAUCAGGUUGGGGAAAAGGUUUACUGAUUUUAUUUUCAAUAGCAAUCCUCAAUCUGAAUAAUCAUGUGAGAUGUCCAAAGUAUGUUUAGUUCAGUAUCUUUAGUACAACUACAUUGCUUCAAUCAACCUCCUUUGUGGUCCAUGACAAUGCUGCUUACAGUAAAAUUUGUGUCACUUCUUGGAAUCAAAUUUCAUCUACAAUCAUUUAAACCAAGAUACAAUAAGAUACAUAAUUAAAUAAUUUAUCAAAAGCCUAAAAUCCAACGAAGAGAUCAGACUAUAAUUUUGAGCUACUUGAAUGUUUAGAAAAUUAGAUUCUAAACUUUAUAGUAAGCACAAAAAAAUAAAGAAACAUGAGUUAUAGAAAAUUAGGAAUUUAAAAAUCCUAAAUUGAGGAGAAAUAUGAAAAGAUGUAAAAAGACCUAAUGUAGCACUGGUGGAUGGACUUGGCCAUGUCGGACUUGAAGAAAAGAAUAUGGAGGCGGCACUCGAGGAAGUUCUCGAGGGUGAGAGAAAGGAUGUAAUUGAGUUUGUUUUGUGUCUCAUUGAGGAUGUUGUAACGGAACAUCCUCAGAGGCUUAGGCGUUGCGACCAAAUCUAGAGAGGCGAUAAACCGCGACAAAAAUGGUAGCAACGACGGCGAGGCGAGCUCUCUCUCUGAAUCUCUCUGUUUCGCUCUUCUCUCAGAUAUCCUUAGUUAGUGGCACUGAGUCCACACACAAAUUGUGCUCCGAAUGCUUCACAUCCACCAAAGCAAAAGCAAAACAAGCAGAAGAACUUGCCGGGGAAGACGAUGCAACAUCGAUUGAUGUUGGCUCCGGCACGAUGGCGCAUUGAUGUAGGCUCAAAUGCGAGUGAGUCAGCGGUGGUGGAAGGAGUUGGAGAUGAGGCAUCACUAUGUUUCUCCUCCAUUAAAAUAAAAAAAAUUAUGAUUAGGGUUUUGGAGUUUCACUAUUCUUAUUAUUUCGGUGUGUUCAUUUUAUCUGGGUGGGUGUUUUAAUCAUGCAUAAAUAGCAGAAGUUUGUUGAUAAUUAUGGAGGGAGGUUUGAUAAAUUUCCAUAAAUAAAUUAUUUUAUAGAGAUUUUUAAAAACUUCCAUUAAAAAAAUUCCACAAAUAAGUAAAUAUACUGUAAUGGUAUAUAUUUCUUAAUUUUUUAAAUAUUUGUUUGAUUGUAAUUUGUUUAGGAUAUAUUAUUGUGAAAACUCAGCUCAUCCAAGCUUGUGUCGAUGAGAAUGUGCGAAGGAAAAGAAAUAAGAAAUGCAGAUCAAAAGAGAAGAGACGAGAAUUUAGGAAAGAACAAAAAUAGAAUUCCAGAACUUGGUUAAAAGUGAUUGAUCUCAAAAUAUUAUGCAAUAAAAUUGAUUUAUAUACAAUUCAUCUAAUUAUGGUUAAGCUAUACUAGAGUUAAUCCAGCUGACUAAUAAUGGUUAAAAUGUAACAAACUACAUUACAAACUCUAGCUAUGAUAUGUAAGACCCAAAAAAAAAUAAAUAAUUAAAUAAUUAAUAAAGGUAAGAAAGAAAAGUUAAAAGAUUUAAAAUUUAUAAUUGAAAAAAAAUAAAAAUAUUUAAGAUACGAAUUAAAACACUUAUCUUAAAGAUUUUGGCCUUAGAUUGGGCCAAAUAGGGAGAAAUUGAAUUGGGCGUCACUUGGACCCAAGGCCCAUGACUUAUAAACCCCUACUCACUCAAAACACACUCAUUUUACACCAAAGAGAGAGGGAUCCAUGGAUAGAAGAGGAGGAAAAGAGAGGAUGCCCUAGCCACUAUUCACUUAACACAUUCAAAUCCACAUAACUUCCGAUCCGAAGCUCCGAUCGAUGACCCGUUUGCGGCUACGCGUUACUCUCGACUUUCUCUUUGAUUCUAUACUACUUUUAAGGUGAGUACUCCCAAGAACCUUGAGCCAUUCUUUAUUCUCCCAUUCAAUUCGCAUUUUAGUUGAGUGUGUGUUGAAAGAUUGUGAUUUUGAUGCUUUAGGGAAAGCUCAAGCACAAUUUCUAGUGGGGUUUUAACCCAUGAACACGUGGCUUAAGGUAAGAGAACUUUUUUCCCUUUGAUUUCCCUUUUAUGAGCAAACCCUAGUUUGAAAUGUUAAAAUAAUUGAUGUAAUUAGAUAAUAUGGAAUAACUUGGGUACUUGGUUGAUCUUGGUGUGAAUUUGGCGCUUGAAUUUAUUGCGGAGCACUUGGUGGAAGCUUGGUGCCAUUGAUUGAGACUUGGGUGUGAUAGAGAAGAGAAUCAAAGUUGUGUGAAACCGCCGUCAAUAAGGUACGGGUUUUAAUUUUGGGUAGACAUUAUGUAAAGUUAUGUGAAAACCUAGGUUAAUUGCCUUAAGAUAGGAUAGAAUGGAGAUGGUUGGUUUAUGAUUGACUAAUUGUUGUGAUAUAGUGUGAAUUUGAGAAAUGAGUAUGUUUGAGUUGAAUAUGUAUUGUGCUUGGAUAAAUGUUGUGGUUGAUUGCCUUUGAAAUACUUUGAUACAAAAAUUGGGGCAGAGGCCGUGAUAAGGUGAGGUAUCCCCUAUUUGGUAAGUUAUGGUAAGUUGAUAAGCACCAUAUUGUGAAUUAUUGUGAAAUUGAUAAGAAUUGGUUGAACAAUUGAUUGUUUGAUUUUGAUUAUUGGUGGAAUAAAUGUUGGAAUGGAUUGAUGGUAUUGAAUUGGGUUGAUUAGGUUUGGAAUGAUUUGAAUUGAUAAUUGUAUAAAAAAAAUGGUGCCUAGAAUUAGGUUAGGUUGUUUUGAAAGUAGCAAAUUUGAGAAUUUGUGAAAUUGACAAUUAUGCAAAAAUUGGUAAAAAUAGAUUUUUGACCAACUUUGAUAGGCAAUAACUUGUCGCUCGAAGCUUGAAAUUUAAUGAACUUUACCUUAAAUUAAAGAUGAUGAUGAGAGCUUUAAAAGAAUGGAGAAAAACAGAGUUUUGUAGCAAACGUUCUUCACAUUUGAAAAUUGGUGUAAAAAACUGAAAUUGCAGAGUUUGCAGAAAACCAGCAAAACUGGCUAGUGUGCGCGCGCACAGAAGCGUGCGUGCGCACCACUCAAAGUGAGUGAUGCAGCUUGUGUGUACGCACGAGGGAUGCAUACGCAUGAGUCAGGAAAAGUUACAACUUGCACACACCUGUUUUUUCAAAAUCCUAUUUUUGACUGUUCCACCUUUCUGGCGAGGUUGUAACCCCCUCUAACCUCUGUAUGGAGUUGAAUAACUGAUAAUUAAGUCUUGAAUACACUGGGGAGUGAUACAAAAAAUUAGAUUGAACUAUUACAUAUUUUCGGAUAAACACUUAGUUAACCGGAUAAAAUGUUGUGUGGAUGAUGGUUUUGUCCUGCCCGCGGUAAGGACAGUGGUUUCAUCCUGCUCACAGAAUAAUGAGGUCGAUUGUUAAUGAAUGAAUGGGGUUAAUAAAUCUAAUAACUUGUGAAAUUGAUUAAAUUAAUAAUUAUUGAUUAAUUACCUAGGUAAGAUGCAAGUAUUGAGGUUUGUCCCACUUGCUUUGGGUUAGGAUUUAAGGCACCUGGAUAAGAUGCAUGGAUCAUGGCUCUGUCCCAUUUGCUCUAGGUUAAGUGGGAAUGGUGGCCUUGUCCCACCCACAGGGAGGACGGUGGUAUUAUCCUACUCAUAAGAAAAUAGAAUUGAUUACUUGAUAAAGAAUUGAGGAUAACGAAUCUAAGUUUGAUAAAUUGAUAAAAAGAUGAGGGUUAAUGAGUUUAAUAACUUACGAAAUUGCUAAAAGACCUUGAUAUUGAUUGAUUAUGGCCUAAAUGGCUGGAUUGACAAGGACGGAGGUUUGUAAUGCUUGCAAGGCAAGGUCGUGGGUUUUGUCCUGCUUACGUUAUUAGUGUUGUGAGGACAGUGGUUGCAUCCCGCUCACGAAUAGGCAAGUUGAGGUUGAGGAUUCCCUCCCUUGCUGUGAUAAACAAGUUGAGGAUGAAGGAUUCCUUCUCUUGUUGUGAUGUGGAAUUGGGGAAGGUGGUAGGACACUCUUCCUCGUUUUAUUCCCUCGCUUCUCUUUAAUUAUGAUUUGUUGGAUGUGGAAAAGGUGGUAGGGCACUCUCUCUUGAUGUAUUCCCCCACAUUCGCUCUGUCUGCAGGGUUGUAGGGCACUAAUCCCUCGAUCUGUAUGGCACGACUUCACAGGGAAAGGUGGUAGGGCACACUCCCUCGAUUUAUUUCCCCUGAUGACUGCCUCCAAGAGAAGGUGGUAGGGCAUACUCCCUCGAUUAUAUGCCUCCUGAAGAUGCGCAACAGAAAAACGAUAUCUAGGAUAGUGAUGAAUCCAUAUUUGAUGAUAAUUUUGGUUGAAAUUGAGUGGAUUUCAUCAUAUAAACCUGCACUUAUUCCCUUAAAUAGCAUGCUUUUGAGCUUUCCUCCUAAAUUGUGCUUGAUUAUGAAAACAUGCUCUUUUGUGUCUAAUUUAGCCUAUUUUAUUCUGUUUACCUUUCAUUCGAUACCUUGAUGUUGUUUAUGAGUAAUUUCAGAUGUAUAAGGUAGGAAUGGCUUGGUGAGAAUGGAAGAGAAGCAUGCAAGGAGGAGGAAGCAUGAAGAAUUAAAGGAGAAGAGCAAAGCGACGUGUGUGUAUGCACAGACCUGCGUCCGUAUGCAUAGGUACCAAAGCAGAGCAAAGCGUGCGCGCACGCAGCAUCUUGCGCGUCGCACGAUCAUCCAAAGCAUCGCAAAGUGUGCGUGCGCACAACCAGAGAUUUUGGCCGAGUGUGCGUGUGCACACGUCUGUGCGUACGCACAAGUACCUGCACAUGCCUUCAUUAAAAAUGCACAUGACUCACAUUUUUGAUGGAUUGGAGGCCCAAUUCUGAAGCCAAUAGCUCAUAAUAGAGGGGGAAAACAUGGGAAAACCAUACCAUACCAUAGGAUAUCAUUAGAAUAGUUUUAGGAGUAGUAUUAGGAGACUUUAGUGUAGUUUUUCUCUAAGUUUUCUCUCAACUCCAUUAGGGUUUUUAUUAGGGUUUUACAUUUCAAGUGCCAUUUCUAUUUUUGAUCUGGAAUUUUGUUAGCCUCCAUUGUAAGUAUUUCUUAAUUACUACUCUUUAUAGUUACAAUUUUUAUACUCUUUCUUGUAAUUAAAGUCUUAGUGUUAAUAUAUAUUUUUUGCAAUUUUGAUUUCUUGUUGAUGCUUUUGAUGAUUGAUGAUUAUUACAUGCUUGGUUGAGUUGUUAUUGUUGCUUUUGAUCAUUUGUUACUCAUAGUUUCAAGCAUUUUCUUAAUUUUACCUUGAUUUGCAUUUGUGCUCACCAAGUGUUUGUAGAAAUGUCAAUUUUGAUUAUAGGCUAAAUUUCCACCUCUUGACUUGGGAAAAAUGAGCCAUUGGGUUCCUAGAGUUGGAAUGUCCAACAUUUAGUUAUAAUUCUUGGAUUGUUAAUUGUUCUUGUUUCCACUAAUGCUAACUUGUUGCUAAGGUAAUUAGCAAGUGAGUUAGGAUUUGGGGAUUGGGAACAAUUAUGCUUACUUGACUUAUUCUCCGAUGUGAGGGUUAAAUAAGUGAGAUUAAUUCAUUAUAAUUGUCAUAAUUGUGGUUCCAACAAGGAAAGGAGCCCUAGCUCAUCCUAAGCCAAGAUUUCAUUUAUGUUUUAAAUCACACACACAUACAUACAUCAAUCACUUUCGUUGCGUACUUGUUUAUAUUACAUAGUUAGUUCUUUAAUUCCUUUAUUAGUUCAUUACUUGCAAUUUUGAAUGUUCUUUUAUUUCUUUAAUUGUUUAUAUCUUCAUGAAAAAUCUUUUUGCCUUCACAACCGAAAUUGUGCACUCAUUGGUCACUAGGUCCUUGGGAGACGACCCGAAAAUUAAAACUCCCGGUUUAUAUUUAUUUUGAAUUGUGACAUCUUUUGUCCUUCCAAACUUUGAUGGGGAGUUGAUUGUCGGUUGGGACUAUGCUACCAACGAAAUGAUCCCUAUUUUGAGGAAAAAUUCCUAACCGGCGAUAACGGCCCCACCAAGUUUUUGGCGCCGUUGCCGGGGAUUACUAAGUGCAAUGUAUGCUAUAGUUUUGGUUGUCGUGAAUAUGUGAAUAGUUUGAAUGCUUGAAUUUUGCUUAUUACUUGACACUAAUUGGUAGAUGGUACCUCUAUCUAAUUAGUAGUAGUAGUUAUUGACUUUUAGGUUAUUUUUGUUUAUUUCCUUAUUCUAGUUUUGCUUUUGGUAAUUGCAUGUUUUCAUUGAUUCCUCAGUUGAAUGACACGGCCCGAGCUUGGCCCCUUUUGACCCUGAAAUAGAAAGGACUUUAACACAUCUUAGGCAAGCUCGGCGCCAGUUAGCAUUCGUGCAUAGUGAAUCGAACUCUCUUGAAGAGCAAACCGGUUCACCAUCACCUUCUAACCUUGAUCCUCAUUCUUCACUUAACGAGGGAACCUUGUAUUCUUCUGUUGGAAGUGCUGAAAUUUUUUUGAGUGAAUUAGGUGACAACACUAUGGUGGAUCCACCUCGGAGAAUUACUUUGAAGGAGGCUGGAGUGCCGGACAUUACUUUGCAACCAGUGCAAGUUUGGUACCCAGAUCUAGAUGCCAAUUUUGAGCUCAAGACGGGUAUGAUCAACCUGCUACCAAAAUAUAAUGGGCUACCGGGAGAAGACCCUCUCAAGCACUUGAAGGAUUUUCAAGUUGUGUGCUCUUCUGCAAGAAGACAUGGGUCAGAUGAGAUAGUGGUUAUAGUUUUCGCUUUCCCUUUUUCACUAGAGGAAAAAGCGAAAGAAUGGUUUUACACUCAACCGGAGGAGGUGAUUUCUAAUUAGAAUUUGUUGCGCAAGGAGUUCCUUGAGAAGUUUUACCCACCUCAAAAGACGGAUCGUCUAAGGAAGGAAAUCUCUUGCAUCAUGCAAAGAGAUGGAAAGACCCUUUAUGAAUAUUGGGAAAGGUUCAAAAAGUUGUUGGAAGCUUGUCCUUACCACUGCAUUGAUGAAUUAGUGUUCAUAAGUUACUUUUUCCAAGGGAUGAUUCCCCAAGACAAGCUUAUUCUUGAUGCCUCAAGUAGAGGAUCUCUCACUAAGAACAAAACCGCAUCGGAAGCUUAAAAAGUCAUUGCGGAUUUGGCGGAUUCGACUCAACAUUUAAGGUCAAGAAAUAACCAAAGGCUAUAGGUGAAGUCUCACCUUCUGGUGAUGCUAUCUUGACUAAGACGCUCGGUGAGAUGACAAUCAUGUUAAGGCAGCUCACUCAAGGCCAACAAAUUCUACAAGUGUUGUUAUCCCCUCUGCCCCAACCUCCUAGAAUUAAAGGACCUCCUAGAUCUUGUGGUAUUUGUGCUUGUAACAGUCACUACACCGAUGAGUGCCCUCAAAUCCAAGAGGACAACACAUUGGCAGUGGCAAAUUCUUACCCACAAAGAUUAAGGCAAUCAAGGAUCUCAUCAUUAUGGAGGGAACCAAAGUCAAGGAUAGAGAGAUAACUCCCAUCAAAUAUGGAAUCAACCAUCUCAAGCUCAACCUUAUUCCAACCAACAAGUCUAUUAUCACCAACCUUCACAAGGCCAACAACCUUACCCUCAACCACCAUAACCUAUCUACCCACCAUACCAACCACAAAGCCCACCUCAUACCCAACCCAAUCAACAACCACAUUCCCAACAUCAAUCAAGGUAUAUACCACCACACACUAGGCCUAACCUCACCCAAAAUAAUCAAAUCCCCUCUCCAAGUCAACCUCACAUGAACGAUUCACUUCAAAGUUUCAUGCAAGAGCAAAGGGAGUUUCAUAAGAAGCAAGAAACGUACAUGGCAACCAUUGCCGAAACUUUAUCCGUUUGACUCUUUCUCCUUCAGCCACUCAAAAUGCCCAUCAAGCUUCCACCUCUAGUGGUCUACCUUCUCAACCCCAACCAAACUCAAAGGGAAGCAUUAAUGCUAUCACCCUUAGGAGUGGUAUCAAGUUAGAUGAAGUUGGUCUUGAGCCUACAAGUUUGAGCAAGGAACCCCACGAUGAGGAAAUAGAAGAAGAAGUGGAAGUGAUGAGAGAUGAGGAAGAAAAUAUUGCAAGAGGUGAGGAAGAACCAUCAAAGGUCAAAGAGCCUAAAAGGAAGAACCCUCUUGAAGAGCCUACACCAAUUCCUUUUCCAACAUUGGCUAAAAAAGCAAAGAAGCAUGAAGGCCUUGACCCCAAUGUAGUGGAGAUUUUCAAGAAUGUGAAAGUUACCGUUCUUCUUUUUCAAGCCAUUCAACAAGUGCCAAAGUAUGCAAAAUUCCUCAAGGAUGUGUGCACCCAUAAGGACAAGAUUGGUGAGCUAAACAAGAGUCCGGUAAAUGACUUUAUCUCUUAUCUCAUUCCGGAAAAGUGUAAUGAUCCCGGUCCAUGUUUGGUAACUUGUGUGAUUGGUGGGAUGGAGUUCAUGGAUUGCAUGUGUGAUUUGGGAGCGUGUGUAAGCAUUAUGCCCCCUCCCUAUCUAUGAGAAGUUGAACUUGUCACCAUUGAAGAGGUCCGGAGCAAGAUUUGUGUUGACGGAUAAAAGCAUUGUGUCAGUUGUCAGAAUUGCUGAGAAUGUGUUGGUCAAUAUCCAAGGGUUGCUCUUUCCGAUAGACUUUCAUAUCUUGGAAACCCCUCCAAUUGAUUCAGACAAGCCAUCCUCUAUUCUCCUUGGGAGACCAUUUUUGAAGAUGUCCCGAUUCAAGUUGGAUGCAUAUUCGGGAGCUUACUCAUUUGAGGCCGAUGGAAAAAUAGUGAAGUUUACUUUGGAUGGAUCCAAGAAGCCUACUCUUGAAGGCUACUCUAUCUUUGGUUGUGACUUAAUUGAAGAUCAAGUGAUUGAACCUAGUAAGGAGCAGGAAGAAGAAAAGCAUGCCAAGGAGUUGGAGAUUUUCCUCUUUGGAGAGGUUCCAAAUGCUCAAUAAACUCAUGCAAGUCCAACUUAGGACUCUAAACCAAAGCGCUAGGUGGGAGACACGCCACCAUGGUAACAUUAUUCUAACCCUUCUUCUUUUGCUUAUAGUUCUUAGAUUUAAUUUCUUUCUUGUGCUAUGUUGAUUAGUAUAGGAUUGGUUUAGUUUUUUAGUUAGAUAGGUUAAAUUGCUUGUGGAUCAUGAAUAUUUGAAUGCUUGUAUGAUUGGGGUUGAAAUGUUGAUUUCACUAAGGCUUAGUACCUUAGUUUUAGAGAGAAAAAUUUUUGGAACAGGGCAUCUGUGCGUAUGCACACUCUUGUGUGUGCGCACAUAACUUCAAUUUUCAGCGUCCUGUGCGUGUGCACCAGCCUGUACGUGCGCACACUCUUGUGCCCUCUGUUCGUAGCGCCAGCACAGCCUGUGCGUGGGCGCUCUCCUGUUUCCUUUGAUCUGUGCGUGCGCAUCUUCUUGUGAGUACGCACACAUGCCUCCUUUCGCACACUUUGUGCGAGCGCACAGGCGUGUGCGCCCGCACGCCAACUUGCACCCUCUCUGCUGGGAGCGUUGGCACAGCCUGUGCGCGUGAACCCCUUUUGUUUUCACCCCUAUGCGUGCGCAUAGACCUGUGUGCGCACGCGCACAUAUCCCUUGCCCAAGAAAUUGCAAAGUAUUUAAGAAAAAAAAUUCUGUACAUAGUAGCAUAUGAAAUGAAAAGUUAAAUAAAGGAUGUAUAUGUUUGUGUUGAGGAAAAUAAAAUGAAUGAGUAGAUGUGAGAUAGGAGAUAAAUGGGUAGUUAGGUAGUUUUGUUAUGUGUAUAUAGGAUGGUAUAAGAUUAGGUGGUCACUUGAGCUAAUCAAAGAUAUAAUUCACUAAGUCCACUUAACCAUAUUAAUCCCACUUUAAUCCUAGCCCCAUUACAACCCUCCAAAGACCUCAUGAUAUUUGUUUUUCAUGCAUCAAAUAUUAGUUGAUUGUUAGAUGACUUGCAAAUCUUUGAAAGACACGAUUAAAGGAGAAUUGAGUGAUUAAGCCCUAAACACUGAGCGAAUAGAGUGAAUACACACCCAGUGAGGGGUUCGAUCGCUCAGUUCUAUGUUCUUAUUCCUUAUAUUGUAUCUUCUUGCAAGUUGUUUGUUGUUACUUUUGAAAAUCUCAACUCAAUUCUUUGGACAUUGAUCAUAAUGCAUUUACUCUUUGCCUUGGCCUUAAGGCUUUCUUAGAAUUGAUUGAAAUUUCAUGGUUUGUUCCUACCAAAUUUUAGUAGAGUAGAUAUUAGUAAGUAAUAUCUAGGAUAGUUGCAUGCAUUUAGGUAGUACAUAGAAUAAAUUGUUUUCCCCUUCAUUCAUCUCCUUUUAAUGUAAUUAGCAUGAGGACAUGCUAGUGUUUAAGUGUGGGAGAAUUUAUGAAUCCAUAUUUGAUGAUGAUUUUUAGUUAAAAUUGAGUGGAUUUCAUCAUAUAAACCUGCACUUAUUCCCUUAAAUAGCAUGCUUUUGAGCUUUCCUCCUAAAUUGUGCUUGAUUAUGAAAACAUGCUUUUUUGUGCCUAAUUUAGCCUAUUUUAUUCCAUUUACCUUCCAUUCGAUACCUUGAUGUUGUUUGUGAGUGAUUUCAGAUGUAUAAGGUAGGAAUGGGUUGGUGAGAAUGGAAGAGGAGCAUGCAAAGAGGAGGAAGCACGAAGAAUCAAAGGAGAAGAGCAAAGCGAUGUGUGCGUACGCACAAACCUGCGUGCGUACGCACAGGUACCAAAGCAGAGCGAAGUGUGCGCGCGUGCAGCAUCUUGCGCGUCGCACGAUCAUCCAAAGCAUCGCAAAGUGUGCGUGUGCACAACCUCUUGUGCAUGCGCACAACCAGAGAUUUUGGCCGAGUGUGCGUGCACACACGUCUGUACGUACGCACAAGUACCCGAACAUGCCUUCAUUAAAAAUGCACGUGACUCGCAUUUUUGAUGGAUUGGAGGCCCAAUUCUAAAGCCAGUAGCUCAUAAUGGAGGGGGAAAACAUGGGGAAACCAUACCAUACUGAUGAGCGGAUAUUUUAUACGCUUUUUGGGGUUAAUUUCAUAUAGUUUUUAGUAUAUUCUAGUUAGUUUUUAGUUUAUCAUGAGUCUCUAAACUCCAUUGUUGGGGGUGAGGAGCUCUGCUGUGUCUCGAUGAAUUAAUGCAAGUAUUUCUGUUUUCCAUUCAAACAUGCGUGUUCCUAUCUAAGAUAUCCAUUUGCGCCUAACUAUGGAGAAGGUGAUGAUCAGUGACACUCAUCACCUUCCUCAAUCCAUGAAUGUGUGUCUUACAAUCACCUCCGUUCUACAUCAGAUUGAAUGAAUAUCUCUUAGAUUCCUUAAUCAGAAUCUCCGUGGUAUAAGCUAGAUUGAUGGCGGCAUUCAUGAGAAUCCGGAAAGUCUAAACCUUGUAUGUGGUAUUCCGAGUAGGAUUCUGGGAUUGGAUGGCUGUGACGAACUUCAAACUCACGAGUGCUGGGCGUAGUGACAGACGCAAAAGGAUAGUAAAUCCUAUUCCGGUACAACUGAGAACCUGCAGAUGAUUAGCCGUGUGGUGACAGCGCACCUGGACCCUUUUCACUGGAAGGAUGGAUGGUAGCCUUUGACAACGGUGAUCCACCAACACGCAGCUUGCCAUAGGAGGACGUGCGUGCGUGAAUCAGAAGACAGAGGAAAGCAGAGAUUCAGAAGACAAAGCAUCUCCAAAACUCCAACAUAUUCUCCAUUACUGCAUAACAAGUAACCUUUAACCCAUGCUCUCUUGUUUAUUCGCAAUUCAACUGAUAAAUAUAAUUAACUUCCUGACUAAGAAUUGCAAGAUAACCAUAGAUUGCUUCAAACCAACAAUCUCCGUGGGAUUCGACCCUUACUCACGUAAGGUAUUACUUGGAUGACCUAGUGCACUUGCUGGUUAGUGGUACGAGUUGUGAAAAGUGUGAUUCACAAUUCGUGCACCAAGUUUUUGGCGCCGUUGUCGGGGAUUGUUCGUGUUUGGAUAACUAACGGUUUAUUUUGUUGCUUAGAUUAGGAAAAAUUUCUCUUUUUUUGUUUAGAGUCUCUUAUUAUUGUCGUGUUAAAAUUUUAGAAUCCUUAUUUUCUUUUUAAAAUCUUUUUCAAAAAUCUUUUUUUUCUUUUAAAUCUUGUGCCGAACUUUAAGUUUGGUGUUUUCUUGUUGAUUUUUCUUAAAAUUUUCGAAAAUUUAUUUUGAUUUUCUAAAAAUUUUAAGUUUGGUAUUCUUCCUUCAUGUUCUUGUGUUCUUGUGAGUCUUCAAAGUGUUCUUGAGUUUUCCUUGUGUCUUAAUCUUAAAAUUUUUAAGUUUGGUGUUCCUUGGUGUUUUUUUUAUUCAGAUGCUGAAAAAGGACUGCAGAUGCUGUUGGAUUAUGACCUCCCUGCACUUAAAAUGGAUUUUUUAGAGCUAUAGAAACCCAAUUGGUGCGCUCUUAAUUGCGUUGGAAAGUAGACCAGGAGGACUCUGGGGUCAUAUUCUAACCCCUCUACUGCAUCAUAUGGGAGUAGCAUCUGCAUACCCUCCAUUGGAGUCAGUAGCUUUGAGUUGAAUCCUCAGCUCAUUAUCAUGGUGCAGCAAAGUUGCCAGUAUUCCGGUCUUCCACAAGAAGAACCUACAGAGUUUCUGGCACAAUUUCUACAGAUUGCUGACACAGUACAUGAUAAAGAAAUAGAUCAGGAUGUCUACAGACUAUUACUGUUUUUAUUUGCUAUAAAAGAUGAAGUUAAGAGGUGGUUGAAUAACCAACCUAAGGCCAGCAUAAGGACAUGGAAACAGCUGACAGAAAAAUUCCUGAAUCAAUACUUUCUCCCAAAAUGGAUGACACAGCUAAGGUUGGACAUCCAAGGCUUUAAACAAGGAGAUAGUGAAUCUCUUUAUGAUGCCUGGGAGAGAUACAGAGAGAUGCUACGAAAAUUCCCCUCUGAAAUGUUUUCAGAGUGGGUUCAGUUAGACAUCUUCUACUAUGGGCUUGCAGAAGGAGCUCAGAUGUCUCUAGAUUACUCAGCUGGUGGAUCUAUCCACAUGAGAAAGACAAUUGAAGAGGCUCAAGAGCUCAUUGAUACAGUUGCCAAGAAUCAGCAUCUGUACCUAAGUAGUGACCCUUCCAUGAAAGAAGAGGUUAAAACAGCAACUGCUGAACUCAGUCCUGUGAAACAAGCUGCUGAAUUCAAUCAGCAAUUGGACUUUCUAACAAAGCAGUUAGCCGAAUUCAAAGAUAGACUACAAGAGACAAGGAUGGCUAAUAUACAUAUGGAAGAACAGUUUAAGCAAACAAAGCAGCAGCUAUCAAAGCAAAUAGCAGAAGAAUGCCAAGCAGUUCAACUAAGAAGUGGGAAAACAUUAAAUACCCCACCUCAAGGAAGAAAACAGCCAAGGAAUGAGCAAACCACCCAAAAUUCACCUGAGGACAGUAAGAGCCCAGGNNNNNNNNNNNNNNNNNNNNNNNNNNNNNNNNNNNNNNNNNNNNNNNNNNNNNNNNNNNNNNNNNNNNNNNNNNNNNNNNNNNNNNNNNNNNNAACGCCCAGACCAUGCUCAGGACUGGCGUUCAACGCCAGAAACAAGGCAGGACUGGCGUUCAAUGCCAGAAAUAGGCAAGAGUCUGACGUUGAAUAUGAAAAGAAUAAACUGGUUUCUACAAGAACAGUUACAGGGUGGCGCAUGUGUAUUGACUACAGAAGGCUCAAUACAGCCACCAGAAAGGAUCAUUUUCCUUUACCAUUCAUAGACCAGAUGCUAGAAAGACUGGCAGGUCAUGAUUAUUACUGCUUUUUGGAUGGCUACUCAGGCUAUAACCAGAUUGCAGUAGAUCCUCAGGAUCAAGAGAAAAUAGCAUUCACAUGUCCAUCUGGAGUGUUUGCUUAUAGAAGGAUGCCAUUUGGGCUGUGUAAUGCGCCUGCAACCUUCCAGAGAUGCAUGCUCUCCAUUUUCUCUGAUAUGGUGGAAAAAUUUCUGGAAGUCUUCAUGGAUGACUUCUCAGUAUAUGGAGACUCAUUCAGCUCCUGUCUUGAUCACCUGAAACUUGUUCUGAAAAGAUGCCAAGAGACCAACCUAGUUUUAAACCGGGAAAAAUGUCACUUCAUGGUGACUGAAGGGAUUGUUCUUGGGCAUAAAAUCUCAAACAAGGAAAUAGAGGUGGAUCAAGCAAAAAUAGAGGUAAUUGAAAAAUUACCACCACUUGCCAAUGUUAAGGCAAUCAGAAGCUUUCUGGGAUAUGCAGGAUUCUAUAGGAGGUUUAUAAAGGAUUUUUCAAAAAUCUCAAAACCUCUAAGCAAUCUGCUAGCUGCUGACACACCAUUUGUGUUUGACACAGAGUGCCUGCAGGUGUUUGAAAUGCUGAAAGCUAAGCUGGUCACAGCACUGACCAUGCCGUUCUUAAAUAUCUACUCACAAAGCAGGAUUCAAAACCCAGGCUCAUCAGAUGGGUGUUGCUUCUGCAAGAGUUUGAUAUAGAAAUAAGAGACAGAAAAGGGAUAGAAAACCAAGUGGCUGAUCACCUGUCCCGGAUAGAGCCAGUAAAAGGGACGCCCCUCCCCUCUCUUGAGAUCUCUGAGACUUUUCCUGAUGAGCAUUUAUUUGCCAUUCAGGAGACACCAUGGUUUGCCGAUAUUGCAAACUAUAAAGCUGCAAGGUUCAUACCCAAAGAGUACAACAGGCAACAAAAGAAAAAAUUAAUCACUGAUGCAAAGUACUACUUGUGGGAUGAACCCUAUCUCUUUAAGAGAUGUGCAGACGGAAUAAUCCGUAGGUGUGUGCCUAGAGAAGAAGCACAGAGAAUCCUAUGGCAUUGCCAUGGAUCAUAAUAUGGAGGCCAUUUCGGAGGUGAGCGAACAGCCACCAAGGUCCUCCAAUGUGGCUUCUAUUGGCCCACACUCUAUAGAGAUUCCCGAGAGUUUGUACGUAACUGUGACAGUUGCCAAAGAGCUGGUAAUCUGCCUCAUGGUUACGCCAUGCCUCAACAAGGAAUAUUGGAGAUUGAGUUGUUCGAUGUAUGGGGAAUUGACUUCAUGGGACCUUUCCCACGAUCAUACUCAAACACUUAUAUUCUGGUGGCAGUUGACUAUGUAUCAAAAUGGGUUGAGGCCAUUGCCACACCCACCAAUGAUACUAAAACAGUGCUGAAGUUCCUCCAGAAACAUAUCUUUAGCAGGUUUGGUGUCCCUAGAGUACUAAUCAGUGAUGGGGGCACUCACUUCUGCAACAAACAGCUUUAUUCUGCCAUGGUUCAGUAUGGGAUUCGCCACAAGGUGGCUACUCCAUAUCAUCCACAAACUAAUGGGCAAGCUGAAGUCUCUAACAGAGAAUUAAAGAGAAAUAAAAAAAGUGGCAUGACAGAAAGCUGUCAUCUAGAAUCUUUGAACCAGGACAGAAGGUUCUGCUGUUUAACUCUAGACUCAAGCUAUUCCCCAGGAAACUGAAAUCCCGGUGGAGGGGACCAUAUGUGAUUACAAGUGUAUCACCAUACGGUUAUGUGGAGCUUCAAGAUAUUGAUUCUGAUAAGAAGUUCAUUGUCAAUAGACAGAGAAUCAAGCAAUAUCUUGAAGGCAACAUUGAGCAAGAGUGCUCAAGGCUGAAGCUAGAUUAAAAGCUCAGCAAAGUCCAGCUAAAGACAAUAAAGAAGCGCUUGCUGGGAGGCAACCCAGCCAUGGGGCAUCAAUCCUCUGAACAUUUUGCCCUAUUUUUAUUUUUAUUUGUUUAUAUAAAGUUCAUUGAUACUAAGGUAAAGAAUCAACUUUAUAAAUUCACAGGGUCACAGAAGGAAUCUGCACUCAAAACAGAGAAAAAGAGCUCACUGGCAAGAAAACGCCAGUAAGAAGCCAUUUUGGGCGUUCAGCGCCCAAAAGGGGCAUCCAGUGGGCGCUGAACGCCAGUAAAGAUAGCUAUCUGGCGUUCAACGCCAGAAAAGAGCAACAACUGGGCGUUGAACGCCCAGGAGAGCAGCAUUUGGGCGUUGAACGCCCAAAACAGGCAGUGUUUGGGCGUUCAAAUGCCAGGAUGAUGGGGAGGAGGUAAAUUCGUUUUUCUUCAUAUUUUUCACUCUAAUUUUAACUUUCAUGUUUCAAUUCAUGAUUUCUUACAUAAACAUGUCAAGAACCCUGGUUUCUAAAAUCCCUAAUUUCUAAAAAUCCUACUUUAAAAAUAUCAAAUGUAUCUUAAUCCAUAAGCACAAACCCUCUUUUUCAAUCCAAUUCAACUCUUUUCCAAAAACCUUUUCAACUCAUCAAUAUCUUUUUCAAAUCACCACAGUAUCUUUUUCAAAAUCUAGAUUUAUCUUUUUUAAAAAAAAAUUUUUCAUAUCUUUUCAACUAUAUCCUCUCUUAUUAUAUCUUCUAUCUUAUCUUUUCCAAAUCAAUCUUUUUUAUCAUAUCUUUUCUAAAUUUUCGAACCCACCCCCCUUCCCUUUAAAUAUGGGUUCGGCCUCACUCCCCUUCCAUCAACAAUUGCACCUAGCUCUCCUUCUAUCCCUCUCCUUUCUUUUCUUUUGCUUGAGGACAAGCAAACCUCUAAGUUUGGUGUGUUUAUCCGAGAUCACUAAGAUCAUGGCUCCUAAAGAAAAACAACCCACUCCAAGAGGCAAGAAAGAGAGCACUCCAAAACCACUUUGGAAUCAAGGGAAGUUCUUAUCUAAAGAACAUUCAGACCAUUAUUACAAAAUAAUGGGUCUGAGAUCAGUGAUCCCGGAAGUUAGAUUCGAUCUGAAAGAAGAUGAAUAUCCGGAGAUCCAGGAGCAAAUUCGAAUCAGGAACUGGGAAGUCCUAGCUAAUCCUGAAACGAAAGUGGGGAGGAACAUGGUCCAGGAGUUCUAUGCUAAUAUGUGGCAAACAGACAAGCAGAAACUAUCUGGGACUGCUUUCUAUGACUAUCGGACCGCGGUCAGAGGAAAGAUUGUUCAUACCCACCCUGACAGGAUCAGGGAGAUCUUAAAGCUACCUCAGCUGAAUUUACUGUUUAAUGCUUUUGAACUCUCAAACAUUAUUUUCUGCUUGCCUAACUAAGUAAAUUAAUCAACCAUCGUUGCUUAGUUCAUCAAUCCUCGUGGGAUCGACCCUCACUCACCUGAGGUAUUACUUGGUACGACCCGGUGCACUUGCCGGUUAGUUUGUGGACUUUAAAUUUUGCACCAAGUUUUUGGCGCCGUUGCCGGGGAUUGAUAGUGAUUAACAACUAUUAGUUGUUUGAUUGCUUAGAUUAGGCGUUUUAGUUUUAAUUUUAUUUAAAUUUUACUUUAGUAUUUUCGAAAAAAAAAUAAAUAGCACUAAUAUUUUUCUUAAUUUUCGAAAUUAAGUUUGGUGUUUCCUAGUUAGUCUUAUUUUAAUUUUUCUUAUUUAAUAUUUGCUUUAGUAUUUUCAAAAAAAAAGAAUUCUGUUCUUUCUUCUUUGCUUUCCUGUUUACCACAUGGUGCGUUUAAUUCUUUUUGGUGUUUUGUGCUAAGAAAAAUAAUGGAGAGAUCACAUGGUUUACUACUCACACCCAAGGAGUGAUUCAUAUUAUUAUGAAUGGGGGAACUACCCAAAUUUUGGUUGGCAAAGUCAAAACCAAAGAAACUUCAGUGCUCCAUGUUCCAACUAUCAAGAACCACCAUCUCCAUAUUCAUACCAAGAACCACCACCUCUCUAUCCAUAUCAAUAACCAUCAUCUUUCUACCCAUAUCAAGAGCCACUAUCUCCCUAUUUAUACCAAGAACCAUCAUCUUUUUACUCUUAUCAAGAAUCAUCAUCUCCUUCUUAUUCAUAUCUAGAGCCACCAUCUCCUUAUUCAUAUCAAGUACCAUCAGAUCUUGAGCUUCUCAUGAAAGAAUUCAGACAUGAUAUAAAGACGAGUGUCAAAAAUGUAGAGAAACAUGUGCAGUCGAUUAUCAAGUCCCAGGAAGAGGAACAAGCAAAUUCCUUCCCAAGAGAUAUAAUGCAAGAUCCUAUAGAAGAAAGUGAGGAAAUUAAUCAAAAGAGUUUAUACUCCAAUGAAUUAGAGAACUUCCCACCCUCACACAUGAAAGAAGAGGAAGAUACAAAAACAAAGGAGGAAGAUGCAUAAACAAAAAAGAUUGUAAGGGAUGAAAAUAAUUAUGGGAAUUUACACUCCAAUGAAGUAGAUAUUGGCAUAGAUAAUGAGUUUAUUGAACCACCAAUUCAAGAAGUUCUUGAUGAAGGGUACACUUUAACCAUCACACAACACCCAAAUUUUGAAAUCAAAGAAGUGAAGGAAACCAAGGAAAGCACUGAAAAGGGGAUUGUGACCAAGAAACCGAAGAAAAUAUCCAUGAAAAAGAGAAGGUCAGAAAAAAACAAUCCAACCUCUACACCAACAAGCAAGGUGAAUCAAGUUAAUCACAAUAAAAGAAAGCUUGUUAGGAGGAAUUUAUAUCAGGGGGCACUAAUUUUCACCUCUCCCCCCUUGGAGACAUUUCAUUUAACCAACUGGAAAAAGAGGAAGAAAAUUCAACAAUCAAGUGUCAAGCUAGUGACAUUAAAGAAGCGCAUGUUGGGAGGCAACCCGAUAAUUUCGUAUCCUUAGUUAUUUUUUGUAGUAGUGAUUUUCUUAUUUAUUUGAUUUUUAUUGAGUUUUUACUGUUUUUCUGAUCAUGCAGCUAUUUUAGAACAGGAACCGAACACUUAAAAAAAGCACACGACGCGUACGCGUCAUAUGUGUGUACGUGAAAAAUAAAAUUUAACAGAGAGUUGGGCAGGAGUAGCGCUGGUAGUGUGCCUGGCGCACAAGCAAGUCCACGCGUACGUGUCGCUUGCGUCUUCACCAGUCCACACUUAUGCGUCCCCCACGCGUACGUGUGACCCUGCAAAUCGGCGUAAAUGGGUGUAAGGCCAGAGAGUUAUGAUGGUGUGGGGCUGGAAUUGCGCUGGGAGCACAAGACCCACCACGCAUACGCGUCCCUGAUGCGUGCGCGUCAUUUUCCCACAAUGGCCAUCCACGCGUACGCGUCCCAGAUGCGUACGCGUCCCAGACGCGUACGCGUCGCUUAAAAUUCGCGCGAUCCACCGGUAUGCGUGCCUUACGCGUACGCGUCGCAUGCGACGCCCAAUUAAACCACCUCAGCGCCUGAUUUCAAAUCAUCCACCCCCCAAUCCAAAUUCUCUCUUAUUCUUUUAUCUUUUUAUUCUUCUUUCCUCAUACUAUUUGUUUUUGUUUUCAGUUCUUCUUUGCUUGAGGACAAGUAAACUUUUAAGUUUGGUGUUUUCGCUUCGCUUAUGGCUUUUCUGUUUAAUUUUAUGGUACCAAAGGGAGGCGAAUCAUCUUCACGGAGGAGCACGGCCACUAGGAUAACUGAGGUGGUUGAAUUCCUUUCGUUCUAUAUUCCUUCCCACUCUUACUAUGUUAUGUUCCGGUUUUCUGCUAUUUUGCCUCGUUUAUUGCAUGAUCCUUUAUUAGAUAAAUUCCUAGGUUUUAGUUUAGUUCUGUUAUUUUCAAAAUUUCUGUUAGUUGCUUUAAUUCUGAAAGGUGUCCCAUGUAUUGCCCACUGAGCUUGAAAUAAAAAAAAGGAAGAAAAAAGGGAUGUAAUACAUGAGAAAUUGAGUUUUUUUUAGAGUAGUCUCAUUUAAUCAAAUGCGGUGGUGUUCUCUGUGAUUCUUAAUGCAUGACAUAAACAGUGCAUAUUUAAAUUUGAAUCAAAGAAUAUUGAUGUAUAAGGAAAAGAAAUUUAGAGAACUAUUAUGAAUUUUCUGAAAUUUGUAAAAGUUUAUCCUUGAAGCAAAAGAAACAGCAAAGAAAAAGAAAAAAAAAGGAUAUAAAAGCAAGGUCCAAAGCUCUGAGCAUCAAUGACUAGGGAGGUCAGACAUGAUUAAAAGCUCAAAGAGUUAUUUCCCUAGUCAUAUGCUUGUGGUGUUCUUGUGUCAAGUAAUCCUUGAGACAAAACAUUUAGAGUCGAGAUCAAUUGCAAUUAGCAGAGUAUGCCAAAGGCUUUGAGCACCAUUGUCUGGGAGUAACUGAAAGGAAAAUCAGAACUUCAAAAGAGUUCCCCAGUUAAGUGCUUGUGGUGUUUCUGUAUCAAGUAAAGCUUGAGACAAAACAUUUAAAGUCACGGCUAGGCUCAAGGUGCAAAGAACCAAAGAAAAGAGAAUUAAAGUAAAUUUUGCUGUGUUCAAGGAUUAAACUGAAGUACAAAAAUUGGAGAAUUCAUAAUAUGAUCCGGAUUCUAAUUCCGAAUGACACUGACAUCCCUCUGAUUCAAAGGAGAGUGAGAUGCCAAAACUGUUUAGAGUUACAAUGAAUAAACCCCAUUUUUUAGAAGAGACAUGAGCAUAACUGAACUCUCAUCUCUCAUGCAAAUUCACAUCUUAAUCAUGUACUAAUUUUGGUUGCUUGAGGACAAGCAACAAUUCAAGUUUGGUGCUGUGAUGCGUGAGCAUCUUUCCUAUCUUUUCCUAGUGAAUUUUCAUUUAAAUUGUUGAGUUUAAUUAAGAAUUAAUUAUCUUUUAGCCACUAUGGAUGCUACUUUGAGUCUUGUGCAAUUCUGUUUAUUUUAGGUAGCAUUUGGUUGGAUUUGAUGGAGCUUCCGCAGAAAAAGAGAAGAAGUCUAUAUAGAGUAGGAAUGACUUAGAGGAUGGAGAGGAAGCUUGCACAAAUGGAAUCAGCACAAGAAUUAUAGGAGUUGAUAGCGAGGAGCGAAGCGUGCGCGUGCCUAACGCGUGCGCGUGAUUUGGAAAUUUGCUCAGCGACACGUGCGCGUACCUGACGACCUGAUGCGUACGCGUGACACGGGAAGAAGACCAUCGACGCAUACGCGUGACUACGCGUACGCGUGACAUGCGCCACGUGCAGAAAACGCAGAAAACGCUGAUUUUAAUUCUGAUUUAAAAUUUAUUAGUUAGGAGCUCUGUCUAUUAUAUGGAUUGAUACUAUUAUUUUUCUAUUUUAAUUCAUGUACUGAUUUAUAUUUCAAGAAUUUUUUUCGUUCUUUAUCUUAUGAAUUUGGGUGGAACGAAAGUAUGACCCUCUUUCUAAUUGAGUUCUUGUAUAACUUGGAAAAGCUCUUUACUUGAACAACAGCUUGAAAACAAUUUCUCCUAAAUUCUAAUUAUCUGGAUUUAACAGGAUACGUGACAUAUAAUCCUCUUAUAUUUGGGUAAUUAGGAUUUCUGUGUCAUAUAAACUAGAAUUGAACUUCACCCUCUAAUUGGAAUUAAGUGACCAAGGAAUUGGCGGUUGAUGAAUUUUAGAGGAGACUAGAAAGGUCUAAGGAAUUAGGGUCUAGUCACAUAUAGUUUGCCAUAAAUUAAAUCUUGCAUGAUUAAAAUAGUUAGUAAGAAAAGUCAAUCCGGAAAAUAGAUAACUCUAAAGCCAUAACUGUUUCUCCAUACAUAUUUCACAACCUAUUUACUGCCUGCCUUCUGAUAUUUUGAAUUUACUGUUUAAUGCUUUUGAACUCUCAAACACUAUUUUCUGCUUGCCUAACUAAGUAAAUUAAUCAAUCAUCGUUGCUUAGUUCAUCAAUCCUCGUGGGAUCGACCUUCACUCACCUGAGGUAUUACUUGGUACGACCCGAUGUACUUGCCGGUUAGUUUGUGGACUUUAAAUUCCGCACCAGCUACCAACGAAAUGAUCCCUAUUUUAAGGAAAAAUUCCUAACCGACGAUAAUGCCCCCACCAAGUAUUUUGUAUACUCCGGUGUUGUAAUAUUGUCUAGCCCGUCUUGUCUUCGCAAGUCGAGACUAGUACUACUUAUGUAUCUAUUAUGAAUCAUAUGUAUUUAUUUCUGCAUCCUACGAUGUUCAUCUGUAAUGUUUCAGGUGUAAACGAUUAUUGUUUUGUUACUGUAACACCCUACCAUACAGAGUCUUAUGCUUAAGUCAUAAUUCCAAGAUGGCAAGGUAUUACGACCUCUAGAAUAAAAAUUUAGUACAUAUAGUAGUAUGAAUGAUUGAUUAUAACUAGGAGCCUUGUAGAAAAAGGGGUAAACAAAAACCGUAACUCGAAAGUGCAACACUCCGAUCGAUAACGUAACGAGCAAAGGAUAAGCUAACGUGAGAUUAUAUAUAUACAAAGGAGUGUCAAAAACAGGAAUAUCAAGACUCAAAAUCCGGUUGCGAAGAUAACCGGUCCGAGCAUAGCAAUAUAUACAUAUAAUAAAAUAAAGAAAACCCCAAAGGAAACCCAAAGGGACACAAAUACAGAAACCUAUUCUCCAAAAUCUCCUAUAAGAGGAGUCAUCACAGUUUGUAUUAUGUAAUGGAGAUAAAAGUAUCUAAGCAAAAUAUAUAAACCAAAACAGAGUCCCGAGAAGAAAAGAUCUUCGCUAAUCCAGAAGUCUCCAGCAUGCUUCAGCGAGAAACCUCACGCCCUGCAUUUGAAAACCACAAAAUCCGCAUGGGUGAGAACCAGAGGUCCCCAGCAUGGUAACAGCUUCCACAUAUAUAAUACAUAAUAAUAGAGGAAAGCCGAAGGCAAUCCUAGAACUUCCUCCAGAUAAUAUCAGAGCUUAUAAAUAAACUAAACCGUAAGUGGCAACUGACUAAAGAUCCUUUAGUCUAACUAAUACUUCCCUUUCCAAUUCCUUCAGACCUCCCAACCACCAGCAGGAGUAUAAUAUAGCAAACACAGUUAUAUCAAACAUUCACAAUUCAUUCAACAGCAUAUAUGCAUUUAUACUUAGCCAUAAUCAUGGCUCCGUCGUAACACGGCAAUAAUCUAGCCAUCCGGCUCACGGUUAAAUCCAUAACCAGCCAAUUCAUUAACAAUUUCGGUCCUUCGGCCCAUGGCACAACAAGCACUUCCACCGCCAUCCUCCGCAUCUCACAUAAUCAUCUUUGAUCCUCAUUGAUCAUUCAUUUUUCCCUUGCUUCACUCACAAGUUACCACAUUUACUAGCCCCUUGCCUCAUUGCUAGGCAUAUUAUAAUGAUUUAAGAUAUAAGUGGUGAGAUCGGAGGCUUAGAAGUAUGAAAUUUGGCUUUUAAAACUCAAAAAUCAACUUUGGGAUGAAAACAGGGCCACGCGUACGUGCACUCCACGCGCACGCGUGGAUGGCCACAAAAUCUCAUCGACGCGCAAGCGUCAUACGCGCGGACGCGCGGGUUGAAAAAUAGCCAAACGACGCGCGAGCGUCAACCACGCGUACGUGUGGGUGCUCUUGCGCCCCAGGCACAAAACUGGCAUAACUCUAGCACAAAUCUCGGGAAAAUGGCUGGGCAUUUGGUGCAGCGCAUCGACGCGCCCGCGCACACCACGCGCACGCGUGGAUGGUGCUUUCUUGAAGAAUGACAUGCACGCGCCAAGUGCGCCUACGCGCGGAGGGUCAUUCUGCUAAAAAAUUUUCUAAGUUAAAAGCUGCAGAAUUUACAGAUUCAACCCCCAAUCUUCCGACGGACAUAACUUUCUCAUUUUAAAUCGUUUUUCACCCGUUCUUCGAACGGCAUGGACAUCCCGGGUCCAAUUUCAUUUCUAAAUAGAUUUGGCACAAAUCAGAGAUCCGUAGUCCAAGUUAUAUCCCGUCAAAGUAUGCCCAAAAACUAUGUUUUCAUACAAAACCAUAAAGUGCCAUUUUCAAAACAAGCCACUUUCAACUCUUUUCAAAAUCAAUCAAAACAUGCCAAUUUCAUCCCUUUUCUUUGAAAUCAAUCAAAAUAUACCAAAAUCAACAUCAAGCCAUCCUCAACUCACACAUUGACAUUUUACUAAAUUUCCCAAAAUCACCAUCUAACCCUUUUAACACAUCUCAAUCAAAUGGCUAAAGGACAAACACAAUAUCAUGUCAUACAUCCUCCCUCAUCCCAAUUUCCAAUAAUACCAUUUCUAAUCAACCAUCAUUAUACAUAAUCAACAUCAUACUCACCAUCAACAUGGUACCACCCAUCAAUUCAACCUUAAUCAUUCAUCAAGCAUAUAUCACAACAUGCAUUUUCUCAUAUAUCACACAAUCAAGGCAUCAAUAUUCAUAAUCACAUAUAUGAUCACAUCAUAUAUCUCAACCAUUCAACAACAUCAACAAUUCAAUGCCUAUCUUAGGGCCUCUAGCCUAAGUAUUUCCUACCACAUUACAUAUUAGAUAUGGGAAACCGAGACCAUACCUUAGCCGAUUUCUCAAGCUCAACCGGAGCACUUCCAAACCACUUGUCCACAAGCUCUCAAGGUCUCAACACCUCCAAGAAUAGAUUUUAUCACACAAAACCCUCUCCCAAGCUUUCCAAAAUCACCAAUCGAGCUCCAAUAUUCACAUAUACACAACCUAAGCCACAAUCAUCAUACCCAUACACAACAUCUCAAUACCCAAUAUCAUAGAACAACAAAUUAUACUAGGGUUGAGAAUCUUACCAUACUCAAGGUCCAAGGAGACAAGAUUAACCUUCUCAUUCAAGAGAGUUGGGUCCUAUAACAUCAAAGAGCCCAAAAUCUGAAUAUUUUACCCAUGAAACUCAAAAACAAGGGCUGGAAUUUCGAAGAGCAAAACGUGGCUUACCUCAAGAUUAAUUGUAUGGGUUUUGUAGAGCUCUCCGCGGUGAACGCGUGGCCGCAAACGGUGUGGCAAUCGAAGCUCUAGAUCAAAAGUUAUGGUGGUUUGAAGAUCAACCAAGGGAGAGAACUUGAGAGAGUGUUCUUCCCUCCAUGGCCUCCAUUUUCAGCGUGUGUUUGUGUGUUGUGAGGAGAGAGAGUGCUGAAAACUUUGGGUCCGGUUGGCCCGGUUUAGUCCGUUCGGUCCAAUCUUGGUCCGAUUUCUAUAAAAUUGGUACCGAAAUUCUCGUCUCACUCUCCUCUAUCAUAUUUAGCCAUAAAAAUAACAUUUUUGGCUUUCUAGAAUAAAUUCUCAUUUAUGGGUUAAUUAGCCGUUAAUUAACCGGGUCUUACAGUUACCUUUUCCUUCAUAGGCUCCUAGUUAAACUAUAUUCCUUCAAAUAUUAUGUAUGUAUCUUUGUUUUUAGGCGUCAUAAUGCCUCGCCACCUUUGAGUUAUGAUUGCAGCGUAAGGGCUUGUGUGGUUGGGUGUUACAGGAUAAAAUAACUAACUAGUAGUGAGCUAACAAAUUAUCAAAUUUGAAAUGAAAUGUAGCAAAUGAAGCAAGAGUUAAAGCUUUGGUGAACACAUCAGCCACUUGGUGUGAGGAUGAAACAGGAAGUAGCUUUAAAGUCCCAUAUUGAGUUUGAUCCCGAACUGUAUGACAGACAAUUUCAAUGUCUUUUGUCCGUUCAUGGAACAUUGGAUUUGCCGCAAUAUGAAGGGCAGAUUGAUUGUCACAGAAGAGAGUAAAAGGGAGCUGAGAUUUAAAACCAAAAUUGCCAAGAAUAUAUCAAAGCCAGACACGCUAAAGCUCGACAUUCAGUAUCGAUUGAGAGCGAGGAACCACCGUUUGCUUCUUGCUUUUCCAAAUGAUAAGAGAAGAGCCAAGAAAAAAACAAUAUCGAAAUUGAUCGAUGGGAAUCGUUACAUGGUCCCCAGUCAGAAUAACAAUGGAAUUUCAAAUCACUCAUGCAAUUAAAUAAAAGACUAGUGGCCGGAGUCUGGAGACCCCUUCAAGUAGUGAAGCACCUGUAGUUAGGGCUGCACUCCAAAAGGACCUGAUAUGGCUAAAAUCUCGAGCCGAUCCACACUAAUCACAUCAGAUCAAAUCCAAUAUCCACACUUUUUGUGCUCUGAUCUGAUCCAUACAUUUGCAUAUAUGAUCGGAUUUCAGAUAUAUUCGCAAAAGUAAAAAAAUAUUAAUUUUGAAAGAAUCAACAAAAUAAAAAAAAAUAGAAAUUGGAACCUAAAUCUCUAAUUUGGCAUCAAUAUUUACACUAAAAUAUAUCAAUUACAGCCAUAACAACAAUAACAAAGAUAUACAUUUUAAAAAUUAUACACAUUUUUUUAACAGUAGAAAGAGAAACAAUUUUUCAGAAGUGAAAUUAGCAAAAUCAUAUCAAGAAACAACAAGCAAAAUAGAUAUGCAUUUCAAAAAUUAAAGAUCAAUAAAAUAAAAUAAAAACAUAUUUGGAACCCUAAUUGAGCAGAAGCAGAUCUGCAUUGGAGAAGUAAUAUGUUUUCCCUUUCACGACACACCUCUCGAGGUACUCCGUAUUCCCUCACCCGAUCGCUCUAUAGGUAGUGUUCAGCUAUGAGUGUCAACCAGUCUUUCCAUCAAGGCAGCUUAAGGUGAUCGAGAAGACGGAUCUCACAGUGAAGUUCCGGACUACACUACCAUUAGAAAACUCUUUCCGCUAGUGGUCUCUCUCGGUUGUUCGCCGAUUCAAGUGGUACGUGAGUUGAUGCGCUACAGCAACUUACUACCUAUUAAGAGAGCCUAAAUUCACAAGCAGAAGGAAGAAACUGCAAAACAAUGAGGAUGCGAGCGACGAAGAGCAGCGACAAAUGGUAAGCAUACGAGCGAGGAGCAGCGGCGAGCGUGCGAGAGAGGAGCAGCGACAAGCAGAGACGAUGAACAAAGAUGACAACCACGUCGAUGGAGAAGACGACGACGCGACGAUGGAGACAGAGAGGUAGACGUGGUCUUAGUGGUCUAAGAUGACGAUGGAGGAGAUGCGAAGAUGAACGACACAUUGGUAAUGGAGGUGAACGACAGUGAAUGGGACUGGGUCUGGGUGAGAGAGGAAAGAAAAAGUAGCGUCGUUACUGAGUGUCAGUGUUAGGGAAUUAGGGACUUAGGAUUUUCUUAACUAUAAUAUUUGUAUUAUGGGUGCAGAUUCGCAAAUCUAUGGAUCAAAUUCGCAGAUAUCAUGGUAAUAUCUGCUAUCUGAUCCUAUCAGAGUGCGGAUCGGAUAAUAUCCACAAAAAUGCGGAUUGAAUGCGGAUAAAUUCCACGGACAUGAGGGUAUUAUCCAAUCCAUGUGUAUCCCUACGUGCAGUCCUGCCGUGAAAUGUGCAUCUAUGGCACAAUCAUGGGCACAAUCAUGGUAUUGACUUAAUUUGCUAACAGCGAAGAAAAUAUCAGGCCUUGUGUUGGUCAAAUAGAUCAAGCAACCAAUCAGCCUUCAAUUGGGAGUAAGAUCGGAUAUUGCAGUACCUGAGGUUUUUGAGAGUAAUUUCGAAUAAUCAAUAGGAGUAUAGGUCAGUUUGGCAUCCAAGAGAUUGAACUCCUCAAGUAAAUUGAGCGUAUACUUAUGCUGAUACAAAGAAAUACCAAUGGCGCUUUUGGUCACUUCAUCCCAAGGAGGAAAUUCAAAUUUCCAAGAUCUUUGAUGCUAAAAUGACCAUCAAGUAGCUGCUUCACUCGCUCAAUCUUAAUAAAAUCAUUGCCGAAAAGAACUAAGUCAUCCAUGUAGAUGAGAAUGGCUGUAAAACAGCCAUUAGAAGACUUGGUGAAUAGAGAAUAAUCAUAUGGUGACUGGUGAUAACCAGAUUGAGUGAGUGUGGAGCAGAGCUUGCUAUUCCACUGUCUACUGGCCUAUUUCAGUCCAUGGAGACUCUUUUGAAGCUUGCAUACUAUAUUAGGAGUUAUCUUCAACCCGGGGGGAACCUUCAUAUAAACGUCUUCAGCAUGAUCACCAUGUAGGAAAACUGUAUUAAUGUCUAAUUGAUGAAGGAACCAAUUUUGUUUUGCAGCAAUGGCUAAGAGAAUGGUAGAGUAGUCAUUUUGAUGACAGGGUUGAAUGUAUCAAAAUAAUCCAAGCCAACAGUUUGAUUGAAACCCUUCGCCACCAAACGAGCUUUAUGUCUCUCAAUGGAUCCAUCCAGGUUAUACUUGAUUUUGAAAACCUACUUGCACCCAAUUGCUUUCUUUCCACGAGGGAGAGAAGUAAGAGUCCAUGCCUUAUUCUUCUCAAGAGCCUUCAACUCAGCAGUAAUGGCUUGUUUCCAAUAAUCUUGAAGAAUAGCCUGUUCAUAUGUCCUUAGUUCUAUGUGUGUAGAGAUGGCUAGAGAGAGUGCCUUGUGAGAAUCAGAUAUACUGUCAUAGCACACAAAAUUGGAGAUAGGAUUAGUUUUCUUGGAGGAAUAUGAUGAAGCUACAAUUGUGGAGAGUUGUAAACAAUGAAAGUCCUUGAGAUAGGCAGGUUGGCGUCUCUUUUGAUGGGAUCUUCUAAGGUUUGGGGCAAUAUUUUGCGUAGGAGCACUGUUGGGCUAUAUAGGUACUUAAGAAUCUACUAUUGAAUGCAAUUCAUAAUCAAGAAUAGAUUUAGUGCCUAAUGGUAUGGAUGCAUGUUUUGUAUUAGAGGCAGGUGUUAAUACAGAAUUAGAUGCACUGGAAUUGGGAGGAUUAGAGGCAAUAGGAGGUUGAAUGAUGCAUAUGUCAUCAAAAUUAUUAAACCUUUGAAAUGGCAUGGAUGCUUGUUGUUUUUCAAUAUAAAAAUCUGAUUUAUGAAACAGGAAAUGAGAUUCAUAAAAUUCCACAUUUCUUGAAAUAAAUGUUUCCUUUGUGUUUAAAUCAAAUAAAAUAUAACCUUUUGUGCCCGAUUUUAUACCUAAGAAAACACAUUUCCUAACCCUUAUAUCUAAUUUCUUCCCUGAGAUAAAAGAGUAGAUGCAAACGCUACACAUCCAAAAACUUUAAAGCAUUGAAUGUUUGAAAGUUUGUGAAAUAAAAUCUAAUAUGACAUCUGAUUUUUUAUAGUUGAACUUAGAACUCUAUUCAUUAUGUGGAUAACAUUGGCUACUGCAAAAUUCCAAAGACAUUUAGGAAGAUUGCUUUUAAAAAUCAAAGCUCUUGUGAUGCUCAAAAUAUCAUAGUGUUUUUUUUAUACCACACCAUUCUAUUGAGGAGUCUCAACACUAUGGGUAUAAUAAAUUAUCCCUUUGGAUUUAAAAUAAUCUUAAAUAGCAAACUCUCUGCCAUUAUCAGAUCUUAUACAUUUCACUGUCUUUUGGAAUUGAGUUUCAACUAACUGUACAAAGUGUUUAAUAAAUUCAGAAGUUUGGGAUUUAUUUUUCAUAAAAUAGAGCCAAGUAAAUCUACUAAAAUCUUCCACAAUUGUUAAGAAAUACUUGUGUCCAUGUAUAAAGGGGUAGCAAUAGGGCCCUAAAUGCCAACAUGUAUAAGACCAAAUGCACUUGCUGAUUUCAUAAGAUUAUAAGUAUAAGAAAACUUUUAUAGUUUUGCAAAGGGACACGAGUCACAAACCAAGUUAUUCUUUGGACAAACUAGAAAAGGGAAUUUGUUUUUCAUACUAAGUAACCUAUCUGAUGAUAUAUGAGCUAAUUUAAAAUGCCAAAUGUUAGGAUCCUUUGUGUGAAUAAUAGUUUGUAUGAGUGACGUUUGUUGUGGUAUUUCUGCACCUAAUUGUCCUACAGGACAAGCUUUGUCUUUCAAUGUAUAUAACACCAUGUUGUUCAGCAACUCCAAUCAUAUUCAAGGAAAGGAGAUCCUGCACCUCACAACCAGUGGCAUGAAACAAAAAAUGACAACACAAGGCGUGAGCUGUUUUUUAAACAGAGAUAAUAUUGAAAGAAAAAGUUGGUGCAAAUAAAACAUCAGUGAUAUAUAGGCCUUGAUUAAAGAUGAUAGUCCCACAUAUGGUUGAAACUGUCUCUGAACCAUCUGAUAACUUGACCAAAAUAGGAGCAAUCUAUUUAUAAGAUUGAAAAAAAUUGUGAGAAAAUGAUACAUAUGCAGUAGUGAUUUGCAAAAGCAAUGAAAAAAUUGUGCUCACGUCCAAAAAUAUUUUCAUCAACAUGAUUUGGGAUCACACUCCAGAAUACAUAUCAUUAAGACUUCUUAGGAACCAAAUUGCAAGUGGUUCUUUCUUAUACUGUCUUAUCAUUGUCAAAUCACACCUGCACUAUUAUCCAUAUUCAUAGAUUGGGAUAGGUCUAAUCUCAUUGAGUUAUUCCCAAAUCCCUUUCUGUUUAGUAUAAUAUGCAGUAAUUCUCAAAUCUUCUUGUUUAUUACAGAACAAUUCCUCUUCCAGCUCUACAAUUCUGAACAAGUCUCCUUGGUAAAAUUUGUGUUUUAAAUCUUCCCAGAGUUCAUAAGCAUUGUUACACCACAUUAGGAUCGGUUGAGUCAAAAACUCAUCCGAUCUGAACACUAUGUUUACUUGCGGUGCGGUUUGGAUUGGAUUGGAUUUACAGUUUUGUAAAUUAAAAAAAUUAAAUAUAUAUAACAAGUCUCAACAUUAAAUUUUAAAUAACCAAUGAUGACAUAGCAAGUCUUAACAAUAUCUUAAAAAACCAACGAUAACAUAACAAUAGAAAUAAAAUUAUAGGUUAGUUAAAAUAAAUAAAUAAAUCACAUUUUGAACAUAAAACAUCUAUUAAAUAAUAAUAAUACAUGAAAAAUAUAAAAAUGUAUAACAAAUUGAAUAUGUUAUAAGUAUAAUUGUAAACAUAAUAAUAAAAUAAUAAUAUUAUAACACAUUGUGCGAUUUGGAUUGGAUUUGAUCUGUUGUGAAAAGUAGAUCCGAAAUCUGAUCCGAUCUAGCGGUUUACAAAAAAUAAAAUCCAAUCAAAUCCGAAUUAGUGUGGUUUUAAUCGGUUUUUAGUUUGGAUUGGAUUAGAUGAACGGUUUAAUUUGGAUCGGUUUGGAUUUGAACACCCUACACCACAUUACACUGGGCUUAGUGAUGCGUGUAACCAAGAUAACACAAAAUUAUUGCAUCUAUUCCGUGCCUCAAAGGUAAAAUUGGUCUUAUCAGGUUUGGGUAGUGUACCAUCUAUGCAUCUGACUUUAAUUUUUUUCUUAGAGAAAUCAGCAUAGACCUAGCUCAAGUGUGAUAGUUCUGAGUGGUUAAAGGUGUAGAAGCCAGUGAUAUACUUGGAAUCUUAGCAUGAUGCAGGAAGAAAUGGCUUGAUAGGUCCUAACCAGGAUUUACUGCUGCGCGUGUCAAUUGUGCCUGAUAUGCUAAGAAUUGUGCCAUCAUUUGCACAAAAUUCUCCAUGUCGGUCAGUGAGAAGCCUCGAUUUGCUUAUUUCUCACAAAACAUUGGAUCAAUCAAUUCGCCCCAUGGAUUAUCCAUGAUGUAUGCUUGCUUAAACACAAAAACUAGAGCUGGAACUCGAAUCUCUUUGCACCUUAGGGAGCACGCGAAUUUCACCACCUCCAUGCUCACUGCACCAUGUGAAAACUCAAUUCAUCCAAGCUUGAGUCAGUGAGAGUAUGCGAAGGAAGAGAAAUAAGAAAUGGAGAUAAGAGAAAAGACGAGAAUUUAGGGAAGAACAAAAAUGGGAUUCUAGAAUUUGGUUAAAAGUAAUUGAUCUCAAAAUAUUCAAUGCAGCAAAAUCGGUUUAUAUACAAUUCAUCUAAUUAUAGUUAAGUUAUACUAUAGUUAAUCUAGCUAACUAAUUAUGGUUAAAAUGUAACAAAAUCUAGCUACCAUAUAUAGAGGGUAAAAUAACUAACUUGCAGUGAGCUAACAAAUGAUCAAAUUUGAACAAUAUACAAUUAAUGAAAUUCAAGUAACUGUGACAAUUAUAUGUUACUGUGUUUAAUAGGACCCGUAUGACCUAGUUUUUAAUGUUAGACCAAUCGUUGUUAUCUUUGUUGUUGAAAACGUAACUUCUUGAUUCAGUGAUGGUGACUUCAGAGGAGGAUGAAGGGUAGUUGGUGUUUAGGGUUGGUGGUGCUGAUGAAGAAGAAGUAGAGGUUGAUCGGCGAGGUUGGGUUCUGCUUUUAUUUUUGAAUUUUUGCAUUGGUUGUACGAUGUUGGUGUUCUUUUUGGACUUGCACAUCGAAACCUAAUUCAAAUAUCAAAAGAUCACAAGUGCACGUUCUUUAUAAAAGGAAAUUCAGCAAGCCAAGUUCGUGUUCUGUUUUGCUUUAUUUUUCGUUUCUUCAUUGCCCGAUUAUCGUUACUAUUUUUUCUUCUGUGUUGUUCUCUAUGUUUGGUGUGGUGCAACUUGGAAUAGGGACUCGUGAUUGUAGAGGAACUAUUUGUACAUUUUCUUUAAGAGUAGCCAAUUUCAAUCAAUAUUAUAACAUUCUUGAUAUCCUUAAUAGCUAUAUGUCCUGUUCUUUGUUCUUCUAAGCAUUUUAGAGAGAGUUUGAAGUAUGACAUUCAUAUACAUUUUCUCCUCUAGACGAGGAGAAAAAAAUGAUCAAACAACGACAAAAGAGAAUUGCAUAAUAGGUAGAGAAAAGGGUUACUUCAGCUAUAACUUUCAUGAGUUAGAGAUUAAAAUGUCUCAUUCAAUCCGAAUGCACGAGCAAAUUCAACUUUUCUUUUUUGGUCAUCAAGCACAUUCAACUUUAUUUUGACAUACAUCUCCACUCACACACACUAAACCUAACUAUGCUGAAAUUCAAUUUUGGGUGUGGCUUGUUAUGAGGCAAACAGGUUUGCCACUCACACAUUGCCUUAGCCAUGAGAAAGUUCAACUUUUUUUAGACGUAGGUAGGGCUGGACAGACCUGACCCGACCCAGAGAGAUCCAAGAUUCAAACACUUCCCCCUUUCUCUACUCCCUCCCUAAUCUAGCUAAUCCUUGUUUCUUCAAAAUCCUCGGUUACUCAUGAAACUUGAAGUUCACUACUUUGAAUGGAUCUUCCAUUAUUGAAGGAGGUUGCAUGCACUCAGAACGUCACUUUAAAACGGUUGGGAGUUGUCGCUGAACGCUACCACUUAUUUCGACUCUAUCUGCGCAGUGCGUCGGUCAGGCCUCGCCUCGAGGAAGACGGGGUAGCACUGGGGCAUGAGGAUCGACAAAUAGAGAAGUUGCGACUUGAGGGUAGGGUGAGAUGGACACGGCCACUGCUGUUAAUCGGUGGCUUGAGGGAGAUGGUUAGAAGCAACGUCUCUGGGACUGCCUCUCAUUGGUUUUGCUCACUGGCGACGGACGGGACAGCGGAGCUCUCUUACUCCAAUUGUAGGGGAGCAGAUGCUGGGUUAGGCUCUAAAAGGGAGGUGACCUAGGCUUUUCCUUGGUUCCGAAGGUGAUAUGAUCCCAAUUUGUCAAUCCUUACAAUGUUUGCUAUUUGAUUUGAUGGCAAAGUUGCCCAAUUGUUGUUGAGUUGUUCCUGCAAUUUUAGGUAUGCUAGAAGGUGAGCCGGUUGAUUUCCUUCUCGGGGGGUCCAAGUUGCACAACCUUAAUGUCUUGGAAUAUAGGAUCUAUAUCGCACAAAGUUUUGUUUGAUUUGAGAGCUUCCACCAUUUGUAAGCAAUCUGACUUUAUAGUUACCUUUUCCAUGUUUAGAUUGGCUGCCAAAAUAAUUACUUCUCUAAUUGCCCAUGCUUCUGCUGCUAGGCUAGAGAUUGCUUGAAAGGUUAAAGCUUUUCCACCUCUAACUAUCUCAUUACUGUCUCUGAUGACCGUUGCUGUAGCCCCUUUUUUUGUAACGGUGGAAAAUGCUGCACCAACAUUGAUUUUGAGCCAGCCUUGAAGAGGUGGUCUCCAUCUCACUAGUAAAAUUCUUUUGCCUUUUUACCUUGCUUCCUUACUGUUUUGAGGGUUUAAGGACUUAUGGAUAUCUUGUUCUAGGAUCUUGGCUUGUGUAAGAACAACUAUUGGAUUAGGAUUUAUUUUUUGGAAUAUUUUGUUAUUUCUCAGUUUCCAAAUUGUCUAAGUCGUGAUGCCAAUCCUGGUCAAGUUCUCUCUUCCAUGUCUGUUGUGCCUCCUGCUUUUAGUUUAUUGAAUUCUUCUAGACGACAUAGCCAGGGAAAGAAUGUUUUUCUUAAUAGGUGUGCAUUGGGUUUGUGUGCCAAACCAUACUGCUCUAGCCCAGUCACAAAGCAAGAGUGCAUGUUUCUCAGUUUCUUCUUCCUGCAUACAAAUAGGAUAAAUAUUGCAAUAUUGCAAUUAGUUAAUUUUUUUCAUUAAAUUUAUUUUUACCAGAAGAAUAUUGUGUGCUGCUCUCCAGAGGAAUACCUUCAUUUUUUGCGGGACUCUCCCUUUCCAAAGGUCUUCUAAUCUAGUGCUUUCUGAUGGCCUGCUGCUUGAUGCCAUAUCCACUUCUUUCUUUGCUAUAUGAUAACCAGUCUUCACUGUGUAUUCCACAUCUUGUUUGAACUGCCAUACCAACUUGUCUUGGCUAGCAAUCCUGCUAACUGAAAUUUGCAAUAUUUUCUCCGCUAUGUAGGUCAAAAACAAGCUUUGGAUCUUGGUUAUGUGCCAAUCUCUUGAAGCAGUCAGGAGCUUUCUUACUCUUAGAUCUUGGUAAUUCUCCCUAUUCAGGGCAUAAGUUAAACCAUGAAUCCAAUUGUCUCCCCAAACUUUUAUUUUAUCACCUUGUCCUAUGUUCCAUUUCGCAUACUUUUUGAGAAUCUCCCUCUCCUGUAGGAUGCUGUUCCAAAUCCAGAAUCCUUUCCUUUAUUUUUUAGCCUUAAAAAAUCACAAUUGGGAAAGUAGAUGGCCUUGGGUGUUUGGGCCCAUAUAGCUUCUGGAUUUUUAAUGAUUCUCCAUGAUUGUUUUGCCAGCUGAGUCGUGUUCUGGUGUUGAAAUUUCUUGAAUCCCAAGCAUCCAUCCUUCUUGCUUGUGCAUAAUUUAUUCCAAGAUUUCCAAUGUAUUCCCCUUUCUUUCCCUUGACUUUUUCAUCAGAAUUUAGCCACUUUUGCACAAGGUUUGUUGCAAAUUUUUUUUUGAAAAUUUUAGAAUACUCAUGAUAUAAGCAGGGAUGGCUUGGAUGAUUGCUUUGAUGAGAAUCUCUUUCCCCGUUUAAGUUAGUUAGCUUUCCUUCCAUCCUUCUAUCCUUUCCAUAAUCCAUUCUCGAGAUUUCUGCUUUAUUCUUUUCCAUUGUGCUUGUAAGCCCAAAUACUUUCUCGGGUUGUCCCAUGCUGGGAUAUUCAGGAUUUGCUCUAUUUUGACUCUAGUCUGUAUGGUGACUUGGCUACCGAAAGUGAUCCUGGAUUUCUCUAGAUUGAUCUCUUGUCCUGAGGCUGAAGUGUAUCUAUUCAGAAUUUGGAUGAUUUGGUAGAUCUCAUCUUUUGCACCUGAAAAGAUAAUACCAAGGUUGCGAAAAUUGAACCGAUAAAAUGAUCGGUUCAACAGUUUAAUGAUCUAACCGUGGUCUAACUGGGAUUCAACCGAUUUUGUUAAAUAUAAAAUAAAAUUAUAAAAAAUUAAUAUAUAAUUUUCAAUAUUAAAAUUUAAUAAAUUUUCAACUAGAUAAACACAGGAAUCACUUACAAUAUAAAUUGCAUAUAACAAAUUAAAACUUUAGCCAUAAAAAAUAUACCUUCAAAUUCUUUAGAAAUUCUUAUGAAGUACAUUAUCUCAAAAAAAAGUUUGCUGUAGUUAUUGGCAUCAAUGUAUAAUUUAAUUUUUUAAAAUCAACAAAAUUAUUCUAAAAAAUUUAACAAAAGUACCAGCAACCAUUAACAAAAAUACUCCGGAAGUAAUAAAACAAAAGAAUAACAAAAGCAGCAGCAACCAUAUUUUCUUCAGUUAAUCAACAGAGUUAAAUAGUUAAUCCAAUUGAAUGUUUUUUUUUACAAUUACAAUAAUCAGAAUUUAAUCUAUCCAACCAUCAAAAUCCAAAAGAUAAAAAAUAGAAAAUCAUAAUCAUGAUAAUUAACAAAAUAAAAAAAUAAAUUGAACUACCGAAGAACUCAAGAAAGAGGGAGAGCAACAUAAUCAAUCUCUGUAAUUUUUUACGGCGGCAGAGUGAGACGGCGAAGAGUCCACGGCGGCAGAAAGUAACGUUUGAACUUCGCUGUGAGCUCGACAAAGAAAGUGAUCGAAGACAAAGACGGGCAAAGACGACGAGGACAAAGACGAGUUCAUGGAGGCCGACGACGACAAGGGUUGAAGUGGCUUGACGACAUGACGAGGACAGAGACAGCGACGCCAACAACAGCUCCGAGCAGACCUGGCGAUGCGAGGAGAAGGGAUCCAGGAGGAGAAGAGGGGCGGCCAACGACGACGAGGACAGAGACGGGCUUGACGACACGACGAGGACAGAGAAGUUGAGAAGGUGACGCUACUGUUGGUGGUGGCGGUGCUGGAACUCAGAGGGGGAGAGAGGGGUAUUAGGUUGUGUUUAUUUACAGAGACAGGACACUGAGACAGGGACACGUAGACACAAAAUUGUGUUUGACAGAAGAGACAUGGACAGAGACAAUGUGUCCAGAGACACUGAAUUAGUGUAUUUUGUGUCCAUCUUGACAGGAAGGACACGGAGACACUAACAAGGGACACAACUUAUUUUUUAUUUUUUCUUUCAUUAUUCUUGUUAAUUUUUCAUAAUUAUAUUUUUUAUUAUUAUAUUUUUCAUCUCAAAUUUUUUGAAUGAAAAAAAAGAGAAUAAAUUGAAUUUUCAUAAUUUGUUCUAGUUUAUCACCAAACAGAAUACAAGAACACAAAAUUUUGUGUCUCUGUCCAUCAGUGUCUUGUCCUGCCUGUUCUUAGUGUCUUGUCUUGUCCUGUUCUCAGAAACAAACGCAGCCUUAGGGAUUUCUUCUGAGAGAGAGGGGGUAGCUGGGUAGAUUUUAUACUGGUUUUUUUUAUUUAACCUUUGGAAACCGUCAAAAAACUGACAGAUUCUAUCGAUUCAUCAGUUAACCGCCGGUUUGACCGAUUUUUUUACUGUUUUUUUGUCAAACGAUUUUACAUCAAUCGAACCGGUUAAAUGACCGGUUUUCAGUUAAUCUGGUUGAACCAGCCGACUGAUUCGAUUUUCAGAACAUUGGAUAAUACAAUCAUCAGCAAAUAGUAAAUAUGUCAGGGUUGGGGCUGAGGGGGCAAAUUUGAUUCCAGUUAUUACUUUUUCCUUAAGAGCUUUUUUCCAUUAAAACAGUUAGGACUUCAGAACCUAUAAUGAAUAGAAAAGGGGAUAGAGGUUUUUCCUGUUUAGUCCUCUUUAAGGGAUGACUUCAUUAGUGAGGAAACUAUUAAUUUUAAAUUUGUAUCUUACGCCUCUUAUGCAUUCCAUGGUCAUGUUGAUCCAUUUCUGGUGGAAGCUAAAAGCCUUGAGAACUUCUUCUUUAUAUUCUCAUUCCAUCCUGUCAUAUGCCUUAUUCAUGUCGAAUUUGAUUGCUAGAUCUUGAGAACUUUCUUUUCCUUUGCUUGUUAUUUUGUGGAAGGCCUCUUGGACAAUGAUGAUGUUGUCUUAUAUUAGUCUUCCACUAUCAAAAGCACUCUGAGUUAGGAAAACAAUUUUGUCCAUGAUUCCUUAGCUUAGCUACCAUAACUUUAGAAAUGAUUUUAUAUAUAAAGUUAUAGCAGCUUAUAGGUCUCAAUUAAUUCAAUGAUUCUGCUUGUUUGAUUUUUGGCAGGAGCACCACCUGUGUUUCAUUGAUCACCUUGGGGAUAGUUCCUUCCUGGAAGAAAAGUUUAACCACUGAACAAAUGUCCUCUUGAAUAGUGUCCCAGUGUUUUUGGUAAAAUUGUACUCCUAAUCCAUCUAGUCCUGGAGCCCGACUUCCUUCCAUGCUGAAAGCCGCAUUUUUAUUUUCCUCCAAUGUGAAUUCUUGGAGAAGGCCUUUGUUCAUAUCUUUCAGUUACUCUUUUGGGCACCACUUUCAUGCAUUCUACUAUGUUGACCGUACUUCUUGAUUUGAAAAAAUCUUUAUAGUAUUCUUCUAUCAUUUUCAUGAUAUCAUCUUGAUUUUGAAUCCAGUUGCCCUUAGAAUCCUUCAAUCUUUUAAUGCGAUUUCUAUCCUUCCUUUGAAUGGUUGAUGCAUGAAAGAAAGAUGUGUUCCGAUUUUCCCACUUGAGCCAUUUGAUUCUUGCCCUUUGCCCCCAAUACUUUUCUUCUUGACUCAAGAGCUCUUUGAUCUUUUGUUUGGCAUCCUUGAUCUCAGCUUGUUGGCUAGUGGAAAUAAGAGAAUUUUGUAAAUGCUGAAUUUUGAGAAGACAUCUUGAUAUCUCCUUGUCUGCUCUUCUGAAACUCUUUUUGUUCCAUUCCGUGAGGUCAGCUAUGCACUUCCUUGUUUUAUUGAUUAAUUUCUCCCAUUCCCCACUUAUUCUUCCCUCAUUAUGCCACCCUUUCUUUACAACAUCUUUACAUUCUUCCUUAUCAUCCUAAUAAGCUUCAUAUCUGAAUAUUUUUUGUCUUUUUUCCUCUGGUAUUAAAUUGAGAAGGAGUGGGCAGUGAUUUGAGGAAACUGGCGGCUUAGCUGGGAGAGUGGCGUGCUCAAACAAUUGUCUCCAUUUAUAGUUAACUAGAGCUCUAUCAAUUCUUUCCUGGGUGACAACACCACCUUUAGGGUUGCUGAACCAUGUGAACUUACUCCCUUUGAGGUCCAUGUCCAUGAGUUGUUUCCUGUUUACUAGCUCUCUAAAGCCUUCAAUCUGAUUAUUGGGAUUCGGGUGUUUACCGAUUUUCUCCUCUUGGCUAAGAAUGUCAUUGAAAUCACCAAUGUAGCAGCAUGGUUCAUCCGCCAAGUCUUUUGUUUUAGCCAGUAUUUUCCAAGUUUUCCUUCUUUGUUGAAAGGUUGGAUUGCCAUAAGUGAAACAAUACUUCCAUGGUUGCUUAUUGUUUUCUUUUAUAUCAGUUAUAACAAAGUUUUGACACCAAAAGUGAACUGAAACAUCCACUUUUCCAUUCCACAACACACAUAUCCCUCUGGACAAGCCCCGGGGUUCUACAUAGAAUACAUUACUGAACUUUAAACUUCUACCUUGCUUCCUAAUCUUGUAUUCCUUAGCUCUCGUCUCCAUAAGAUAAGAUAAUGCUCGGCUUGUGCUGUGCAGAUUUUUUUAAUUUGAACACUAUGGUGGCCGCCGCCACCCUUUGACAGUUCCAGCUGAAGACAAUCAUGGCUGAGUUGGGGGCUUGAUAAGGCCCACCUCCUCGGCCAUAGUUGGUGCUUCUUGAUCUUCGCUGAACCUGUUGCUUCUCUCUGACUCAUUCCCUGUCUUGCUUUUUUUGCUAACUCUGGAUUCUUGGUCAUCUUCCUAGUUGUAUUUUGUUUGCAUAAGAGGGCAGAAGCAAUCUCUCUUCCUUUUGAUAAUAAGAUUUUCUUCGAUUUUCUUGCUUAGAACCUCCUCCUACUUUUCCAUGUCUUGGUCCUUCUGCUUGCUAGUCUCUGAUUCUCUUUUUCAGCAUCCGAGGCUAGCUCUCCAAAGUAAGUCUCACCCUUUUCUGUUCAGAGAAUAUGCUUUUCCUUGUUGUUUUUGACUUUGUUCUUCAUAGCAUUUACCUACCUCAUUUCCCAUUUCGAGCGAAAGAUUUGUAUUGCCUCCUUCAUUGUGAUGUUUUCACAAUCUCUUUUUUCACCUUUAGUGAUUCUCACAUAUCACAUAUGACCCACUGGUAAGGUUAUGAGCUCCUUUACAUUCAGUGCUCUUCUUUCUUCUUUGGGUUAGGGAUAGUAUCUUCGUUGAAAGUCCCUUUCAUUGUUGGGUUCCCCUGGAGUAGAGGAGGGGUGUUUUCGGCUUCUAUGGUAAUGGUUUGUAUCCUCUUUAGGCCCUGCACAACAUUCACAUCAUUCUCUCCUUGGUGUUCUCUGACUUUUUGGCCUUGGCACUUAACCUCGCUUUCUUGGGCCUGGCCUUUUGAUUUAUUAUUUCCUUUGUGUGUUGGGUUGGGACUUAGCUAUUUUGAUAGUCCAGCUGGGCUUCCUAUAUAUUUUUCUACUUGUAGCGUUACUUCUUUUACCUCCAUUAGGUUUAGGGUGGUGAAGCUUCUGUGAUUAAUGUGGCUUGAGUUGCGGUUUUUGGGAUAUAUUUCUUGUGAGUGUGGAUUUGUAUCCUCUUCUUCUUUCUUAUCACCGCCUAAAUCCCCUUUUUCAUGUAAUUUCUAAUUCUUUGAUGUCACUUUCACUUCUGAGAUUCCUUGUAUCCAUUGUAUUUUGCUAUUGUCCUCUGAGCUGCGGUUAAUCUUCCGCUUGUUCCCCACGCGCUUCUCCUUGUUCCUCAGGUCCAUGCUUCCAGGUCGCUUCCUACUUUUCCCCUUCUUCCUCCAUGGCUAGUGGCCUCAAGCUAGCUGUCCCCAAACCUGCGUGAUACUUUGGUUUAGUGGAGUCCCAACAUGCCAUGGCUUUUGGGUUGGAGCAAUUCUUCUCUCAUGUUUGAUUAUACCGCAAUUAAAGCAAUAACAGUCCGGAGUCUUUCAUAUUUGAGGCUUAUCCAGAUUUUGGGUUUGUUGUCUCUGUUCCAGUAAAAACCCGUUAGGAGUGGCCUGGUAACUAGGGUUGGCAAUGGGUAGAGUAGGGUAGGGUUUAGAUUCUAUUCUAAUCUUACCCGUGGGUGAAAUUUUUCUUACAACUCUACCAUAUCUUGUUCAUAGGUUGAGAAUCUCUCAACUCUAAUCUUACUCGCAUCCUAAAAUUUUAAAUCCUAUUCUAUCCGACUCUAUACGCAGAAACAAAAAAAAUUUUAAACAAAUAUAAAAUUCAACCAUUUCAAAUUUCAUAUAUCUUAAUAAAAUUGAAUGAAAAAUUAAAAUAGAAUAAAAAAUUGAGUUCAAAUUAAAAUUAAAAAUAAUAAAAUUUUAAAGAAAUCCAACAUAAAAUUACAAAUAAUAUAAUCAUCAAUUAGCUUAGUAAUUUUUUUUUAAAUUUUUAUAAGAAGAAGAUUGUGAGUACAAAAUUCACUUUUUUCACUAUAUAUAUAUAUGCGGGUAGGGUUGAAUAGGAUAUACUUUAAACCUGUACUUUAUCCUAUCCGCAGACAAAUUUGAUCCUACCCUAUUCUACCCGCAGCGGGUAGGAUAGACAACCCUACCCGAACGAAUUGGUCUAUAUUGAGUACCCGUGGAUAAAGUAUAUAUUGCCAUUGCCAAUCCUACUGAUAAGAAAGUUCCUUUUAAGAAUUCCAUUCUUCAUAGGGUUUUCCACUUCCACCACUAUUCCAACCAUAUCACCGAUAAUUUUGGCUAUAUCUAUAUUCAUGUGUUCAAUUGAAAUUUCGUGGAGCUGAAUCCAAAAUUCCAUGAAAUCAUGGCAGACAUCAGACAUCUAGGAUGAAUUGAUCAUACACCCACUGCAAAAGGUUCAAGAGAUUACCUCUGACAUUCCACGAGCUAUUUUUCAAGAUUUUCUUCCUUUUUUGGUUAUCUUUGAAGCUGAUCAGGACGGUAUUUCUGUCCACCUCCGAUAUGGAUACAUCUUUUGGGUUUUUCCACAUUCCCAAAAUGGAGUUUUUGAUGACUUUGAAUUUGAUUUUCUUGUCAAACAUGAUUUUCCCUACUAUGUUAUAACACUCUGGUUUGAAGCCUGGGCUUGGGUUGGAGUUGAGACUUAUUGUCAUACCUUUGAUUGUGUCAAGACCUAAAUUAGCCAUGCUUGGGGACUAGUUCAAAAUAGGAUAGUAAAGGCAACCAAGAUGAGAAGGAGGGUGGGGGACAGAGGGGUGGGAAGUUUAUGGGAUUGGGCUUCAUUUUGGGUUAGGUAAUGUUAUAACUUAUAAGUCAUAUGGAGUAUGUACACUUCUGUUGUGAUAGACAGAUUGAGUUGACUCUUAAGAUGAAGUUGUGCUUGUGUUGCAAGAUGGAACUUUGGCUUAGUGGCUGGAACUUGACUUUAAGGCAUUGGUGUGUGAUGUUUGCAUUAUGAAUGAUGGCUACAGGGACAUUAUAUGGAACGUGAGUGGUAUGAUGGUUGAGAAGAAUGGCUUGUUGGUUCUGCGUUAGAUUUUAGUGUUGGUUUAUGUGUUUGAGGAGUUGAAGGAGGGGUGCCCCCAUGAUGAAGAACCCAGGUUCUUAGCUACUCUCCAGGCGAGAGAGAAUGUCCCUCCAUAAAGGAAAAAUUUUGAAAGUCGCUUUUCUUUUUUUUUUUGUUUACAAGGGGGCUUAGAGCCCAAGAAAACAAGAAACUAAAAAAGUACAACUUAGUAACAACAACCUUUUCCACAAUCUUUUUGGGGAUAGGCCUGCGCCAAAAGAAGUAAAACAACAAGAAAGAAAUUCCGAGAACAUGUAUAGGAAAGAAACUGCACUUAAGGUUCUGGGCCUAUGGGCUUUGGCUGGGAGGUUGUCAUUAAACAGCUUGGGCAUAUAAGGCAUAGAAGUAGAAGUUGGACAACUUGGUAACCCCAAUAAAGAAAAAGCACCAACUCUGCUUGAGCCACUGACAAGAUAGAGAACCAAGUCUGGAUAUGAACCCUUUUUUUAGUGUUGUGUAUAGAGUGGAUGAGUUGUUAUAUGACCAUAAAAAAACUAAAUAACUUCUUGUUGGUACAUAAUGUUUGGAUUAACUUUAAUAAAUUAAAGCCUCUAAUAACUUGAUAUAUACUAGCUAUUUGUGCUUCUUAUUUUACGGGAUUAACAUAUUAAAUAGAGACUAUUUUAUGUGCUUCUUCUUAAUAUCAGCUACUUGUCUUGUGUGUCUAUCUAUAUAUAUAUAAACUAUUUUUUGACUUGUUAAAAUUUACAAAGAUCAAAAUAUCUCACAACAUAUACUUAUGAGUUUUAACCAAAUUGUGUCUAUUUCGAAAUAUCACUUUAUAUGAUGAAAAAGAAUAGGGAAUCAAUGCUUUUUGUGAACAAAUUGAGAAAUCAACUAAUGUUGGUAAAAAUACAAGACAAAUAUAAAAAAAAAAAAAAUUAAUCACCCACUUUUUUUUUCCUGUUAAAAAUAGAUAGCAUAACAACAGAAUGAAUUUUAUACGACAAAUUCUAUAAUUAUUAUUGAAACCUCUUUAGACCAAAAAAAAAAAUCAAGUGAAUUGAAUUCUAAACCGGGCCACAUGGUAGUGUACCUGAUGUGUCGUAGAUAAGAUAAGAAAUUUAUUCCAUUUGGCAUUUAUGUUCUUGUGGCCUAUCACUGACUCAACCACCAUUUUGUACCUCCUCUUAGUUUUUAUUUUGGGUUUUGUCUUUUGUCUAUUAAUUUCAAAAGUACGGCAGAAGCUCACAAAUCAAAAAGAUAAGAGACAACCCACGGCUCUGUAUUUUUCAUAUGGGGGUGAUAGUAGUAGUAUUUUUUAGCUAUUACUAAUAAUUAAUGAUAGUAUAAUAGUAUAUAAGAAAAAUAGAGUAGCUAAAUUUUUUUUAUAUAGAAUAAAUUGGUGUGGAAUGGACAAUUAUUAAAAAAAUUGGUAUUUCUUUUAAUAUGGAGUUAAUUUUUUUUAAAUUGUUAUUAAACAAAUUGGAGGGUCAAAUUUGUUAAGGAGAGAAAAAAAAUCUAAAAAAUUGAUUUAGAUGAGAUACACAAAUUUAAUAGUCGGAUUUAUGCAUUGCAAAUUUUUAAAAAUUCAGAUACAUAAAUCUAAAUGUCAAAUUUGUGUAUUAUAAAAAUUUAAAAAAUUCAAGUACACAAAUAUAUGUGCAUUUUAAAUAAUAAAUCUAUUAGUUAAAUUUAUAUCCUUUAUAUUCUAGUUAUACAUAUAGGGCUGGCAAUUCAUAUUCUAUCUGCGGGUAUUCAAUUUGGUUCAACCCGUUCUGGUAAGGUAGGCUACUCGACCCGCUGCGGGUAGGAUAGGGUACGGUCCGGGUAUUCUUGCAGAUAGGAUAGAAUAGCCGUACCCUACCCUACUCUACCUGCACAUCAUAUAUGUAAGAUCCAAAACCUUUGAAAAAGGGUUAUCAUUAGCUAAUUUUAAAUUCAGUGUUUCUGUAGCUUUAAUUUCAGAAAUUUCUUUAUUAAAGAAAAUUAAAGCAAAUUUUGAUUUAUUGAAUUUGAGAUAAGUUAUGAUUAUUAUCCAAUUUGAUAAUUAUUGGAUUAUUUUCUAUAAUUAUAUUAUAAAGUUGGUAGUUGUGAAAUAAUAAGGAUUUUUAUCUUUAGACCCCAAAAAAAAAAAAAAAGUAAUAAUAAGAAAUUUAAUCCAUUUGGCAUUUAUAUUCUUUCGGCCUAUCACUGACUCAACCACUAUUUUGUACCUCCUAUUAGUUUUUAUUUUGGGUUUUGUCUUUUGGAGCUAUCUUCAGUGGAGAAAGUAUAAUUUGGACUUUAAAGAAUCAAACAAUAAAUGAAAAUAUCUAGAAAUAUAGAGAGCGGCCUACAAAUAAUAGAUUGUAUUAUUAUAACAAUUGGAGUAAAUAUAUAUAUAGGCUAAUCUUAUAGUCAUACUAAUAUUAUCCUUCUUGCAACCUUUCGCUUUUAUACUUUUUUUUUCUUUUUUAUUAUUAUUAUUAUUAUUAUUAUUAUUAUUAUUAUUGUNNNNNNNNNNNNNNNNNNNNNNNNNNNNNNNNNNNNNNNNNNNNNNNNNNNNNNNNNNNNNNNNNNNNNNNNNNNNNNNNNNNNNNNNNNNNNNCUAGUAUUAAAAUAAUUAGCUCAAUAAUAAUUUAUAUAUAUAUAAUAAAAUUAUAUGUUGUAAUGUAUAUAUAUAUACAAAGAUAGAAAGGAAUAUAAAAAGUAAAGAUAGAGAGAAUUGCAUAAAUAUAUAUAUAAAGAUAGAAAGGAGUAUAAAAAGUAGAGAGAGAUAAUAGCAUUUGUUUAUAGUAAGAGAAAGAAAGAGAAUAUUAUUAUAUUGUUGUUGUUUUUUGUAUGUCCGAAUGUAAAACAACAUUCUGCUAUUUAUAAUGGUAGCAUACUUUACUUUUUCAACAUUUCUUUAAUGCCAUUUACCAUUGAGAAGCUGAGCCGCCCAGACAUUAAUGGGCAUCCAACUCAGCUUUUAUACUUAUCACAACACUCCCCCUUUGGAUGCCCAUUUAGGAUUAUGCCUCAUUAAAACCUUACUAAAGAAAACCCAGUGGAAAAAACCUUAGUGAAGGAAAAAGAAUACAAUAUCCUUUAUGAUGGAAACUGCCUCAUUAAAAACCUUAUCAAGAAAAACCCAACGGGAAAAAAACUUGACCAAGGAAAAAAGAGUACAGUCUCCUCCUCUUAUCGACAUCAUUUAAUAUUUCGAAAUCGGCGCAUCCCAAUCUCAUGUACCAAUCUUUCAAAGGACGAUUUUGGAAGUGACUUUGUAAAUAAAUCUGCCAGAUUGUCACUUGAACGGAUCUGUUGGACAUCAAUUGUCCCUUGAUUUUGAAGGUCAUGAGUGAAGAAUAAUUUGGGAGAAAUAUGCUUUGUUCUAUCACCUUUAAUGUAUCCACCCUUAAGUUGAGCAAUGCAUGCUGUAUUAUCUUCAAACAGGACAGUUGAAGCUAUCUUAUGAUCAAUCAGUCCACAUGAUGACAGAAUAUAUUGAAUCAGCCUCCUCAGCCAAAAACACUCACGACUAGCUUCAUGAAUCGCCAGUAUUUCAGCAUGAUUAGAGGAGGUUGCUGCUAUCGUCUGUUUUGUGGACCUCCAUGAUAUAGCUGUACCACCAUAUGUGAACAGGUAUCCUGUUUGAGAUCUCCCUUUAUGUGGAUCAGACAAGUAUCCAGCAUCUGCAUAGCCAACUAAUUGUGACUUGGAUCCAUAGGGAUAAAACAAACCCAUAUCAACCGUCCCCUGAAGAUAUCGAAAGAUUUGUUUGAUUCCACUCCAAUGUCUUCUGGUUGGAGAGGAACUAUAUCUUGCUAGUAAAUUCACAGCAAAUGAUAUGUCAGGUCGCGUAUUAUUAGCAAGAUACAUUAGCGCUCCAAUGGCACUAAGAUAUGGUACUUCAGGACCAAGGAUAUCUUCAUUUUCUUCUUUAGGAUCUGUAAAUACAUAAUUUAUCGAGAUCUCGUCAUUUUCACAAUUUUUAGGUACCUGAACGUCUUCUGGCGUUAUAUCAGAAUUUUGGACAACUGCAGGUGUCUCUACUAUGUCUUUUUCAACAGGAAUAUUAUUUAUCUCUUUUCUCUUUCGAGGAUUUUUGUCUUUGGAACCGACAGGCCUGCCACGCUUCUGGCGUGAAUUUGCUUUAGUGGCUACUUGUCCUACUGGGACAUCAAUUUGAAUUGGGGCAUUUUCUACUGGUAUAUAAGAUUUAGUUAUCCUCUUUGUAUCGGAAAAUGCAUCAGGCAAAUCAUUUGCUAUUCUUUGCAAAUGUAUAAUCUUUUGAACUUCUAGUUCACAUUGCCCUGAUCGAGGAUCUAAAUGCAUCAAUGAUGAUGCAUUCCAGUUAAGCUCCUUUUCAGGAAGCUUAUUCUCUCCCCCUAAUGUUGGAAAUUUUGAUUCAUCAAAAUGACAAUCCGCAAACCGGGCUUUAAAUACAUCUCCAGUUUGUAUCUCAAGAUACCUCACUAUAGAGGGAGAAUCAUAUCCAACAUAUAUUUCCAAUUUUCUUUGGGGUCCCAUUUUGGUGCGAUUAGGUGGUGCAAUGGGAACAUAUAUCGCACACCCAAAUAUUCUUAAAUGGGAAACAUUUGGCUACUGGCCAAAAGCUAAUUGCAUAGGAGAGAAUUGAUGAUAACUCGUUGGCCUCAAACGAAUAAGUGCUGCGGCAUGUAAAAUAGCAUGCCCCCAAACCGAGGUAGGGAGAUUUGUUCUCAUAAGUAAGGGUCUAGCAAUUAAUUGGAGGCGCUUAAUAAGUGAUUCUGCUAACCCAUUUUGUGUGUGAACAUAAGCUACUGGAUGUUCAACACUUAUUCCAUUAGCCAUACAAUAAGCAUCAAAAGCUUGGGAAGUAAAUUCACCAGCAUUAUCAAGACGAAUUGCUUUGAUUGGAUUUUCUGGAAAUUGUGCUUUUAAUCGAAUAAUUUGAGCUAGUAAUCUCGCAAACGCCAGGUUGCGAGAAGAUAAUAAGCACACAUGUGACCAUCUCGAAGAUGCGUCUAUUAGGACCAUAAAAUAUCUAAAAGAUCCACAUGGUGGAUAAAUAGGUCCACAUAUAUCACCUUGAAUCCUUUCUAGGAAUUCAGGGGACUCAAAUCCAAUUUUUACUGAUGAUAGCCUUAAAAUUAACUUCCCUUGAGAACAUGCAGCACAACAAAAUUCACUAGUUUUAAGAAUCUUCUGGUUCUUUAGUGAAUGUCCAUGAGAGUUUUCAAUAAUUCUCCUCAUCAUGGUUGUUCCCGGAUGGCCCAAACGGUCGUGCCAAGUUAUGAAUUCAUUUGGUCUAGUAAACUUCUGGUUUACAGUGGCAUGUGAUUCAAUUGCACUAAUAUUGGUAUAAUACAACCCAGAUGAAAGUGAGGGUAAUUUUUCUAAUAUAACUUUCUUAUUUGAAUCAUGAGUUGUGAUAUAUAAAUACUCAUGAUUUCUCUCAUUCAUCGUCUCAACAUGAUAUCCAUUUCGGCGAAUAUCUUUGAAACUCAACAAGUUCCUCAGAGACUUGGUAGAUAAUAGUGCAUUAUUUAUUAUAAAUUUUGUUCCUCCAGGAAACAAAAUUAUAGCUCUUCCGGAGUCUUCUAUCACAUUGCCUGAGCCAAUAAUAGUAUUAACAUAUUCCUCUUUUGGCACAAGAUGGGUAAAAUAUAUAUCACUUUUGAGAAUAGUGUGUGAACUUGCACUAUCCGCAAGGCAUACAUCUUCAUUACAUAUCCUUGUCAAUCUCUUCAAAAACAAAUAAUAAUAAAAUGAGUAGUAUGCACAGUUAAAUUGAAUACUUGAUCAGAAUUAUUUUUCUAAGAAACACUGUACAUAAAAUAAUGUCAUAUACUGAAAUUUUAUUUUAAAAUUUGACACAUUUAAUAAUUUCAAAAUUCCUAAACAUUAAUAUUUCAUUAUUUAUGUACAUCAUAUUUGAAACUUAAAUGCAUAGAAAAUAAAACUUAACAAUAAGUUCUUUACAUUAUUUAUUUACAUAUAUACUUCACAAUCCCACAUAUUAAACUAUUCCAUCAUUGAUUAAAUGACCAAUAUUUCCUUCAGGAUCCUCAAAGAAAUCAGAUACAUCAUAAUGAGUGGUGGAGUUCUCAGCAUCAUUUGAAACAAAAUUUGUUUCCUUUCCUUUGUCGUUCUUUUUCAAAGAUGCCUGGUAAAGAUCGACUAGGUGCCUUGGGGUACGACAGGUACGUGACCAAUAGCCCUUUCCACCACAGCGGAAACACUUCUCCUCGGUUGAUUUAUUCUGCCCGAUAUUCCUUUCUUUAUCCCACUUCUGGUGAGAUUAUCUCUUUUGAACAUAAUUCUUUUUCCUUCCAUAAUUUUUCUUAUUAUUAAAACAUUGCCAUUUACCUCUUCUGGGGUAAUUUGCCACAUUUACUUCAGGAAAUGGGGUAGCGCCGGCUGGGCGCGCUUCAUGAUUUUUUAAUAACAACUCAUUGUUGCGUUCAGCAACAAGAAGGCAAGAAAUUAACUCAGAAUAUUUUUUAAACCCUUUCUCUCGAUACUGCUGCUGCAGGAGCACAUUCGAGGCAUGGAAGGUUGAGAAAGUUUUCUCCAACAUAUCAUGAUCAGUUAUUUUUUCCCCACACAAUUUCAUUCGUGAGGUGAUUCGAAACAUUGCAGAAUUAUAUUCAUUUAUAGAUUUAAAAUCUUGUAAACGCAAAUGCGUCCAUUCAUAUCUGGCUUGAGGAAGUAUUACCAUUUUCUGAUGAUUAUACAUUUCUUCAAGGUCUUUCCAAAGAUCUGCAGGAUCUUUUAAUGUAAGAUAUUCAUUUUUCACUCCUUCGUCAAGAUGACGACAAAGAAAAAUCAUGGCUUUGACUUUAUCCUUCUGGGAUAUAUUAUUUUUAGCCUUAACGGUAUCUAAUUUUUGUAAAAUAAAAGAUAUAUAUAAAAUAAAGAUGUAUAAAUAGAAGACUCUAAAAUUAAAAUAAUUAGCUCAAUAAUAAUUUAUAUAUAUAUAUAAUAAAAUUAUAUGUUGUAAUGUAUAUAUAUAUAUACAAAGAUAGAAAGGAGUAUAAAAAGUAAAGAUAGAGAGAAUUGCAUAAAUAUAUAUAUAAAGAUGGAAAGGAGUAUAAAAAGUAGAGAGAGAUAAUAGCAUUUGUUUAUAGUAAGAGAAAAAAAGAGAAUAUUAUUAUAUUGCUGUUGUUUUUUGUAUGUCCGAAUGUAAAACAACAUUCUACUAUUUAUAAUAGUAACAUACUUUACUUUUUCAACAUUUCUUUAAUGCCAUUUAUCAUUGAGAAGCUGAGCCGCCCAGACAUUAAUGAGCAUCCAACUCAGCUUUUAUACUUAUCACAACACAUAGACCUUUAAAUAGACAAUUCCUUGUCUUUUGUGAGUUUGUGUAUUAAUUUCAAAAGUACGACAGAAGCUCACAAAUCAAAAAGAUAAGAGAGAACCCGNNNNNNNNNNNNNNNNNNNNNNNNNNNNNNNNNNNNNNNNNNNNNNNNNNNNNNNNNNNNNNNNNNNNNNNNNNNNNNNNNNNNNNNNNNNNNNNNNNNNNNNNNNNNNNNNNNNNNNNNNNNNNNNNNNNNNNNNNNNNNNNNNNNNNNNNNNNNNNNNNNNNNNNNNNNNNNNNNNNNNNNNNNNNNNNNUAUAUCAUAAAUUAGUUAAAUCAUCAUCAUCGUCAUCUUUAUUAUUAUUAUUAUUAUUAUUACAACAGUCUAACUACACAUUCAAGUAUUUUUGGCAAUUAAAUCUAAUUAAGUUUGUCCAAACUUACCAAAAACUACUCUCAUCACACCAGCGUAUAUAUACGCACAUUUCAAUAACACAACAUAUCCGUUUCCUCCUCCUCCUUCUUCUUCUUCGUUAUCGUCAUUAUCAACAUUUUGCUAACAUCUUUAUUAGUUUUGAUUUUUUCUGUUGCCAUCAUUAAAUAAUUUUGGUUCAUUUUUUAGUUUAUUUCGAUUCAUUUGUGAAUUAAUUUUAGUUCAUUUGUGUGUUAAUUGAGAUUCACCUGAUACUGCUGAUAAGUAUUGACCAAAUUUUUAUUCUUUAAAUAAUUUCGGUUCAUUUCUUAGUUUAUUUGAGGUUCAUUUGGAUUCAGAAAUAAAUUCGAUGUGUUUGUGUUAAUUGAGGUUCACUUUAUGUUACUAAUAAGUAUUAACCAAAUUUUUUAGCAAACAAGAAUCAAAUUAUUCAUGAUCACUUUAUUCAAUUGCAUCAUAUUCUACUCUAUUCUAUUCAAUUAGUUCAGAUUUGAACUAGUAAUAAAAAAAAUUCAAUUAUCAACAAAAACACAUCAAAUUUAUUUCUGGAUCCAAAUGAACCUCAAUUAAACUAAGAAAUGAACCGAAAUUAGUUAAAGAAUAAAAAAAUUGGUUAAUAUUUAUCAGCAGUAUCAAGUGAAUCUCAAUUAGCAUACAAAUGAAUUGAAAUAGUUAAAAAGACUCAAUCAUUAACAAAAACAUAUCGAAUUUAUUUCUGGAUCCAAAUGAAUCUCAGUUAAACUAAGAAAUAAACCGAAAUUACUUAAGGAAUAAAAAUUUGAUCAAUACUUAUUAGCAGCAUCAAGUAAACCUCAAUUAACAUACAAAUGAAUCGAAAUAAAUUAAGAAAUGAACCAAAAUUAUUUAAUGAUGGCAGCAAAAAAAAUUAGAACUAAUAAAGACGUUUACAAAAUAUAUUGGUAUUAUUGGUGAUGACGAUAGCAAGAAGCAAAGAAGAACCCGCGUGCAUGAAUUUGGAAGAAGAAGAAGGAGGAGGAGGAAAAGAAGAAGGGAAGAAGAAGAAGAACCAUCUGUGUGUGCGAAUUUGGAAGAAUAAGAAGAAGGAGGAGGAGGAGGAGGAGGAAAUGGAGAAAAAAGAGAAAGAGAAGAAGGCGCAUGAUUUAAAAAGUUGUUAUAACAAUUUGGUUAAAUAUUUUGUUUGGACGUAGAAUUUUAUUAUUAUUAUUAUUAUUAUUAUUAUUAUUAUUAUUAUUAUUAUUAUGACUAAAUGUCUUUAUAUCGAAAUUUUUUUUAAGACAUAGAUGUUGAUCAAGAAUAUCUUUUCAUACAAAUUGUCCGCGUCAAAAUUCUUGAACAGAGAUAAAUUUGGGAAAACAAUGAAAAAAAAAAGUCAAUAAGACAAUCACCGGAUAACAUGAAUUUUGGAGUAUAAUUUUUGAAUUUUGAACGUAUAGUUUUUGAAUUUCUAUUAAUUUUUAUUUUCUGGUUGUUCGAUAUUUUUUACUAUCUCUCUAGCAAAAUCAUGUGUAGUUAAAUAUUUAGAUUGUAUUUAAAAGAGAGAUAGAGAUUAAAAAAAUAGAAAUUAAGAGAUUAAAAUUAAAUUAAGUUUUUAUAUUAUAUUUAGUAUAAAAUAUAUUAAAUUAAAUUAUGGUUAAAUAUUCUAUUUGAUUUAAGAUAAAUAUAAAAAUAAAAAAUAUAAAUUUAAAAUUUAAAAAAUUAAAUAAAAAUAUUUCUUUUAAAAANNNNNNNNNNNNNNNNNNNNNNNNNNNNNNNNNNNAUCAUAAUUCAAUAAUAAUAACAAAGUCUUAUAUAUUUUAUUAUGAACCGAACGACGUUGUUGAAAUAUUAAUUUAAAAUAUUAAUAAAAAGUGUUAACUUCCUUAUAUUUUUCUUAAUUAAAAAUGAGUGAGUUCCUAUGGUUAUUGCAUUGUAAGAUUUUAGGUGGAAAUUAACCCACUUCCGCCAUGUACCAUGUAAAUCAUGCUAGGUGCGUUAUUUAGGGUCAUAUGUAAUGAAUUCCAAAUCCAAGUUCCAUGUAAAUUAUGACAGGUACGGUGUUGUUAUUUUAGAUCUUUCACCCUGGUUAAUUACUUAUUAAUUCUUAAUCAAGCUUUUAACUACAAAAUGUAUAUGUAAAAAGUCUGAAUGUGUAGUUGAGCGAAUGGUUAAUCUUCUUUUAAUUAAGAUUUAGGGCUUGUUUAGGUGAAUUUUUAAUAAAAUAUUUUUUCGAAUUGAAGAUAUAUUAGAUUUUUUAAUUUUAAUAAAUAUAAGCCAACUUUAAAAAUUUUUUACUUAGAUGCUUUUAAAAAUACUCCUAACAUUUAAAAAUGACAAAUACAAACACAUUACCCUUUUGAUUUACUGAAGCAAAUAAAGUGUUUGUCAUUUUAAAAAGUACGACAAAGUACUUUUUCAAAAAACUUUACUAAAUUAAACGUAAGUGUUAAUAUAGUUAGCUUAAAAAAUUUUAAUCCAACCACCCCCUAUUAAAAUGUGCUUAAUUAUAAACCAAUAAAAAUUAGUACGAAGAUUUUUUUUUCUUAUUUUAUGCAUGCAGAUGGAUUGAAUGGUCUUUAAUUGUAAAUAUUACAGUAUCAUAAACGCAUCACUCAUACUAUAUAUUUAUUCGGAAAUGUAACAUAUUAAAAGACCCUAAUUUUUCACUUCAACUAAAAUUUCUACAGACAUUUAUCUUCAAAUUAAAAAGAUAACAUAUCACUUCUGCAAAUUUUCUGAAGUGGUGGACCAGGGCAAAUGAAAUUUCUCAGAUACUUUUACACUUCUAGGGUAAAAAAAAUUGCUGUAUGCAAUAUUAAUGCAUUAGGCAUGAAAAGACGUCCAUGUUCAAUCCACUCGUUAUGCUAAAAAGUAAUCUUAAAAGGAAGAAUUUUAUAUUAAUUUGAAAUACUAAUGUAAAACACGUUUUUAUAUCUGUAGAUGAAAAAUACCCUCACUUCAAUAAUUUGCAGAUUGUAUAUAUUCGUCGUACACGUGUCUUCAAUUAUUGUACCAUUGCAUAUUUAAUUUGAAUAUUAUAAUGCAAAGGGAGAAAAUAUCUAUAUGACGACAGAAGUUGAUGUAAUAAUAAACUAUAGUCGUCAAUUAUUGAAAUUAAUAAUCAAAUAUAAGGACAAUUUACACGAAUAAAAUGAUUGAAAAAUUUUUUUACGUAAAUAUAACAUUGACAAUUUCCAGACGUAAAUGCACAAACAUAACUGUAUAUAAUCUGUUACACUCUGUAGCGAAACUCAAUUGCACGUAAUUCGCUACAGGGUAUCGCAGAUUACGUUGAGGGCUGCAUUACUCAUAAACUGCUAUACCCUGUAGCGGUUUAUGACCAAAUGGCGUUUGUGCAUAAUCUGCUACACCCUGUAGCGGAUUAUGAGUAUAGUGGUGAUUAUAUGUUAAUAGUAACAACCCAUGAUGCAAAAUGCACGAAUUGAUACAAAAUGUAAUCGUCAUUCGCAAUAAGUCGUACAAAAAUAAUAGCCACCAAACAUUAACAAUAACACAGAAUAAGUUAACUACAUAACUCAUACAGAUAUAACUGUCACAAGUCGUUAACCCUAACAGAAAAUAAAUAAGUCAUAAUUCAUACAAGGAUAACGGUCGGAAAUAAGACAAUCGGCGUUGCUGUUGGUCACCAUCAACAUCAUGGUCGCCCCUGAAUUGACUAAGUAGGUGCGAGCCUGUGCCACAUCGAGUCGGACGCCUAACCCUAGCCGCUCGCCGAUCUCCCGGUGGAGCCUCCUGUGGCCCAACUCCAAAUGCAGAUGGUGGCGUCCCCCCAUGCCGAACCAAGUGUUGUACGGGCUACCUGCGGGCUCAUUCAGGUCUACCGGGAGCUGGGUCUCAAGAAUCUGGGACGGCACAUCCGCUGGCUGUGGCCUAUACUUCGGAGGGUCGGAAGGGCCGCCUGGAAUCGGGCUCUGGUACUGAUGAACGUCGUCACCCUGUAUCAUCUCAGCAAAAUUCGCAUAGAACUGGGGUCCACCCAACUGAUCGUCCAAAUUCAUGGUGAAAGAAGUGGUAGCAAGAUCGGCUAACAGCUGUGUGCUAUACUCAUAUAGUACCUGAGAGCUAGAUACGUGAGUAAAAGGUGUACCACCCAUACUAGCCUCUGCGGUGCCACCAACAUGAGUGUCUGUAGGGUGCCGACGGGACGAUCCAACCUCGUCAUCAUGGUGGACGGGAAGUGCUCGUCCACCACGAGCAGUCCAUCGUCUAGCAGUAGAUCGACGAAGGCGAUGAUCUGCCUGGCCUCCGUCAUCACCACCAACCUGCUCCUUCUGCAUCAUGUCGUUGAGCCAGCGCCACUCGCGAUUAGUGGCACGUGUACCGAUGCGUCGUCUCCGCUCCACACGUCUGUUAUCCGGCAUAUCGGACGCUGGAACUCUAGUCGGCGCCUGCGACGACCCUCUGAGUAUGGCAUCGUCCGGAACCUGGGUCAGCCUGGGGUCGGCGAAAGCAAUCCCUGGUGAUAGAAUCCUAUGUGCAACAUGGUGCCACCAGUCCAGGUACUCAGCGGAUGGACCAGGAUCAGGAACUCUCUAGACACUCAACACAAAGCAAACUCGCUCGUCCCAAUGCUGAUGCCAUGUCCUAUAGUAAGUGGGGAACCAUCUAUCUCCACCCGUGCCGUCCUUACUAUGAAGAUACUCUAUGUUGAGCGCUGGCUCAGGAAGAUGCUGUAUGCCCCCUAGCUGUGGGAAGACCUUGUCUACCUGAUGGCACUCAAUCACUACAAAGUAUAUCAGGCUGGUGAUAGCCCGCUAUAACCGGCUGUGCUCCUCAGUCAGUAUCUCUGGAUGGAUGACUGCCAGUACGUCCAGAGAACUAUAAGGCUCCUACACAAUCUGAUAGACAUGAGGCAAGUCAGCAUUGUACCAAUGUAUACAUAUAAGUGUGGGAAAAACAAUUAAAACAAUGACGAACAAAAACAAAAUACUUACAUCUCGAUGAGUCAGUCGAUCCAAUGCCAGACGAUACUGAAUAAUCCGUUGUUCCUUCCCAUCAGAAGUGGGCAAAUAUGUGGCCCAUCUGAGUUGCAGAAAUAGCACGUAAGUAUGUAUUUUAUAUAUAGAACGUAAUGAACUUGAAAGAAUACGUGAAUUAAAUUAUACCUGGAUGCCAAUGGAAAAGAGAAAGCAUUAAAACCCUGCGGCCUCAGCAUGGGGAACCGCCAAAAGAUCCAUGACUGUAGCAACUGUAGGGGUCCAGCCAAGCUAAUGGCAUAUUUUGUUGCCUACGGACGCUAUACACACAUCGGGUUGGCUGCAUUUUCAGAAAUAAAGAAUACCAGCUUAAUUUCUAACAACGACAUCACCAAACUAUAGCUUAUGUUUAUAUUCUUAAGCUAUUUGGGUUUUGAAAUUACUAAUUUACCUCUCUACCUUGACUAUUAAAUGUUAAAUGUCAAAGUUUAAAUUUCAAAUUUUCAUUUUCAAACCAAAAGCUAAACUAAGUCUCUAUCUAUCUAAUUAAUGAAUUACUUCCUUAAUAUUGAAUAAAAUAUACAUUUAUUAAAAUAUUGAAGGGAAAUAGAGACACUUACCUCUUCAUCGAUGGUCUCGGCUAUGUGAGUAACGCCGUCGAGUCGGUACAACCACCGUUCAUUGUCCAUUCUUCCAAACUACUCAAGAAUUUGAAUUUUCUCUCCCUUCUCUCUACUUUCUCUCUCUAACUUUCUUUCCAAAAUACUUCAAAUGAUUUCCGCUACAGCCUCACGCGGUAUAUAUAAUCACCACUAUACUCAUAAUCCGCUACAUAUGCACAAACGCCAUUUGGUCAUAAACUGCUACACCCUGUAGCGGUUUAUGAGUAAUGCAGCCCUCAACGUAAUCCGCGAUACCCUGUAGCGAAUUACGUGCAAUUGAGUUCCGUUACAAAGUGUAGCGAAUUAUAUACAGUUGCGUUUGUUACAUUUGUGUCUAGAAAUUGCCAAUGUUGUAUUUGCGUAAAGAUUUUCUCCAAUCAUUUUAUAUGUGUAAAUUGCCUCAAAUAUAAUAUUUUGGUGAUGUAGUAUAUAUAAACUUCAAUUAUUGAAGUCCAAUCCUUUCAAUAGAUUUUAAAUUUAAGGAUCACUUUACUUGAAAUGAAAAUAAAUAAGUAUCAGUUUGCGAUCAAACUCGACUUAUCUCUUCAAAAAUAUAGAUAUAAUAUUGACAUGUUAGAUAUAAAAUUAAAGUUUAAAAUUGAUAUUUAAUUUAAUAUAAUUCUAAUCUAAUUUAAUUUUUUCGUAUUUAUCUUAUAUUAUUUGAAUAAUGUAAUACUAGUCAAUUUUCUAGUUGUUCUAUUAAAAAUAUAAGCUCUAAGUAGUUUCCUUAAUUUAAUCCAGUCUAAUAUUCAUGAAAAUGAGGAUUGCCUGGAUUGGUGUGACGGUGAUGACACUGGUGUGGCUUAGUAUCAUUUUAUUUGUUAGAAUAUAAUUAGGAUUAAUUAGGAUCAAUUAGUAUUAUUUAGUAUAUUUGAAUAUUUAUUAUAGGAGAUUACGUCUUUAUUAUUACGAUUCUAUUAGUCCCUAUAAAUAUCCUUCUAUAUUAUAUCAUUCUAGACAACUUGAAUAAACAACUUGAAUACACUCAAUAAUACACAAAUUCCUUCCUCCAGUUUAGUCUCUUAUUUCUAACAUGGUAUUAGAGCCAUGGUAGGAUAGGUAGUUUUUCUUCUAGUGAAAUCACCAUAUUUUCCUUCUGUACCAUUUUUUUCCUUCUCUUAUAGUUUUCGCUCUCUUUCGGCAGUUCCGUCUGCGUUCUCUUGUGGCAGUUCCAUCUGCGUUCUCUCGUGACAGUUCCGUCUGUGUUCUCUCGUGAUAGUUCCGUCUGUGUUCUCUCGUGACAGUUUCGCCUGCGUUCUCCCGUGGCAGUUCCGUCUGCAUUUUCCCGUGGCAGUUCCGUCUGCGUUUUCCCGUGGCAGUUCCGUCUGCGUGUUUCCUUGUGGCAGUUCCGUCUGCACCCGCGAGAAUUUCAUCUGCGCUUUCUUCCGACAAGCAGCAGUCCCGUCUGCGCUUUCUUCCGACAAGCGGCAGUUCCGUCUGCGCUUCCUUCAGACAAGCGGCAGUUCCGUCUGUGCUUCCUUCAGACAAGCGGCAGUUCCAUCUGCGCUUCCUUCUGGCAGUUCCAUCUACACCCGUUCUAUUCGUUUAUGUAUUUUUUUUAUUUCGUUGUAUUAAUUUUUAAAUAAGUUUCAAACUCAAGUUGUCACUUGAGUUUGAAGGGGAUGUUAGAAUAUAAUUAGGAUCAAUUAGGAUCAAUUAGUAUUAUUUAGUAUAUCUGAAUAUUUAUUAUAGGAAUUACGUCUUUAUUAUUACGAUUCUCUUAGUCCCUAUAAAUAUCCUUCUAUAUUGUAUCAUUUUAGACAACUUGAAUAAACAACUUGAAUACACUCAAUAAUACACAAAUCAUUUUUCCAGUUUAGUCUCUUGUUUCUAACAUUAUUUUUGGCCGAUUGCACAGGUUCGUUCUCCCUUGCUUUCUUUGAUGCUUUGAUGAAGUGAAAUAAGAAUAUUCUUUAUAAAAUGAUAUGAUUAGAUAAUAAUAAGUAAUGUAACACAUGGAGUGUUUUUGUCAUUUUGUCAAAGUUUUAUUUGUUAAGAUUUCAAGCUAUUCAUGGAAGAUGGUCUAAUAAUUUGGGAUUUUAUUGAUUAAGAUUUUUUGUUAAAGUUAGUAUUUUUAUCCAUAAUAAAAUUAUGAAAAUAUAAAUCUUUUAAAAUUAUAUUGAUUUUGUCAUAUAAAUUAUGGAACAAAAGAUUUAUAGAACUAAAUUACUUUUACAAAAAGUACUACUAGAAAAUUAUUUAUUACAGAUGAAUAUUUUUGACAAAUUUUAUCCCACAAAAAUACAGACAGAUUUUGCAAAAGAAUUUUCAUCGAAAACAAAGAAAAAUGAAUUAGUAUGAAUUACAUACAGAAAAGAGAAUCUGUCGAUAACUCUGUCGAAAAAAUUAGUAUUUUUUGUGGAAAAUAAUUACCAACAAAAAAUUCGUCUGCAUUUAAAUGAUCAAAAUGCUGCAUUUUAUUAAAUUAUUAUAGACAAAAAAUCUGUCUUUAAUUUAAAAUAUUCCAUCGAAAGAUAUUGACUUAAACCUAACUUAACCCCACUCUCUCGAGCCCCAUUCACAUUCCACACAAAUAAAACACGAGCUUCUUCCUCUCUUCGUCGCACAAGCUGCUUCUUCUCUCUGUCGCACGAACUUCUUCCGCCGCUGCUCGCAUCGCACAAUAUCUCUCUAUCAUCCCUUGCGUCGCACGAGCUUCCUCUGCCGCUGCUCUCAUCACGUCUGCUCCCUUCGUCGCAAUCGUCGCAGAGCUCUCUCCACCGCUCUCGUCGCGUCUGCUCCCUUCUUCGCCGUCGUUGCAGAGCUCUCUCCGCUGCCACUCUCAUUGCAUUUUCUCCCAUCAUGAAUUUCACGUAUUCUCUGAUUUUGUGAUUCUGUUGCUUAGGGAUCAAUUUUCUGUUCAAAUUUUAGGUUUAUCAAUUUUUCUUUGCAGUUUCUAUUUUCUUGUUGCUAUUGAUGCUAAUUGAGUUUGUUGUAGUUGUAGUGAUGAAAGAGAUUCAUCUUCACAUAAUGGUAUCUCGAAACAAAUGGUAAUUUUGCCCUUUCUAUUCUCUUUUUUCUGUUUAAAUGUUUUUAAUUUCCAGCUUAAGGAUUCGAUCACCUGUUCUGAGCUUGUUCCAUGAUUCUACUCUAUUUCUGAUUUUUUUGUGUGGAUAAAUGCAUUUUUUUUAGUUUGAAAUGAAAAAUAUUUUAUCUCAAUUUGAGCUUGAACUAUUUAUAUCAAACUAUUACAUGUAUAAUUCUUGCUGUAGUUCUUAGUUCUUUAGUUGCUACUUUGAAUUCUUAGCUUAGUUUACCGAUACUUAGAAUUUAUUGCAAUUUCUUAGUAUAUGAAUUUGUGAAUUUUUAGUUGUAUAUGAAUUCACUUAUAUUUAGUUAAUUUUACUUUUAAUUCAUCCCAGGCAGAGAUUUUAUUGCUUAUUGCAAAUGCUAAGGUACAUUAAAAUAUGUACAUCAAGAGUUUGUUUACUAGCGUGUGGUAAAGGUAUGGAUAUUGUUUAUAUUUUAGUUUCAACAGUUUGUAUACUAUCGCAAUAUCAAUCUAUAUAUUGUUUGUAUAGGGUAACAACUAUGUGUUUCAGAAGUGAUGAAUAUGAUUACUAGUGGUAUGUUCUCAGUGGUAUGUUCCUUCAAACAAAUUUUUUUUCCUUGUAGCGUACACUUUCUAGCAUAACUCCCAAGGGAAUUUCAUGUUUUAGAGAAAGCUAAAGUGGAUACAUAUUUUUUUCAUAGUCUAUUUAGAAUAAGAUGCUCGGGUAUUUGUUUACUAAUCUGGACUUACAGCCCCUCAAAUACUAAUUGAUAUAUGUAAGUAUUAUUUUAGAGGAAUUUUCUAUAAUGUAUUUGUGGCCUUUGUAUCUGGUUGACCCUGUUUAAUUAUUUUUCAAUCUUCAAGUAAUGCUUCGGUCUAAAAAUCUUGUACACUUUGAUUCCUUUGAUAUCCCCUAUAUUAGUAAAAACCUCUUAAAUUUCAAUUUAUGUAUUUUCAUUAUCUUUUAACAUUUGAUGUCUGUUCUAGUUUUUAAAUACAGUUGUGGAUUUGCUAACUCAUACCUUUAAAUUGAACAGAAAUUUUUUUAGCACAACUUCCUCCUAGAGAAGUUAUCUCAUAUGGCUUCAGUAUAUGUUAUCAAUGAACAGAGUGAGUCGCCGCUCUUCACUUGCUUCUUUAAAUGAGAUUCUGGAAAAUCUGUAGCAAGUUUCUCAAUGCAAUUACCUAAAAUGACUUCAAACGGUUUUUAAAUUCUAACUAUUGUCUUUUCCUUUUCUUACCUUGUAGAUGUUGAAAAAUUCAUUUCAGAAAAAGCUUAUAAUAGUAAAAAAUGGGGGUGCUCCACUUCUGGAUGUAAGUCUUGGAAGUCCAUCGGGAUGCGUUACAAGAAAGUGGCUUCCUUUGACAAUUUUAUGAGGUAUUGUGGUUUGGUUGCUAAUGAACCCAUUUCUGUUGUUGGAUUGAGUCAUUUUGAUGUGAAUAAUGAUGAUGAUGAUAGUGCAUCGUCAGAAAAUGGCAUAUUGAUCAACAAGAAGAAUUUGUAUGAUUCCGACACUCUUUUGUGAUGUAUUCUUUACUCAAAUUAGCAUACUUUGUCAAUUAAUCAUGAGUCUUUUUAUUCUUGAAUGCUAAUUAGAUAUGAUGUAAUGAAUAUUAUAUUUGUCUAUGUGAUUUUUGGCCCUUUUUUUUUUCAAUUCACAGUGUGUUUGAUGGAGUAAAUUUAGAAAACAAACUUAAAGUAUUCAUUUUGCAAUGGAAAAAUUUAAAACAAAUUAUGUUUUACCUUACUGAUAGAUUUACAGACAAAAAAUUCGUCUGUAUUAAGAUUUGUGAAUGCUUUUCUAGGCUCUAAUUACCGACAAAAAAUCUAUCGAAAAGUUUGACUCUAGUUAUCGACAGAAAAUCUGUUGAAAAAUCUGACUUUUAAGCAAAAUGGAGGUGAUGAUUACCGAGGAAAAAUUUGUCAGUAACAGAGACAAAUCUAUCGAUAAAUUAUCGACGAAAAAUCUGUCAAAAAAUCUGACUUUUUAGUGAAAUAGAGGAUGAUUACCGAGGAAAGAUUUGUCGGUAACAAAAAAAUCUGUUGGUAAAUUACUGACAAAAAAAUCUGUCGAUAAAUAAUUUCCAACGAGAUUUUUAUAAAGGGACAAAAUCCGUCGGUAAUUUCGUCAGUAACUAAAAAUUUGUCUAUAAUAAAGAUCAAAUCUGUCUGUAAUAAGCAAUUUUCUAGUUUUGAAGGUUAUAGGGGACAAAGUCCUUGUCGGCUAAGAAGAUAAGGGUCUCUGUAAAUUAACAAAAAAUAAAAUAAUAUAAUUUUUAGUUAUUAUUGUAACACCCUCACUAUCAGAACGUCACGCUUCCGGCUGCGCCACUCUGAUAGCUCAGGAAUUACGACGACUUUUACAAUAUUUAGUACUAAAAUAUGAGCCUAUUUAAAACUUAAAAACAAACAUUCAAAACAUACAUACAUACGUUACAAAACAGGUUACAAUACUUACAUAUAAUACAUAUAUGUAUAUACAUUAUACCAAAAUAUAAACUUCACAUAUCAAAACUCCUAUCCCACUUGCAAAAAUUGCUAGAAAUAAAGGCGAGGGAAAAAUAAAAACUAAGAUAAUACAAAAUAAUGUCGAAUAAAUAGAAAAUGAAUAUAACUCUUUUGAAGCUCCGUCGCCCAUAUCCUAAAAAGGGAAAAAACCUGUAAGGGAGUGAGAACAUCGUCCUCGAAAGGGUUCUCACUAUAGGUUACAGAAUUGCUAUAAUAAGAUACGAGAAUAAAACUGUUUUUAGAGUACAGUGAUUAAUAACCGCCUUAUGCUUCUUUUCAAAACCAAAGAAUUAAUAUUCCAAAUCUGAAAUCCUUUCUAAAAGGGAAAGCUGUUAAUUUCUCAGAAAUUCAAAAGCCUUUUUAAAAAUUUUUUUCUAGACAGUAUGAAUGACCAAACUGUUCAAAGUAGAGGUUCAUUAAGUCUAUGCUGAAUCAGUUUAGUUUUUCAUACUUUUUUAAACCAAAAGCACAAACCAAACACAACCUUUAGCCCAUCUCAUAAUCAACCACGGCCCUAGGCUCAAGCAACUCAAUCAACAACCAAUUCAUCACAAUCUAGCCAAUUUUCAGUCACAAACACAAGUAAGAAGGUUCAAACACAAUCAAGCAGCUAUAUCAAGUAGAGCAAUUAGCAAUUAAACAUAGAUAUUCACAUAGACAAACUAAUUACAAUAUGCACACCUGAUGCACGGAAAACUUGUCUCGCAACAAAUUUCCUUCGGCAAGUGUACCAAAUUGUCGUCAAGUAAUAACUCACAAAAGAGUGAGGUCGAAUCCCACAGAGAUUAACGGAUUAAGAAAUCAAUGGUUGAUUAAUUAUCCUAGUUAGACGAAUCAGAUUGGAGUGAUAAGCAACAAGGAAUUGUAAAUUGACAGAAAAGUAAAGAAAGCAGUAAAGUGCAGAAAAGUAAAAUGGCAAGAAAAGUAAAUGUAAGAACUAAAAAUAAAAUGAACAUUGGGAUCAAGAGAUAUUGCAAUCCUCCGAAUCAAGUUCAUUCUCAUCUCUUCCUCAAUCAAUGCAUUCAUUGAUCUCCUUGGCAAUCUUAAUUGAUCGAAUUCCAAUUUCUUAGAAUUCAAUCUCUCAAAUCUUGAUCAAUAGCCAAUUCCUUGGUCAAUUGCUCAUGAGAAGAGAUGAAGUAUGGUCACUGAUUAUACCACAUGCAUUUCCCAAAUCAAGUGUUGGAAGGAUUAUAGUCACAUAUCCAUCCACACCCAAUUUGGUCCAGCAUGAGAAAACAUUUCUAGCAUGAUCUCUUCAUUCCUCUUUCAAGGUUCAGAAGAGAUCCAAGUAUGAAUAGUUUCUUUUCCAAGAUAACUACCCAAUUGGAUGAAGAUCGAAAGCCCUCUAGUAAAAUCAAGAGGAAAGAAAGAAGAAGAAGAAUAAGAACUACACUUAAUCCAUUGAAUCACAAUAGAGCUCUCUAACCCAAUGUAAAGAGUUAGUUGAUCAUUGCUCUACAAAAAUAGAAAAGAAAGAAAGUGCAGAAAAGUAAAUAUGAAGAUUUAAACUGAAAUUGAAUAUUCAACAUUCAUAAAUGAAAAUUACAACUAAAAGAAAGAGAAGGAAAAGUGUGUGAGGGGAGGGAGUCCGAAGACCCCUCUUCAAUCCUCCAUUCCAGAAUUGUCCCAGCCUGCCUUCAAUGUAAAGACUAAGGCCUUUAUAUAGGCUCUCCUAAAUUACAAAAUGAAAUUAAAAGCAAAUUACAAUUAAAUGAAAAUUCCUAUUCUAGAUGCUUCUUGUGGUCUUGAUUGGUUGACAAUUGUGGGCUUGCUUGCUUGAGCUUUGAAGUGGACUUGAGAGAGAAGUGAGUCAAGUUGAGGUCCAGGUGCUAAAGUUAGUGCUAAAGUUAGCCACACUAAUGCUACAAGUGUGGCGUUAGUGCUAAAGUUAUUGUGGCUAACGUUGCACUUGCUGCCCAGUUGGUGUUUUUGGGGCUUAAAAGAUGCCUCUUGUUUGUGCUCCAAUUUCAUGCCCACUAUAGAGUAUUAUAUAUCGUUGGAAAGCUCUGAAUGUCAGCUUUCUAAUGCAACUGAAAUCACCUCAAUUGGACCUCUGUAGCACAAGUUAUGCUCCUUUGAAGUGGACAUGGUUGCUGGCAUAGUCGCUAGCGUUACUGGAAAACUUGAGUGCCAAUAACGCUAGCGAUCAGGGCUUCAUUAUUGCCAGUUUCUGAAGCUCAAACUUAGUGUCCACCCAAUACUAUUAUAUAUUGUUGGAAAGCCCUAGAUGUCUACUUUCCAAUGCUUUUGGAAGCGCAUCAUUUAGAGCUCUACAACUCGAGUUACACUUCUUGGAAGGUGAAGAGGUCAGCUGGCCUUACUACAGGUUGAUACCAUGUUCAUCUUUGCACUUUCGGGGCAGGUUUUCUCCCUCAAAUUUAGUGUCCACCAUGUAGUGCCAUAUAUGCUUGGAAAGCUCUGGAAUCCUACUUUCCAAUGCCACUGGAAUCACCUCAUUUGGAGUUUUGUGGCUCAUGUUAUUCUUGUUUGAAGAAGGCAUGGUCAGGCUGCCAGGUGGGACUUUUGUCCACGUUAACUACCACGUUAACUUAGUUAACAUGGAAGUUAACGUGGGUCUUUUUGCUUCGCCAACAUUAGUGGAGAUCACCUUUUUCACUAACUUUGGUAUCUCCCUUUACUUCAACGUUAGUUCCCACGUUAAUGUAGUUAACGUGGAAGCUAACGUGGGUCUUUUUGCUUCGAAAACGUUAGUGGCACUCACUUUUUCCACUAACGUUGGCAUAUACCCCUUUCGCAAGCGUUGUUGGGGCUCACCUUCCCCAUUAACGUUGCUUGGUGCCUUUUGUCCCUACGUUAGAGUUCACGUUAGUGUAGCUAACGUGACUCUUAACGUGGGUCUUCGUUCCAUGCUCUCCUUCUUCAAAGUUAAUGCCACUAACUUUUCUUACUAACGUUGUGGCUUUCCUUCCUUCCACGUUAGUGCCCAUGUUAGUGUAACUAACGUAGCUACUGAGACCUUGGUGUCCAGCACCUCUUUGGGUUACUAAAUGCUCUGUAGUGAGGGUUACUCUUGAUAGUGGACUUUCAGUUGACAAUCCCGAGUUAGUUAACUCAAGUUACCAAGUGAUAAGGCACCCCUAAGAGCUUAUUCAUCCAAGUAAAUCCCUCACACAGGAACACCACAGACACAUGCCUCGAGAUUAAAACCAUUGGUUCCUAGCCUUAUUGCUUACUCUUUUUUUUUAUUUUUCAACCUUUAUUGUUCUUUCCCUUUUUCUUAUUAGGAUCUUCUUAUUUAGCUAGUCUCAUGGGGUGUGUCUCAAGCAUAGUAUUCAUGACAGAUAGUUGUCCUCCCACCUUAUGGUUGAACCAACUUAGCUAACUUAUGACUAUACCACAAACUCAUGAACUUACUCCAUAGUAUGGACUCCUCUCUGGUCUUUUAUAAAACACUCAUUCUCUUCUCAUUUGAUUCAAAAGGGACAAGCAUACAAGUAAGCAAAGUAAGGAUGCAGUAAUGACAUUCAGACUAGAAAACACAGCCUUAAUCAAUAAAAAGUUUAAAAGACAGAUUUGACAUGCUUAUUCACAAGGCGCAAGCACACAUACAUACAAAGAAAAUAGAAGACAAUCAUGCAAAUUAAAGUGCUGAAAAUAAGUAAGAGGAGAAAGGAACUUUACCACCUUGUAUUUUAUCUUUAUUGUUGUUGCCCUUUUCCUCCUAUUCUUCCCUUUCCCACACCAGACAUAGAAUGAUUGCUUAUACUCAAGCAACAAUUAAAACAGUGGUGAUGGAGUCCAUGAUGGAUCAUGAAUGUCUUAGAAUGAAGUGUGAGUAUGCAUGUGUUUCAGCAAGCAAGGUUAAGGAUACAAUAAAGACACAAGAGAUACAAACAGAGACAUUUUGAUUGCAUUAAUAAGUGGUGUUGGCAUGGUACUUUGCAUGAAAGUUAAGUGGCAACACCAAACUUAGUGUGCCACUGUCAAUCUAGCAUGUUGCAAGUACCCAAUGAAGAUUGAAAUUCAAAUUGUUGCAUGGCAACACCAAACUUAGAGUACAAUCAUAUGCCAAAUUAUUGAAAGUAAACAAAACUGAAAUUGAAAAUUCAACAUUCAUAAAUGAAAAUUACAACUAAAAGAAAGAGAAGGAAAAGUGUGUGAGGGGAGGGAGUCUGAAGACCCCUCUUCAAUCCCCCAUUCAAGAAUUGUCCCAGCCUGCCUUCAAUGUAAAGACUAAGGCCUUUAUAUAGGCUCUCCUAAAUUACAAAAUAAAAUUAAAAGUAAAUUACAAUUAAAUGAAAAUUCCUACUCUAGAUGCUUCUUGUGGUCUUGAUUGGUUGACAAUUGUGGGCUUGCUUGCUUGAGCUUUGAAGUGGACUUGAGAGAGAAGUGAGUCAAGUUGAGGUCCAGGUACUAAAGUUAGUGCUAAAGUUAGCCAUACAAAUGCUACAAGUGUGGCGUUAGUGCUAAAGUUAUUGUGGCUAACGUUGCACUUGCUGCCCAGUUGGUGUUUUUGGGGCUUAAAAGAUGCCUCUUGUUUGUGCUCCAAUUUCAUGCCCACUAUAGAGUAUUAUAUAUCGUUGGAAAGCUCUGAAUAUCAUCUUUUUAACGCAACUGGAAUCACCUCAAUUGGACCUCUGUAGCUCAAGUUAUGCUCCUUUGAAGUGGACAUGGUCGCUGGCAUAGUCGCUAGCAUUACUGGAAAACUUGAGUGCCAAUAAUGCUAGCGAUCAAGGCUUCAUUAUUGCCAGUUUCUAAAGCUCAAACUUAGUGUCCACCCCAUACUAUUAUAUAUUGUUGGAAAGCCCUGGAUGUCUACUUUUCAGUGCUUUUGGAAGCGCAUCAUUUAGAGCUCUACAACUCGAGUUACACUUCUUGGAAGGUGAAGAGGUCAGCUGGCCUUACUACAGGUUGAUACUAUGUUCAUCUUUGCACUUUCGGGGCAGGUUUUCUCCCUCAAAUUUAGUGUCCACCAUGUAGUGCCAUAUAUGCUUGGAAAGCUCUGGAAUCCUACUUUCCAAUGCCAUUGGAAUCACCUCAUUUGGAGUUUUGUGGCUCAUGUUAUUCUUGUUUGAAGAAGGCAUAGUCAGGCUGCCAGGUGGGACUUUUGCCCACAUUAACUACCACGUUAACUUAGUUAACGUGGGUCUUUUUGCUUCGCCAACGUUAGUGGAGAUUACCUUUUUCACUAACUUUGGCAUCUCUCUUUACUUCCACGUUAGUUCCCACGUUAAUGUAGUUAACGUGGAAGCUAACGUGGGUCUUUUUGCUUCGAAAACUUUAGUGGCACUCACUUUUUCCACUAACGUUGGCAUAUACCCCUUUCGCAAGCGUUAUUGGGGCUCACCUUCCCCAUUAACGUUGCUUGGUGCCUUUUGUCCCUAUGUUAGAGUUCACGUUAGUGUAGCUAACGUGACUCUUAACGUGGGUCUUCACUUGGUGUCCAGCACCUCUUUGGGUUACUAAAUGCUCUGUAGUGAGGGUUACUCUUGAUAGUGGACUUUCAGUUGAUAAUCCCGAGUUAGUUAACUCAAGUUACCAAGUGAUAAGGCACCCCUAAGAGCUUAUUCAUCCAAGUAAAUCCCUCACACAGGAACACCACAGACACAUGCCUCGAGAUUAAAACCAUUGGUUCCUAGCCUUAUUGCUUACUCUUUUUCUUUUAUUUUUCAACCUUUAUUGUUUUUUCCCUUUUUCUUAUUAGGAUCUUCUUAUUUAGCUAGUCUCAUGGGGUGUGUCUCAAGCAUAGUAUUCAUGACAGAUAGUUGUCCUCCCACCUUAUGGUUGAACCAACUUAGCUAACUUAUGACUAUACCACAAACUCAUGAACUUACUCCAUAGUAUGGACUCCUCUCUGGUCUUUUAUAAAACACUCAUUCUCUUCUCAUUUGAUUCAAAAGGGACAAGCAUACAAGUAAGCAAAGUAAGGAUGCAGUAAUGACAUUCAGACUAGAAAACACAGCCUUAAUCAAUAAAAAAUUUAAAAGACAGAUUUGACAUGCUUAUUCACAAGGAGCAAGCACACACACAUACAAAGAAAAUAGAAGACAAUCAUGCAAAUUAAAGUGCUGAAAAUAAGUAAGAGGAGAAAGGAACUUUACCACCUUGUAUUUUAUCUUUAUUGUUGUUGCCCUUUUCCUCCUAUUCUUCCCUUUCCCACACCAGACAUAGAAUGAUUGCUUAUACUCAAGCAACAAUUAAAACAGUGGUGAUGGAGUCCAUGAUGGAUCAUGAAUGUCUUAGAAUGAAGUGUGAGUAUGCAUGUGUUUCAGCAAGCAAGGUUAAGGAUACAAUAAAGACACAAGAGAUACAAACAGAGACAUUUUGAUUGCAUUAAUAAGUGGUGUUGGCAUGGUACUUUGCAUGAAAAUUAAGUGGCAACACCAAACUUAGUGUGCCACUGUCAAUCUAGCAUGUUGCAAGUACCCAGUGAAGAUUGAAAUUCAAAUUGUUGCAUGGCAACACCAAACUUAGAGUACAAUCAUAUGCCAAAUUAUUGAAAUAAACAAAGCAAAGCAAGGAAUGUUACCUACGGUUGGGUUGCCUCCCAACAAGCGCUCUUUUAAUGUCAUUAGCUUGACAUGUUGUUCACAACUUUCUUCCUCUUCUUCCAGUUUGUUAAGAGGAAUGACCUCAAGAGGAAAGAGGAGCCAGUUAAUGCCCCUUGUUUUGAGUGCCUCUCCCCAGCAAGCCUUCUUCUGUUGUUAGCUUGAGUAAACUUGCUUGUUGGGGUAGGGGUGGGAUGGCUUUUGGUUGACCUUUUCUUCUUCAUUAAUAUUGUCCUUCUUUUCUUGGUCACCAUCCUUUUGUUAGUGUUCAUGUUGAUUGCCUUCACCACCUUGAUUUCAGGAUUUGGGUAUUGUAUGAUGGGUGGAGCAUCCUCUUCAUCAAAAAUUUCUUGAAUUGGUGGUUCAAUGAACUCACCCUCUAUGCAACUCUCUGUUUCCUUGGAGUGUGGACUCCUUUGAUUGACUUCCUCCCUUUUUCUUGACCUUUGAAUGAACUCCUCUGUUUCUAGAGAGAGUGAAGUGGUCUCUCUUUGUGAUCUCAGCUCUUCAAUGAAUUGUUCUUCAGAAUAGAGUUGUGCAUUCUCCCUCAAUUUUUCUUCAUGGUCCCUUUUUUCUAUUUUCUCCUCUUCGAUUGUUUUUAUUAUUUCUUCAAGGAGGAGUUAUAUCCUAGUGAGUCUCUCCUCUACUCUACUUUUUCUGAGUUCUUCAAUGAUGAGUUCCACCCUAGCAAGUUUAUCUAAAGGAGGUUGGGUAGGUUGUAAUGGUUGGAUAGAGAACUAGGGUUACAAGUAAAAUAAAAAUCAAGAAUGUAAAUGAAAAGAACGGUAAAAUGAAAAGACGUGAAAUGACGAAAGAAAUGAAAAGACAGUUAAAUGUUAAGGAACAACGAAUAGUGAGGUUAGACUAAGCAGAUUGAUCCUAUUAAUUAGUUGGUAUCUAACGAAUUAGGCAAUUAGAGACACCCUAAGCUGGAGUGAGAAAACACUCAAUAAUGAACUGCUAUUAAGCCAUGUGAACGGCUUCCUUUAAACAACGCUCUGUUCAAAAGGCACGUAGUUCAAAUACCGCGGCAACGGCCCCUAAUUAGCACUAAUUGUUUGAUGGCCAACUAACUAAAUGAUCUAAUCUGUGAAAAGAAAACAGAAACAAAAGAAAACAAAGAAAUAAAAGAAAACGAUUAAUUGACAAACACUAUAACGGAGUGACCUUAAAGGAGUAGACACUGUUACCUCUAAGGUUAAAGAAAACCACUAAUAACAAACUCUGUCUCGAAAGACGUCCUUUCUUUCCUCGUAGGUAGUGUAAAAUCAGUUAGUUUAAAGUACUCUUUGAGAGGUGGUGGUGUCUUACUAAGUGAAAUGAUACGAGUACCACCCACCCUUAUAGUUCUUGUACUUUACCCCAUGAAAGGUCUCGGUGUUUUACCAGGUAUAAAACCACUUUAACUAGUGAUGAGUUCAACACCGACCCUUCUAGUAUUAGUUUCUCUAAAGUGAGUAAGUAUGGGGUAAGUAGUUCUCGGUAGUUGAGAGUUAAUAUGUUGGAGUGGAGGUUCAAAAUGUACGGAUUUAAGAAAUAGUAAACUCAUACGGAGUCGUGUUUUCAGAUAGGGUUUAGGUAUGUUAAGUAAAGUGGUAGGUGUUUUGAGUUAGGUGAUGGGUGUUCUCAGUAUAGUGAAAGUCUUGUGUGUUGGUGUUUUGUUGGUUAAGGUAAGUGUUCGGUUAGGGCUNNNNNNNNNNNNNNNNNNNNNNNNNAGUAAAAUCAAGAGAAAAGAAAGAAGAAGAAGAAUAGGAACUACACUUAAUCCAUUGAAUCACAAUAGAGCUCUCUAACCCAAUGUAAAGAGUUAGUUGAUCAUUGCUCUAUAAAAAUAGAAAAGAAAGAAAGUGCAGAAAAGUAAAUAUGAAGAUUCAAACUGAAAUUGAAAAUUCAACAUUCAUAAAUGAAAAUUACAACUAAAAGAAAGAGAAGGAAAAGUGUGUGAGGGGAGGGAGUCUGAAGACCCCUCUUCAAUCCCCCAUUCCAGAAUUGUCCCGGCCUGCCUUCAAUGUAAAGACUAAGGCCUUUAUAUAGGCUCUCCUAAAUUACAAAAUGAAAUUAAAAGUAAAUUACAAUUAAAUGAAAAUUCCUACUCUAGAUGCUUCUUGUGGUCUUGAUUGGUUGACAAUUGUGGGCUUGCUUGCUUGAGCUUUGAAGUGGAAUUGAGAGAGAAGUGAGUCAAGUUGAGGUCCAGGUACUAAAGUUAGUGCUAAAGUUAGCCACACUAAUGCUACAAGUGUGGCGUUAGUGCUAAAGUUAUUGUGGCUAACGUUGCACUUGCUGCCCAGUUGGUGUUUUUGGGGCUUAAAGGAUGCCUCUUGUUUGUGCUCCAAUUUCAUGCCCACUAUAGAAUAUUAUAUAUCGUUGGAAAGCUCUGAAUAUCAUCUUUUUAACGCAACUGGAAUCACCUCAAUUGGACCUCUGUAGCUCAAGUUAUGCUCCUUUGAAGUGGACAUGGUCGCUGGCAUAGUCGCUAGCGUUACUGGAAAACUUGAGUGCCAAUAGCGCUAGCGAUCAGGGCUUCAUUAUUGCCAGUUUCUAAAGCUCAAACUUAGUGUCCACCCCAUACUAUUAUAUAUUGUUGGAAAGCCCUGGAUGUCUACUUUCCAGUGCCUUUGGAAGCGCAUCAUUUGGAGCUCUACAACUCGAGUUACACUUCUUGGAAGGUGAAGAGGUCAGCUGGCCUUACUACAGGUUGAUACCAUGUUCAUCUUUGCACUUUCGGGGCAGGUUUUCUGGCUGAAAUUGAGGGCAGGAAAGCAGAGGUUCAGAGGAACGAAAAGCAUCUCCAUUCUCUUAUCUGAAAUUCUCACCAAUGAAUUACAUAAGUAUCUCUAUCCCUAUUCUAUUAUUAAAUUUCGAAAACUCCAUUAUCACUUUAUAUCUGCCUGACUGAGAUUUACAAGGUGACCAUAGCUUGCUUCAUACCAACAAUCUCCGUGGGAUUCGACCCUUACUCACGUAAGGUAUUACUUGGACGACCCAGUGCACUUGCUGGUUAGUUGUAUCGAAGUUGUGAUAAUUAUGAAUUAAGAUCAAAGCACCAAGCUUUGGAGCCAUUACCAGGGAUUGUUCGAGCCUGGACAUCACAAUUUCGUGCACCAGUGCCAUAUAUGCUUGGAAAGCUCUGGAAUCCUACUUUCCAAUGCCACUGGAAUCAUCUCAUUUGGAGUUUUGUGGCUCAAGUUAUUCUUGUUUGAAGAAGGCAUGGUCAGGCUGCCAGGUGGGACUUUUGCCCAUGUUAACUACCACGUUAACUUAGUUAACGUGGGUCUUUUUGCUUCGCCAACAUUAGUGGAGAUCACCUUUUUCACUAACUUUGGCAUCUUCCUUUACUUCCACGUUAGUUUCCACAUUAAUGUAGUUAACGUGGAAGCUAACGUGGGUCUUUUUGCUUCGAAAACGUUAGUGGCACUCACUUUUUCUACUAACGUUGGCAUAUACCCCUUUCGCAAGCGUUAUUGGGGCUCACCUUCCCCAUUAACGUUGCUUGGUGCCUUUUGUCCCUACGUUAGAGUUCACGUUAGUGUAGCUAACGUGACUCUUAAUGUGGGUCUUCGUUCCAUGCUCUCCUUCUUCAAAGUUAAUGCCACUAACUUUUCUCACUAACGUUGUGGCUUUCGUUCCUUCCACGUUAGUACCCACGUUAGUGUAACUAACAUAGCUACUAACGUGGCUCUUCUCUUCUUCUUUUGGCCUGAAAUCAAUCAAACAAAGUGCAUCAAAGUCUUGCUCUUAAUUAUGGGAUCAUGCAUCAUCCAAUUUAUCAUAUAAUUCAUGCAAAAUCCUCAUAAAAUCAUGUAAAGUGUACAAUGUAUGCUUGAAUCAAGAUGUAAGUGAAUAUCUACCCAAAACUAGCUUAUUUCCUAAGAAAAUGCAUGAAACUACCUUAAAAACAGUAAAGAAAAGGUCAGUGAAACUGGCCAAAAUACCCUGGCAUCAACACCCAAACAAUGUCAUAUAAAUGCAUGUGAUGCAUGCCUGUCCUACUGGCCAUGAGCUCAUGCGUCAGUUAUGUUGCCAGACCCAACUCGGAUAAGUGGGAUUAAACCACCAUCCUUAUCAGUAGGUUCCACAAGCAAGCGAGACUAAACCACCAUCCUUGCAUGGAACAUGCAAGCGGGAUUAAAUCACCGUCCUUGCCAAAUAAUUUAUCAAUAUGUGAGCGGGAUAAAACUACCAUCCUCACUGCAGGUGGGACAAAACUACCAUUCCUACACAACGGUUUACGCACUGAGCAAGUGGGACUGUACCACCAUCCUUGCCAGGACAAAAAUCCUCAUCAUAUUCUCAGUAACAUUCACAGUCAAUCAGACUCAAAUUCAAAAAUCAUUCUUGGCUCACUUUCAAAUCACAAACGUAUUCAGUUCACAUCUUGCCAAGAACCACUUUUCUUAAGUAAAUUUUCUUUUCAAAACUUUCAAACAACUUCAUAACCAAGCCAACUUCAAAAUUUCUUCUUGAAAGACUCAAAAUCACUCAUUUUCAAAUCAUUUGCUCAAUUGCUUUAAAAUCAAAAGUUAUUAAUUGAAAUUUACAGCAAGGUCUCAAGACUUUAGGGAAAAACAACCGGCCUCAUUUUCUUAUAUUCUGUAAAGACUCUUAAAAAAAAUAAUUGUUUUCUUAAUUUAAUUUAUACAAAGGAAGUUUCUAAACCCAUUUAAAACCAAAUCAUAGAAAUCAGAAGUUCCGAACCAAAUUCAAAUCCAAAAUCAAUCUUAAUUUUAUUCUUGAAACUAACUCUUUCAACCUUUUCCAAAAACAUCACAAAAUGACAUCACUCAAUCAAAGUCCCUUUUAUAUAUAAAAUCUACCUUAAAAUAUAAUACUUUUCUUAAGUGCUUUAAAAUAGUAAAGUAAUUCUUUUCUGAAUAAGUCAAACUCAAGACAUGUUUUUGUCAAAUAAAUUAAAUUCAAAAACAUAACUAUUUCCUUAAUAAAUCAAGUAAUACGAUUCCUCAAAAUUAAACUUUUCUAAAUAAUGCAAGAACCACAAUUAAUCAACCGAUUAAUCAAGUAAUUAAUAUUGCCCAAAUUAGAUUCUGAAAAGUUAGAGAGAGAAUUUGGAGAUUUAAAGGUGAUUUUUGGACUCAGUAGGUUUUUCUGAGUCAGAAAAUGUGCUUUCUGCAAAAAACCGUGAAAAAUCGUGAACCGGCAGUUGAACCGAUUGAACUGGUUCAAGUCUGCCCGGUACCGCAUGAGAAAAAGUGAAAACCGGCAAAAACCUUAGAAAAACAUUAGAAAUAGAAACAGGGUGUUAAUUUUAAAGUUUUGGCCCGAAGUUAGGCCAAACGGGCUAAAAACGCUAACGGAUUGGACCGAACCCAAGUUGGGCCCAAGCCCAACAUAUAUAAGUCCUUUAAGUGAACCCUUUUCAGCCAUAAACCACUCACACAACAUAAACACUAGCUGCAUGAGAAGAGAGAAUAGAGAAGGGGGAAAACACUAUUUACUUCUCACUUCAAGUCACGAUAUCUCGAGCUACGGUGUUCCGAUUUGCGUGCCGUCAGCAGCUACGCGAAGCUCUUAUCGAGCCCAUCAUUUCUAUCUAAGUCUUGUGGUAAGUUUCUCGAGAUUCUCUGCCCAGUUUUCGUGCCCUUGUGAAAUUCAAAUUUUUGGGUUUAGUUUUGAGUGAAAUCUUUUGUUUUCGAUGUUUAGGUUUGCUCUAAUCCUUGCUUAGCCUUUGAUUUUUGCUAUUAAAUCUAUUGGAAGAGGUAAGAGCCACUAAACCCUUGUGAAUUUAUAUUUAAUUAGAACUCUAGGUUGAUUUGAGGUGAUUUAUAUGUAUAUAGUUUGAUUAUUGUGGCUUUGGGAGCUUUUGGAACUUAUUUGUGCUUAUUGGAGUGGAAGUGAAAGCUUGGAUUUUGGUUGAAAGCUCUUUGGUGUUCAAUUUUGAGUCUUGGUGCAUAUAGAAAAUUGGUCAAGGUAUAGUUUCGGUUUCCUCUAUGUAGUAUAUAAUAUUCAUGGACACUUAGGCUAGUGACCCAUAGGAUAGGACUAGAUUUGAAUGGUUGAUGAGUUGUUGGAUGCUAUUGUAUGAUGAUGUACGAUAAAAUGAUGAUUUUUGAGUUUGAUAUUGAUAAUUGAUAGUGGUAUGAUGAGGAUGAAUGAUUUGUGAAGUUGGGGAGUGAAUUAUGUUGGUAAAUGUGAUAUUGAUGUUAAUUGAUUGGGAAUAUAUUAAUGAGGUAUGAUUAUAUGUGAUAUAUUAAUGUGGAGAUUGAGGAUGAGGAAAGGUGAAGAAAUAUGUGGUAAGCUUGGUGCAAUAUGCCAUAGAGUGUUAGUUUUGAUGAGAAUUGGUGUUUGGAAUGGUUUAGUUGAUUUUGGUUGUGGUUUAUAAAGAAAUUGAUGAAAUUGUGAUUUUGUGUAAAAGUUAAAUUUUGGUAAACUUCGUAUGAUCAUAACUAUUGCCUCGGUUUUCAAAAUUGGUUGAAAUUUGUCUAGAAUUAAAGAUCUUUGAAAAUCCUUUAAAUCGAUAUAAAGUUUGUGAAAUUUAGAAUUUUGUGGAGGAAGUUAUGAUCAUUCAAAGUUGGUGUUAAAAAUCUGAAAUUCUGCAAAGUUGCGGAAUUUCAUGAUUUCUGAUAUGUGUGAGCGCACACACUGCAAAAAUUGACCUGUGCGGACGCACACACCUGUGCGCACGCACAGGCAGGGAAGUGCGUUCUGUUUGCAGCGCUAGCACAGCUUGUGCACACACAUAUCUAAGGAAAAAUUUCAACCUGUGCAGACGCACACGUCGGAAAGGCCAGUCUGUUGGGGGCGCUGGCACAGGUUGUGCGAGUGAACAGACCUUUUUAAUUUUGACACCUGUGCGUACGCACACCCCUGUGCGUACGCACACUUUUAAAAAUUUUCCUGGGCGUGCGCACGCACACCUCUGUGCGGCCGCACACGUCCUGUUUCUCAAAUUUUACUUGUUUUUCAACUAUUCUACCUUCCCAACAAGGUUGUAAGCUUCUAUAACACCAUUUAAAGACUUUUGGGCCUAGUUUUGAGUAAUAGAACAUGGGAUAUAACUUAAGGGUUCUAGUACAUGAUUUUAAGAUAAAUUAAAAAACGGAAGCCUAGGUUUCUGGCGUACUGAGAAUGGUUUGACGUUAGGCGAAGGAUGAUUGAUAUAUGAGAUGAGGAAUGAUAAAAUUUUGAUAUUUGAAAACUGAGUUAUGAAUGGACAGUGAUUGAGAUGAGUCGAGGACUCGGAUUGAGAUGAUAGAUCUCUGUAUACUGAAAAUGUUUUUUUGAAAACCACUGAAAUAAUAUUUUUACUAAGAUUAUGAGACGCUAUGCGCUCGGCAGGGACGGUGGUUAAUCCCGCCUGUCGAGGUAGCGGCGGCGGCGUAAGGACGAUGGUUAAUCCCGCUUACGUUGAGAUGUGAGGUCUGAGGCAAGAGUAUCCCGCUCGCAUCCCUUCGGAUCUAUAGAGCGUGCAGGCGCCGGUACCUGGAUAGUGAUCCGGGUACUAUAUCUCGGGGGUUCCCAUAUGAGAAAUCCGAAGAGCGACGUCUCCAUGGAGAUGUGUCAGGUUGGCAGUUGAACCGACAAUAUGAUAUCACAGCCAGUAGGGCAAGCAUUCAUCAUGUGCAUUUUCUAUCCGUUUGUAUGCUUUGAUUACUUGUAAUGGCUUGCCUAAUUGAAUAACAUUCCUAAUUGCUAUCUAAAUUAUUGGCCUUAUAUGCUUAUACUUGUAUUUUACUUGAAUUGUAUAUUAUCUAUGUUUUCUAUUGGGAUUAAGGAGGUUCAGAAGGCAGUGGUGAUGGGAUCGCAUGGAGGAUAGGUUGGUGAAGGGUGUGGGACAGCGGUGUUUGGUUAGAAUAGAAAUCCCUAAGAUAGAUUACCCGGUUUAUUUAAGUUAAUGUUGUUAUAAUUAUGCUUAUUUGUUUUAGAAUGCUUAAGUUUGAAUCUUGUGAUAGAUAUGGAGCUUAGGAUUGCCUUUGGCGUCCCGGGGUCUUAUAUCCUACAUCACUGGGCACUGUUACCAUACUGAGAACCUCCGGUUCUCAUACCAUAUCUUUGUUGUGUUUUUCAGAUGCAGGUCGCAACCCACCUCGGUGAGUUGCUUUGGAUGGUGACAGAAGCGGAGGAUCCUGGAUUCUUUUGGAGUCUUUUGGUUUAUCUUGUUUAUACAUCUCUCUUUUGUAUUUUGUCUUUGCCUAGAGGCUUGUAAUAUGAGAGAAAAACUUGUAUAAGCUGUUUUUGAACUGUCAGGUUUCUGUAUGAUUCUGUAUACUGUAUAUGGCUAGUCCGCUUAAACUCCACGAGCCGAGGCUAGUUUCCUAUGAUAUUAUAUACUUAUAUUUUGUUGUAUCUUAUUUGUUUCUUGUGCCUUAAGCUAGUAGCUUCGUUAGUACGUUUUGUGCUUUUGAAAUCCUGUUUUUGAGCUAUAUCCUUCAUCGGACUUCUAGAUUAUACUAUUCCUUAUAUAUAUAUAUAUAUAUAUAUAUAUAUAUAUAUAUAUAUUAUGUAUGAGCUUAGAACUUUUGUAAUCUCUGAUUAACCUUCGCUUUACGACGCGAGGUAAAGCUUAGGCUAAUUGAUGGUGGUUCGAUUCUAAUGGUCUGAAAGCAAAAUCUACUCCUUUUUUGCGGGUAACAGUUCUAUAAGUGUAUCAAAGGUGCUCGAAUUAGAUGAGUAUUAAAAUAAGAAAUAAGUUCGAAAAGUGCAAGAAGGAUAAAAGAAGUGCAAAAGAAAAAGGUUUGAAAAAUAAACUUGACUGAAAUCGAAAUGACUUGUGCCGAAUUACAAAUAAAGCGAUUAAAAUUCCUUCGAUUUGAUCAAAGGGCUUUUGACAGAAAACUUAAAGGUACUGAAAUAUAAAUUGGCAAAUAAGUAAAGAAAACUUUGAAUGUAAAUCUGACAAUAAAAUUAAAGAAUACUUUGAAGAUAAAUCUGACAAGAAAAAGUAAAGUUUGCAGGAAUUGUAAAUGGAAAAUUAGAGACAAUGGAAGGAACCCUACAGAAAUCAAACUCGAAUGCAGACUCAGAAAUUCUCAGGGGAUGUGAGUAUGGUUGAGUCUAUUUCUGAAGAAAAGUUCCAACCCUUAUUUCCUAAAACUUACUAAUAUUUAUAACCCAUAUCUGUAAUCGACCAUUAAUUACACGACACUGCCUUGUAUGCAAAUUCUUAGGUAACUGUUCCCGCUCUUUUGCCCAUAGACGUUACCCAUAAACUCCUCAUUUAGAGAAAGCCUUCAACUUCUCCACUUACGUAACCGCUCGAUUCUCUAAUCGAGCAACUAUUCAAUUUCUCAUUCAAAUGCUUGUUCGAUUUAACAAGGUGUCUAAGUCGAGUCCGUGUCAAGUAACUUCCACUUAAUGCCUGCACGUGCGUCCUUUUGAACUCUACUUCUUUCUUGACCCUUCACUAGCGUUUCGAAUCAACUUAGUCUUUUGAAGAUAAUUAUUUUGACUAAUAAAUUGCCCCCUAGGAUUAAUGUGUUUGCCUUCGAAGUCGUUUCUUGGAAGAUGCAACACUUAAUCCUAAUCCAAACGUCAGGCACCUUUACUGAUAAUAAUUACCAUUUACCUUCUCCAUUAAUUCUGACCCGUUUGACACGUUUCCCACGAUUCGCACUUUUUUUCUCCACCACUCCGCCUUCUUCGCAAAGUUACCUCCUUUUCCUUUGAAUUCCUUCUGCAAUAAUGGCUAAGCAAAGAUUUCCUUUAAAUUCGACACUUCCGUCUUUGCUCAACUUUCUCGAACCCUUAUUCCCUCGAUUUCUCUUGCAUUCACCUUUCUUGCACAACAUUUACUCUUCAAUAUUCAUUCCUCUUUACUCUUCAAUGGCUGCUUCUUUAUCCCACGUUGCUGCACAAGACAAAGACAAAGGUCCUAAGGUACAACCACUGGCUCCUCCAGCUCUUCAUGUGUUGAAUCAGGUCAAUGAUGAAGUCAUUGAUGACCCACAACUCCAAAUUAAUGACCCCAAAAUCCUCAUUCCGUUCACUGUGGGUGAAGAUAUUCAUUGUUUCAUUGGUCCAAUUGAGAACUUGGAAAGGGCGAACAAGAAACUUCCUUUCUUCCCAAAUGCCCAAGGAGAAGAUUUGUUGAUCAACCAAGACCUUGAUAUCUAUUUUUUCACCAAUCAAAAACCUUUUUCGUAACAACCCAAAAAUCAACCCUCAUGGAACUGACUUCACGUCCUGGUAUGAGCAUCUUGCUCCAUCGAAGAUAGCUACUUGGGGGGCUCUUGGGAUUCAAGACCUUCUAAGGUUUUCUCACUUUUCACCUUCAACGCUCCCUUGGAUGAUUGGAGCAGUAACCUUUUUCUGGAAUGAGACUACCAAUAAUUUCCACCUUCCUUGUGGGAUGAUUGGUAUGUCACUUCUAGAUGUGGCUGCUAUUACAGGACUUCCAAUUAGUCUUCCAGACUUCACCUCUGACAUGCAGCCUAAGCAACAAUACAACAUUGUCCCAACAACUUCCUACAGCGACUUUAUUACUCAUCACAUGGGUGCAGAGGGUACUGCCAUUAUAGAUGAUGAACAUGUAGCCUUUCUGUUCUAUUGGCUAAAUGCAAUUGUAUUCUGCUCUCGAAGUGCUAAAAUGCAGAAGCUUUUCCUUCCUCUUGCCACUCUACUUCAUGAAGGAAACAAUCUUAAUUUGGCCAAGCUUUUUCUAGGGCAUGUUUUCGAAGAACUUGCCAAUUUGUUAAUUGUCUUCAAAAUAACUAUUUGAUUAGUACAGGUGGCCUCUUUGGCUUCUCCAACUAUGACUUAAUGCCAUUUUUAAAAAAUACAUGGUUACACCUAGAAGUGGUGCUACAGACAAACAGCACAUUAAAGGUUUUUGAUUGGCUAACUUUAAGCCAGAUUUUCCAGAGGCUUAAUCGGAUGAAGACCGAUUCUGGGCUGUCUUUUCUCUUUUUCAUUCUUGUAAAGACUUUCACAAUGAGGACCUCAAUUUCACCCCUUUUUUGCGUCGAAAUUGUGGUCCUGCUUGGCUGGAACGCCUCCUCUUCCCCACCGACACUAAAGAAAAUGAGCUUGCUAACAGAAGUUGGGCAAAUUUACUGGCUGUACAGGUGAUUCCUACAGGGCUACCUCAACAUAAAAAAGAACGUUUCAAGGUGACUCUGUAUGCCCCUCAUUACACAGCCAGGCAGCUUGGCUUCUCACAAGUUAUCCCAACUCCACUUCUCAGAAACAACAGACCGUUUUGCCAUAUUACUUUGGCUUCAAAGAAAGAGCUUGACAUCUGCCUCUUGAAAAAUCAACAACAAAAAGAGGGCUAUAAAUACCUCAUUUAUGAUCGAAGCUCGUACAUCACCAAGUCUUGUUUCGAUUGGUGGACUGCUUACUACUCUAAGUACGUUCGUACUUUGGAGGAGAUCAAGUAUUCUAUUGUCCAGGCGGUCCCUGCUGCUGAGGGUUCUCCAAAGAAAACUCAGAAAAGAAAAGCUGAACCUACAGCUUCUUCACACCAACCACUAAAGAAAAGUCGACGGACACCUUUGAAAACUUCUAGGAAGGUAACUAUAUUCAUUUGCUCCUUCUUUAACUGAAAUUCUUCGACAAUCACAUUCACUUGCAACUCUUUUAAUUCCAAUCUUUCUUUAGUUACAGUUGCAACCGUCGAGUGAAAGUUCUGAUGAAAGUGAGCCAUCAAUUCAGAAUAUCCUUGCAGCAUCCUCACAGUCGGAGGAUGUAAUUGACUCAGAUUCGGGCUCUCUAUUAGUUCGAAGAAUAAGACCCAUUCCGGUAACAUUAUAUUAUUUUCAGAUAUAUUUCGAUUUAGUUAAAGUAAAUCUCGACUUAUUGUACCUUGCAUCUCAGCCUGUCACUGCUGUUCAAUCGAGCACUUCAUCUCUGGCACCUGACUAGCCACAUCAACAACAACAACAAGACUUAGGACAAACCACAUCUCACUCAUCAAUCCAAGCCACAGAAUUUGUUCAGCCUCUUCAAGUUGCUUUUCCAAUUCCAACUAGAACGCAGGUAGUUGACUUAAAAAAGGAGCAUACCCCUUAUUCCCCAACACAAACUUUGAUUGUUGGACAUAUUUCUCCAACAAACCAGGAUGAUACUUCUACCGAAUUUUAGGUGGCCCCUGAUUCGAUUCUCCUUCUCGAGUUGCUGAAACUGUUGUUCCCGAUUCGGAUUCUCCAUCUCGAGUUUUGGAAACUCUCCCUUCUCCACAACGAACCUCCAGUCCUUCCAAACAAGCUGAACUUCAAACUUUCCCUGGUCAGGGAUCUAGAGGUUUGGGUGUCUCUACCGAAUCUAAAAAUGCCAGCCUGGUUAACCUGGUCACUAUUCUGAACCAAGCUAUUCAGGAAGAUAAGAUGCUUCUUUCUACUCCUUUACUCAUUGGUCCUUCUACAUCUGGUCCUUCAUCCGAACUAAAUGUUAAUACUCGAGAAUAACUUCUGUCACUUCUCAAGCUCCUGGACCAUCCACCCAUUGAGUGGACCAAUGAUGCAGCACUGAACAAACUUUUGUCUGAUCUUUUAAAUUCAUCUCUUGAACUUCAUGUCUUGUCCCCAUACUCUGCCAUAGUCAAAUAAUUCAUACAAACUGCCAACAAGAGUGUAACUACCCAAGAAAAACUACAAGAGAUCAAGGGUACAAUGGCUCAAACUAAAACUGAAUCCGAAAGCUAUGCUACAGUUCUACAACUAAUCAAGACUUCCCAUGAAAAAUUCAAUUUAAGAAUCUCUCAGGCGCUCUUCAUUCAAGCUCACUAUGAUAAUGAAGAGAGAAAACUUGAAGCAAAAUUAGCUCAGAUUAAUGAAAUAUUGGCAAAAAUUCAGAAGAGGAGGGCAGAUAUAGCUACACCUCUAGCCACUGUCCAGCAUGAACAACAACAACUUGUGCAAGAAAUCGUUUCUAUUGAGACCAAACAAGAAGAAUGUGAGAAAUAACUUGACAAAGCUCAAUAUGAAGAAUUCAGGCAUGCUGAAACACUUUCAACUCUGGACAAUGAAAGGGUAAAGCUACGCUCAGACCUGGCAGACCUUAUGGCACCUUACAUUUCUUCACCUUAGACUUCAGUACUUGUAAUAGUUUUCUUUAUUUUCAAACUUAUGCAUUUUAAUCUUAAUUUAAUAAACAAUGAUAUUGCUUCAAAUACUUCCCAUUUAUCGAAUUGAUUAUAUUUCUGGAUUCGAUAUCUUUGAUUCGAUAUGCAUUUUCCGAAUACAAUCCUAUCACUUGGAAAGGGUCCUCCCAAGUAUGGGACCAUUUGCUAAGAACUCUCAAUUUCUUUUCCAUUGGCAAAAUAACUUUUAAAACCAACUCACCUAUACUGAAGCAUUUCUCCUUUAUUCGACAAUUGUAAUUUCGAACAACACUUUCUUUUUGUCGAAUUAUGUUUUCAAGUGCCAAUAUUUGCCCUGAGUCUAAUUCAUUCAACUCAUCAAAUAUUGCAUUCCAAUAAUCAUUGACUGGCAAAUCAUUCUGUCUUGACACCCUCAAAGUGUUAAGAUUGAUUUCCAAUGGUAGCACAGCAUCAUGGUCAUAUACUAAUUUAUAGGCCGACGUACCCGUCGACCCCCUGGAUGAAUUUUGAUAAGCCCAUAGUACUUGACUUAACGUUUCAUGCCAAGUUCGAGGUCUAUUCCCGAUUUAUUUUUUAAUCAAACUUAUCAGAAUUUUAUUUGCUGCCUCAACUUGCCCGUUGGCCUAUGCAUAAUAAGGGGUUGAAGUAAUCAUAUUAAUAUUCCUCGAAGCUGCAAAUUCUUGAUUCACUAACCAGUAAACAUAGUCCCUUGAUCAGUGCUCAAUGUUUGAGAAAUUCCAAAUCGAUGGAUUAUAUGUUCCUCAAUAAAAUCUAUUAUUUCAUUUUGCCCAGCUUCUAUUAAAGGAACUGCUUCAACCCACUUCGUAAAAUAAUCAAUUGCUACUAGAAUAAAUUUAUGACGUUUCGAUGAAGGAGGAUGAAUCAAUCCAAUCAAAUCCAAAGCCCAACCCCUAAAUGCCCAUGGCUUUAUAAUCGAAUGCAACUCAAACGUUGGGCUCUGUUGUAUCAAUCCAUGCUUUUGACAUUCUAGACACACCUUUGUAUAUUCAAUACAAUCUUUGAUCAUGGAUGGCCAAUAUACGUGAUUUCGAUAUAGCACCCAUUUCAUCUUCUUCCCAGCCUGAUGAGCACCACAUAUCCCUUUAUGAACUUCACCUAAAGCAAUGUUUUUAUCAUCUUGACUUAGAUAUCUCGACAGACUUCCAUCGAUUCCCUUCUUAUACAACUCAUCAGCCAUCAAGACAAAAUUCAUAGCUUGCAAUUUUACCUUUCUAUCGACUGGGAUGCUGGGAUUCUUUAGAUAUUCAGCAAUAGGCUUUUUCCAAUCAUCAUCUUCCCAUUCGCCUAUACACAAAGCUUCCCUUUUCAUCUGUAGGCACCAAAAUUUGAUGAAUACUGGCUAAUUUUCUUAAAAUUUCUGGGCCAAUUCUAUAUCUCGAAGUAAUUUGGGCUAAUUCAUUAGCGAUCUCGUUAUGAAUCCUUGGGAUAUGAACUAACGAAACUUUUCGAAAAAGCAGUUAAUAAUUCCCAAGCCAUUGCCAAAUACUUUUGCAACUUCUCAUUAUUACAUUUGAACUCUCUCGAUAACUGUUUCAAGACUAACUGGGAAUUUCCUAAGAUUUGGACUUCCAAAGUCCCUUUUCCGAUCAAUAUUUCAAGACCCAAAAUUAAUUCUUCAUACUCUGCCAUAUUAUUCGAGCAGGGAUAUUUUAACUCGAACAGGAAUUCUGAUGGAAUCCCUUCUGAAAAGAUAAUAAGAAUUCCAACCCCUGCACCAUCUUUGUGCUUUGAUCCAUUAAAAUAUAACUUCCAAUAAUUGACUUUAAUGUCGAGUAUAUUUGCCCCUGGUCAUUCAGAUUAUUCGAAUUAUCAACUAAAAAAUCUGCAAUGACCUGAACUUUCACAGCCUUGGCAGGAACAUACUGUAAAAUUCUCUCAAAGCUAACAUCCAUUUCCCUAAUCGACCUCGUAACAUUGGAAAACUCAACAUAUUUUUGAUGAGAUCAGUUUGAGCUAUAACUUUUACUGAUUUAGCCACCAUGUAGCAUUUUAAUUUCAUGCAGGCAUAGUAAAGGGAUAAACACAAUUUUUCUAUUGGGGAAUACCUUGUUUCAAUAUCGGUCAAAACUCGACUAAGGUAAUACACUGCCCGUUCAUGCCCAUUCUCGUCAUCUUGGGCUAGCAUACACUUAAUUGUGUUUGUAGAUGCUGUAAUAUACAGUUUCAAGGGCUCAUGAGGACGAACAUUCGCCAUUAUUGGAGCCUUAGAUAAAUAAGUCUUGAUUGACUCAAAUGCCUAUUGAUGCUCAUGGGUCCAUUCAAACUGUGAAUCAUUCUUUAGUUUCAGUAAAGGGGCAAACACUCUGGUUCGAUAAGAAAGAUUCAAAAUGAACCUUCAAAGAUAAUUGAAUUUCUCCAAGAAUGAUUGCACUUCUUUUUUAUAUUUUGGCAAAGACAAUGCCAAUAUUGCAUUAGCCUUGCUCUUAUCGAUAGCAAUUCCUUUCUUAUGAACAAUAAAACCUAAGAAGUUCCCAACUGAUACACCAAAAGUACAUUUCAAAGGAUUCAUUUUUAACCCCUUUUUUCUCAUUGUAACAAAUGCUUUCCUCAAGUGAUCAAUAUGUUGAUUCACUGAAAUUGAUUUGACCAUAACAUCAUUAAUAUACACCUCCAUAAAUCUCCCAAUAUACUCAUGAAAUAUGGUAUUCAUUGCUCGCUGGUAAGUUGCACCAAUAUUUUUCAAACUGAAAGGCAUAACCACCCACUCAUAAGUGCUUAAUGCCCCGGGACAACGAAAAGCAGUUUUAGACACAUCAUCUUCUGUAAUGAAGAUUUGGUUAUAUCCCGAAUAAUCGUCCAUAAAACUUAAAAUUUUAUUUCCCGCUGCAAAGUCAAUCAACAUAUCUGCAAUUGGCAUAAAAUAUUCAUCCUUUGGGGUAGCAUUAUUCAAAUCUCUGAGAUCAAUGCACACCCUUAGUUUUCCAUUUUUCUUCAUCACGGGCAUAAUAUUUGAAACCCAUUCAACAUAACGUGCGGUUCGAAUGAACUUCGCUUUAAUCAACCGUUCUAUUUCUUCCUUAACCUUUUGAUUGAUUUCUGGAGCAAAUCGACGAAGAGUUUGCUUUACAGGUCGAGCAUUUGGUUUCAAUACUAACCGAUGUUCUACAAGAGAACGAUCAAGACCAGGUAUCUGAUAAUAAUCCCAAGCAAAAUAAUCUUUGAAUUCAUGUAAAAGAUGGAAAAGUUCAGUUCGAAAAGGAUCUAUGAGAUCUUUACAAAUAUAAGUAAUUCGAAUGUCAUCAAGAGACCCUAGAUUAAUUUCUUCUAAGGGAUCUUGAGAUUCGAAUCCUUUUAAAUGAUCCUCAUCCUUUACUGAAUGUUUUUCAAAACCCAAAGGUUCUAAAUUAUAGAUGCAAUCAAAAGAGAAAUCAACAGAUUCAUUAGGAAUAAAAUAAACUUGAUCAUUCGCUGGAUUAACAUCAGCUUUAUUUUCAACACAAUAGACUUCUGCUAUUAAGUCAGUAGUUCAACUAACAACAUCAUUUGUAUUACAUAAUGAAGAACAACUUAAACCAUGACUAAACUCAAUUAAAGACAUCGAGUUGUAGCUACUAAGAAAAGAAAUUACAUUCCUAAAUGAUUCCACUUCAUCAGAAAAACCACAUUUAUUUUCUAUGGAAGGGAAAUUACUUAAAUAAUUAUUUAAAAUUAUCAAGUAAUCCAAGACAUCUUGCACCCGUUCCAUCAAAUAAUGCCUCAGAUCCCUUAAGAUGAACAAUCAAUGCCAGUUGGGGUCACAUUCAUAUGUGGAUGGCAUAAUUUCACUGUCAAUUCCUCCAAGACAAGUAGCAUCCCUCGCAGUUAUAAGAAUUCAAUGCCUUGUCAACAUUUAAAGGCUUCAGUUUUGGGCUAUACACCCUGAAAUUGACAUGCAGUUGUUUGACAUAGAGAUUCGAAUAUGCUUUAACAACUUCAGGCUUGCCAUCUGACGUGGCGGAAAUUGGCGAGUUAAGAAUUGUUAUAAGAUAUGCGUUGCAAGUAUAGUUCUUAACCAACAAGGAAUCCACUUAUCAAUUUAGAAGGGUUGUCACAAAAAUUAAAAUUAAAAUACUGGGAGUAUGAAUCCCAGGUCGUCUCCCAACGAGUUGCAGAAAGGUGUGCUAUUUUAUUAAUCAGAUGUUUUCAAAAAGAGUUUGAGUUGAAUAAGCAGGAAAUUAAAUUAGAGAAAUUAAGUAAUUUAAAUAAAAGCCUUGACUGGGAGUAGAUUAGUUGGAAGCCCUAUUCUUGUUGCAGUACUCUCAAGAUUAAUCGAUAAUUGAAGGUUGUUCUGUUUAGUUAUCCCUUACUAGGUAAGGGAAAGUCAAACAAGUUGGAAUGCUGUUUCUAUUCACAAGUCCCAAUCCGCUUACUUGGAAGGACUGGCGUUNNNNNNNNNNNNNNNNNNNNNNNNNNNNNNNNNNNNNNNNNNNNNNNNNNNNNNNNNNNNNNNNNNNNNNNNNNNNNNNNNNNNNNNNNNNNNNNNNNNNNNNNNNNNNNNNNNNNNNNNNNNNNNNNNNNNNNNNNNNNNNNNNNNNNNNNNNNNNNNNNNNNNNNNNNNNNNNNNNNNNNNNNNNNNNNNNNNNNNNNNNNNNNNNNNNNNNNNNNNNNNNNNNNNNNNNNNNNNNNNNNNNNNNNNNNNNNNAAGGUUGUUCUGUUUAGUUAUCCUUUACUAGGUAAGGGAAGGUCAAACAAGUUGGAAUGUUGUUUCUAUUCACAAGUCCCAAUCCGCUUACUUGGAAGGACUGGCGUUAGUGACUAGAGAGCAAUCCAACAAUAAACCCAAUUACAAUUUCUCUUUUGAGCAUUCCAACUCAAGGGUUCCUUUCAAUCAACACCCCAUCAAGUUAGGGAACUACUCGCUCAUUGUGAAUGUGGAAUUCAUAACAUAGAAAAGAGAAUUAAAGAAAGACAUGAUAAAUAAAACUCAAAGGAAUCAAUUAAAAAUAAAAGUAACUCUUGUAUUAAUAAAUUCUAAAAUAAUCCAGUAGUAAGAUUGAGUAAAUUAAAGGACAUGGAAGAGUAAAGCCAAGUAAAGAAAACGAACUAGAAUGACGAAGUCUUGAUGAGGUAAUAACUCUUCUCAAUAUCCCAAUGCAAAGAACAAUAGAGAUUAAAAUCCUAAGAACUAUGAAUGUGUAGAGAGAAAACCUAGAGGAGGAGUAAAACUAGAUCUAAAAACUAAAAAUUAUGUAGAGUGAAUGUUUUUUUUGUUUCUGCAUGUUCUCUAGCUCUAGUCUGCUUUUCUGGGCCAAAAACUGGGUCAAAACGGGGCCCAAAAUUGCCCCCAACGAAUUCUGCAGAUUAUGCAGAUCGCGCACGUCACGCGAUCGCGUCAUUCAUGCGGACGCGUCAUUCGGCGUUUUGCUUUGCCAUGCGGGUGCAUCGUCCAUGCCUCCGCGUCACUUGUGCUAUUCCAAUCCGCGCGGUCGCGUGAGCCAUGCGGCCGCGUCACUUCUCGCUGGUCAUCUCCUCAAUUUCUUGUGUUCCUUCCAUUUUUUGCAAGCUUCCUUUCCAAUCUCCAAUUCAUUCAUGCCCUAUAAAGCCUGAAACACUUAACACACAGAUCACGGUAUCGAAUGGAAUAAAGGAGAAUUAAAAUGCGUAAUUAAAAGUCUCUAGGAAGCAAGUUUUUAAUCAUGUAAUAAUUUUAGGAAGGAAAUAUAAAUGCAUGCUAAUCAUAUGAAUAAGUGGAUAAAAAUCAUGAUAAAACCACACAAUUAAACACAUUAUAAACCAUAAAAUAGUGGUUUAUCAACCUCCCCACACUUAAACAUUAGCAUGUCCUCAUGCUUAGUUGAAGGAGAUAAAACAAAUGAGUAGGAACAUGUAAAAACUCAUGCAAUGCAAUGCAACCUAUAUAUGUAAAUGUAACUAUAUGAUUCUUGUCCACUUGAUCAAUAGUAAAUAAGCUCUUCAAAACAACUACAAAUCAAAUUCCACUAAUUCAAUUCUCAUGCAGUAAGAACAGAUAAAAAUGCAAGAAGGUAGGUCAUGAAAGCAUGGAACAUAGAAUUUUAAGCAUUGAACCCUCACUGAUGAUGUAUGUACGCUCUAAUCUCUCUAGUGUAUAGGGCAAUCACUCUAUCCUUCUCUAAUCAUGCUCUCUAAUUUUUGUUAUUUCUUUCACAUUCCAUACUCAUGUAUCAACUUUUUAUCUUAAUUUUAUCAUACAUGCAUUGAUCUUUGAAUUCUUAACUUUACAUUGGGGUAAUUUUGUCCCCUUAUUUAUUUAUUGAAUAUUUUUUAGUUUUUUUUCAUAAGCAUAAAAAUAAACAUAGCUUAUCAAUGCACAUAGAUUUUCAAUUUUUUUUUAUAGUUUCACAUGAGUAGGUCUCCAAAUUUCCAUUAUAUUAUCAUGACACAUUCCCUUAUUAUCUUUUGUUCCCACAAUUUCCCAUACUUAAUUGACACACACAAUUCUAUCUUAAGCUAACCAAAGAUUCAGUUUGGGGUAUACAAUUAUUUUUUCGCUUAAGGCUAGUAAUGUGGUAAAAUAUAGAACAAAUGGGAUAUAAAGGCUCAAAGUGGCUAACAAAGGUAAUUGAAAGGGUAGGCUUAAUUUGGAUAAGUGAGCUAAACAAUUAAUGGCCUCAAUCAUAUACAAACAUAUAAAUAUAAUAAACUUUGGACAUAUAGGAUGGAACAAAAUAUAGAUCACAAUCAUAGAGAAGUAAACACACAAGAAUAAAAUAAUUAUGGUUAAAUAAUAUAACCAUGCAUAGAGGCUCAAAUCUCACAGGUUGUGUGUUCUUUAGCUCAAAAAUUAUGUUCCAAAUACAACUUCAAGCAAAUUUAACAUAGAAGUUUUGAUUAAAAUUAGUGAAAUUUUGUUCCAAAGAUAGGAUCUUAGAAGAAACUUAUUGUCUUUUCAAUCAAGUAGAACAUGCAUGCAACUAACCUAUUACUAUGCAAUUUAUCCUAUUCUAUAAAAGAAAAACUAACUAAAUAUCCUAAUUUAUUGGUGUUUAGGGAAGAGAAAUUACCUCCAGAAGUCAGGUACUGACCGACUUUCCCACACUUAAGGCUUUGCUCCGUCCUCGGUGCCAUCUGUCAGGAACAGGGGUGGGCUGGUAGCAGUAUCUCCACAGUCGGGACCAUCAUGGCUCCCUGUGCUGGUAAAUGAAGUGGAGUCCGGAGUGUCUGAGUCCUUGAAUUUUCCCAUGAUCAGCUCCUUGAGGUAUGUGAAUCGGCACUUGUUACGACGCUUUAUGAUCCAACCUUUCGAGUAUCUGAUGGAGCAGUUGGUCUGUUGUAGGUGCUUGUGGUAUGGAAGGAGGAAUGUCCUGAGCUGGUUCAGUGGGCUGGCUUGUAGUGGCUGCUGAGGGUCUGAUAUAUUUCCCAUUAGGGACAUAUUGAUCAUCCCGUGGAAGUAUGGCUUUGGUGUCCCCAGCUCUGAAGGAGACUCCGGCUGUUGAGACAAGAUCUGAGACCAGGGCGGGAAAAGAUAAGUUGCCCACGAUUUGUACGUGUCCCAUGGCAUUCCGGAUGUGUCUUGGUAGGUUCAGAGGUUGGUCUGUAAGGAUGCACCAUAGUAGAACGGCCAUGUUCGCAGUGAAGGAGGACUCGUGAGUGCUUGGAAAGAUGUAAUGGGACAUGAUCUGUGCCCAUACGCGAGCCUCCAAGGUAAGUGUUGAAGCCGAUAUUCCCUUAGGGCGGGUACGAUGGUAUCCGUAGAUCCAACGGCUGCCAGGUAGUGCGAUAACUCUGAGAACGGCGUCCCAGUCAAAUUGGUACAUCUGGAGCUUGAGUGCGGCUUCUUGAAAGGCGUCUAAACCUUCUGGAAUAGGGGGAAGACCUAAAGCUUUUUGAAUGGCCUCUUCUGUAAUGGGGACUUGCUUCUGACGGACAAAGACAGACUACAGGGUUGGCAGGUGAAAGUUGGAGUAGAACUUGACUACCCAAGAAAGAUUGACCUGCCUCGGCUGUCUCUGUAGGAAACCCCAUUGUCUUUGUGCAAUUUGCGGUUCAACAAAUGUGGCAAUAUGGUUUGGGAGGAGAAGAAGGUAUUCAUUGUUGUAACUCCUUUCUGCCAGGAUGGGGAACAUCUGCUCACAAUAGCGAUUGGAAAAUCGCGCAGUGUCCUUUGCUGGGAAGGCUUUUUCUUUAUCAUCAACCUUUAUAAUCCUCUUAAGUCUCUUUGUUGAGGGCUUUACCGCAGUUGAAGAGGGUUCUGCCACUAGGGCUCUCUUUGUUCCUCUCCUUGCUGUUGAUUUGGGAGUAGCUUUCUCUUUGCCCUUCUUGGUGGCCAUUCUGAAAAAGGGAAGAGAAAGUAAAUUAAAUUCAAAGAGAUAGAGUAAGGAAGAGAACGGAAAAGGGUGGUUAUGAAUGCACAGUAAAAGGUAAAUGAUGUUAACACAUGGUCAUGACUACAUGUGAAAAGUCAUCAAUGGAAAAUAGUUAGUGCAUAUGAUGACAGGUGAAUGCAAGGUGUUUUUUGGCAUGCUGGCAAUGGCAUGAGUAGCAUAGAUCAAGCAUCACUCGUAACAAACCAUCACAUUUGUAUUGACAAUUAAUUUCAAUGAAUACAAUAGUAAAGGAAAUUUGUGAAAAGCAAGCAUUGAAUAGUAGAGUAACGUAGAAAAGUGCAUAAUGCUAUAUGGACUUUUUCACAAACACAUAGCAUGCAUGAGAAUUAGGGUAUAGAAAGUAUUAAAUUGAACAUGCAAGCAACCCUUUAAAAAGUAAUAUAUAAUUUCCAAACAAAUUUAGAACAAUCCACAAGCAUAUAAUGAGAAAUAAUGAUUCAAAUUAAUUUCUAACACCAAGUAAAAAGGGAAAAGAAAGAAAAAAGAAAAUAUGGAUAAUGAAAGUAAAAAGAAAAGAAAAGAAGAUAACAUAUAAAAAUAAGAAGAAUAAUAGAAAAUUAAGGGGAGGAAAGAAGAAAAGAAAAACCUUGUUAAUGGGGGUGAGAGAGAGAGAGUGAAAGUGUAAAAAGUGAGAAAGAAGGAAGAGGGAAGAAGGAAGAAAUAAGGAAUAAGGAGGAAAAAGAGAAAAUAGGAUUUGGGGAGAAAAAGAUAAGAUAGUUGGUAAAUUAGAAAAGCUGUGUGGCGCAAGUGACGCGGUCGCGUGGGGCACGUGAUCGCGCCACUUGCGCUGAAACUGAUUGACACGGUCGCGUCGGUCACGCGGUCGCGUGACCCGUUUUAUGCUACUGGCGCGAGGGCAGCCUCGCACUCGCACAACUCUCUGUUCAAAAUCAUUAAUUGCCAAAUAUUGGGUGACGCGAUCGUGUGGGAAGGAUUGUGCGUUCAGCACCAAUCCAGCACCACUCUAGCACAACUUUCGGUCGUGCACCCUUUUCACGUCGAAUUCCGAGGCAUGCGGCCGCGUGAGUGACGCGGUCGUGUGGGAGGCCAAUGUUCCCACUCGACGCGGUCGCGUGAGAUAAUUUGUGCCAUUGGCACGUGAUGAGCGGAUAAUUUAUACGCUUUUUGGCAUUGUUUUUAGUAUGUUCUUAGUAGAAUUUUGUUACUUUUAGGGAUGUUUUCAUUAGUUUUUAUGUUAAAUUCACAUUUCUGGACUUUACUAUGAGUUUGUGUGUUUUUCUGUGAUUUCAGGUAUUUUCUGGCUGAAAUUGAGGGACUUGAGCAAAAAUCAGAUUCAGAGGAUGAAGAAGGACUGCUGAUGCUGUUGGAUUCUGACCUCCCUGCACUCAAAAUGGAUUUUCUGGAGCUACAGAACUCUUAUUUCGUUUCUAAGAUAUCCAUUCGCACUUCAACCUGAAUGUGAUGAACGUGACAAUCAUCAUCAUUCCCUAUGAACGCGUGCUUGACAACCACUUUCAUUCUACAUUAGAUUGAAUGAGUAUCUCUUAGAUCUCUUAAUCAGAAUCUUCGUGGUAUAAGCUAGAUUGAUGGCAGCAUUCAUGAGAGUCCGGAAAGUCUAAACCUUGUCCGUGGUAUUCCGAGUAGGACUCUGGGAUUGGAUGACUGUGACGAACUUCAAACUCGCAAGUACUGGGCGUAGUGACAGACGCAAAAGGAUAGUAAAUCCUAUUCCAGUAUGAUCGAGAACCUCCAAGAUGAUUAGCCAUGCAGUGACAGCGCAUCGGACCAUUUUCACAGAGAGGAAUAGGAUGCAACCAACGACAAGGGUGAUGCCUCCAGACGAUUAGCCGUGCUGUGACAGAGUAUUUGGACCAUUUUCCCGAGAGAGAUCGAAAGUAGCCAUUGGCACCGGUGACAUCCUUACAUAAAGCCAGCCAUAGAAAGGAGUGAGACUGAUUGGAUGAAGGCAGCAGAAAAGCAGAGGUUCAGAGGAACGAAAAGCAUCUUCAUACGCUUAUCUAAAAUUCUCACCAAUGAUUUACAUAAGUACCUCUAUCCCUAUUCUAUUAUUUAUUUUCGAAAACCCCAUUACUAUUUUAUAUCCGCCUGACUGAGAUUUACAAGGUGACUAUAGCUUGCUUCAUACCAACAAUCUCCGUGGGAUUCGACCUUACUCACGUAAGGUAUUACUUGGACGACCCAGUGCACUUGCUGGUUAGUUGUAUCGAAGUUGUGACAAAUCAUGAAUUAAGAUUAGAGCACCAAGUCUUUGGAGCCAUUACCAGAGAUCACAAUUUCGUGCACCAAGUUUUUGGCGCCGUUGCCGGGGAUUGUUCGAGUUUGGACAACUGACGGUUCAUCCUGUUGCUCAGAUUAGGUAAUUUUCUUCUUAUUUUAUUUUCAAAAAGUUUUCAAAAAUCUUUCAAAAACUUUUCUUUUGUUUUCGAAAAUAAAAAAUAAAUAUUUUCAAAAAUAUAUUUUUCUUCAGAAUUUUUAAGAACGAAUUCUAGUGUUUCAUGAAGCAUGUUGAAGCCUGGCUGGCUGUGAAGCCAUGUCUGUAGGGCAUGUCAGGCGUGUCAUUUUUGAGUUACAUACUAAAGCUUGGCUGGCUAUUAAGCCAUGCCUGACCCUUUGAUUGGAGCUUUAGACUAAAGAGCAUAAGAUUCCUGGAAUUCAUAUUAAAAAUUUUGGAAUCCUUAUUUUUCUUUUUACACUAAUUUUCGAAAAAUAUAAAAUAAAAAUCCAAAAAAAUUUAGAAAAUCAUAAAAAUCAAAAAUAUUUUUGUGUUUCUUGUUUGAGUCAUGUGUCAUGUUAUAAGUUUGGUGUAAAUUGCAUGUGCAUCUUGCAUUUUUCGAAAAAAAAAUCAUGCAUUCAUAGUGUUCUUCAUGAUCUUCAAAUUGUUCUUGGUAAGUCUUCUUGUUUGAUCUUUGCAUUUGCAUGUUUUGUGUCUUUUCUUGUUUUUCAUCUGCAUUCUUGAAUUCUUAGUGCCUAAGCAUCAAAGAUUUCUAAGUUUGGUGUCCCGCAUAUUUUCUUUGCAUUAAAAAUUUUUCAAAAAUAUGUUCUUGAUGUUCAUCAUGAUCUUCAUAGUGUUCUUGGUGUUCAUCUUGACAUUCAUAGCAUUCUUGCAUGCAUCACAUGUUUUGAUCUAAAAUUCUCAUGCAUUGCAUCAUUUUCAUGUUUUUCUCUCUCAUCAUAAAAAAAUUCAAAAAUCAAAAAAAUAUCUUUCCCUUUUUCUCUCUUAAAAUUUUGAAAAUUAGAUUUGACUUUUUCAAAAAAUUUUAAAAAUCUAGUUGUUUUUACGAGUCAAAUCAAAUUUUCAAUUUAAAAAUCUCAUCUUUUUCAAAAUCUUUUUCAAAAAAAAUCAAAUCUUUUUCAUUUUUCUUAGUUAUUUUCGAAAAUUUUAAAAAUAUUUUUCAAAAAUCUUUUUCUUAUCUUUAUCUCUUAAUUUUCGAAAAUAACAUCACCAAUUAAUGUUUUGAUUCAAAAAGUUUCAAGUUUGUUACUUGCUUGUUAAGAAAGAUUCAAACUUUAAGUUCUAGAAUCAUAUCUUGUGAUUUCUUGUGAAUCAAGUCAUUAAUUGUGAUUUUAAAAAUCAAAUCUUUUCCAAAAACUAAUUUCAAUCAUAUCUUUUCAAAAAUAUCUUCUUAUCUUAUCUUUUUCAAAAAUUUGAUUUCAAAAUAUCUUUUCUAACCUCCUAACUUCUUAUCUUUCCAAAAUUAAUUUUCAAAUUUGUUUCAACUAACUAACUAACUUUUUGUUUGUUUCUUAUCUUUUUCAAAACCACCUAACUAACUUUCUCUCUCUAAUUUUCGAAAAUAUCUUCCCUCUUUUUCAAAAUUUCUUUUAAUUAACUAAUUAUUUUAAUUUUUGAUUUUAAUUUUCGAAAAUUACUAACCCUUUCAAAAACUAUUUUUGAAAAUCACUAACCCUUUUUCAAAAAAAAAAAAAUUUUUUUUUCAAAAAUCCUUCUCCCUCAUCUCAUUCUAAUUAUUUAUUCAUCUACUAACACUUCUCUUCAUCUCACAUCACUGCUCCUAUCCUUACCCUUGUGUUUGGAUUCUUCAUUCUUCCUCACCCCUAUUCCUUUUCUUCUUCUACUAACAAUAAGGAACCUCUUUACUGUGACAAUAGAGGAUUCCUUUUCUUUUCUCUUUCUCUUCUCUUUCUUAUGAGUAGGGACAAAGAAAAAGGCAUUCUUGUUGAAGCUGAUCCAGAAUCUGAAAGGACUCUGAAGAGGAAACUAAGAGAAGCUAAAUUACAACAAUCCAGAGACAACCUUAUUGAAAAUUUCGAACAAGUAAAGGAGAUGGCAGCCGAACCCAACAACAAUAAUGCAAGGAGAAUGCUUGGUGACUUUACUGCACCUAAUUCCAAUUUACAUGGAAGAAGCAUCUCCAUUCCUGCCAUUGGAGCAAACAAUUUUGAGUUGAAACCUCAGCUAGUUUCUCUGAUGCAGCAGAACUGCAAGUUUCAUGGACUUCCAUCUGAAGAUCCUUUUCAGUUCUUAAAUAAAUUCUUGCAGAUAUGUGAUACUGUUAAGACUAAUGGAGUCGAUCCUGAAGUCUACAGGCUCAUGAUUUUCCCUUUUGCUGUAAGAGACAGAGCUAGAAUAUGGUUGGACUCUCAACCCAAAGACAGCCUGAACUGUUGGGAUAAGCUGGUCACGGCUUUCUUAGCCAAGUUCUUUCCUCCUCAAAAGCUGAGCAAGCUUAGAGCGGAUGUUCAAACCUUCAGACAGAAAGAAGGUGAAUCCUCUAUGAAGCUUGGGAAAGAUACAAGCAGCUGACCAAAAAGUGUCCUUCUGACAUGCUUUCAGAAUGGACUAUCCUGGAUAUAUUCUAUGAUGGUUUAUCUGAGCUAUCAAAGAUGUCAUUGGAUACUUCUGCAGGUGGAUCCAUUCACCUAAAGAAAACGCCUGCAGAAGCUCAAGAACUCAUUGACAUGGUUGCUAAUAACCAGUUCAUGUACACUUCUGAAAGGAAUCCUGUGAGUAAUGGGACGAUUAUGAAGAAGGGAGUUCUUGAAAUUGAUACUCUGAAUGCCAUAUUGGCUCAGAACAAAAUAUUGACUCAGCAAGUCAAUAUGAUUUUUCAGAGUCUGAAUGGAUUGCAAGCUGCACCCAACAGUACUCAAGAGGCAUCUUCUGAAGAAGAAGCUUAUGAUCCUGAAAACCCUACAAUAGCAGAGGUAAAUUACAUGGGUGAACCAUAUGGAAACACCUAUAAUCCAUCAUAGANNNNUAGUACACUCCCAAGCAAUACAGAAGAGAAUCCAAAAGGAGAGUGCAAGGCCAUUGACAUAACCAAAAUGGCCGAACCCAAAGAGGGAGAGGAGGACGUGAAUCCCAAGGAGGAAGACCUCCUGGGACGUCCAGUGAUCAAUAAGGAGCUUUCCUCUAAGGAACCAAAGGAAUCUGAGACUCAUCUAGAGACCACAGAGAUUCCAUUGAACCUCCUUAUGCCCUUCAUGAGCUCUGAUGAGUAUUCCUCUUCUGAAGAGAAUGAGGAUGUCACUGAAGAGCAAGUUGCCAAGUUCCUUGGUGUAAUCAUGAAGCUGAAUGCCAAAUUAUUUGGUAAUGAGACUUGGGAAGAUGAACCUCCCUUGUUCACCAAUGAACUAAGUGAUCUGGAUCAACUGACAUUGCCUCAGAAGAAACAGGAUCCUGGAAAGUUUAUAAUACCUUGUACCAUAGGCACCAUGCUCUUUGAAAAGGCUCUGUGUGACCUUGGUUCAGGGAUAAACUUCAUGCCCCUCUCUGUAAUAGAGAAACUGGGAAUCUAUGGGGUGCAAGCUGCUAAAAUCUCAUUAGAGAUGGCAGACAAUUCAAGAAAAUAGGCUUAUGGACAAGUAGAGGACGUGUUAGUAAAGGUUGAAGGCCUUUACAUGCCUGCUGAUUUCAUAGUCCUGGAUACUGGAAAGGAAGAGGAUGAAUCCAUCAUCCUAGAAGGACCUUUCCUGGCCACAGCAAGAGCUGUGAUUGAUGUGGACAGAGGAGAAUUGAUCCUUCAAUUAAAUAAGGACAACUCUGUGUUUACUACUCAAGGAUCUCUCUCUGCAUCCAUGGAGAGGAAGCAUAAAAAUCUUCUCUCAAAGCAGAGUCAAACAAAGCCCCCACAGUCAAACUCUAAGUUUGGUGUUGGGAGGCCACAACCAAACUCUAAGUUUGGUGUCAAACCCCCAUAUCCAAACUCUAAGUUUGGUGUUGGGAGGUCUCAACAAAGCUCUGCACAUUUGUGAGGCUCCAUGAGAGCCCACUGUCAAGCUAUUGACAUUAAAGAAGCGCUUGUUGGGAGGAAACCCAAUGUUUAUUUAUCUAAUUUUGUUUUUGUUUUUCAUGUUUUCUUAGGUUCAUGAUCAUGUGGAGUCACAAAAUAAACGAAAAAUUUAGAAACAGAAUCAAAAACAGCAGAAGAAAAAUCACACCCUGGAGGAAGCACCUGUCUGGCGUUCAACGCCAGAACAGAGCAUGGUUCUGGCGCUGAACGCCCAAAAUGGGUAGUGUCUGGCGCUGAACGCCCAGAAUAAGCAUGGUUCUGGUGUUCAACGCCAGAAAUGGGCAACAAAUGGGCGUUGAACGCCCAAAAUAGGCACCAACCUGGCGCUGAACGCCUAGAGUUGUGUGCAAGGGCAUUUUGCAUGCCCAAUGGGUGCAGGGAUGUAAAUCCUUGACACCUGAGGAUCUGUGAACACCACAGGAUCACCUCAAGAUCUGUGGACCUCACAGGAUCCCUACCCACCUCACCCUCUCUUUAUCCAUUCAUGAUCACCCCUUCUGUUUUCCAUUUACCACUCACAUCCAUCCACACAUCCCUCCAUCUCCUCCAUAUCUUCUUAUUCUUCUUCUUCUUCUUCUUAUUCUUCUUCUUCUUCUUCUUCUUCUUCUUCUUCUUCUUCUUCUUCUUCUUCUUCUUCUAUUCUUUCUUCUUUUGCUCGAGGGCGAGCAACCUUCUAAGUUUGGUGUGGUAAAAGCAUAGCUUUUUGUUUUUCCAUAACCAUUAAUGGCACCUAAGACCGGAGAAUCCUCUAGAAAAGAGAAAGGGAAGACAAAAGCUUCCACCUCCGAGUUAUGGGAGAUGGAAAGAUUCAUCUCACAAGCCCAUCACUAAGAAAAAGAUGGAGCAAACAAGAGAGCACAUUCAUGGAUCUCAACAGGCACAUGAAGAAGUUCAUCAGCGAGAAAUCCCUGAGAUACCUCAAGGGAUGCACUUUCCUCCACAGAAUUUUUGGGAGCAAAUCAACUACUCCCUAGGAGAAUUAAGUUCCAAUAUGGGACACUUAAGGGUGGAACAUCAAGAGCACUCCAUCAUCCUUCAUGAAAUAAGAGAAGAUCAAAAAGCAAUGAGGGAGGAGCAACAAAGACAAGGAAGAGACAUAGAAGAGCUCAAGGAUAUCAUUGGUUCCUCAAGAAGGAAAUGCCACCAUCACUAAGGUGGAUUCAUUCCUUGUUCUUAUUUCUUCUGUUUUUCAUUUUCUAUGUUAUGUGCUUAUCCAUGUUUGUGUCUUCAUUACAUGAUCAUUAGUAGUUAGUAACUUUGUCUUAAAGAUAUGAAUGUCCUAUGAAUCCAUCACCGCUCUUAAAUGAAAAAUGUUUUAAUUCAAAAGAACAAGAAGUACAUGAGUUUCGAAUUUAUCCUUGAACAUAGUUUGAUUAUAUUGAUGUGGUGACAAUGCUCAAAGCUACAAGUCCCGCUCAUCUGAUUGGAGCUAUGUUUCAUUGAUAGUUUGGAAUUUAUAGUAUAUUCUCUUCUUUUUAUCCUAUUUGAUUUUCAGUUGCUUGGGGACAAGCAACAAUUUAAGUUUGGUGUUGUGAUGAGCGGAUAAUUUAUACGCUUUUUGGCAUUGUUUUUAGUAUGUUCUUAGUAGAAUCUGGUUACUUUUAGGGAUGUUUUCAUUAUUUUUUAUGUUAAAUUCACAUUUCUGGACUUUACUAUGAGUUUGUGUGUUUUUCUGUGAUUUCAGGUAUUUUCUGGCUGAAAUUGAGGGACUUGAACAAAAAUCAUAUUCAGAGGAUGAAGAAGGACUGCUGAUGCUGUUGGAUUCUGACUUCCCUGCACUCAAAAUGGAUUUUCUGGAGCUACAGAACUCAAAAUGGCGCGCUUUCAAUUGCGUUGGAAAGUAGACAUCCAGGGCUUUCCAUCAAUAUAUAAUAGUUCAUACUUUUCCCAAGUUUAGAUGACACAAACUGGCGUUCAACGCCAGUUCUCUGCCCAAUUCUGGCGUCCAACGCCAGAAACAAGCUGCAAAGUGGAGUUCAACGCCCAAACUGACACAAAAGCUGGCGUUCAACUCCAAGAAUGAGCUCUGCACGUGUAACAUUCAAGCUCAGCCCAAGCACACACCAAGUGGGCCCCGGAAGUGGAUUUAUGCAUCAAUUACUUACUUCUGUAAACCCUAGAAGCUAGUUUAUUAUAAAUAGGACUUUUUACUAUUGUAUUAGUCAUCUUUGGACGCCUGGUUCUUAGAUCAUGGGGGAUGGCCUCUUGGCCAUGCCUGGACCUUUCACUUAUGUAUUUUCAACGGUAGAGUUUCUACACUCCAUAGAUUAAGGUGUGGAGCUCUGCUGUUCCUCAAAGAUUAAUGCAAAGUACUACUGUUUUCUAUUCAAUUCAUCUUAUUUCGCUUCUAAGAUAUCCAUUCGCACUUCAACCUGAAUGUGAUGAACGUGACAAUCAUCAUCAUUCCCUAUGAACGUGUGCUUGACAACCACUUCUGUUCUACAUUAGAUUGAAUGAGUAUCUCUUAGAUCUCUUAAUCAGAAUCUUCGUGGUAUAAGCUAGAUUGAUGACGGCAUUCAUGAGAUUCCGGAAAGUCUAAACCUUGUCCGUGGUAUUCUGAGUAGGACUCUGGGAUUGGAUGACUGUGACAAACUUCAAACUCGCGAGUACUGGGCGUAGUGACAGACGCAAAAGGAUAGUUAAUCCUAUUCCAGUAUGAUCGAGAACCUCCAAGAUGAUUAGCCAUGCAGUGACAGCGCAUCGGAGCAUUUUCACAGAGAAGAAUAGGAUGCAACCAACGACAAGGGUGAUGCCUCCAGACGAUUAGCCGUGCUGUGACAGAGCAUUUGGACCAUUUUCCCGAGAGAGAUCGAAAGUAGCCAUUGGCAUCGGUGACAUCCUUACAUAAAGCCAGCCAUAGAAAGGAGUGAGACUGAUUGGAUGAAGGCAGCAGGAAAGCAGAGGUUCAGAGGAACGAAAAGCAUCUCCAUACACUUAUCUGAAAUUCUCACCAAUGAUUUACAUAAGUACCUCUAUCCCUAUUCUAUUAUUUAUUUUCAAAAACCCCAUUACUAUUUUAUAUCCGCCUGACUGAGAUUUACAAGGUGACCAUAGCUUGCUUCAUACCAACAAUCUCCGUGGGAUUUGACCCUUACUCACGUAAGGUAUUACUUGGACGACCCAGUGCACUUGCUGGUUAGUUUUAUCGAAGUUGUGACAAAUCAUGAAUUAAGAUUAGAGCACCAAGUCUUUGGAGCCAUUACCAGAGAUCACAAUUUCGUGCACCAGCACGCCUCCAGCCACGCUCCUGCGUGACUCUCUGUUCGUUUAUUAUUUUCUCCCAUCUCCUUGCGACGCGGACGCGUCAAUGAUGUGGUCGCGUCGCGUGAAAAAUAUUUAAUUUUUUUUAUAUAAAAGUAUGUAAAUGCAGAUGCACAAAAUGUACUAAUAAAGAGAAGAGUUAUUGAAUAGGAAAAUUAAAAAUAAAGAAAAGAACGAUCAUACCAUGGUGGGUUGUCUCCCACCUAGCACUUUGCUUUAACGUCCAUAAGUUGGACGCUCCACUAGCUUAGUCUUCGGCUAUGUGGGGAUCUUCCAAGAGGAAGAUCUCGAGCUCCUUAUUUUUCUGCAUCCUCUCUCCAUGGUACAGCUUUAAACGAUGUCCAUUAACUUUGAUAAGUUCAGAGCUUGAAGGAUGGCUUAGGUGAUAAACUCCGUAUGGUUCGGCCUUCUCUACUCUGUAUGGACCUUCCCAUCUUGAUCUCAACUUGCCUGGCAUGAGCCUCAGUAGAGAUUUGUAAAGGAGGACUAAGUCCCCAGGUUGGAACUCUUUUCUCUUGAUGUGCUGAUCAUGUACAGCCUUCAUCUUCUCCUUGUAUAGUCUUGAGUUCUCAUAAGCUUCCAGGCGAAGGCUUUCCAACUCUUGCAUGUGCAAUUUCCUUUCAGCUCCGGCUUUCUCAAUUCCCAUGUUGCACUCCUUUACUGCCCAAAAGGCUUUGUGCUCUACUUCAACAGGGAGAUGACAAGCUUUUCCAUAAACUAAGCGGAAAAGACUCAUCCCAAUGGGUGUUUUGUAUGCUGUUCUGUAUACCCAGAGUGCAUCUUGUAGCCUGGUGCUCCAGUCUCUUCUAUGAGAUUUGACUAUCUUUUGCAAGAUACGCUUUAUCUCUCUGUUUGACACCUCAGCUUGCCCAUUAGUCUGAGGAUGGUAUGCUGUUGCAACCUUAUGAAUGAUCCCAUGCUUCUUCAUUAAUCCUGUUAGUCUCCUAUUACAAAAAUGGGUGCCUUGAUCGCUCACGAUUGCUCGUGGUGAUCCAAAGCGACAAAUAAUGUGGUUUCUCACAAAGGAAACAACAGUGUUAGCAUCAUCAGUGCGGGUAGGAAUUGCUUCCACCCAUUUGGAAACGUAAUCCACAGCUAACAAUAUAUAAAAAUAACCAUUAGAAUUUGGAAAUGGACCCAUGAAGUCAAUGCCCUAAACAUAAAAAAUUUCACAGAAAAGCAUAAUUUGUUGAGGCAUCUCAUCCCUCCUGGAUAUAUUACCAAAUUUUUGGCAUGGAAAACAAGAUUUACAAAACUCAGCAGCGUCUCUAAAAAGUGUAGGCCACCAGAAUCCACAGUCUAAGAUUUUUCUAGCUGUUCUUUGAGGGCCAAAAUGUCCUCCACUCUCAGAUGAGUGACAGGCCUCUAUGAUGGACUGGAAUCUGAUUGAGGCACACACCGUCUAAUUACCUGGUCAGUGCCACAUCUCCAUAAAUAUGGGUCAUCCCAUAUAUAAUAUUUAGACUCGCUUUUCAGCUUAUCCCUUUGAUGGUUAGAAAAGUUUGGAGGAAAGGUGCGGCUAACUAGAUAAUUAGCUACAGGUGCAUACCAAGGGACUACCUCAGAUACUGCUUGCAGGUUAUCAAAUGGAAAAUUAUCAGCUAUAGGAGUGGGGUCAUCUGUAAUGUGCUCAAGGCGACUCAAGUGGUCUGCCACUAAAUUCUGGUUACCACUCCUAUCCUUAAUUUCUAAAUCAAAUUCUUGUAAUAGCAGUAUCCAACGUAUAAGCCUUGGUUUGGACUCUUUUUUAGCUAAUAAAUACUUUAGAGCUGCGUGGUCUGAGUACACUACUACCUUCGUACCAAGUAAAUAGGCUCGGAAUUUAUCCAGAGCAAAAACAAUAGUAAGAAGCUCUUUCUCAGUAGUCGUGUAAUUGGACUAUGUGGCAUCUAGAGUUUUAGACGCAUAAGCAAUAACAAAAGGGUCCUUACCUUCACGCUGAGCCAAUUCUGCUCCUACUGCAUGGUUGGAAGCGUCGCACAUUAUUUUGAAUGGCUGGCUCCAGUCUGGUCAUCUCACAAUUGGAGCUUGUUUAACCAUAAAGUGACAUUUUUCAAAAUUUAAUACCAGGUUUGUACUGGCACAUCUAUCUAAUACUCUAGAUAAUCCAUCUAAGCAAAGGCUAAAGGAAUCGCCAUAUACACUAAAAUCAUCCAUAAAAACUUCCAUACAGUCCUCAAUAAGAUCAAAGAAAAGACUCAUCAUGCACCUCUGGAAAGUAGCUGGUGCAUUGCACAAGCCAAAGGGCAUUCUCUUGUAAGCAUAAGUCCCAAAAGGACAUGUAAAAGUGGUCUUUUCCUGAUCCUCAGGAGCUAUAUGAAUCUAGAAAUAACCUGUGUAACCAUCUAAAAAAUAAUAAUGUGAUUUACCUGACAAGCGAUCUAGCAUUUGAUCAAUGAAUGGAAGAGGAUAGUGAUCUUUACGAGGUUCUUGGUUGAGACGUCUGUAAUCAAUGCAGACCCUCCAAGAGUUCUGUACUCUGGUUGCUAUGAGCUCUCCAUGCUCAUUCUUCACUGUAGUGACUCCAGACUUCUUGGGCACCACUUGUACUGGGCUCACCCAUUCACUGUCUGAGAUGGGAUAGAUGAUAUCUGCCUCCAGUAGUCUGGUCACUUCCUUCUUGACAACCUCUAAGAUAGUGGGGUUCAGUCUUCUCUGGAGUUGACGGACAGGUCUUGCUCCCUCUUCUAAAAAUAUUCUAUGCUCACAUACUUGAGGGUUGAUGCCUACUAUAUAUGCCAAACCCCACCCAAUUGCCUUCUUGUGCCUCCUCAGCACACUAAGUAACUGCUCUUCUUGUUGAGAAGUGAGUUCCCUUGCAAUGAUAACUGGACACUUUUGCUUGUCCUCAAGGUAAGCAUAUUUGAGGUGUGGAGGAAGGGGUUUCAACUCUAACUUCUGCUCAUGGUCAGGCUCUGGAUUGUCUGGAGCUGGCAACAAUGGUAAAGCACUGUCAUUGUCCUCUGAGAAUGUCCCCACACUUGGACCUUGUCCUACGUACUUCUCCUCAAAUUCCUCCUGGUGAACUUCAGCCACGGUUUCAUCUAUAAUGUCACACUGGAGGAUAGAAUGAUCCUCCGGAGGAUGCUUCAUAACUCCAUUCAGAUUGAAGAUCACUACUCGGCCAUCUAUUUCAAAAGAGUAUGUACCUGAAAAAGCAUCUAAUUUAAACUUUGAGGUCUUCAGGAAUGGUCUUCCGAGUAGGAUUGAUAAUGGCUUGUGAUGAGCGGAUAAUUUAUACGCUUUUUGGCAUUGUUUUUAGUAUGUUUUUAGUAGAAUCUAGUUACUUUUAGGGAUGUUUUCAUUAGUUUCUAUGUUAAAUUCACAUUUCAGGACUUUACUAUGAUUUUGUGUUUUUUUCUGUGAUUUUAGGUAUUUUCUGGUUGAAAUUGAGGGACUUGAGCAAAAAUCAGAUUCAGAGGUUGAAGAAGGACUGCUGAUGCUGUUGGAUUCUGACCUCCCUGCACUCAAAAUGGAUUUUAGAGCUACAGAACUCAAAAUGGCGCGCUUCCAAAUGCGUUGGAAAGUAGACAUCCAGGGCUUUCCAGAAAUAUAUAAUAGUUUAUACUUUGCCCAAGUUUAGAUGACGCAAAUUGGCGUUCAACACCAGUUCUCUGCCCAAUUCUGGCGUCCAGCGCCAGAAACAAGCUGCAAAGUGGAGUUCAACGCCCAAACUGGCACAAAAGCUGGCGUUCAACUCCAAGAAUGACCUCUGCACGUGUAACAUUCAAGCUCAGCCCAAGCACACACCAAGUGGGCCCCGGAAGUGGAUUUAUACAUCAAUUCCUUACUUCUGUAAACCCUAGAAGCUAGUUUAUUAUAAAUAGGACUUUUUACUAUUAUAUUAGUCAUCUUUGGACGCCUGGUUCUUAGAUCAUGGGGGCUGGCCUCUUGGCCAUGCCUGGACCUUUCACUUAUGUAUUUUCAACGGUAGAGUUUCUACACUCCAUAGAUUAAGGUGUGGAGCUCUGCUGUUCCUCAAAGAUUAAUGUAAAGUACUACUAUUUUCUAUUCAAUUCAUCUUAUUUCGCUUCUAAAAUAUCCAUUCGCAUUUCAACCUGAAUGUGAUGAACGUGACAAUCAUCAUCAUUCCCUAUGAACGCGUGCUUGACAACCACUUCCGUUCUACAUUAGAUUGAAUGAGUAUCUCUUAGAUCUCUUAAUCAGAAUCUUCGUGGUAUAAGUUAGAUUGAUGGCGCCAUUCAUGAGAGUCCGGAAAGUCUAAACCUUGUCCGUGGUAUUCUGAGUAGGACUCUGGGAUUGGAUUACUGUGACGAACUUCAAACUCGCGAGUACUGGGCGUAGUGACAAACGCAAAAGGAUAGUAAAUCCUAUUCCAGUAUGAUCGAGAACCUCCAAGAUGAUUAGCCAUGCAGUGACAGCGCAUCAGACCAUUUUCACAGAGAGGAAUAGGAUGCAAACCAACGACAAGGGUGAUGCCUCCAGACGAUUAGCCGUGCUGUGACAGAGCAUUUGGACCAUUUUCCCGAGAGAGAUCGAAAGUAGCCAUUGGCACCGGUGACAUCCUUACAUAAAGCCAGCCAUAGAAAGGAGUGAGACUGAUUGGAUGAAGGCAGCAGGAAAGUAGAGGUUCAGAGGAACGAAAAGCAUCUCCAUACGCUUAUCUGAAAUUCUCACCAAUGAUUUACAUAAGUACCUCUAUCCCUAUUCUAUUAUUUAUUUUCGAAAACGCCAUUACUAUUUUAUAUCCGCCUGACUGAGAUUUACAAGGUGACCAUAGCUUGCUUCAUACCAACAAUCUCCGUGGGAUUCGACCCUUACUCACGUAAGGUAUUACUUGGACAACCCAGUGCACUUGCUGGUUAGUUGUAUCGAAGUUGUGACAAAUCAUGAAUUAGGAUUAGAGCACCAAGUCUUUGGAGCCAUUACCAGAGAUCACAAUUUCGUGCACCAAGUUUUUGGCGCCGUUGCCGGGGAUAGUUUGAGUUUGGACAACUGACGGUUCAUCUUGUUGCUCAGAUUAGGUAACUUUCUUUUCGUUUCCUUUUUCAAAAAUUUUUCAAAAAAAAAAGAAUUUCUUUCAAAAAUUUUUUCUCUUGUUUUCGAAAAAAAAAUAAAAAUGUUUUCAAAAAUAUAUUUUUCUUCAGAAUUUUUUAAAUAUGAAUUCUAGUGUUUCAUAAAGCAUGUUGAAGCCUGGCUGGCUGUAAAGCCCCGACUGUAGGGCAUGUUAGGCGUGUCAUGUCUGAGUUACAUACUAAAGCUCCGCUGGCUAUUAAGCCAUGCCUGACCCUUUGAUUGGAGCUUUAGUUUAAAGAGCAUAAGAUUCCUGGAAUUCAUAUUAAAAAUUUUGGAAUCCUUAUUUUUCUUUUUCAAAAUGAUUUUCGAAAAAAAAUUAAAAGAAAAUACAAAAAAAUCAUAAAAUCAUAAAAUCAAAAAUAUUUUUUGUGUUUCUUGUUUGAGUCAUGUGUCAUGUUAUAAGUUUGGUGUCAAUUGCAUGUGCAUCUUGCAUUUUUCGAAAAUUUCAUACAUUCAUAGGGUUCUUCAUGAUCUUCAAGUUGUUCUUGGUAAGUCUUCUUGUUUGAUCUUUGCAUUUGCAUGUUUUGUGUCUUUUUUUGUUUUUCAUAUGCAUUCUUGAAUUCUUAGUGUCUAAGCAUUAAAGAAUUCUAAGUUUGGUGUCUUGCAUGUUUUCCUUGCGUUAAAAAUUUUUCAAAAAUAUGUUCUUGGUGUUCAUCUUGACAUUCAAGGUGUUCUUGGUGUUCAUCUUGACAUUCAUAGCAUUCUUGCAUUCAUCACAUGUUUUGAUCUAAAAUUCUCAUGCAUUGCAUCAUUUUCAUGUUUUUCUCUCUCAUCAUAAAAAAAAUUCAAAAAUCAAAAAAAUAUCCUUCCCUUUUUCUCUCUUAAAAUUUCAAAAAUUAGAUUUGACUUUUUCAAAAAAUUUUUAAAAAUCUAGUUGUUUUUAUGAGUCAAAUCAAAUUUUCAAUUUAAAAAUCUCAUCUUUUUCAAAAAUCAAAUCUUUUUCAUUUUUCUUAGUUAUUUUCAAAAAUUUUAAAAAUAUUUUUCAAAAAUCUUUUUCUUAUCUUUAUCUCUUAAUUUUCGAAAAUAACAUCACCAAUUAAUGUUUUGAUUCAAAAAUUUCAAGUUUGUUACUUGCUUGUUAAGAAAGAUUCAAACUUUAAGUUCUAGAAUCAUAUCUUGUGAUUUCUUGUGAAUCAAGUCAUUAAUUGUGAUUUUAAAAAUCAAAUCUUUUUCAAAAACUAAUUUCAAUCAUAUCUUUUCAAAAAUAUCUUUUUCAAAAAUUUGAUUUCAAAAUAUCUUUUCUAACUUCCUAACUUCUUAUCUUUUCAAAAUUUGUUUCAACUAACUAACUAACUUUUUGUUUGUUUCCUAUCUUUUUCAAAACUACCUAACUAACUCUCUCUCUCUCUAAUUUUCGAAAAUCCCUUCCCUCUUUUUCAAAAUUUCUUUUUAAUUAACUAAUUAAUUUUUUAUUUUAAUUUUUGAAAAUCACUAACCCUUUUUCAAAAAUUAUUUUCGAAAAUCCUUCACUCUCAUCUCCUUCUAAUUAUUUAUUCAACUACUAACAUCUCCUCAUCUCAAAUCACUGCUCCUGUCCUUACCUUUGUGUUUGGAUUCUCCAUUCUUCUUCACCCCUAUUCCUUUUCUUCUUCUACUAACAACAAGGAACCUCUUUACUGUGACAUAGAGGAUUCCUCUUUCUUUCUUGUUCUCUUCUCUUUCUUAUGAGUAGGAACAAAGAAAAAGGCAUUCUUGUUGAAGCUGAUCCAGAACCUGAAAGGACUCUGAAGAGAAAAUUAAGAGAAGCUAAAUUACAACAAUCCAGAGACAACCUUAUUGAAAAUUUCGAACAAGUAAAGGAGAUGGCAGCCGAACCCAACAACAAUAAUGCAAGGAGAAUGCUUGGUGACUUUGCUGCACCUAAUUCCAAUUUACAUGGAAGAAGCAUCUCCAUUCCUACUGUGAUACUGUUAAGACUAAUAGAGUAGAUCCUGAAGUCUACAGGCUCAUGCUUUUCCCUUUUGCUGUAAGAGACAGAGCUAGAGUGUGGUUGGAUUCUCAACCCAGAGAUAGCCUGAACUCUUGGGACAAGCUGGUCACGGCUUUCUUAGCCAAGUUCUUUCCUCCUCAAAAGCUGAGCAAGCUUAGAGUGGAUGUUCAAACCUUCAGACAGAAAGAAGGUGAAUCCCUCUAUGAAGCUUGGGAAAGAUACAAGCAGCUGACCAAAAAGUGUCCUUCUGACAUGCUUUCAGAAUGGACCAUCCUGGAUUUAUUCUAUGAUGGUUUAUCUGAGCUAUCAAAGAUGUUAUUGGAUACUUCUGCAGGUGGAUCCAUUCACCUAAAGAAAACGCCUGCAGAAGCUCAAGAACUCAUUGACAUGGUUGCUAAUAACCAGUUCAUGUACACUUCUGAAAGGAAUCUUGUGAGUAAUGGGACGACUAUGAAGAAGGGAGUUCUUGAAAUUGAUACUCUAAAUGCCAUAUUGGCUCAGAACAAAAUAUUGACUCAGCAAGUCAAUAUGAUUUCUUAGAGUCUGAAUGGAUUGCAAGCUGCACCCAACAGUACUCAAGAGGCAUCUUCUGAAGAAGAAACUUAUGAUCCUAAGAACCCUGUAAUAGCAGAGGUGAAUUACUUAGGUAAACCUUAUGGAAACACCUAAAACUCAUCAUGGAGAAAUCAUCCAAAUUUCUCAUGGAAGGAUCAAAAGCCUCAACAAGGCUUUAAUAAUGGUGGAAGAAAUAGAUUUAACAAUAGUAAACCUUUUCCAUCAUCCGCUCAGCAACAGACAGAGAAUUCUGAGCAGAAUCCAUCUAGCUUAGCAAAUUUAGUCUCUGAUCUAUCUAAGGCAACUAUGAGUUUCAUAAAUGAAACAAGGUCUUCCAUUAGAAAUUUGGAAGCACAAGUGGGCCAGCUGAGUAAAAGGAUCACUGAAAUCCCUCCUAGUACUCUCCCAAGCAAUACAGAAGAGAAUCUAAAAGGAGAGUGCAAGGCCAUUGACAUAACCAAAAUGGCCAAACCCAAAGAGGGAGAGGAGGACGUGAAUCCCAAGGAGGAAGACCUCCUGGGACAUCCAGUGAUCAAUAAGGAGUUUCCCUCUGAGGAACCAAAGGAAUCUGAGACUCAUCUAGAGACCAUAGAGAUUCCAUUGAACCUCCUUACACCAUUCAUGAACUCUGAAGAAUAUUUUUCUUCUGAAGAGAAUGAGGAUGUUACUGAAGAGCAAGCUGCCAAGUUCCUUGGUGCAAUCAUGAAGCUAAAUGCCAAAUUAUUUGGUAUUGAGACUUGGGAAGAUGAACCUCCCUUGUUCACCAAUGAACUAAGUGAUCUGGAUCAACUGACAUUGCCUCAGAAAAGACAGGAUCCUGGAAAGUUCAUAAUACCUUGUACCAUAGGCACAAUGAUCUUUAAGGCUCUGUGUGACCUUGGUUCAGGGAUAAACCUCAUGCCCCUCUCUGUAAUAGAGAAACUGGGAAUCUAUGGGGUGCAAGCUGCUAAAAUCUCAUUAGAGAUGGCAGACAAUUCAAGAAAACAGGCUUAUGGACAAGUAGAGGACGUGUUAGUAAAGGUUGAAGGCCUUUACAUCCCUACUGAUUUCAUAGUCCUAGACACUGGAAAGGAAGAGGAUGAAUCCAUCAUCCUAGGAAGGCCUUUCCUAGCCACAGCAAGAGCUGUGAUUGAUGUGGACAGAAGAGAAUUGAUCCUUCAAUUAAAUAAGGACAACCUUGUGUUUACAACUCAAGGAUCUCACUCUGCAUCCAUGGAGAGGAAGCAGAAAAAGCUUCUCUCAAAACAGAGUCAACCAAAGCCCCCACAGUCAAACUCUAAGUUUGGUGUUGGGAGGCCAUAACCAAACUCUAAGUUUGGUGUUGGGAGGUCUCAACAAAGCUCUGCACAUCUGUGAGGCUCCAUGAGAGCCCACUGUCAAGCUAUUGACAUUAAAAAAGCGCUUGUUGGGAGGCAACUCAAUGUUUAUUUAUCUAAUUUUAUUUUUGUUUUUCAUGUUUUCUUAGGUUUAUGAUCAUGUGGAGUCACAAUAUAAACGAAAAAUUUAGAAACAGAAUCAAAAACAGCGGAAGAAAAAUCACACCCUGGAGGAAGCACCUGUCUGGCGUUCAACGCCAGAACAGAGCAUAGUUCUGGCGCUGAACGCCCAAAAUGGGCAGUGUCUGGGCGCUGAACGCCCAAAAUGGGCAGCAUCUGGGCGCUGAACGCCAGAAUUGUACCCUAGAGAAGAGCUGGCACUGAACGCCCAGAACAAGCAUGGUUCUGGCGUUCAACGCCAGAAAUGGGCAACAGAUGGGCAUUGAACGCCCAAAAUGGGCACCAACCUGGCGCUGAACGCCCAGAGUUGUGUGCAAGGGCAUUUUGCAUGCCCAAUGGGUGCAGGGAUGUAAAUCCUUGAUACCUCAGGAUCUGUGGACCUCACAGGAUCCCUACCCACCUCACCCUCUCUUUAUCCAUUCAUGAUCACCCCUUCUGUUUUCCAUUUACCACUCACAUCCAUCCACACAUCCCUCCAUCUCCUCCAUAUCUUCUUCUUCUUCUUCUUCUUCUUCUUCUUCUUCUUCUUCUUCUAUUCUUUCUUCUUUUGCUCGAGGGCGAGCAACCUUCUAAGUUUGGUGGGGUAAAAGCAUAGCUUUUUGUUUUUCCAUAACCAUUAAUGGCACCUAAGACCGGAGAAUCCUCUAGAAAAGAGAAAGGGAAGACAAAAGCUUCCACCUCCGAGUCAUGGGAGAUGGAAAGAUUCAUCUCACAAGCCCAUCACUAAGAAAAAGAUGGAGCAAACAAGAGAGCACAUUCAUGGAUCUCAACAGGCACAUGAAGAAGCUCAUCAGCAAGAAAUCCCUGAGAUACCUCAAGGGAUGUAAUUUCCUCCACAGAAUUUUUGGGAGCAAAUCAACAACUCCCUAGGAGAAUUAAGUUCCAAUAUGGGACACUCAAGGGUGGAAUAUCAAGAGCACUCCAUCAUCCUUCAUGAAAUUAGAGAAGAUCAAAAAGCAAUGAAGGAGGAGCAACAAAGACAAGGAAGAAACAUAGAAGAGCUCAAGGACAUCAUUGGUUCCUCAAGAAGGAAACGCCACCAUCACUAAGGUGGACUCAUUCCUUGUUCUUACUUUCUCUAUUUUCGUUUUCUAUGUUAAGUGCUUAUCUAUGUUUGUGUCUUCAUUACAUGAUCAUUUGUAGUUAGUAAUUAUGUCUUAAAGUUAUGAAUGUCCUAUGAAUCCAUCACCUCUCUUAAAUGAAAAAUGUUUUAAUUCAAAAGAACAAGAAGUACAUGAGUUUUGAAUUUAUCCUUGAACUUAGCUAAAUUAUAUUGAUGUGGUGACAAUGCUUCUUAUUUUCUGAAUGAAUGCUUGAACAGUGCAUAUGUCUUUUGAAGUUGUUGUUUAAGAAUGUUAAAUAUGUUGGCUCUUGAAAGAAUGAUGACUAGGAGACAUGUUAUUUGAUAAUCUGAAAAAUCAUAAAAAUGAUUCUUGAAGCAAGAAAAAGCAGCAAAGAACAAAGCUUGCAGAAAAAAAAAGAAAAAAAAAUAGGCGAAAAAAAAAUUAGAAAGAAAAAGAAAAAAGCAAGCAGAAAAAGCCAAAAGCUCUUAAAACCAAGAGGCAAGAGCAAAAAGCCAAUAACCCUUAAAACCAAAAGGCAAGGGUAAAUAAAAAGGAUCCCAAGGCUUUGAGCAUCAGUAGAUAGGAGGGCCUAACGGAAUAAAAUCCUUGUCUAAGCGGCUAAACCAAGCUGUCCCUAACCAUGUGCUUGUGGCGUGUAGGUGUCAAGUGAAAACUUGAGACUGAGCGGUUAAAGUCAAGGUUUAAAGCAAAAAAAAGAGUGUGCUUAAGAACCCUAGACACCUCUAAUUGGGGACUUUAGCAAUAUUUCUGGACUUUACUAUGAGUUUGUGUGUUUUUCUAUGAUUUCAGGUAUUUUCUGACUGAAAUUGAGGGAGUUGAGCAAAAAUCAGAUUCAGAGGUUGAAGAAGGACUGCUGAUGCUGUUGGAUUCUGACCUCCCUGCAUUCAAAAUGGAUUUUCGGGAGCUACAGAACUCAAAAUAGCGCGCUUCAAAUUGCGUUGGAAAGUAGACAUCUAGGGAUUUCCAGCAAUAUAUAAUAGUCUAUACUUUGCCCAAGUUUAGAUGACGCAAACUGGCAUUCAACGCCAGUUCUCUGCCCAAUUCUGGCGUCCAGCGCCAGAAACAAGCUGCAAAGUGGAGUUCAACGCCCAAACUGGCACAAAAGCUGGCGUUCAACUCCAAGAAUGACCUCUGCACGUGUAACAUUCAAGCUCAGCCCAGUUGAAUGAGUAUCUCUUAGAUCUCUUAAUUAGAAUCUUCGUGGUAUAAGCUAGAUUGAUGGCGGCAUUCAUGAGAGUCCGGAAAGUCUAAACCUUGUCCGUGGUAUUUCGAGUAGGACUCUGGGAUUGGAUGACUGUGACGAACUUCAAACUCGCGAGUACUGGGCGUAGUGAUAGACGCAAAAGGAUAGUAAAUCCUAUUCCAGUAUGAUCGAGAACCUCCAAGAUGAUUAGCCAUGCAGUGACAGCGCAUCAGACCAUUUUCACAGAGAGGAAUAGGAUGCAACCAACGACAAGGGUGAUGCCUCCAGACGAUUAGCCGUGCUGUGACAGAGCAUUUGGACCAUUUUCCCGAGAGAGAUCGAAAGUAGCCAUUGGCACCGGUGACAUCCUUACAUAAAGCCAGCCAUAGAAAGGAGUGAGACUGAUUGGAUGAAGGCAGCAGGAAAGCAGAGGUUCAGAAGAACGAAAAGCAUCUCCAUACGCUUAUCUGAAAUUCUCACCAAUGAUUUACAUAAGUACCUCUAUCCCUAUUCUAUUAUUUAUUUUCGAAAACCCCAUUACUAUUUUAUAUCCGCCUGACUGAGAUUUACAAGGUGACCAUAGCUUGCUUCAUACCAACAAUCUCCGUGGGAUUCGACCCUUACUCACGUAAGGUAUUACUUGGACGACCCAAUGCACUUGCUGGUUAGUUGUAUCGAAGUUGUGACAAAUCAUGAAUUAAGAUUAGAGCACCAAGUCUUUGGAGCCAUUACCAGAGAUCACAAUUUCGUGCACCAGCUUGUCUGAGUCAUUUUGGGGCAUCUCUAGGAUAUAAAAAUCAGUGGGGAAUGUGAGCCCCUUAAUGCCCACUAAUACAUCUUCAGCAACUCCAACCACUGUAAUAAUGCUUUUAUCUGCUAACACAAAACGAGCUUUCGACCUUUUUAAGGGAGGGAGCCUCAAAAUAUCAUAUAUAGACAAAGGCAUUAUACUCACACAUGCUCCUAAAUCACACAUGCAGUCAGAAAUUAUCACACCACCAAUAGUACAAUUAACCAUACAAGGACCUGGGUCACUACACUUUUUAGGUAAACCUCCCAUUAAAGCAGAUAUGGAACUACCUAAAGGAAUAGUUUCUAAUUCAUUAAUUUUGUCUUUAUGUAUACAUAAAUCUUUUAGAAACUUUGCAUAUUUUGGUACCUGUUGAAUAACAUCAAAUAGAGGAACAGUUACCUCAAUCUUUUUGAAUAUCUCUACCAUUUUUGGAUCAGGUUCCAGCUGCUUCCUGGGUUUCCUUGCAAGUUGUGGAAAUGGAAUAGGAGUGGUGUCUUCUGCAGUGUCUGCGCCUUUUGAUGCUUCCUCCUGUGGUUGAACUUCUUCUUUUUCAGCUAUGUCCUGUAUGUCUUCUUCCUCUUCAACAUCUUCUAUUUCCACUACCUCUUCAACUGAGGUGUGUUCUGGUGGGCUUGGCUCCUCAUAGUUCCUCUCCUGCAGUGUGGUUCCGGACCUUAGGGUGAUGGCAUUAAUGCUACCCUUGGGAUUAGGUAAUGGUUGAGAGGAAAUUUCACUGGAGCUCAAAGGCUGGUUAUUGGAGUUAUUCAUUGAUCCAAUCUGUGAGACAAGAGCUUGCAAAGUAGCGUUCAGACCAUUUAGAGUGGCAUUAAUGUUAUUUUCCAUGGUCUGUUGUCUUCGAUCAAUAGAUUGUAACAAGUCAUCAUUAGUAGAUGAAGAAGGAUAAGUAUUUUAAGAGGUCUGCUGUUGGGUAUUCUGUGGUCCUUGGGAUUGCCUCAGGUGAGGUGCUCUGUAAGGCUGGUACUUGUUCUGCUGCCUGUUGUUGUUAUUAUUCCACCUCUGAUUUUCCUGAUUGUCUCUACCUCCUCUUUUGUUGUUGUCCCUCCAAUUCUGGUUAGAAUUGUCCUACCAUCCAUGGUUGUAAUUGCCACCUUGAUUGUACCCUUGGUUGGGGCGGUGAUAAACCCAUAUUUCAUGAGUUCUUUUGUGCUUAAUUUGAGUGAUUUAUACAAUCCCUCACCUACUUAUUCACAUUAAUUGCAUGGUUUUACUUUCCCUUCCUCAUUAUGUGAUGUAAAUGAAAAACAUGUUUCCUAAGCUUUAAAAUCAAUUAAUUUAAUUGUCUUUAUUUCCAUUCGAUGCCGUGAUUAGUGUGUUGAGUAGUUUCAGAUUUCCUAAGGCAGAAUGACUUAAAGGAUGGAAAAGGAAACAUACAAAAAUGGAAGGAGAAAGCAAAACGGAGCUUUAAGGAAACUGGUAUCCACGCGAUCGCAUGGAUGACGCGAUCGCGUGCCAAGCACGAAUCAGCAGCGACGCGGCCGCAUGACUGACGCGACCGCCCGCCUUAAGUAGAACGCACAUGACGCGGUCGCAUGACUGACGCGACCGCGUUGCAAGGAAAAGCUCCAAAUGACGCGACCGCGUGACCCACGCGGACGCGUGACAGAGGCCACGCACCAGAAAUUACAGAAUACGCCCCCAACGAAUUCUGAAGCCCUUUUUGGCCCAGAUCCAAGUAUAGACAGCAUAGACCAGAGAUUAUAAAGUGUGGAAAUGCAUCCAUUCAAAGAGAGCUCGCAUAUUUUUAGUUUUCAAUGAUUUAGAUUUAGUUGAGAGGGAGAUCUUCUCUCUCUCUCUUUCUUAGGAUUUAGGAUUUCUUCUUGUUUUAAGAGUGACUCUCAAUCCAGGUUUUAUAUUUCUUUGUUUUAAACUUCCCUUUCACUUUAUUUAUUUAUUUCAGUAUCUGAGUUGGCUAUUUACCUUUAUAAUUGAAUUUAUGAAUUUCUCCCAUGUUACAAACUGUUAUUGGAAUUAAUGAUAAUUGAGGUAUUUUCAGUUUAUGAUUGUUCUCUUUGAUUUAAGUUACCAUUGCUUCCCAUCCAAGGAUAUUUUUAUUAUUCCAGCAAUUUUACUUUUUCCCCUUUUGGUCCUGGUUAAGAAUUCAGUAACUCAACAGUUAUUAAACUCAACAUAACUGAUAAUCGUUAUCUUGCUAAUUGAACUGAACUUAAGUAAUCCCAACCUUUUCUUAGGAAAUAAAUAGGAUUCAAAAGGUCAAUUUAAUUAGUCCCCUGACUUUCCUUUGCCCCAGUAAAGGUUGACCAAGUGGAUUUUAGAUUCAACUUUCAUUAUAGUUGAGAGACUUACAGUAGGAAUGUGCAUCAAGGUCAGACCAAUCAAGGAUGGAUGGAACCAAGAGGAUCUAAUCAACCCUUUUGGCAGCAACACCCUCCGAGAUAUCCUGGACAAAGACCAUUUUACAGUGCAUACCCAGCUGAAAGACAUGGUGGACAACCUUGUAACUACCAACAAGCCCCACCCUGUGCAUAUAAACCAUCCUUUCAACAUAACCUCGAACCACCACACUCACAAGCUUCUCUUCACCAUUCGCCACCAUAUGAUCCUUCCUUACCCCAAUACCAGUCCAAUCGUUCCCAAUCACCACCACUUUCCUUUGUAUCAUGUCCAAGUCCAGUAACCCGAGAAGCAGAGGAUCGCCUAAAGGAAACAGUAAGAAAAUUUCACACAACCAUUCAACAACUGGAGCAAGUGAUAAUUCAAUGGGCUUCUAGGCGCUUAAAUACACAAGGAUCAGCCACAGCUCCAUGUGGACAGCCCAAUGAAGAGCGUAGCAUGAAGGAGAUACCAGAAACUCCAGUGGACAAGACAGAGCAUGAAUUUGUACUAGAACAAUUAGAAGAAGUUGUCUUUGUUCAAGAAGAAGAGUUGGUUGAAGACCUAGGAGAUGCUGAACUUCCAUGGGAAUCCAGAAUUGAGGAAAACUCCGUCCAGGAUGCUACAAUUGAUGCUAAGGAGGAUAUUUCUCCAAGGCAAGUCAUUUAUGAAGAAUCAAACGGAAUAAUUCAAGAAGCAAAUUCCCUUAAUAAUGAUAGUCACAAGUCUAGCUCUCUUGGUGAUGAACUUGCAUCCGCAAGUGAAUUCUCUGAGAUCGAAGAAUCUUCCCCAAGUGAAUAUGAAGAUGAUGCAGAGGUAGAUUUUUCUCAACCUCCAAUCUAUGACUCAAGUGAUGAGGAAGACACAGAAGACUUUGACCAGGACACAGAUACAAUUGAAGAUCUUUGCAAAGAAGUGGAGGAAUUCACAGAAGAGCACAAGGAAACGGAACUUGCAGAACCACCAAAAACACCUAUCCCAAGGCCAUUACUAGCUAAUACAAGGUUCAAGUGGGUACAAUCCUUAACUUAUAGCGUUACUUAUUCACUUGAAUAGUGUUUGCUUGAAACAGAUGGCCAGCUUAGAGCUCUCUGCGGCUUUAAGAGUAAGAGGGAAAUGGCUCGUACUCAGAGCUGGUGCACAAGGUUCAAUAAGGUUCCACGCUUCACCUCGAAGUACACGGAUUGGUAUCAUGCUAAAUUGCAUGGAUCACGGAGAACGUUUGGUCACCACGGUGAGAUUCUACUUUUUAAACCGCCCGGAUGGAAACAUGUAGAUCAAGACGGAGGCGGAUUUAAAAGCAAGGCUUGGAAUCCUGGACUCUAUCCUGACAUUCGUAGUCCCGGGAGCCUGAAAAUCUGUUUGGAGCUGCUCAGAAGCUUUGCAUGCUUGGUUUGGGACCCCGGAGCCCAUUGGCAUUCCAAGCACUGGUGGAGAUUUUUAGACGAAUUUAAACAUAAGCCACCAUAACAGGAUACUCCUCCAAUGUUCAACUUAAGGACUUUAACUAAAAGUGCUAGGUGGGAGACAACCCACCAUGGUAUGGUCGCUUCUUUUUCAAUUUAUUUCUUGUUAAUUGCUUUCAUUUUUCCUUUUUCAUUUUAAUUUAUUAAACCUGGAAUCAUGCAUAGCAUUCAUGUUAAUCAUUGCAUUCUGCAUUUUUCAUGCAUAAAAAAAAAGGGUGCACGACGCGACCGCAUCCCCCAUGCGAUCGCGUCAUACUGUGAAAAACACCACCCGCGCGACCGCGUGACCCACGCGGUCGCGUGAUAUAUAUAUCGGCGUAAGAAUCCAACGAACAGAAAGUUAGGCUGGAAUCAUGCGGCCCUUGUGCGUUUUGCACAAAUUGGCCCACGCGGUCGUAUGCCCCAUGCGAUCGCGUCACUUACACAAUAUCAAUCCCACGCGACCGCGUGAGCGACGCGAUCGCGUCGCAUGGAUUGCACAUCACCCCAAAAAUAGACAGAGAGUUGCGCUAAAACGGCGCUGGAGUCGUGCAUUUAGCACAAAUUCCAGCGACGCGAUCGCGUCACCCCUCUUUCCCCCCUCUCAUGCGAUCACGCGCUCCACGCGAUCGCGUCACUCCCAUUUUCAUCCCAACCACGCGACCGCGUGCCCCACGCGGCCGCGUGGAUUCGAAAAUAUACUGUAAUUUUUUCCGUUUCUGCUCAUAAUUAGGAUAGAUAGAUAUGCAUGUUGUAGUGGAAUUUUUAGGUUGUUAGGUAGCUUAGGCUGUGGUUAGUGGAUCUAGGUCUGUUUACUUGCACUGUUCCUGUUUAUGUUUUAAUCAUUACUGCAAUUCUGCUGUUCCUGUGACCUCGUUCAUAUGCUGUGAUUUCUCGCAAUUGCUGCUUGUUACUCUAAAUUUUCCUGUUUCUAUUCAUUACUGGUAACUGUAGCAAGUUUUUAAUUCAUAUGAACUGCUAUGAUUGCUAUUUAUUUUUCGGGACAAUCCAAUUUUAGCCGGAAUGCUGCCCAAAUUUUUUAAAAUUGUUUUCAUUCAUGUUUUGGUUUGGCAUUUCUGAACUUUGUUUUGCUCUGCUUUACCUAAACCAUUUCAUGAAUGCUAUGGCAGACUUCCUUAUCCUCUUUGAAUUCCUGGUUCAUAAACUACAUUUGUGAUUCACUGAUUCCAAUUUUUGCUUUCUUUAUUUUUAUUCGAAUCAGCAUCACCCUGUUUUCCUUGUUCGAUUAUGAGUACUUCUAUUCUUACCUGUGAAUCCUUGUUAUAUGGAAUUUUUCUAUGCCACUUACUUUAACCCGCACUUUACUAACCCACUAAUUUUAAUUUACUAAUUUCUUUUUCAAAAUCUAACCAUACUAACCCUUUUGAUCUCUUUUCUGAUUAUUUUCACUUUCCUCUAACUUUCUAACCAUGGCAUAUUGAUUAUUUUUUCCAUUUAACAUAAAUUCAAUCACCUUUCAUUUACUCAUUUUCCUUAUUCUAUUUCACCUUUGCCGCUUUGAGUUUCCUUUGUUUAAUUGCCUAUUUGCUUUCCUAUUUUUACCAUAUCCUGGUUUUCUGUUUUUCAGGAUGUCUGCCUCACAAAGGAAAGGAAAAGGCAAGGCUACUGGCAAGGGCAAGAGAGGAGAUUCCUCCCAGUCCAUCAUUGCUCUAAUGCACGAUUCUUCAUGGCGGGAGAAGAACUUCACACAGCAGGAGAAAGCUGACCAGCUGCUCCCUGUGAAUGAUCCUAUAAAAUUUGCAAAUCGGUACUAUGAACUGAAGUACCCGGCUUUUGCAAACUCCAGAAAUUUAUACCUGGAAUGAACUCUGAAGAUUCCAGCAGCCCUCCAGUAGUACACCACUGAGCAAAUCAAGCAAAGGGGCGGGUUCUUUCUGGAGAGAACACUGACAGAGGUCAACGCAUCUUGGGUCCGGGAAUUCUACUGCAACUACUACCUCACCAUCCUAGAUGCAGUGACCCUGAGAGGAAAACAAAUUCUGGUCACCGAAGAGGCCUUAGAGGACAUUCUCCGGCCCCCAGCCAAGUCCGAUCAGCCUGAUGGUUAUUCAAAGGCUGAGGAGGACAUGCGUCAGAUGCAGUUUGAUUGGGAUGCCGUGAAGGCACGGAUAGCUCUCGACCCGACAGUUCCUUGGGAGAUGGGUCAGGCCCCCUCCUUUGGUGGGUGCUGGAGGGUAAGGACCUUUAUCUGCCACAUUUCAUUCGGCACUAUAUGGCCAGGGUCCACGUCCGAGGCACCCUCCCUUUUCCGUAUCUGGUUACACAGCUUGGCCGUCGAGCUGACGUGCCAUGGGAGGAUGCCGACGAGAGACCACCAGCGGCGGAUUACAGGAAGAUUAUUCCGCACAGCCGGAAUUUCUUAGCCCUGGGCCACAGACCACCACCAUUAACUGCUACUGAUGAGACAGCCCCACAGUCUGCUGGACCCUCUUCCUCCACUGCUGCACCACCUACCACUGCACCUCCACCUGCCACAGAGCCCAUCUAUCAUCUGGUGCACCGCUUGUUUCGACGACUUGACCAGAUGGAGCGUCGCAACAAGCGGCGCUAUGAGCACCUAAAGCUGAUGAUACAAUCCGGUGACAUCCCCUCCGAGCCUGACACACCAUCCGAGGCAUCUGAGGAGGAGGCGGAUGCGCCCGAGGCAGAGACUCAUCCCCAGGAGGCAGCACCAGCCGCACCACAGGCAGCGGUCCCACAUCAGAUUGAGGCUGCAGACCUUGAGAUCCCGAUCCAGUCAGCACCGCCUCCACAGCAGCCAGACCCUCAGCCCACCACCACUGAGACUCCAACUACCAUCCCUCCCAGUGAUGACACUCCUUCACACCCGGCUUGAUUGAGCAUUAGGGACGAUGCUUCCUUUUAAGUGUGGGGAGGUCGCCAUCUCUGGCGUUUAUUUCGGUGAACCACUACAUACUUUUUUCUUUUAUUUUGGAUAUUUUUUCUGUAUUUUUUUUACUGUUAUUUUCUGAGUACUUAUACAUUGCUUUUAUGUAUUUUUACUCUAUUUUCUGCAUUUUGCAUCUUUAGUUCAUAUUUUAGCCAUUUAGUUUAUCUUAGUUAUUAGUUUAGUUUGCAAUUCUGAUUUAUUAAUGGAUUAAUUAGUAUAGUUUACCCUUUUUAGCAUAAGAUAGUAUAGUUUAAAUUGAAAAAUCUAAAAAGGAGGUAAACUAGGAAAUUGAACAUAUCAGAUUUAAAUCCACAAACCUUAUAUAUAGCAUUACAUGAUGUAGUUAAGCUGACAACAUUUCAUCAAGGAAGAACAUUAAAACUUUAAAAGCUACCCUAAAUAAUGUUUUUAUGAGAAUAAUGGGAAUUUUUAACUAAACCUGCAUACAAAAUAUAAAUGAUAUAUGAUGCUUGAGUUAGAGAACACACAGCCUAUGAGUCUUGAGCUUAAUUGUAUGGUUGCAUUCAAACUAUAAUUUCAUUUCUGUGUGUUUCAUUUCUUUUUAUUCUGAUGUUCUUUACUUUGCUUUAAUCUAUAUGUCCAAUUAUAGAGUAUAGAAUAGAUACAUACCAAGAGAAUGAUUGAGGCCAUCAUUUGAUUUUAGCUCACUUACCCCAAAUUAGCCUACCUUCUACAUCAUCCUUGUUAGCCCCCUUGAGCCUUUUAAAACCCCUUUAUUCUAUUUAGCCAAAUUACUAGCCUUAAGCAGAAAAACAAAAGAAAACCCCAAGUGAAUCCUUGGUUAGCUUAAGAUAGAAAAUCAUGAAUAGAGUUAAAUGUGGGAAACCUUUUGGGAACAUUGAUAAAAGAAACAAAAGGUAGAAAAGUUAAAAGAAAUAAAACAAAUUUGGGAAGCAUGCUCAUGAGAAAAUCUAAGUGAUUUAAUUACCAUGUGCAUUAAAAAAAAAGUUAUUUUUCAGCAUUUAAAUAAAAGGGGAUACAAAAGAAAUUCCCCAAUGCAAAAUAAAAACAAUGCACAUGGGAUAAAAAUAAAGAGUGAAACAUGAGCAUGUAACAAUAAGUGGGAUAAUAUGAGAGAAUAGGUAAAGAAGUUUUAUCUUGCUAAAUAUGUAUGUUAGGUGAGAUCUUAGUCUAAUUAAGGAUUCACUUGUUAGCUCACUUAGCCCUAUACAUAAAUCCUUACCUUUACCUUGGCCCCACUACAACCUCAAUUAAAGACCUCAUGACUUUUUGGUAUGACUAUAUUCUAUAAUUGUUGAUUGGUUAGAUGAAGAACAAAGCUAUAGAAAGCAAGAAUAAAAAGAACAAUAGAGUGAAUAAACCCAAUAAACACUGAGUGACUAGAGAGUAAACACAAAAUCCAAUGAGGGUUCUAUAACUCAUCAACAUAUAUAUGUGCUUAUAUUUACUAAUUGUUUUGCAAGUUUGUACAAUGUUUUCUUUCUCAUCUCAUUUGCUAAAAUGCUUUAUUAUUUAAGGGAUAGCUAUAUAUAUAUAUAUAUGACUCCUUGAGAAUGUGAAUUAAUUUGACUAUAUGUAAGCUUUAUAUAUGAGUGGAUAAAUCAGAAUUGCAUGACUCAUUUAGGUAGAUGCAUUUAGAAUAGGUUGCAUUGCAUAACAUUCCACCACUUUAACCUUACCUUAUUCUUUACCUUGGAUUUAGCAUGAGGGAGUUGCAUGAUGCAUCAUCCAUUUAGGUAGUUGCAUUUAAAUUAGGUUGCAUUGCAUGACAUUCCAUCACUUUAACCUUAAUUAUUUACCUUGGAUUUAGCAUGAGGACAUACUAGUGUUUAAGUGUGGGGAGGUUGAUAAACCCAUAUUUCAUGAGUUCUUUUGUGCUUAAUUUGAGUGAUUUAUACAAUCCCUCACCUACUUAUUCACAUUAAUUGCAUGGUUUUACUUUCCCUUCCUCAUUAUGUGAUGUAAAUGAAAAACAUGUUUCCUAAGCUUUAAAAUCAAUUAAUUUAAUUGCCUUUAUUUCCAUUCAAUGCCGUGAUUAGUGUGUUGAGUAGUUUCAGAUUUCCUAAGGCAGAAUGACUUAAAGGAUGGAAAAGGAAACAUACAAAAAUGGAAGGAGAAAUCAAAACGGAGCUUUAAGGAAACUGGUAUCCACGCGAUCGCAUGGAUGACGCGAUCGCGUGCCAAGCACGAAUCAGCAGCGACGCGGCCGCAUGACUGACGCGACCGUGCGCCUUAAGUAGAACGCACAUGAUGCGGUCGCAUGACUGACGCGACCGCGUGGCAAGGAAAAGCUCCAAAUGACGCGACCGCGUGACCCACGCGGACGCGUGACAGAGGCCACACACCAGAAAUUACAGAAUACGCCCCCAGCGAAUUAUGAAGCCCUUUUUGGCCCAGAUCCAAGUACAGACAGCAUAGACCAGAGGUUAUAAAGUGUGGGAAUGCAUCCAUUCAAAGAGAGCUCGCAUAUUUUUAGUUUUCAAUGAUUUAGAUUUAGUUGAGAGGGAGAUCUUCUCUCUCUCUCUCUCUUUCUUAGGAUUUAGGAUUUCUUCUUGUUUUAAGAGUGACUCUCAAUCCAGGUUUUAUAUUUCUUUGUUUUAAACUUCCCUUUCACUUUAUUUAUUUAUUUCAGUAUCUGAGUUGGCUAUUUAUCUUUAUAAUUGAAUUUAUGAAUUUCUCCCAUGUUACAGAUUGUUAUUGGAAUUAAUGAUAAUUGAGGUAUUUUCAGUUUAUAAUUGUUCUCUUUGAUUUAAGUUACCAUUGCUUCCCAUCCAAGGAUAUUUUUAUUAUUCCAGCAAUUUUACUUUUUCCCCUUUUGGUCCUGGUUAAGAAUUCAAUAACUCAACAGUUAUUAAACUCAACAUAACUGAUAAUCGUUAUCUUGCUAAUUGAACUGAACUUAAGUAAUCCCAACCUUUUCUUAGGAAAUAAAUAGGAUUCAAAAGGUCAAUUUAAUUAGUCCCCUAACUUUCCUUUGCCCCAGUAAAGGUUGACCAAGUGGAGUUUAGAUUCAACUUUCAUUAUAGUUGAGAGAGAUAACUAUGUUGGACCUCUAAUUUCUCUUACCUUGCCAAAAGUCUGCUUUACAGUAUUUAUUUAUUUUAAUUGCCAUUUACUUUACUUGUUAUUUAAAUUACUUGCUUCUCAUCUUCUAAACCCCGAUUACAACCUUUAUAGCCAAUAAUAAGAACAUACUUCCUCGCAGUUCCUUGAGAAGAUGACCCGAAGUUUGAAUACUCGGUUAACAAUUUCUAAAGGGGUUUGUUACUUGUGACACCCAAAACGUUUGUACGAAGGGAUUUUUGUCGGUUUAGAGACUAUAUCUACAACACAACUGUUCUAUGAAUCUCUUUACUGGUAAAAAUUCUAACGUCAGGCGGUCAUAGAAGUUAUGAGUGGCUGCCACGGUGUUGUCUUCCUGCUGGAGCUACGAAAAUUCAUCAGUAUAAUGGCUAUAAUCAGCACAGAUUCCGCAAACUCUUUGUGGGACUAACUGUUGGUUUUGCUGUGUUGGAGAAGGUUGAGCUUGCUGAACUUGUUGUUCGUUCAAUUGUAUCUGCUUCAGCAAGUUGGUCAUUUCACAGAUACUCUGAGUUAAAGCAGCAGUCUUUCUGCUAGAGGAUACUUCUGCAACGGCUUUUGCACGGCCUUGGUUUUGCCUGUGAUUCCGAGUAGAUUCAGCUAAGUCGCUGAUCAAUUGUCAUGCCUCAUCAGUGGUCUUGUACUUUUUCAUAGACCCAUUGCUAGCAUUUUCCAAUGUGGUCUUAUCUUGGGGCCUCAUGCCCUGUGUGACGUAACCGAGUAACACUAUCUUGUCAAUCAUAUGGUGGGGGAAACCUUCCAGAAGAUUAUUGAAGUGCUCCCAGUAUUCAUAGAGAGUCUCGGAUUCAUCCUGAAUAAUCAUGGAAAUAUCUUUCCUCAGUUUAGCAGUAACUUCAGCUGGAAAGAAUUUUUCCAAGAAUUUUCUUCUAAGUGUAUCCCAGUUGGAUACAGUUGCUGCGGGUUGAGUGUAGUACCACUCUCUCGCCUUUCCCUCAAGAGAGAACGGGAAGGCUUUUAGCAAAAUAGAAGUUUCAUCCGCACUAUCACGCCUGACAGUAGAACAGGCUGCUUGAAAAUCUCUCAGUUGCUUGAUAGGCUCUUGAGCAGGUAAGCCAUGAAACUUGGGCAUCAAAUUGAGCAGUGCGGUCUUUAUUUCAAAGUCUGUAGCCACCGCUGGGUGAUGCGCUUGAAACGGUUGCAUUGUAAAAUCAGGGGCUCCAGCCUCCUGGAUAGUAACUCUCCUAGGUGCUGCCAUGUCACCUAUACGUAAAUCAACCGAAUCAGUAGAACGGGGGCUGGUUUCUUCCUCAAAUGAUGUUUCAGAUCCGCCCUCUGAGAGGACUAACCGACGCCGAGCUUGCCUUAUUCGUGAAAUAGUUCUUUCAAUCUCAGGAUAGAAUACUGGCAAGCUUGGAUCAAGAAGUGAACGCAUCAUCUAACGAAAGAAACAAGCAGCUCAUAGUAGCAAAAUAAAAUAAAAUGCAAAUAAAUAAAAUCCAAUCAAUAACUUUAGCACUCUAUUGUAACUCCCCGGCAACGGCGCCAAAAAUUGACGUGGCGGAAAUUGGCGAGUUAAGAGUUGUUAUAAGAUAUGCGUUGCAAGUAUAGUUCUUAACCAACUNNNNNNNNNNNNNNNNNNNNNNNNNNNNNNNNNNNNNNNNNNNNNNNNNNNNNNNNNNNNNNNNNNNNNNNNNNNNNNNNNNNNNNNNNNNNNNNNNNNNNNNNNNNNNNNNNNNNNNNNNNNNNNNNNNNNNNNNNNNNNNNNNNNGAAUUAAAGAAAGACAUGAUAAAUAAAACUCAAAGGAAUCAAUUAAAAAUAAAAGUAACUCUUGUAUUAAUAAAUUCUAAAAUAAUCCAAUAGUAAGAUUGAGUAAAUUAAAGGACAUGGAAGAGUAAAGCCAAGUAAAGAAAACGAACUAUAAUGACGAAGUCUUGAUGAGGUAAUAACUCUUCUCAAUAUCCCAAUGCAAAGAACAAUAGAGAUUAAAAUCCUAAGAACUACGAAUGUGUAGAGAGAAAACCUAGAGGAGGAGUAAAACUAGAUCUAAAAACUAAAAAUUGUGUAGAGUGAAUGUUUUUUUCGUUUCUGCAUGUUCUCUAGCUCUAGCCUACUUUUCUGGGCCAAAAACUGGGUCAAAACGGGGCCCAAAAUUGCCCCCAACGAAUUCUACAGAUUAUGCAGAUCGCGCACGUCACGCGAUCGCGUCAUUCAUGCGGACGCGUCAUUCGGCGUUUUGCUUUGCCAUGCGGGCGCGUCGUCCACGCCUCCGCGUCAUUUGUGCUAUUCCAAUCUGCACGGUCGCGUGAGCCAUGCGGCCGCCUCACUGCGAUUUUCUCUCUUUCGCGCGGUCGCGUGAGCCAUGCGGCCGCGUCACUUCUCGCUGGUCAUCUCCUCAAUUUCUUGUGUUCCUUCCAUUUUUUGCAAGCUUCCUUUCCAAUCUCCAAUUCAUUCAUGCCCUAUAAAGCCUGAAACACUUAACACACAGAUCACGGCAUCGAAUGGAAUAAAGGAGAAUUAAAAUGCGUAAUUAAAAGUCUCUAGGAAGCAGGUUUUUAAUCAUGUAAUAAUUUUAGGAAGGAAAUAUAAAUGCAUGCUAAUCAUAUGAAUAAGUGGGUAAAAAUCAUGAUAAAACCACACAAUUAAACACAUUAUAAACCAUAAAAUAGUGGUUUAUCACCAUCCUCUGUCCAAAGGAGGACACUUUGAUGCACAGUAGAUGGUACAACUCCAACUCCAUGAAUCCAAUCUCGACCCAGAAAAGCAUUGUAACUUGCUUUUGAUGGCACCACCACAAACACAGUAUUCCGUUCAGAUGACCCCAAUUUUGCUCCCAAAGUAACCAGACCUUUUGCAGGAGUAGAAGAGCCACUAAAGUCUGUUACAGCAAUAUUGGUGGGGACCAAGUCAUCAGGAUGCUUACCAACCUUCAUCAGCUUAUAAUCUGGUAAGAGACUUAUUGCUGCUCCACCAUCAAUCAAAACUUUAUUCACCAUAAUCCCACUCAAAGUGGUAGUAAUAUGAAGUGGGUGAAGAUGAGACUUUUGCUUCUCAGUAGGCCGCAAGAAAUAUCCUAGUUCAUCCUCAUAUCGGAUGAAAGAAAAAGCCUCUUCAGCAUCCAUGUCAUAGUCCUCUUCUGGAUCCCCUUCAUACUUACCUAAAUACUCAGUUAGAAUAAUCGAAAUAGUUCCAACCAUUUCAUCAUCUCCUUCCUCGAAAUAUUUUUCAUCGAAAUCGGCCUCUUUGCCUUUAUCACCCCUGGAGUAUGAACUAUUUCCUUGCCCUUCUCCAAUUUUGUAGGGGAAGGAAUACUCUUCGGGCAUGUUUCCCCAUCAGAGGAAAAAACUAUUCGGGAGUGCACCGAAGGUGUUGCCCCCUUGCCUUUGUCAACCUGAGGCUUCUUAUUUUGCGGUAAAAUUGACGGUCGAAUUUCUGUUUAGUAAAGAAAUUUUAUAAAAUUAAUUGCGUUGUAAGUAUAGUUUCUAAACCAACAGAGAAUCCUUUCGUACAAAAGUUUGGUUGUCACAAGUAACAAAACCCAAUAAAAUUGAUAACCGAAGUAUUGAAACCUCGGGUCGUCUUCUCAAGGAAUUGCAAGGAGGUAUGAUUUAUUAUUGGUUAUGGAAAAUUGUAUAUUUUUGGGUUUUUGAAAUAGGGAACAAGUAAUUUAAAUAACAAGAAAAAUAAAUUAAUAAUUAAUAAAAUCUCUUGGCAAGGUAUGAAAAAUUGAAGUCAUAUCCUAGUUAUCCUUAUCAGAUGUGAUGAGAAUUGGAUUCUGCUCUCACUUUAAUUAACCCUUGCUACUCAAAAGAGAGUCAAGUGGACUAAUUAAUUUGAUCCUCAAGUCCUAGUCAACUUCUAUGGAAAGACUAGAGUUAUUGGAGUACAAAUUAACCAGCAAAGAAUUCCAAUUUCAAUCAACAGCUGAGUUUGAUAACUCAAGUGUCUCCAAUUACUUAACCAAAGUAAAAAGAGAGAAAAUCUACUUGAAUAAAAAUGCCUUCAGAUGGGAAGCAACAGUAACAUAAAUAAAAGAAAGAAAUCUUAAAUCUGAAAUACCUCAAAUUAUAUUAAAUAAAAGAAAUCAAAUCUAACAUGGGAAUUCAUAAAUUAAAUUGGAAAAAUAAAUAAAAGGGACAUUGAACCUGUAAUUGAAGAGAAGUAUCUUAAACAUAAUAGAAAUCCUAAAUCCUAAUCCUAAGAGAGAUGAGAGAAUCUCUCUCUCUAAAACUACAUCUAAUCCUAAAAUUGUGUAUAUUAGAGCUUGAUUGAUGAAUGAAUGGAUUCCUCCACUUUAUAGCCUCUAAUCUGUGUUUUUUGAGCCGAAAACUGGGCCAGAAAUAGCUCAGAAAUCGCUGGGGGCAAAAUCUGCCAUGCUGAUUUUCGUCACUGCGACGCGUCUGCGUGGAGCACGCGUUUGCGUCACCUAUAUGUAUGGCCACUAUGACAAAUUAUAUAUCAAAUCCAAGCCCCGGACGUUAGCUUUCCAACGCAACUAGAACCGUAUCAUUUGGACUUUUGUAGCUCAAGUUAUGAUCGAUUUAGUACGAGAGGGUCAUGCUGACAGCUUUGCAGUUCCUUCAAUUUCUUGUAUUCCUUCCACUUUUGCAUGCUUCCUUUCCAUCCUCUAAGCCAUUUCUGCCCUGUAAUCUCUGAAAUCACUUAACACAUAUAUCAAGGCAUCGAAUGGUAAUAAGAGAGGAUUAAUAUUAGCAAAUAUAAGGCCAAAGAAGCAUGUUUUCAAUUAUAGCACAAAAUCAGGAAGGAAAAUGUAAAAACCAUGCAAUUUAUAUGAAUAAGUGGGCAAGGACUUGAUAAAAACCUCUCAAUUGAGCACAAGAUAAACCAUAAAAUAAUGAUUUAUCAAAACUCCUUAUUCCUUUUCCCCUCGGGUACCCCCUGGCUCGACCGCAUUGAUAAAGAUAUUGGUUUCGAGGAGGCUCUCGAUGUCCCCAUUGUGGAUUUCGCCGAUAAUGAGCGUCUCGAUUCUGGAAUUCUUGACAAUUCCGAAUCUACUAGACACCUAUAGCUUGAGAACGACUCAAUGGUGGAACAGCAUUCUGCUGAGGAGCCCUUGAACUUUCUUCUUCCACUCGUCUAACAGGUUGUCUUUGACGAGCCUACUCCUCCCUAUGAGCCAACUCUUUUUUCAUCCUUUUUUUUUUAAUUUCUGCAGCCUUCGCAUCAAAUACAGCAGUACAUCGAGGACAUAGAGAUACGUCAUGAUCUUUGAUCUUUUGCUGAACUAAGAAAUCCAGUAAACCACCCCCUGCUCGAGGAUAUACUGAUCGAACUUGUGACUCGAAAUCACCUAGAGCCACAUCAAAAACAUAAGACAUACCAACCACACUUACUCCAAAUUGUGGUUCAACAAAACCAGCAUCAGCAUUGAAAGGAUCAACAUCAACUUUCAUUUCUUUCUUCCCAUCAUCGAACUUCAAACGCCCUUCCAUUAUAGCCUCCUGAAUUAAGUCCCUGAAACGACCACAGCUAUUAGUCGAAUGACUGGUUGCUUGGUGAAACUUACAAUAAGGUUUUACUUUCAAAACUUUUACCAAAAGUAAAGUUCUACCCUUUAUGAGUGGAUUUUUGACGGUUUAGAAUUUCACAAAUGAAAUCUCGUUGCAAGUAUAGUUUCUAAACCAAUAAAUAAUCCUUUCAUACAAAAGAUUGUUUGUCACAGGUACAAACCCCUAAUUUUAUAAACCGAAGUAUUUAGACCUCGGGUCGUUCUCCCUAGGAAUUGCAAUAAAGUGUUCUUAUUAUUGGCUAUGAAGUAUGUUUGGGGUUUUCGAGAUAAUAGCCAAGAAGUAUAAAUGGCAAAGGAAAUAAACUAACAACUAACAAAGCUCUUGGCAAGGUAUGAGAAUUGGAAGUCCUAUCCUAGUUAUCCUUCUCAAUUGUGACCACAAUUGUCCAUUGCUCCCACUUAGUUAACCUCUAGCCAUGGAGGAAAGCCAAGUGGAUGAAUUAACUUGAUUCCACAAGUCCUAGCCUAAUCAUAAUGAAAGACUAGCUUUGGUGGCAUUCAAGUUAAUUAGCAACUUCUAAUUAUCAAUCAACAAAGGAAUUAGACAACUCAAGAGUCAUUAAUUACUCUACCUAGGCCAAGAGGGGAAAAAGCUAUACUAAAAUCCAACCUAGCAUUUCAUCAAACACAUGGAAGGCAUAAAAGGAAAGUAAAAUGAAUUAAGCAAUUCAACAAUAAAGGAACAUGAAUCAUAAGUUGCAUUAAAAGAGAAAUAGAAAAAACAAAGUACAUCAACAUAAAAGUAGAGAAUUACAAGAAUUAAAUGCUAAACUAGAGAGAGAAGAUGUAGAAGAAGAAGAAUUAUAAAAGGAAAAGUAAAUCUAAGCAUGAAAUUAACCUAGAUCUAAGAAAUUCUAAUCUAGAUCUAACCUAAUCCUAAUUCUAGAGAGAAGAGAGAGCUUCUCUCUCUAGAAACUAACUUUCUCUCCAAAACUAAACUAAAAACUAAACUAGUGUGUCUAGACUUAAUGUGUGAUCCCUCUUCAUUCCAUGGGUUAAAUAGCAUCAGAAAUGAGUUGGAUUUAGGCCUGAGAAGCCCAGAAAUUGCCCCCAGCGGAUUGCCUUUAAGUGAGUCACGUGCGAGCACCGACGCGUACGCGUAAAUCACGCGUGCGCGUCGCUUGACAAAUUGCUAUCCAGGCGUAUGCGACACGUACGCGUAUGCGUCUCCAUUCAACCUUACAAUCCACGCGUGCGUGUUUGCUGCGCGUGCGCGUCGUUGAUCUCAUCCCAAAUCCUUGCUUUUCCAUGAUUUCUCCACUUUGCAUGCUUUUCUCUCCAUCCCUUUGAUCCAUCCCUAGCCUUAUCAACCUGAAAUCACUAACAAACAUAUCAAGGCAUCUAGUGGAAUCAAAGGUGAGUCAAAAUUGGCAAUUAAGGGCCUAAAAAGCAUGUUUUCACACUCAAGCACAAAUUAGGAGACAAUCACGAAACCAUGCUAUUUAAUUGAAUAAAUGUGGGUAAAAGGUCAUAAAAUCCCUUAAAAUCACUACAAGAUAAACCCUAAAUGGGGUUUAUCAACCUCCCUACACUUAAACCAAGCAUGUCGUCAUGCUAAAACUAAGAGAAAGCAAAGGGUAUCAACAUUUAUUCAAUGUAAACUAACUAGAUGCAAUCUACCUAUAUGCAACUAUCUACAUGAAUGCAAUUGCUUGGCCAAAACAAAUCAACUCCCAAGAAUAUCAAUAUAAGCACAAGGGCUAAAGGUAUUAAUCAACCAAGCCAAACCACAAUUGAAUUGAGUAUUAAAGAUUAAACAAACUUGCAAGAAAAGUGAUGAUGAUUGUAGGUGAAAACAUGUAAUUGAGCAUCAAACCCUCACCGGAAGUGUUUGCACUCUAGUCGCUCAAGUGUUUAGGGUUGAUUCACUCAAUUCUCCCCUAAUCAUACUUUCUAAGAUUUGUUUUUCAUCUAAACAGUUAUUUCAUGCAUACAUACAUAUAUCAUGAGAUCUUUUCAUAGGUUGUAAUGGGGCUAGGGUCAAGGUAGGAUGCAUAUUUGGUCAAGUGGACUUGAAAUUUAAAUCUUUGAUAAGCUUAGACUUCCCACCUAACCUAUAUAGCAACCUAUACAAAUUAAAGCUAACCUAACUACCCAUUCUUCACUUUUUCACAUACUCAUGCAUUUCCUUUUCAUUGAUCACACUCAUAUGCAUUGAUCUUUAUUGAACUUUACUUUGUGGCAUUUUGUCCCCUUUUUAUUUCUUUCUUUUUCCUUUUUUUCUUUCUUUUUUUUCUAUUUUUUUCUUUUUUUUUCCAUAUUAUUUUUCUUUUCUUUUUCUCAUUUUUCAUUUCUUUCCAACUAUAUACAAGAACAUCAAUGCAUAAGGUCUAUACAUUUAAUCAAUACAUGAGCAUGUACCCAAUUCCCAAUAUUUUCAACAAAAAUACAAAACUACCCUUUUACUCAACCAAUGUCCCAAGAUUUCCCACACUUGAAUGACACACACACACUAGCCUAAGCCAAUCAAAGAUCCAAAUAAAUGACAUUUAUUGUUUUUCGCUUAAAGGCUUGUAAUGUGCUAAUAUUAAGAACAAGUGGGUUAAUCGUAGGCUCAAAUUGGCUAUCAAUGGAAGAUAAAAGGUAAGGCUAUUUGGACGAGUGAGCUAAAUGAAAUGAUGGCCUCAAUCAUAUAAAUGCAUGUCUAUACAAAAUAAUGGACAUAAAGAAUCAAACAAAUCAAGGAUUACAAUCAUAGAAAGAGAAUAAUGUACACAAGAAGGGAGAUAAGUGGUUAUAAGAUGUAACCACACUAUUAGGCUCGAAACUCCAAGCUUGUGUUCUUAGCUCAAAAACAUGCUUCACAAAAUAUAUAUGAUUCAAGCAAGUUCCACAAAAAUUUUCUCAAUCAAUUGGGGUGGUGCCCUAUAGAUAACUUGUGGGUUAAGACAACCAAAUAAGCAAUAAAGAAGCAUGAAAGUAUUCAAGCCAAAAACAUAUGGAUGCAUAGGAUCAUGAAAUACAAUGCAUUAAAAUAGGUGCACAACAUCCAUCAAGAACCACUACAACAUUUUUGGCCUAAGGUAACCCUUAUUCGAAGCAACAUUUAACAAAAGUUUCUUUAGAUAGGUAAAGACAACAUUUUUAACGAGUUGCCUUUGAGUAAGGCAAAGAUAACAAAAUUUUCGGCCACCCAUAAAAAGAGUUGUCUUUGAUAUCUAAAGCAACAUUUACAAAAUGUUACAAAAUAAAAACUUUAAGACAACAUUUUUAAAUAAAAUACAACAUUUUAUAAGAGUUGUAAAAAAAAUUGAACAAAUAACAUUUAUAAAGAAUUGCCUAAAAUUAUUUAUGGUUAAAAAUUUUAGAGAGAAACUUUUAAUCAUAUUCAUACCAAUAAAAUUUUUUCAAUGAAAAAAUAACUUAAACAUAAAAAAACAGAUGUGCUUCAGUAGUUCCACACUUCCACUUCCACUUCACGCCCACAAGAGCCCUAACAUAGCCAUUCUCCCCUGCAACAAGGCACACACCAUGCCCUUUCUCCCCUCCUAACGGCGACAGCAGGUCAGCAGCGUUCAAUCGCUGUGCACUCCUCCACGUACAGCGACGACGCAGUGCUCUCCUCGACGGGCGAUGGCGCGAUGCUCUCUACAAUCCCUAACAUAGCCACUGUAACAACGCACCCUUUCUCCCCUUCCUAACGGCGACAACAGCCUUCAAUCGCGGUGCACUCCUCCACAUACGGCGACGGUGCGGUGCUAUCUUCGACGAGCGACGGUGUGGUGCUCUCCACAAGCCCUAACAUAGUCACUGCAACAACGCACCCUUUCUCCCCUUCCUAACAACGACAGCAGCGCUCAAUCGCGGUGCACUCCUCUACGUACGGCGACAGCACGGUGCUCUCCUCGACGGGCGCGGUGCUCAAUCGCAAGAAACCCCUAUCCCUUCUCUUCUCCUUCUUAUUCUUCCUCUAUUCCUCUGUUUCCAGGUAUUUGAGAAAAAUGAUUUUCAUGUUCUUUGAAUUAAUUCAUUACAGUUUAGUUAGAUUUUAAUUUUUAGCUAGUAAAUUAUUUUGCAAUUGUCUGAUUUGCUGUUCUCUGAAAAAACAUGAGUUGCUGUUCUCUAAUUUGCUGUUCUCUGAAAAAACUAAAAUUCAGUAUUUUAGUGUAUGGCUCCUUCCAAACAAUUUUGGAUGCUCACAUGUGUUUCUAAUAAGAAAGUGUUGCCUAAAAGAAGUAAUAGCAUGACAAAACUUAUAGCAAUACUCUUGAAAUUAUUUUGUUUUCCUUUCGAGCUGCUUUUUCUUGAUGAUUAUGCCGGCAAAAUUGAGAUCUUGUUAGCAAAAUAUAUAUUCCCUCUCAAAACAGAGACUUAUAAUUCAUCUCUUUGGAAAAAUGAACUACUUAUUCAGUAAUUUUCUCCUGUCUUUGAUGUAUUUGUUAUUAUACAAUUUAAUGUUAACCCCUAUACAAAUAUAGAAAAAUUAGGAUAAUUCAUAAUGACAAUAAAAUAAUGAAGACAAAUUCACACCUUUUCAAAAGAAAAAGCAAUCACCAUGAAUAUAGAUAAUGACAAAUUGGAUCUACCAGCUAUGAUCAAAGGGCUCAAAACCUUCACAAGUAAUGAGCCAGCCUUUCCCUCUCUCUACUGUUUCUUUGUAUUAGUCACCAACACUCUAGAAAACUUAAGAUAUUAGGUGGAGGCUCGAGACCUUUGACCUUGAAGUGCGAUAAUGCACUCUGCCUGUCUGCCUUCCACUGAAUAUCAACUUUUUAACUAGAAUGUAGAAGAUGGAAGAGGACCGUAAUAAACUGGUAUCAAUAUCUAUGAAGAGUAAGGUAAUGUAUAAACUGACAUUGUAAUCGAGUGUUUUUUUGUAUCUUAUAUCUUGUUAUAAUUGUAAGAAAAUUGAUUAUUCUGAUUCCACAAUAAAAUUGAAUCAUAAGAAUUUUCUCAAUCAAAUGAAUCAACAAUAAACAAGAUUGUCUUAGUUCAUUAUCCUAUGUGUGUGUGUGUGUGAACAAAACUUGUACAGCUGCAAAACGUAUAGAUCCUGAUCUGAAUUCACAUACAGCAGUUAUAGAAAUCAAUAAAAAUAAAUAAAUCAUGGUAAAUGCAGAAUAUCAACCAAAAAGAAUUGAAAAAUUAAGAGAGACCUUAUUAUCGACAAAAAUGAGGAGAAACUCGCAUCUUUGUGGCUCUUAAAGCUUAAAAAAAUGUCAUUUGCUCAGUUUAUUUGCCAUGAUUUUUGUGAUAGAUAAGGUGGACCCUCCGUUUGCAGUGCUGUCAUAGGAGCCACGGGUGAGCUCACAAGAGGGAAGAUUUUUGCGGCUAUAUUCGCUCUCUACUACAGUGGCUUCCUUUUUCAUGUACACCUUUUCUUUCAUUCCUGUCUUUAACAAGCUUUGUUCUUUUCCCUUGUAAUGGAUAGUCUAAAAUUCAGUUAUGUACUGGUUGCAGACCAUCAUAAUCAUUACUUGCCAUGACUUGGGAUCCCCCUUUCAGUUAUUUGAUGUCAUAGUAUUGGAAGACAUAAUCAGCAUCUUCAUUACUUCUGCAUUUCUUAUAUGGACUAUUGUUGUUCCUGUUUGCUAUGCUAAUUCAAGAAGAAAAUAUACUUGUUAUUCUACUAAGUAUGGAACCUUGGUUGAGGAAUGGUGCUUUACAUCCUAUAUGGUUGCGGCAGCCAUAUACUUAACAAGUAAUGCAGUUAAUGUUGUGUUAUAUCUCGUCCCUGCCUUCUCCAAGUAUAUGGAGGUCUCUAAUAACAAGAUAUGCAAAGUUUUAUCUUGGUGGACUCAGGUACCAAGAUUAGACUAUUGCUUUAACUUGUUGAUUACUUGAACAUGUGCUAUUAUUGUUCUAUGCCAAUUCCAAGGCAUAAUCUUAGUGAUAUAACUAUGCUUUCUGUUUUAUCCUGUGGGAUUGGAUCUGUUUGAUGUUUUUCAUUUUCCAUAAAUGUUUGAUACAUUGAUUUAUAUUUGUAUGUAAUAUUCAUUCCUGGUUUUAAAUGUUUGAAUCUGAGUGUUACAUUUAUUUAUCAUGUACACCCUCCAAAUGAGAAAUUUAGAUUCUCAAACAUAUUAUUGCUGAUGUUUUGACUAUAUUUUUUUUGUCAAUUUAGAUGUCACUGCAGUUUGCCUUUUAUAUCAAUUAAUUUUCAGUUUCUUUGUCUUGAGUUAGGUUCAUGAGUAUGCGAUACUUCUAAAUCUGGGCUCCCUUCAAGCAAUAUCAAUGAAAGAUUGUGUACUUAUAUUUGAAUAUAAUCGGUAAUGUCUUAAUUCCAAAUUAAUACAUUAUGGUUACAUCACUGUCAUCAUUUCAUGGAUAAAGUUAUUUGAGUGGACUAAAGCCAAACUUCUGCCUCUGUUGAUAUUUAUUAGUAAAGGAGGGCAAGCUUUUCUGGAGUCAUUGUUGCCCAGGUUGAACCCCAAGAACAGUAACGGAGGGCUAUCAAUGCCAUUUGAACUCGAGGUUUGUCUGAAAUUUACUACUUUCAUUUAACAUACUUACAUACAUAGUACUGAUUACUGAAUAGGAUAAGGAAAUACACCAAAACUGAACGGUUGGAGAAAUUUUAGAAUUAUAGCUCAGUAGAUCUUUAUGGCCAUAGUUUUUGAAAAGGUAAAAAUAAGUUUCGUACUAUUGUGGAUGUUUGUGUACACAAAGUAUACAGAUAGGAAAACCUAACCAUUUCUUGGCUCUUCAGCAGUGAGUGUCUCUCCUAAGAGUUUUCUUUUGAUUUCUUUUAUGUUACUGAGGCAUCCAUUUGUGGUGACACUAUAAACAAGCGGCUGUGAACUGCCAUCCAAUAAACUAUUAGACAAAUCACAUACAUGGAGCCUUUCCCACUAAACUCUAAACAAUUUACACCCCACUACAAAAUAGAUGGAAAUCCUCUAUUUCAUAUCCUAUAAUCUUCGAGGAUUUCUUAGUUUCCUUUUCAGAGGGAUGUUUAAUAAAUGUAUUCAUAUUUUUCUCAAACAUGUUAAUAUUUUAAGAAUCUGGACCAAUCUCCAUCGACUCAUAUACCAAAUCAUGAUUAGGUAUAGCUAAAUUGUUGUAACACUUGAGUAUACUUGUUAUUGUUAAGCUGAUGUUUUGACUAUAUUGUUUUUUGUCGAUUUAGAUUUGGCUACAACUUGCUUAUAGUUGGAUGAAGUUUUCUGAAGAGAUAAAGGAGAUUCUUGGCACAAUAGUGAAGCACAAAGUCCUUUUGGUUUCAAAUGAAAAAAUUAGUUUUUUUUUUGUUCAAGUUCAUCAUGAGAAAAACAUGUAUUUUAUUUGCUUAUGUUUAAUUUUUAUUUGACUUGGUAACUUAGCAAGUAUAUGUUAAUUGAUACUUGGAACACUUUUCUAUAUACAUGCAAUAUAUAUUAUUAGCCUAUUCUCCCUAUAUUAAAUAAAUUGAAUUUAAAUUUUUAAAUAUUAUUAGUGUGUGCUAUAUAUCCUUCAAUUGUCAUUAACAAAGGUAAAAAAUAUAUUGCUUUAGAUAUAAAAAAAGAGAAUCUAAGAAAAACUCAAUAAAGUGUUGCUUUAGGUAUUAGAAAAAGACAACUGCAAAUAAACUUAGAUAAGUGUUGCUUUAGGUCUAUGAAAAAGGCAACUUAAAAAAAUUUGGAUAAGUGUUGCUUUAUGUAUACGAAGAAGGCAAUUUAAAAAACCUGGACAAGUGUUGCUUUAAGUAUAUGAAAAGGCAACAUAAAAAAACCUGGACAAGUGUUGCUUUAUGUAUUAGAAAAUACAACUUGUAAAAUGUGUUGCCAUAAAAUUUUGUCUAAAGCGUUGUGUUUGGGUCCUCUAAGGCAACUCUUAUGAGGAGUUGCUUUUUUUUUGUAGAAAAGGCAACGCUUUUUGAAGGUUGCCAUAAAAAGGGUUCCCUAUGAUACACAAAAGCGUUGUCUUAGACCAAAGGUAACGGCCGUAUAGCCAACCCCCCAAAAAGCAUUGCGUUUUGUCGGAAAGUGUUGCUUUUGAUCAAAGACAACACUUUUCCUUAUUAUAGGCAACUUUUUAAAGGGUUGCCUCAGCCCGAAUUUGUUGUAGUGAACUCGCCUAAUCGGAGAGGGAUUCAAAUUGCAUGGUGGCCAAAUCAUGCAAUUCAAAAGGAUUUAUAAGCUCGAAGGCAAUUCUCAUCACUUGGUGUUCACAAAAGGUAAGCAUGAAGAACUCAAAACCAAGUAGCAAAAUAUGACCUCAAUCAAGGAAUCCAACAAAGAUUAUAAGCAUAGUGAUGUUAAGAUAACAUCCUUUUUAAUACUCAACAUUUAUUGGGAAACAAGAUUAACAAUUCAACACUUAUAAUGAAAAAUAUAAAUUUAAAUAAAAAUUACACUAACUAAUUAACUACUUAAAUGGUUAUAAAUGGUGUUUGGUAGUGUAGGAUGAUGGGUAGGAGAAGAGAAGAGGAGAGAAAAAGGAAAGAAAUGGAAAGAUGAGAAGAAAAAAAGUGUAGUGAAGGAAGGACAUCCACGCGUAUGCGUAUAUCACGCGUGCGCGUGGGUGGUGGUGAAAUGGACGCAACGCGUACGCGUGGCUCACGCGUAUGCGUGCAUGGCAAACCAGAGAGUUGACGCGCACGCGUCCAUCACGCUUACGUGUGGGUUGAUAGUUGUGCCUCAGGCACAACGUUAGCACAGUGCAGGCGUAACUCUCGGGUCCUUGGUUGGGAGGUGGAAAUCUGGUAUCCACGCGUACGCGUGCAUUGCACGUGCGCGUGGAUGGGCGAGAAUGCUUGGGGCACGCGUACGCGUGAUGUGUGCGUACGCGUGGGUUGGUGCCCUGUUUUUCAAAAUUUUGCUAUGUUUUUGCACCAAUCCACGCAUUCCAAACCUCCAAACAGCUACCAAAACACCAUAAAACCUUAUUUAACAUACUAAACUACCAAAUACUCAACAAAGCAAUUAAAACAUGAAAUUAAACCUAUUUUACCAAUAUUUACAAAAGAGAAAAAAUGAAAAGAGUUUACCAUGGUGGGGUGUCUCCCACCUAGCACUUUUGUUUAUUGUCCUUAAGUUGGACUUAUGGGGAGCUCCUCUCAAGGUGGCUUGUGCUUGAAUUCUUCUUGGAACUCCCACCAAUGCUUGGUUCUCCUACCCCAAGAUUUCUCAUGGAUUGGACCAAGUCUUGAUGGGGUUCUUCACAAGCUUGGGGCUCCCAAAGUCGAUCCUCUUCUUGUAGUCCGGGAUCCCACACUUUAUUUUCACACCUGUCUUGAAGUUGAUCAUUAUUAAUCCAUCCGGGCGGCAAGUAAGGUGAAUUCUCAAUAAAGUGACUAACAAUCCUCCUAGACCCAUCUAGUUGAGCACUACUCCAACCUUUAUAUUUCAUGUUUGAUGUGUCAACCCUAAUGAGCCUUGAUUUGCAACGCCAACCACAAAACAUUUUUCGCUUACGCUUCAUCCCAUAAAGUUUCCUAAGUUGGCCAUCCGUUUCAAGCAAGCCAUAUUUUAGUGGGGUAAUAAAGCUAAUAGAAAUGAAUUUCACCCACUCAAAUGAAGGGGUAGAUGGCAACCUAGGCAAAGACGCUUCCAAGGGUCUUGACAAAGCAUAUCCAACUCCCGUCCUUCUCUUUCUAAGGACUUUCACCUCUUCACAAGUUUUCUCAAAUGUAAUCCUUUGUUCAACAAUUUUAUCUAAGCCUUUUCCCUUACUCAAGUCAUAAUUGGGAGGGUGAGAAAAAUUUACCUCCACAACGCUUUCAAAUCCAACGGGAGAAGAUUCUUCAUGCUCAAAGGAUUUUUCACCACUAAGACUUUAUGCUUGAUCUUCAUCAGCAAGGGAACUCAAUUCUUGCUCUAUCCCAUCCAAUUCUUCAUAUGGAAUAUGCCUUGGAGGUUGUGCACAUUCUUCCUUAGCAUCAAAUUCAAUCUUCUUGGAGGGAUUUUCAUCAAUUCUAGAUUCCCAUGGAGGUUCCGCAUCUCCUAAGUCUUCAACCACUUCUUCCUUGUCUUCAACAAUUGUAGCUUCCUCCAAUUUUUCCAAUACAAAGUGACUUCCCUCAUUUCUCACCGGAGUAUCCAACCUCUCCCUCUUGCUAUGCUCUUCAUUGGAUUCUUCACAUGUAGCCAUGGGAGUACUUUGGGUUCCCAAGCAUUGGGAUGCUAACCGGUUUACCACUUCGUCCAAGGCGGCCGUGAAUUAUUGUACAUCCCUUUUCAUCUCCUCUUGCCCUUGAAGAAGAACACCAAAGAUGUCAUCCAUUGGAAGUUGGGGUGGAUAAGAGGGCUCAUUGUCUUGGGGGAAGGGUUCAUAGUAUGAAGGUGGUUCAUCAUAGUAAGGAUGUGGUGGUUCUAUGUUCUCCAAUUGUUCUACUUGUUUCCCAACACACUCCAAUCCAUUGUUCUCAAGUUGAGAUUCUACAACCCCCUUCAAACUACUGGUACGCGAAAUCGUGAUUACACUUUAGUUAUGUAGAAUUCAUCGCUCUUUCUUUCCCUGGCAAUGGCUCCAAAAACAUGGUGCCAAUACCCUGGUUCACAAUUCCGUGUAACUGACCAGCAAGUGCACUGGGUCGUCCAAGUAAUACCUUACGUGAGUAAGGGUCGAAUCCCACGGAGAUUGUUGGUAUGAAGCAAGCUAUGGUCACCUUGUAAAUCUCAGUCAGGCGGAUAUAAAAUGGUUGUGGAGUUUUCGAAAUUAAAUAAUAAAAGAAGGAUAGAAAUACUUAUGUAAAUCCUUGGUGAGAAUUUCAGAUAAGCGUAUGGAGAUGCAUUCGUUCCUCUGAACCUCUGCUUUCCUGCUGUCUUCAUCCAAUCAGUCUUACUCCUUUCUAUGGAUUAAGUAAUUGAUGCAUAAAUCCACUUCCGGGGCCCACUUGGUGUGUGCUUGGGCUGAGCUUGAGUGUUGCACGUGUAGAGGUCCUUCUUGGAGUUGAACGCCAGCUUUUGUGCCAGUUUGGGCGUUCAACUCUGGUUUUGGAUCCUUUUCUGGCGCUGGACGCCAGAAUUGGGCAGAGAGCUGGCGUUGAACGCCAGUUUGCAUCAUGUAAACUUGGCCAAAGUAUGGACCAUUAUAUAUUUCUGGAAAGCCCUGGAUGUCUACUUUCCAACGAAAUUGGAAGCGCGCCAUUUUGAGUUCUGUAGCUCUAGAAAAUCCAUUUUGAGUGCAGGGAGGUCAGAAUCCAACAGCAUCAGCAGCCCUUCUUCAACCUCUGAAUCUGAUUUUUGCUCAAGUCCCUCAAUUUCAGCCAGAAAAUACCUGAAAUCACAGAAAAACACACAAACUCAUAGUAAAGUCCAGAAAUGUAAAUUUAACAUAAGAACUAAUGAAAACAUCCCUAAAAGUAACCAGAUUCUACUAAAAACAUACUAAAAACAAUGCCAAAAAGCGUAUAAAUUAUCCGCUCAUCACAACACCAAACUUAAAUUGUUGCUUGUCCCCAAGCAACUGAAAAUCAAAUAGGAUAAAAAGAAGAGAAUAUACUAUAAAUUCCAAACUAUCAAUGAAACAUAGCUCCAAUCAAAUGAGCAGGACUUAUAGCUUUUUGCAUCUUGAAUAGUUUUGGCAUCUCACUUUAUCCAUUGAGGUUCAGAAUGAUUGGCUUCUAUAGGAACUCAGAGUUCAGAUAGUGUUAUUGAUUCUCCUAGUUCAGUAUGAUGAUUCUUGAACACAGCUAUUUUAUGAGUCUUGGCCGUGGUCCUAAGCACUUUGUUUUCCAGUAUCACCACCGGAUACAUAAAUGCCACAGACACAUAAUUGGGUGAACCUUUUCAGAUUGUGACUCAGCUUUGCUAAAGUUCCCAAUUAGAGGUGUCCAGGGUUCUUAAGCACACUCUUUUUUUGCUUUGGACCUUGACUUUAACCGCUCAGUCUCAAGUUUUCACUUGACACCUACACGCCACAAGCACAUGGUUAGGGACAGCUUGGUUUAGCCGCUUAGACCAGGAUUUUAUUCCUUUAGGCCCUCCUAUCCACUGAUGCUCAAAGCCUUGGGAUCCUUUUUAUUUGCCCUUGCCUUUUGGUUUUAAGGGUUAUUGGCUUUUUGCUCUUGCCUCUUAGUUUUAAGAGCUUUGGCUUUUUCUGCUUGCUUUUUCUCUUUUUCUUUCUUUUUUUUUUCGCCUAUUUUUUUUCUUUUUUUUUUUCUGCAAGCUUUGUUCUUUGCUGCUUUUUCUUACUUCAAAAAUCAUUUUUAUGAUUUUUCAGAUUAUCAAAUAACAUGUCUCCUAGUCAUCAUUCUUUCAAGAGCCAACAUAUUUAACAUUCUUAAACAACAAUUUCAAAAGACAUAUGCACUGUUCAAUCAUACAUUCAGAAAACAAGAAGCAUUAUCACCACAUCAAUAUAAUUAUGCUAAGUUCAAGGAUAAAUUCGAAACUCAUGUACUUCUUGUUCUUUUGAAUUAAAACAUUUUUCAUUUAAGAGAGGUGAUGGAUUCAUAGGACAUUCAUAACUUUAAGACAUAGUUACUAACUACUAAUGAUCAUGUAAUGAAGACACAAAUAUAGAUAAGCACAUAACAUAAGAAAAUGAAAAACAGAGAAAGUAAGAACAAGGAAUGAGUCCACCUUAGUGAUGGUGGCGUUUCCUUCUUGAGGAACCAAUGAUGUUCUUGAGCUCUUUUAUGUCUCUUCCUUGUCUUUGUUGCUCCUCCCUCAUUGCUUUUUGAUCUUCUCUAAUUUCAUGAAGGAUGAUGGAGUGCUCUUGAUGUUCCACCCUUAAUUGUCCCAUGUUGGAACUUAAUUCUUCUAGGGAGGUGUUGAUGUUCUCCCAAAAAUUUUGUGGAGUAAAAUGCAUUUGAGGCAUCUCCGGGAUCUCAUGGUGAUGAGCUUCAUACGCCUCUUGAGUUUGAAAGGGACCUCAGGGAUCACCUUUUUUUUUGCCACAACAUCAUAGAAGUGGUCUUGAUGGGCUUUGGAGAUGAACCUUUCCAUCUCCCAUGACUCGGAGGUGGAAGCUUUUGUCUUCCCUUUUCCUUUUCUAGAGGAUUCUCCGGUCAUAGGUGCCAUCAAUGGUAAUGGAAAAACAAAAAGUUUAUGCUUUUACCACACCAAACUUAGAAUAUUGCUCGCCCUCGAGCAAUAAAAGAAAGAAUAGAGGAAGAAGAAGAAGAUAUGGAGGAAAGGGGUAAGGUGUUGUGUUUCGGCCAAGAAGGGUAUAUGAGGGUUGUGUUGUGUGAAAAUGAAGAAGAAUUGAGGGAUUUAUAUAGGGCAUGGGGAGUUAAGUUUUGGCCAUAUAGGGUGGGUUUGGGUGGGAAAUUGAUUUUGAAUUUUGAAGGUGGGUGGAGUUUAUGAGGUAGGUUUAUGGGGAAGAGUGGAUGAUUGAGAAGAGAGAAGAGAGUGAGUGGAGGUAGGUGGGGAUCCUGUGGGGUCCACAGAUCCUGAGAUGAUCCUGUGGGGUCCACAGAUCCUUAGGUGUUCAAGGAUUUACAACCUUGCACCAAAUUGGGCAUGUAAAAUGCCUUUGCACACAACUCUGGGCGUUCAGCGCCAGGAUGGUGCCCAUUUUGGGCGUUCAACGCCCAUUUGCUGCCAUUUCUGGCGUUGAACGCCAGAACCAUGCUUGUUCUGGGCGUUCAGCGCCCAGAUGCUGCCCAUUUUGGGCGUUCAGUGCCAGAACCAUGCUCUGUUCUGGCGUUGAACGCCAGGCAGAUGUUCCUCCAGGGUGUGAUUUUUCUUCUGCUGUUUUUGAUUCCGUUUUUAAAUUUUUUGUUUAUUUUGUGACUCCACAUGAUCAUGAACCUAUAAAGACAUAUAACUAAGAAAAAUAUAGUUAGAUAAAUAAAAAUUGGGUUGCCUCCCAACAAGCGCUUCUUUAAUGUCAGUAGCUUGACAGUGGGCUCUCAUGGAGCCUCACAGAUGUUCAGAGCAUUGUUGAGACUCUCCAACACCAAACUUAGAGUUUGACUGUGGGGGCUUUGUUUGACUCUGCUUUGAAAGAAGCUUUUUCUGCUUCCUCUCCAUGGAUGCAUAGAGAGAUCCUUGAGUUGUAAACACAAGGUUGUCCUCAUUCAGUUGAAGGAUUAAUUCUCCUCUGUCCACAUCAAUCACAGCUCUUGCUAUGGCUAGGAAAGGUCUUCCUAGGAUGAUGGAGUCAUCCUCUUCCUUUCCAGUAUCCAGGACUAUGAAAUCAGCAGGGAUGUAAAGNNNNNNNNNNNNNNNNNNNNNNNNNNNNNNNNNNNNNNNNNNNNNNNNNNGUUUGUAUCUUUCCCAAGCUUCAUAGAGGGAUUCACCUUCUUUCUGUCUGAAGGUUUGAACAUCCGCUCUAAGCUUGCUCAGCUUUUGAGGAGGAAAGAACUUAGCUAAGAAAGCCGUGAUCAGCUUAUCCCAAGAGUUCAGGCUGUCUUUGGGUUGAGAGUCCAACCAUAUUCUAGCUCUGUCUCUUACAGCAAAAGGGAAAAGCAUGAGCCUGUAGACUUCAGGAUCUACUCUAUUAGUCUUAACAGUAUCACAGAUCUGCAAGAAUUCAUUUAAGAACUGAAAAGGAUCUUCAUAUGGAAGUCCAUGAAACUUGCAGUUCUGCUGCAUCAGAGAAACUAGUUGAGGUUUCAGCUCAAAAUUGUUUGCUCCAAUGGCAGGAAUGGAGAUGCUUCUUCCAUGUAAUUUGGAAUUAGGUGCAGUAAAGUCACCAAGCAUCCUCCUUGCAUUAUUAUUAUUUUUGGCUGCCAUCUCCUCUUCCUGUUCGAAAAUUUCUGACAGGUGCUUGCUGGUUUGUUGUAAUUUAGCUUCUCUUAAUUUUCUCUUCAGGGUCCUUUCAGGUUCCGGAUCUGCUUCAACAAGAAUAUUCUUGUCCUUGCUCCUACUCAUAUGACAAAGAAGAGGGCACAGAAAAAUAAUAAUAAUAGAGAUCCUUUAUACCACAGUAUAGGGAUCCCUUUGUGGGUGGAAGAAAAGAGGGAGACAAAGAAUGUAAUGUAAUGGAAGAAACACAACUGUGAGGAGAGCAGAGAUGUGAGAUGAGAUGUUAGUAGAUGAAUAAAUAAAUAGAAUAAGAUGGGAGAGGGAGAAUUUUCGAAAAUAAUUUUUGAAAAAGGGUUAGUGAUUUUCGAAAAUGGUUUUUGAAAAAGGUUAGUAAUUUUUGAAAAUAAUAUUUUAAAAAUAAAAAUAAUCAGUUAAUUAAAAAGAAAUUUUGAAAAAGAGGGAAGAUAUUUUCGAAAAUGAGAGAGAGAUAGUUAGUUAGGUAGUUUUGAAAAAGUUAAGAAACAAACAAAAAGUUAGUUAGUUAGUUGAAACAAAUUUUGAAAAUCAAUUUUGAAAAGAUAAGAAGUUAGGAAGUUAGAAAAGAUAUUUUGAAAUCAAUUUUUUGAAAAAGGUAAGAUAAGAGGAUAUUUUUGAAAAGAUAUGAUAGAAAUUAGUUUUUUGAAAAAGAUUUGAUUUUUAAAAUCACAAUUAAUGACUUGAUUCACAAGAAAUUACAAGAUAUGAUUCUAGAACUUAAAGUUUGAAUCUUUCUUAACAAGCAAGUAACAAACUUGAAAUUUUUGAAUCAAAACAUUAAUUGUUAUUGUUAUUUUCGAAAAUUUGUGAUAAAAAUAAGAAAAAGAUUUUUGAAAAAUAUUUUUGGAAUUUUCGAAAAUAACUAUGAAAUUUGAAAAAGAUUUGAUUUUUGAAAAAGAUUUUGAAAAAGAUAAGAUUUUCAAAUUGAAAAUUUGAUUUGACUUCAUAAGAAACAACUUGAUUUUAAAAAUUUUUUUGAAAAAGUCAAUCCAAAUUUUCGAAUUUGAUGGGAGAAAAAGGGAAAGAUAUUUUUUUUUUUUUGAUUUUUUUGAAUUUUUUUAAUGAUGAGAGAGAAAAACAAGAAAAAUGAUGCAAUGCAUGAAAUUUUUAGAUUAAAACAAUGAAUGCAUGCAAGAAUGCUAUGAAUGUCAAGAUGAACACCAAGAACACUUUGAAUGUCAAGAUGAACACCAAGAACACAUUUUUGAAAAAAAAAAAUUUUAAUGCAAAGAAAACAUGCAAGACACCAAACUUAGAAUUCUUUAAUGCUUAGACACUAAGAAUUCAAAAAUGCAUAUGAAAAAUAAGAAAAGACACAAAACAUGCAAAUGCAAAGAUCAAACAAGAAGACUUACCAAGAACAUCUUGAAGAUCAUGAAGAACACUAUGAAUGCAUGAAAUUUUCGAAAAACUGCAAGAUGCACAUGCAAUUGACACCAAACUUAUAACAUGACUCAAGACUCAAACAAUAAACAUGAAAAUAUUUUUGAUUUUUAUGAUUUUAUAAUUUUUUGUAUUUUUUUUUUCGAAAAUUAUUUGAAAAACAAAAAUAAGGAUUCCAAAAUUUUUAAUAUGAAUUCCAGGAAUCUUAUGCUCUAAAGCUCCAAUCAAAGGGUCAGGCAUGGCUUAAUAGCCAGCCAAGCUUUAGUAUGUAACUCAGACAUGACAUGCCUGACAUACCCUAUCCAGAAGGAUUGGGCAUGGCUCCACUGAGGUGAUUAGUUGAAGGCCAAUCCCAAAGCAGUUUGGGUAUGGCUUUACAGCCAGAUAGGCUUCAACAUGCUUCAUGAAACACUAGAAUUCAUUCUUAAAAAUUUUGAAGCCAUAGAAUAAUUUAUUUUUGAAAACAUUAUUUUUAGUUUUUUUUUUUUUUUUGAAAACAGGUGAGAAAAUUUUGAAAGAUUUUUGAAAAAUUUUUGAAAAGAAAACAAAAAGAAAAUUACCUAAUCUGAGCAACAAGAUGAACCGUCAGUUGUCCAAACUCGAACAAUCCCCGGCAACGGCGCCAAAAACUUGGUACGCGGAAUCGUGAUUACACUUUAGUCAUGUAGAAUUCAUCACUCUUUCUUUCCCUGGCAAUGGCUCCAAAAACAUGGUGCCAAUACCCUGGUUCACAAUUCCGUGUAACUGACCAGCAAGUGCACUGGGUCGUCCAAGUAAUACCUUGCGUGAGUAAGGGUCGAAUCCCACGGAGAUUGUUGGUAUGAAGCAAGCUAUGGUCACCUUGUAAAUCUCAGUCAGGCGGAUAUAAAAUGGUUGUGGAGUUUUCGAAAUUAAAUAAUAAAAGAAGGAUAGAAAUACUUAUGUAAAUCCUUGGUGAGAAUUUCAGAUAAGCGUAUGGAGAUGCAUUCGUUCCUCUGAACCUCUGCUUUCCUGCUGUCUUCAUCCAAUCAGUCUUACUCCUUUCUAUGGCUGGCUUUAUGUAAUGCAUCACCAUUGUCAAUGGCUACUUUCGGUCUUCUCUCGGGAAAAUGAUCCAAAUGCCCUGUCACGGCAUGGCUAAUCGUCUGGAGGCAUCACCCUUGUCAACGGUUUACAUCAUAUCCUCUCAGUGAAAAUGGUCAACGCACCCUGUCACGGUACGGCUAUUCAUCUGUCAGUUCUCAAUCAUGCUGGAAUAGGAUUUACUAUCCUUUUGCGUUCUGUCACUACGCCCAGCAAUCGCAAGUUUGAAGAAUGAUUCCAAAGAUGUCUAAUACAAUAGUAAAAGGUCCUAUUUAUAAUAAACUAGCUACUAGGGUUUACAGAAGUAAGUAAUUGAUGCAUAAAUCCACUUCCGGGGCCCACUUUGUGUGUGCUUGGGCUGAGCUUGAGUGUUGCACGUGUAGAGGUCCUUCUUGGAGUUGAACGCCAGCUUUUGUGCUAGUUUGGGCGUUCAACUCUGGUUUUGGAUCCUUUUCUGGCGCUGGACGCCAGAAUUGGGCAGAGAGCUGGCGUUGAACGCCAGUUUGCGUCCUCUAAACUUGGUCAAAGUAUGGACUAUUAUAUAUUUCUGGAAAGCCCUAGAUGUCUACUUUCCAACGCAUCUGGAAGCGCGCCAUUUUGAGUUCUGUAGCUCUAGAAAAUCCAUUUUGAGUGCAGGGAGGUCAGAAUCCAACAGCAUCAGCAGUCCUUCUUCAACCUUUGAAUCUGAUUUUUGCUCAAGUCCCUCAAUUUCAGCCAAAAAAUACCUGAAAUCACAGAAAAAUACACAAACUCAUAGUAAAUUCCAGAAAUGUAAAUUUAACAUAAAAACUAAUGAAAACAUCCCUAAAAGUAACCAGAUUCUACUAAAAACAUACUAAAAACAAUGCCAAAAAGCGUAUAAAUUAUCUGCUCAUCAACUACCCCUUCGGUUGCUCUUCCACAAUCAUCCAUGGACAUACGGUAUGAGUCCCAUGCAUCUAACUUUUGACGGACGGUUGCUUGAAGCCUAUCCAUGGUUUCCUUGAGAGAUGAACAUUGAUAUUCUUUCAUGGAGGGUUGUGGUGGAAGAUAGAAUUUAUCUUGAGGUUGAAAAUUCGUGUACAUUGGAGGUGGCUCAUCUUGGUCAUAGUAUGGAAGAGGUGGUUCUUGGAAGUAUUGAGGUUGGAAUGGUGGUGGCUCUAUAUGUGGCUCAUAUGGCUCAAAAAUUGGUUGGUAUGGUGUGUACGGAGUAGGGUCAUACGAAGGUGGUUGGUGAAAAGGGGCUUGUGAGUAUGGUUGAGGGUUAUGUUGAGGGUAUGGCUUAUAAGCAUAUGGCGGUGGUUCUUGAAAGUCACAAGGAGAUUAACCAUAGCCAUUUGAUUAGUAUGCAUCAUAGAAUGGCUCUUGUUCAUAGUGUAUUGGUGGGGGUUGUUGCCAUGAAGAUUGAUCAUAUACAUAAGGUUCCUGCCACCUUUGAUUGUUCCAUCCUUGAUGCACAUCUUCAUUGAAGCUUCCAUUUCCUACAACAUAGUUAGAACCAAAAUCAUAGCCAAAGUGAGAAUUCAUAAUGAAAAGAGAAAAUAAGAAACAAAAGCUAAUAAGAAAUAAUGAAACAAAGUCCUAAAACUAGCAAAAACUAACAAGAAAUCCAAAAAUCAAGCUAUUCACAAUAUUCACAUAUAUACAAUAACCAAUAACAUAACACCAUUGCAAUUCCCCGGCAACGGCGCUAUUUUGAUGAGUGGAUUUUUGACGGUUUAGAAUUUCACAAAUGAAAUCUCGUUGCAAGUAUAGUUUCUAAACCAACAAAUAAUCCUUUCAUACAAAAGAUUGUUUGUCACAGGUACAAACCCCUAAUUUUAUAAACUGGGGUAUUUAGACCUCGGGUCGUUCUCCCUAGGAAUUGCAAUAAAGUAUUCUUAUUAUUGGCUAUGAAGUAUGUUUGGGGUUUUUGAGAUAAUAGACAAGUAUAAAUGGCAAAGGAAAUAAACUAACAACUAACAAAGCUCUUGGCAAGGUAUGAGAAUUGGAAGUCCUAUCCUAGUUAUCCUUCUCAAUUGUGACCACAAUUGUCCAUUGCUCCCACUUAGUUAAGUGGAUUCCACAAGUCCUAUCCUAAUCAUAAUGAAAGACUAGCUUUGGUGGCAUUCAAGUCAAUUAGCAACUUCUAAUUAUCAAUCAACAAAGGAAUUAGACAACUCAAGAGUCACUAAUUACUCUACCUAGGCCAAGAGGGGAAAAAGCUAUACUAAAAUCCAACCAAGCAUUUCAUCAAACACAUGGAAGGCAUAAAAGAAAAGUAAAAUGAAUUAAGCAAUUCAACAAUAAAGGAACAUGAAUCAUAAAUUGCAUUAAAAGAGAAAUAGAAGAAACAAAGUGCAUCAACAUAAAAGUAGAGAAUUACAAGAAUUAAAUGCUAAACUAGAGAGAGGAGAUGUAGAAGAAGAAGAAUUACAAAAGGAAAAGUAAAUCUAAGCAUGAAAUUAACCUAGAUCUAAGAAAUUCUAAUCUAGAUCUAACCUAAUCCUAAUUCUAGAGAGAAGAGAGAAGCGAAACUAACUUUCCCUCCAAAACUAAACUAAAAACGAAACUAGUGUGUCUAGACUUAAUGUGUGAUCCCUCUUCAUUCUAUGGGUUAAAUAGUAUCAAAAAUGAGUUGGAUUUAGGCCUGAGAAGCCCAGAAAUCGCCCCCAGCGGAUUGCCUUUAAGUGAGUCACGUGCGAGCACCGACGCGUACGCGUACGUCACACGUGCGCGUCGCUUGACAAAUUACUAUCCACGCGUACGCCUCACGUACGCGUACGCGUCGCCAUGCGACCUUACAAUCCACACGUGCGCGUCUGAUGCGCGUGCGCGUUGUUGAUCUCAUCCCAAAUCCUUGCUUUUCCAUGAUUUCUCCACUUUUCAUGCUUUUCUCUACAUCCCUUUGAUCCAUCCCUAGCCUUAUCAACCUGAAAUCACUAACAAACAUAUCAAGGCAUCUAGUGGAAUCAAAGAUGAGUCAAAAUUGGCAAUUAAGGGCCUAAAAAGUAUGUUUUCACACUCAAGUACAAAUUAGGAGACAAUCACAAAACCAUGCUAUUUCAUUGAAUAAAUGUGGGUAAAAGGUCAUAAAAUCCCCUAAAAUCACUAUAAGAUAAACCCUAAAAAUGGGGUUUAUCAACCCUCAGGCAGAAUUAAUUGUUUAUCUUUAAGCAACACAUUGAAAAUCUGAUAAGAUUUCGAAAUAUUAAAACUAUAUUUUUUCCCACUCUUUAGUUUUGAAUCAUUCGACUUUUCAUUACUAGGGAGCUUUUUAAGUAAGGAGCAAACAUAUGGAGGACCCUUCUUAAGUUCAACCAAAUCAACCUCUGCUUCGAGAUCGAAUUCCUCCUCUGAGGACUCCAUGGUCACAUAAGCAACCUUCUCCUUUCGAGUAAAAGGUUUACUUUUUAACUUCUGUUCAUUUCUAUAUUUCACCUUUUCUUUUUUCAUAAGUUUGACUUGACGAACCCUUUCAGCCAAAUGGGCUAAGUCAGGGAUAUGCACAUUAAGUAGCUUUCGACACAUAUAAAAUCCUAACUCCAUAACUGCUAUUUUUACCACUUCACUUUCGGGUAAUGACACGUAACAUCUACUUCUAGUAUUUUUGAAACGUAUCAUAUCGUCAUCAAUGGUUUCACCAUCUUCCCGUUUCAAAGCAACUAGAUCAGUAACUGCUACAUUCAAUUUUCCUUGGUAAAACUGAGCAUGAAAAGUAGUUUCCAACUGAUUCCAUGUUGUUAUCAAAUUUGGUCUAUGAUUUGAAAACCAAGUAAACAUAUUCUUCAUUAACGAAGAAGGAAAAAACUUCAUUUUCAAAUUCUCAUCAUUAACUAAAUUCCCAAUCUCGACCAAAUAUUGAGCGACAUGUUCAGUGGUUGACUCUCCAAUUUUCCCUGCAAAUUUUGUGAUUAUCUUUGAAUUUUUUACCCCUCUUGGCACUUCAGCCAUUUGAACAACUUGAGGGAAAGCAGACACAAAAUGAGGUCGGUUCAUAAAACCAACUCGAUUGAGCACUUCCUCUAGAAUCCUUGUGACUUGAUAACGUUCACCACCAUGAUUAGCACGUAAUCGGGCUAGAACAUCAUCUGCAUUUUGACCACGGGAAAUUAUCUGAGGAUUUUCUCUAUUUAAAACAUUGUUUUCAUUUUGAAAUAUAUUUUCAAAUCCUUCAUUAUUCCCCAUGGUCUCAUGCCUUUCACCUUCAUCAUAAUCAACGAUUCGAGCAAUCCGUUCGACUUGUCUAGCAAGACGUUCGAAUUUCGAUUCGUGAUCAGUCAUCAUAAAAUUUAGAAUUGUAGUCAUUUGUUGAGUCAAUAAGUUGACUAAAUUAUGAUGACUUUCCUCUACAUAUUGUUGAAAUACCGAAAUGGAAUUAGAAGUAUUCGAUGUAGAGCCCACAUUAUAAUCACGAGAGAACUCAGAAUGUUGUUGUGAGUUUUGAGAAUUAUUUACUCCACUUACACUCCCAAAGCGAACAGGAGGAACAAAACCAUUCACUGGUGGAGUAUAACCAGGAGGAAGGCCAUAAGGAGGCCGUCUAGUGGUUAAUGGAGGUUGGACUGGUGGUAAAUUACCACGUGGAUGAAUAUUACGUCCAACACUUCCAGUUUAAACACUAGUAACCACUAUGCUUUCAUUUACAUCCAAAACUUUCCGAAUGUGAAGUAACGUCCGAAGAUUGCAUAGUUACUGGUAUACUGUCAUUGGUGGACAACCACCAUUCACAUUUAACACUUCAUCAGCCAUGUGAAGGAUCCUUCCACUUCUCAAUUGCAUACACCAAAUGACACCAAAAAAUUAAUCUUUUGACACACUUCAGUUUAAAACUGUCCCACUGGGCGUGCCAAUUUGUUUUGUCAAUUUUAAACAAAUCAAUGGUGGUUUGAUUCUAAUGGUCUGAUAGCGAAACAUACUCCUCUUUUGCGGGUACCAGUUCUAUAAGUGCAUCAAAUGUGCUCGAAUUAGACGAGUAUUAAAAUAAGAAAUAAGUUCGAAAAGUGCAAGAAGGAUAAAAGAAGUGUAAAAGAAAAAGGUUUGAAAAAUAAACUUGACUGAAAUCGAAAUGACUUGUGCCGAAUUAUAAAGAAAACGAUUAAAAUGCCUUCGAUUUGAUCAAAGGGCUUUUGACAGAAAACUUAAUGGUACUGAAAUGUAAAUUGGGCAAAUAAGUAAGGAAAACUUUGAAUGUAAAUCUGACAAUAAAAUUAAAGAAUGCUUUGAAGAUAAAUCUGACAAGAAAAAGUAAAGUUUGCAGGAAUUGUAAAUGGAAAAUUAGAGACAAUGGAAGGAACCAUACAAAAAUCAAACUCGAAUGUAGACUCAGAAAUUUUCUGGGGAUGUGAGUAUGCUUGAGUGUAUUUCUGAAGAAAAGUUCCAACCCUUAUUUCCUAAAACUUACUAAUAUUUAUAACCCAUAUCUGUAACCGACCAUUAAUUACACGACGCUGCCUUGUAUGCAAAUUCUUAGGUAGCUGUUCCACUUUUUUGCCCAUAGACGUUACCUAUAAACUCCUCAUUUAGAGAAAGCCUUCAACUUCUCUACUUACAUAAUCGCUCGAUUCUCUAUUCGAACAACUAUUCGAUUUCUCAUUCGAAUGCUUGUUCGAUUUAACAAGGUAUCUAAGUCGAAUCUGUGUCAAGUAACUUCUAUUUAAUGCCUGCACGUGCGUCAUUUCGAACUCUACUUCCUUCUUGACCCUUCACUAACGUUUCGAAUCAACUUAAUCUUUCGAAGAUAAUUAUUUCGACUAACACUUUGAUUUUGGAUUUAAACUUAGAGAAUAUUAGUAGAGAGAAUAGUUUAGUAUAUAUGUCUGCAACUUGGUCUACUCCAAGAAUAUGAACAAUAUUAAAUUUAUGUUGAGUGACUAAGUUUCGAACAAAGCGAAUAUUUAUCUCAAAAUGUUCGUAGAAUUGGGUUUGCUGAGAGAUUAACUGCACGAUUUAUCACAAUAGAUUGUUGGAAUUUCAGAGAGGUUAAAAUGCAAUUUGACUAGAAGAUUUUUGAGCCAUCUGAUCUUAGUAGUUAAUCAGUCAGGGCGCAAAAUUCUGCCUCUGCACUAGAGUGGCUGACACGAUGCUGUUUUCUACUUGUCCAAGACACAAUUUUCGAUCCUAAAUAUACAUACGAAAAUAUUUGGUAACUAAAAAAAUUAGUAUAAAACAGUCAUAAUUUAUCUUAUUUAAUAUUUAUUAAUUGUUGCGAUAAUUAAUGAAUGCUAAAUAAAACAAGUUCUGACUGUAUUUUUUAUCUCCCUACAUAAUAUCCAGAAGUUAAGCUACGGUGAUCAAUGUCUCACGCCCAAUCACAUCUGCAAAGGAGAAAAUUCUUAUUAAGUCCGUGCAUGGAUGAAAGAUAAUUCCUUGAUCCGAUCCAAUGUCCCAGCUAGAUAUCGAAAAACACGCUUCAUUGAUUUUCAAUGAGCUAGCAGAGGUGUUUGCAUGAAUUAGCUCAGUUUGUUAACUGAGAAAGCAAUUUCAGGUCUUGGUAGAGUGCAAUAUUACAAUGCAACCAUUAUGGAACGGUAAUGAGUUGGAUUUUCAUAUGCUUCAUAUCCAUGAUUAAAAAGCUUCUCUGAUGUGAUCAUUGAUGUUGGGGCAGGUUUGGCAUUACUCAUUUCUGCUCUCACUAAGAGAUCUUUGAUGUAUUUGCUUUGGGAUAGAUGGUAAGCUCCUAAGAAAAACUUUACUGCUUCAAUAUCCAAGAAGUAGUUGAAUAUUCGUAGAUUUUUUAGAGAGAAAACACUGUUGAGUUUUUGCAUGAGCUGAGCUAUUAGCUUUUGAUCAUUGCCUGUAACCAAAACAUCAUCUACAUACAUAAAAAUAUAUAUAGAAGACAAUGAAUGAUGAACAAAAAGAUAGGGGUUAGAUCGAGUACUCUUAAAACCAAAUUGUGCAAGGAUUGAUGAUAAAGUAAUGUACCAAGCUUGAAGUGCUUGGCAAAGACUGUAUAUAGCUUUAUUUAAUUUGCAUACUUGAGGAUUGUCAUUCACAAAGACUGGUGGUUGUUUAAGGUAAAUAGUUUUGUUUAAUUUUUCAUUCAAAAAUGCAUUGUUAAAAUCAUACUGAUAUAUAGGCCAAUUAGAAAAAAUAGCUAAGGUUAAAAUUACUCUAAUAAAAGCUAUUUUAAUCAGUGGACGGAAGACCUCAUAAAAAUCCACUCCUUCAAUUUGAUGAUUGUAUCUAUGCCACCAAUCUUGCUUUAUAUCUAAGAACAGUGUCAUUAGGAUUCCUUUUGACGAAAAAAUCCAUUUAGAUCCAAUACUAUUUUAUUGUUAUCCCUUUCUAAAUAGAAUUUUUUUCCUACCAUUUUUCUUUUUUUGUUUUAAGAAAAAUUCGCAUAUACGCUAUGAAGAAAGAGUAAUUUUUUCUGCAUUAAUUUAUGAUCGCAAAUAAAUAAUUAAAGAAAAAGAAUAUAUAAUAAAAAAGAUUUAACUAACAUGUAUUUUAAUAGCACAAGUNNNNNNNNNNNNNNNNNNNNNNNNNNNNNNNNNNNNNNNNNNNNNNNNNNNNNNNNNNNNNNNNNNNNNNNNNNNNNNNNNNNNNNNNNNNNNNNNNNNNNNNNNNNNNNNNNNNNNNNNNNNNNNNNNNNNNNNNNNNNNNNNNNNNNNNNNNNNNNNNNNNNNNNNNNNNNNNNNNNNNNNNNNNNNNNNNNNNNNNNNNNNNNNNNNNNNNNNNNNNNNNNNNNNNNNNNNNNNNNNNNNNNNNNNNNNNNNNNNNNNNNNNNNNNNNNNNNNNNNNNNNNNNNNNNNNNNNNNNNNNNNNNNNNNNNNNNNNNNNNNNNNNNNNNNNUAUAUAAUUUACAGAAAUUAUUUUUUUUAUAAAAUUCUUGUUGGUGUAUUGGUCGAAUAUGGGUGAUGGAGGUGUUUUGCUGGAGGGUGGUGUCAGAUACAAUACGCCGGGGACGUGGUGCCUGAAAGUGUGACAGCUCUCCGUCAACACGUCGGAGGCGUAAGCACAGUCAACACGCAGGGGCGUGUUGAUGUGGCGACAAAACAGAGCACAGUCAACACGGAGGGAGCGUGUUGAUGUGGCAAUGAGAUAGAGCACAGUCAACACGCAGGAGGCGUGUUGCUGUGGAACCCGUGAAACAGUGCAGGUUGUUGCUAGGUUCCAAGGCUGCAGCAGCAUCACGCGGGAGGCGUAUUGCAGGCUUGCUUGCAUGCAGGGAACACCCCCAUCCCGGUAACCAGCACCCUAACACUAACAUCCUUUAUAAAUUUAGUCUUCUUCCCCUCUCCUCCAUUGAAUUGAAGCAAACAAAGAGUGUGGUGAAGGUAUUUAACCAAGAGAGCAAAAAAAGAAGUGUUUGAGUGUUAAAAAAGAGUGUAACGUGGUAGUUUGAAAAAAAGUAGGAGUGUGUAGUGUAGUGUGAGUAGUGGUUUAGAAGGAAAAAAAAUUAUUGAAAAAAAAUUUGUAGUAAUUAAAAAAAAAUGGUACAUAAUUAUUCGACGCCUGAGAAGUAUAUUAUCAAUUAUUUGGAGUAUUAAAUUUANNNNNNNNNNNNNNNNNNNNNNNNNNNNNNNNNNNNNNNNNNNNNNNNNNNNNNNNNNNNNNNNNNNNNNNNNNNNNNNNNNNNNNNNNNNNNNNNNNNNNNNNNNNNNNNNNNNNNNNNNNNNNNNNNNNNNNNNNNNNNNNNNNNNNNNNNNNNNNNNNNNNNNNNNNNNNNNNNNNNNNNNNNNNNNNNNNNNNNNNNNNNNNNNNNNNNNNNNNNNNNNNNNNNNNNNNNNNNNNNNNNNNNNNNNNNNNNNNNNNNNNNNNNNNNNNNNNNNNNNNNNNNNNNNNNNNNNNNNNNNNNNNNNNNNNNNNNNNNNNNNNNNNNNNNNNNNNNNNNNNNNNNNNNNNNNNNNNNNNNNNNNNNNNNNNNNNNNNNNNNNNNNNNNNNNNNNNNNNNNNNNNNNNNNNNNNNNNNNNNNNNNNNNNNNNNNNNNNNNNNNNNNNNNNNNNNNNNNNNNNNNNNNNNNNNNNNNNNNNNNNNNNNNNNNNNNNNNNNNNNNNNNNNNNNNNNNNNNNNNNNNNNNNNNNNNNNNNNNNNNNNNNNNNNNNNNNNNNNNNNNNNNNNNNNNNNNNNNNNNNNNNNNNNNNNNNNNNNNNNNNNNNNNNNNNNNNNNNNNNNNNNNNNNNNNNNNNNNNNNNNNNNNNNNNNNNNNNNNNNNNNNNNNNNNNNNNNNNNNNNNNNNNNNNNAUAUUAAAAUAAAAAGGUGAAUAUUAAUUGCCAUAUUAUUUAUAUUGAUGUUGAUGUAUUGUUUGUAAGUAUUAUUAUUUAUUUAAACUAACAAAUAUAUUUUUUUGAUGUAGCCUAAUAAGAAUUUGUUGGUGCGUAAACUGGAUCCGCCACAGACGUGGAAUCUAAUGGUCGCGCCACGGGAUUUUACCACGUCUCUAGGAUUGGGGUGAUACGAGGAUUUCACCCCAUGCUAGCUGUGUUUGUUGAAAGGUGGAAGCCUGAAACUCACACCUUUGUAUUUUCGGUGGGUGAGGUUACAGUGACAUUGAAAGAUGUCGCUCAUAUAUUUGGCCUACCCAUUGAUGGAGAGUCUGUGAGUGGAUGGACAGAUAGCAGUAAAGACUUCCUACAAAGCCAGAGCAUCGCAAUAUUUGAUCGUGAACCAGAAAUCAGUUGUUCAACGUAUCAGAGACGCAGAGCCAUUGGACACUGAGGAGUCCAUUAGGAGAUACGUCAGAUGUCAGAUCUUCUGUUUGUUAGAGUUGACCCUAUUUAUGGAUAAGUCGACCGAAUAUGCCCACGCGAAGUAUCUACCGAUGCUUCGCGAUUUCGAGCGGAUCCAGUAAGUAAAUCCAGCACGCUUGCGUUCAUGAGUCUCGGCACUCUUCCGCGUAAAAAGUUCAUUUAACCUAUAAUAUGUUGCUCGGACCAGCGCCAACACAGAUAGAUUACGGGCACCCUUCAACACUGAGUUAAUGCACUCGACAAGGUUCAUCGUCAUAUGGCCCCAUCGAUGUCCCUCGUCGAAAGCCAAUACCCAAUGUCUAAGUCCAAUGGCAUCGCAUCACCUGGCAUAUGCCUCGCCUCGCUCUUCCAACCUCUUAUAGUUGAUGUUGUACUCCUCCACUGUUCUUGAAUACCCUAUGUUGAUAACAAGCUUUUGCAAGUGAGGGACUUUGAAUGCCCUCGGGAAGUUGCUGCCGAUGUGCCUUAUACAAAACAUCCACCACGCUCUUGGAGGUUUCCAGUCGCCUCUGAAACAAUUUACUACUGCCCGGAUUGACUCAUGCCAGUCUGAGAUCAUACCCACACCGUCUUUUCUAACAACAUGCAUUCGCAGAUUCCUGAGAAAGAAGUGCCAUGCAUCAGCUGUCUCCCCUUCCACCAAGGCAAAAGCGAUAGGCACAAUGUUCUGGUUCCCAUCUUGUGCAAUAGUGACCAAAAGUGCACCUUUGUAUUUUUCGUAUAGGUGUGUGCUGUCAACCUGAACUAGGGGCUUGCAAUGCCUGAAUUCCCUUAUGCAUGGAUUGAAACUCCAGAAUACGCGAUGAAGUAUUUUUACACCGUGCGCCUCUUCAUUCCCGUUGUACAGUAAUCGUGUUUCUAUUUGGACAACUGAACCAGGAAUCUUCUGAACCAUGACCGAGAGCCACCAUGGCAAGGCUUGGUAAGAAUCCUCACAACCACCGAAAACUUUCGCUAUGGACUUCUGCUUUGCCAACCAAGCCUUUCGGCAACUGAUGGUAUAGUUGAACCUUGACUGGACUUCCGCUAUUAUAGAUUUCACCCUGAUGGACGGGUCAGUCUCGACCAAUAGCGUUAUAACCUCAGUAACGAUAUCCGAGUCCAACUUUGAAUGAUCCUAUGAAAUCAUUCCCAUUGUGCACGUGUGCUUACCGUUAUAUCUGCGGAUCUCCCAACAACUUUUUUUCCGUAUCAAACUAGCUCGGAUAAGCCAGACGCACCCAAGUCCAUACAUCUUGCAUUUUGCAUAGAACGUCUGUGGCUCAGACUCAUACACAUCGUAGUCAACUCCUCUAAAGAUAGUGUAACUUCUAAUGGCUGUGACGACCGACUUUCUAGAACUGUAUUCCAUUUCAAUCCGGAACUCUCCGUCCUCAGGAUCAACAACGCCUACAAAAAGCAGAAAUCAUCGUUCAUUAAUCAAUCCAAAGUUUAAAUUAACAAAACCUUAUUAUUCAGUCAUCACGUACCUAUGUUUGCAUAUUCCGAAAAUUCCUGUGCGUGCAUGGCGUUGAGAUCCAACUCAUGCAUAAAAGGUGGCACAUUCAUCGGUUGACUUCUCGAGGGAUGAACCACUACAUUCUUCGCUGCUAUCUCAACUUCCACAUCACCAUCCUUGUCUUCGUUGCCAGCUUCAUAAGUGGCUUUGAAGUCCUCUUCGCUGUCACUAUUCAUUCCUUCGUAUACUGCAUGUCUAUCAUCCUCUAAAUCUAAAUCAUUUUGUAUCCCUUCUGCCUUUACGGUUUCAAACUCAACAUACAGCUCAAUCUGUGGCUUUCGCAUUUGAGUCUGCCGGUGAAUUUGAAACAUAUUCUGCAUACUUGCUUCGUCAGUGAUUGGCAUCGUAUCAAACUGUAUUAGUCCACCAAAAACUACAACCGGAUUCCGGUACAGAAUUCUGCUCACUCUCAUUAACAUACCGUUUUCCAUGCUUUGACAGAGACCGUUCCGAAGCUCCAUAAAAGCUAAUGGUGCAUGGAACUACAAACGAAAAUGAAUUCUGACACACAAACCUCACUCCCUCAUGAGUAUUCCGUAUUAUCUCACCAUUGCGAUAUACCACCAAGUUUGCGGUACUCUCCAUUACACUACCAACACACUCAGAGAACGCUCAAAGCACACUCUCAUUCAAAAUGAAAAUGGUACCGAACUUUGUCUUAUAUAGAGCGGAGCAUUCAACACGCCUCCCACGUACUGCAUGCCUCAGCCAAUCACGUUUUGCUAUGUGUCAUCACGCCCCGGCGUGUUGACUUAGCACGCCCCCCACAUGCUUGAAGCUUCACCCAAUCACUCUUCGUCACGUGUCAGUACGCCCCCUGGCAUGCUGACUCACCACGCCCCCACGUGCUGCGUGGUUCUUCCACCAGUCUCCGCCACGUGGCUUCUACGCCCCCCACGUGGUGCCUGUAACAUGCCCCCUACGUGCUGGGUCUGUCAUCUGACAUGUCUAUCCAUGUGUAAAUACACUAAAUUUUUCUAUUUUCAGCCAAAAUACCUCUUUUUACUCGAUACCUAAAUUAUUUAGCCUAAAAUUUAAUUCNNNNNNNNNNNNNNNNNNNNNNNNNNNNNNNNNNNNNNNNNNNNNNNNNNNNNNNNNNNNNNNNNNNNNNNNNNNNNNNNNNNNNNNNNNNNNNNNNNNNNNNNNNNNNNNNNNNNNNNNNNNNNNNNNNNNNNNNNNNNNNNNNNNNNNNNNNNNNNNNNNNNNNNNNNNNNNNNNNNNNNNNNNNNNNNNNNNNNNNNNNNNNNNNNNNNNNNNNNNNNNNNNNNNNNNNNNNNNNNNNNNNNNNNNNNNNNNNNNNNNNNNNNNNNNNNNNNNNNNNNNNNNNNNNNNNNNNNNNNNNNNNNNNNNNNNNNNNNNNNNNNNNNNNNNNNNNNNNNNNNNNNNNNNNNNNNNNNNNNNNNNNNNNNNNNNNNNNNNNNNNNNNNNNNNNNNNNNNNNNNNNNNNNNNNNNNNNNNNNNNNNNNNNNNNNNNNNNNNNNNNNNNNNNNNNNNNNNNNNNNNNNNNNNNNNNNNNNNNNNNNNNNNNNNNNNNNNNNNNNNNNNNNNNNNNNNNNNNNNNNNNNNNNNNNNNNNNNNNNNNNNNNNNNNNNNNNNNNNNNNNNNNNNNNNNNNNNNNNNNNNNNNNNNNNNNNNNNNNNNNNNNNNNNNNNNNNNNNNNNNNNNNNNNNNNNNNNNNNNNNNNNNNNNNNNNNNNNNNNNNNNNNNNNNNNNNNNNNNNNNNNNNNNNNNNNNNNNNNNNNNNNNNNNNNNNNNNNNNNNNNNNNNNNNNNNNNNNNNNNNNNNNNNNNNNNNNNNNNNNNNNNNNNNNNNNNNNNNNNNNNNNNNNNNNNNNNNNNNNNNNNNNNNNNNNNNNNNNNNNNNNNNNNNNNNNNNNNNNNNNNNNNNNNNNNNNNNNNNNNNNNNNNNNNNNNNNNNNNNNNNNNNNNNNNNNNNNNNNNNNNNNNNNNNNNNNNNNNNNNNNNNNNNNNNNNNNNNNNNNNNNNNNNNNNNNNNNNNNNNNNNNNNNNNNNNNNNNNNNNNNNNNNNNNNNNNNNNNNNNNNNNNNNNNNNNNNNNNNNNNNNNNNNNNNNNNNNNNNNNNNNNNNNNNNNNNNNNNNNNNNNNNNNNNNNNNNNNNNNNNNNNNNNNNNNNNNNNNNNNNNNNNNNNNNNNNNNNNNNNNNNNNNNNNNNNNNNNNNNNNNNNNNNNNNNNNNNNNNNNNNNNNNNNNNNNNNNNNNNNNNNNNNNNNNNNNNNNNNNNNNNNNNNNNNNNNNNNNNNNNNNNNNNNNNNNNNNNNNNNNNNNNNNNNNNNNNNNNNNNNNNNNNNNNNNNNNNNNNNNNNNNNNNNNNNNNNNNNNNNNNNNNNNNNNNNNNNNNNNNNNNNNNNNNNNNNNNNNNNNNNNNNNNNNNNNNNNNNNNNNNNNNNNNNNNNNNNNNNNNNNNNNNNNNNNNNNNNNNNNNNNNNNNNNNNNNNNNNNNNNNNNNNNNNNNNNNNNNNNNNNNNNNNNNNNNNNNNNNNNNNNNNNNNNNNNNNNNNNNNNNNNNNNNNNNNNNNNNNNNNNNNNNNNNNNNNNNNNNNNNNNNNNNNNNNNNNNNNNNNNNNNNNNNNNNNNNNNNNNNNNNNNNNNNNNNNNNNNNNNNNNNNNNNNNNNNNNNNNNNNNNNNNNNNNNNNNNNNNNNNNNNNNNNNNNNNNNNNNNNNNNNNNNNNNNNNNNNNNNNNNNNNNNNNNNNNNNNNNNNNNNNNNNNNNNNNNNNNNNNNNNNNNNNNNNNNNNNNNNNNNNNNNNNNNNNNNNNNNNNNNNNNNNNNNNNNNNNNNNNNNNNNNNNNNNNNNNNNNNNNNNNNNNNNNNNNNNNNNNNNNNNNNNNNNNNNNNNNNNNNNNNNNNNNNNNNNNNNNNNNNNNNNNNNNNNNNNNNNNNNNNNNNNNNNNNNNNNNNNNNNNNNNNNNNNNNNNNNNNNNNNNNNNNNNNNNNNNNNNNNNNNNNNNNNNNNNNNNNNNNNNNNNNNNNNNNNNNNNNNNNNNNNNNNNNNNNNNNNNNNNNNNNNNNNNNNNNNNNNNNNNNNNNNNNNNNNNNNNNNNNNNNNNNNNNNNNNNNNNNNNNNNNNNNNNNNNNNNNNNNNNNNNNNNNNNNNNNNNNNNNNNNNNNNNNNNNNNNNNNNNNNNNNNNNNNNNNNNNNNNNNNNNNNNNNNNNNNNNNNNNNNNNNNNNNNNNNNNNNNNNNNNNNNNNNNNNNNNNNNNNNNNNNNNNNNNNNNNNNNNNNNNNNNNNNNNNNNNNNNNNNNNNNNNNNNNNNNNNNNNNNNNNNNNNNNNNNNNNNNNNNNNNNNNNNNNNNNNNNNNNNNNNNNNNNNNNNNNNNNNNNNNNNNNNNNNNNNNNNNNNNNNNNNNNNNNNNNNNNNNNNNNNNNNNNNNNNNNNNNNNNNNNNNNNNNNNNNNNNNNNNNNNNNNNNNNNNNNNNNNNNNNNNNNNNNNNNNNNNNNNNNNNNNNNNNNNNNNNNNNNNNNNNNNNNNNNNNNNNNNNNNNNNNNNNNNNNNNNNNNNNNNNNNNNNNNNNNNNNNNNNNNNNNNNNNNNNNNNNNNNNNNNNNNNNNNNNNNNNNNNNNNNNNNNNNNNNNNNNNNNNNNNNNNNNNNNNNNNNNNNNNNNNNNNNNNNNNNNNNNNNNNNNNNNNNNNNNNNNNNNNNNNNNNNNNNNNNNNNNNNNNNNNNNNNNNNNNNNNNNNNNNNNNNNNNNNNNNNNNNNNNNNNNNNNNNNNNNNNNNNNNNNNNNNNNNNNNNNNNNNNNNNNNNNNNNNNNNNNNNNNNNNNNNNNNNNNNNNNNNNNNNNNNNNNNNNNNNNNNNNNNNNNNNNNNNNNNNNNNNNNNNNNNNNNNNNNNNNNNNNNNNNNNNNNNNNNNNNNNNNNNNNNNNNNNNNNNNNNNNNNNNNNNNNNNNNNNNNNNNNNNNNNNNNNNNNNNNNNNNNNNNNNNNNNNNNNNNNNNNNNNNNNNNNNNNNNNNNNNNNNNNNNNNNNNNNNNNNNNNNNNNNNNNNNNNNNNNNNNNNNNNNNNNNNNNNNNNNNNNNNNNNNNNNNNNNNNNNNNNNNNNNNNNNNNNNNNNNNNNNNNNNNNNNNNNNNNNNNNNNNNNNNNNNNNNNNNNNNNNNNNNNNNNNNNNNNNNNNNNNNNNNNNNNNNNNNNNNNNNNNNNNNNNNNNNNNNNNNNNNNNNNNNNNNNNNNNNNNNNNNNNNNNNNNNNNNNNNNNNNNNNNNNNNNNNNNNNNNNNNNNNNNNNNNNNNNNNNNNNNNNNNNNNNNNNNNNNNNNNNNNNNNNNNNNNNNNNNNNNNNNNNNNNNNNNNNNNNNNNNNNNNNNNNNNNNNNNNNNNNNNNNNNNNNNNNNNNNNNNNNNNNNNNNNNNNNNNNNNNNNNNNNNNNNNNNNNNNNNNNNNNNNNNNNNNNNNNNNNNNNNNNNNNNNNNNNNNNNNNNNNNNNNNNNNNNNNNNNNNNNNNNNNNNNNNNNNNNNNNNNNNNNNNNNNNNNNNNNNNNNNNNNNNNNNNNNNNNNNNNNNNNNNNNNNNNNNNNNNNNNNNNNNNNNNNNNNNNNNNNNNNNNNNNNNNNNNNNNNNNNNNNNNNNNNNNNNNNNNNNNNNNNNNNNNNNNNNNNNNNNNNNNNNNNNNNNNNNNNNNNNNNNNNNNNNNNNNNNNNNNNNNNNNNNNNNNNNNNNNNNNNNNNNNNNNNNNNNNNNNNNNNNNNNNNNNNNNNNNNNNNNNNNNNNNNNNNNNNNNNNNNNNNNNNNNNNNNNNNNNNNNNNNNNNNNNNNNNNNNNNNNNNNNNNNNNNNNNNNNNNNNNNNNNNNNNNNNNNNNNNNNNNNNNNNNNNNNNNNNNNNNNNNNNNNNNNNNNNNNNNNNNNNNNNNNNNNNNNNNNNNNNNNNNNNNNNNNNNNNNNNNNNNNNNNNNNNNNNNNNNNNNNNNNNNNNNNNNNNNNNNNNNNNNNNNNNNNNNNNNNNNNNNNNNNNNNNNNNNNNNNNNNNNNNNNNNNNNNNNNNNNNNNNNNNNNNNNNNNNNNNNNNNNNNNNNNNNNNNNNNNNNNNNNNNNNNNNNNNNNNNNNNNNNNNNNNNNNNNNNNNNNNNNNNNNNNNNNNNNNNNNNNNNNNNNNNNNNNNNNNNNNNNNNNNNNNNNNNNNNNNNNNNNNNNNNNNNNNNNNNNNNNNNNNNNNNNNNNNNNNNNNNNNNNNNNNNNNNNNNNNNNNNNNNNNNNNNNNNNNNNNNNNNNNNNNNNNNNNNNNNNNNNNNNNNNNNNNNNNNNNNNNNNNNNNNNNNNNNNNNNNNNNNNNNNNNNNNNNNNNNNNNNNNNNNNNNNNNNNNNNNNNNNNNNNNNNNNNNNNNNNNNNNNNNNNNNNNNNNNNNNNNNNNNNNNNNNNNNNNNNNNNNNNNNNNNNNNNNNNNNNNNNNNNNNNNNNNNNNNNNNNNNNNNNNNNNNNNNNNNNNNNNNNNNNNNNNNNNNNNNNNNNNNNNNNNNNNNNNNNNNNNNNNNNNNNNNNNNNNNNNNNNNNNNNNNNNNNNNNNNNNNNNNNNNNNNNNNNNNNNNNNNNNNNNNNNNNNNNNNNNNNNNNNNNNNNNNNNNNNNNNNNNNNNNNNNNNNNNNNNNNNNNNNNNNNNNNNNNNNNNNNNNNNNNNNNNNNNNNNNNNNNNNNNNNNNNNNNNNNNNNNNNNNNNNNNNNNNNNNNNNNNNNNNNNNNNNNNNNNNNNNNNNNNNNNNNNNNNNNNNNNNNNNNNNNNNNNNNNNNNNNNNNNNNNNNNNNNNNNNNNNNNNNNNNNNNNNNNNNNNNNNNNNNNNNNNNNNNNNNNNNNNNNNNNNNNNNNNNNNNNNNNNNNNNNNNNNNNNNNNNNNNNNNNNNNNNNNNNNNNNNNNNNNNNNNNNNNNNNNNNNNNNNNNNNNNNNNNNNNNNNNNNNNNNNNNNNNNNNNNNNNNNNNNNNNNNNNNNNNNNNNNNNNNNNNNNNNNNNNNNNNNNNNNNNNNNNNNNNNNNNNNNNNNNNNNNNNNNNNNNNNNNNNNNNNNNNNNNNNNNNNNNNNNNNNNNNNNNNNNNNNNNNNNNNNNNNNNNNNNNNNNNNNNNNNNNNNNNNNNNNNNNNNNNNNNNNNNNNNNNNNNNNNNNNNNNNNNNNNNNNNNNNNNNNNNNNNNNNNNNNNNNNNNNNNNNNNNNNNNNNNNNNNNNNNNNNNNNNNNNNNNNNNNNNNNNNNNNNNNNNNNNNNNNNNNNNNNNNNNNNNNNNNNNNNNNNNNNNNNNNNNNNNNNNNNNNNNNNNNNNNNNNNNNNNNNNNNNNNNNNNNNNNNNNNNNNNNNNNNNNNNNNNNNNNNNNNNNNNNNNNNNNNNNNNNNNNNNNNNNNNNNNNNNNNNNNNNNNNNNNNNNNNNNNNNNNNNNNNNNNNNNNNNNNNNNNNNNNNNNNNNNNNNNNNNNNNNNNNNNNNNNNNNNNNNNNNNNNNNNNNNNNNNNNNNNNNNNNNNNNNNNNNNNNNNNNNNNNNNNNNNNNNNNNNNNNNNNNNNNNNNNNNNNNNNNNNNNNNNNNNNNNNNNNNNNNNNNNNNNNNNNNNNNNNNNNNNNNNNNNNNNNNNNNNNNNNNNNNNNNNNNNNNNNNNNNNNNNNNNNNNNNNNNNNNNNNNNNNNNNNNNNNNNNNNNNNNNNNNNNNNNNNNNNNNNNNNNNNNNNNNNNNNNNNNNNNNNNNNNNNNNNNNNNNNNNNNNNNNNNNNNNNNNNNNNNNNNNNNNNNNNNNNNNNNNNNNNNNNNNNNNNNNNNNNNNNNNNNNNNNNNNNNNNNNNNNNNNNNNNNNNNNNNNNNNNNNNNNNNNNNNNNNNNNNNNNNNNNNNNNNNNNNNNNNNNNNNNNNNNNNNNNNNNNNNNNNNNNNNNNNNNNNNNNNNNNNNNNNNNNNNNNNNNNNNNNNNNNNNNNNNNNNNNNNNNNNNNNNNNNNNNNNNNNNNNNNNNNNNNNNNNNNNNNNNNNNNNNNNNNNNNNNNNNNNNNNNNNNNNNNNNNNNNNNNNNNNNNNNNNNNNNNNNNNNNNNNNNNNNNNNNNNNNNNNNNNNNNNNNNNNNNNNNNNNNNNNNNNNNNNNNNNNNNNNNNNNNNNNNNNNNNNNNNNNNNNNNNNNNNNNNNNNNNNNNNNNNNNNNNNNNNNNNNNNNNNNNNNNNNNNNNNNNNNNNNNNNNNNNNNNNNNNNNNNNNNNNNNNNNNNNNNNNNNNNNNNNNNNNNNNNNNNNNNNNNNNNNNNNNNNNNNNNNNNNNNNNNNNNNNNNNNNNNNNNNNNNNNNNNNNNNNNNNNNNNNNNNNNNNNNNNNNNNNNNNNNNNNNNNNNNNNNNNNNNNNNNNNNNNNNNNNNNNNNNNNNNNNNNNNNNNNNNNNNNNNNNNNNNNNNNNNNNNNNNNNNNNNNNNNNNNNNNNNNNNNNNNNNNNNNNNNNNNNNNNNNNNNNNNNNNNNNNNNNNNNNNNNNNNNNNNNNNNNNNNNNNNNNNNNNNNNNNNNNNNNNNNNNNNNNNNNNNNNNNNNNNNNNNNNNNNNNNNNNNNNNNNNNNNNNNNNNNNNNNNNNNNNNNNNNNNNNNNNNNNNNNNNNNNNNNNNNNNNNNNNNNNNNNNNNNNNNNNNNNNNNNNNNNNNNNNNNNNNNNNNNNNNNNNNNNNNNNNNNNNNNNNNNNNNNNNNNNNNNNNNNNNNNNNNNNNNNNNNNNNNNNNNNNNNNNNNNNNNNNNNNNNNNNNNNNNNNNNNNNNNNNNNNNNNNNNNNNNNNNNNNNNNNNNNNNNNNNNNNNNNNNNNNNNNNNNNNNNNNNNNNNNNNNNNNNNNNNNNNNNNNNNNNNNNNNNNNNNNNNNNNNNNNNNNNNNNNNNNNNNNNNNNNNNNNNNNNNNNNNNNNNNNNNNNNNNNNNNNNNNNNNNNNNNNNNNNNNNNNNNNNNNNNNNNNNNNNNNNNNNNNNNNNNNNNNNNNNNNNNNNNNNNNNNNNNNNNNNNNNNNNNNNNNNNNNNNNNNNNNNNNNNNNNNNNNNNNNNNNNNNNNNNNNNNNNNNNNNNNNNNNNNNNNNNNNNNNNNNNNNNNNNNNNNNNNNNNNNNNNNNNNNNNNNNNNNNNNNNNNNNNNNNNNNNNNNNNNNNNNNNNNNNNNNNNNNNNNNNNNNNNNNNNNNNNNNNNNNNNNNNNNNNNNNNNNNNNNNNNNNNNNNNNNNNNNNNNNNNNNNNNNNNNNNNNNNNNNNNNNNNNNNNNNNNNNNNNNNNNNNNNNNNNNNNNNNNNNNNNNNNNNNNNNNNNNNNNNNNNNNNNNNNNNNNNNNNNNNNNNNNNNNNNNNNNNNNNNNNNNNNNNNNNNNNNNNNNNNNNNNNNNNNNNNNNNNNNNNNNNNNNNNNNNNNNNNNNNNNNNNNNNNNNNNNNNNNNNNNNNNNNNNNNNNNNNNNNNNNNNNNNNNNNNNNNNNNNNNNNNNNNNNNNNNNNNNNNNNNNNNNNNNNNNNNNNNNNNNNNNNNNNNNNNNNNNNNNNNNNNNNNNNNNNNNNNNNNNNNNNNNNNNNNNNNNNNNNNNNNNNNNNNNNNNNNNNNNNNNNNNNNNNNNNNNNNNNNNNNNNNNNNNNNNNNNNNNNNNNNNNNNNNNNNNNNNNNNNNNNNNNNNNNNNNNNNNNNNNNNNNNNNNNNNNNNNNNNNNNNNNNNNNNNNNNNNNNNNNNNNNNNNNNNNNNNNNNNNNNNNNNNNNNNNNNNNNNNNNNNNNNNNNNNNNNNNNNNNNNNNNNNNNNNNNNNNNNNNNNNNNNNNNNNNNNNNNNNNNNNNNNNNNNNNNNNNNNNNNNNNNNNNNNNNNNNNNNNNNNNNNNNNNNNNNNNNNNNNNNNNNNNNNNNNNNNNNNNNNNNNNNNNNNNNNNNNNNNNNNNNNNNNNNNNNNNNNNNNNNNNNNNNNNNNNNNNNNNNNNNNNNNNNNNNNNNNNNNNNNNNNNNNNNNNNNNNNNNNNNNNNNNNNNNNNNNNNNNNNNNNNNNNNNNNNNNNNNNNNNNNNNNNNNNNNNNNNNNNNNNNNNNNNNNNNNNNNNNNNNNNNNNNNNNNNNNNNNNNNNNNNNNNNNNNNNNNNNNNNNNNNNNNNNNNNNNNNNNNNNNNNNNNNNNNNNNNNNNNNNNNNNNNNNNNNNNNNNNNNNNNNNNNNNNNNNNNNNNNNNNNNNNNNNNNNNNNNNNNNNNNNNNNNNNNNNNNNNNNNNNNNNNNNNNNNNNNNNNNNNNNNNNNNNNNNNNNNAUAUUUAGAUUAAGAUUAGUUUGAUUUUGGUGCCAUUUUCUCCCUCUGGUGGGUGUAUAAAUACAUGAACUUCCCCCACUGGCAAUCAUCAAAACCAUUCGAAACCACUAGUACUUAAUAUUGAAAAUCCUCACUCAAAUAACUCUCUCCCACCAUGAAACCAUUUUAUGCUCUUCUUACUUUCUUCCUCUUGCUUGUAGUAACAAGUAAGAAGGUGAACUCAGCAUCCGAAACUGAAACAGUUUCCUUCAACUUCAACUCUUUCGCCCAAGGUAACCCCGCAAUAAAUCUCCAAGGCGACGCCACCGUUCAUUCCGACGGCAAUGUACAACUCACCAACCUCAAAAGUUCCUAUAGCGCCGGGCGUGUCCUGUAUAGCACGCCGGUGCGCCUUUGGGACAAAGCCACCGGCAAUGUUGCCAGCUUCGUCACCUCGUUCUCUUUCCAGCUGACGGAUGUGGAAGGUUAUAAUGCGGCCGACGGUAUUAUUUUCUUCGUCGCACCGGAAGAUACGCAGAUUCCGUCCGGCGGAGUUGGCGGCACCUUAGGGGUUGCAAGCUCUAACGGCGUCGGUCAAUUUGUUGGUGUAGAAUUUGAUUCCUACUCCAACUCUGAGUUCAAGGAUCCACCCUAUCAACACGUUGGAAUCGAUGUAAACACUCUGGUUUCGUCCAAGACUGUGGAAUGGAAAAGAGUGAGUGGGUCGGUGGUGAAAGUGACUGUGAUCUAUGACUCUCCAUCAAAGACAUUGAGUGUUGCUGUGAUCAAUGAGAGUGGCGAUAUUAAUACCAUCGCUGAUGUUGUUGAUUUGAAGGCGAAGCUUCCGGAAAAGGUCAAGUUCGGGUUUUCAUCUGCUUCGUCGGUUGGCGGUCGUCAGAUUCAUCUCAUCCGUUCAUGGUCUUUCAUUUCAACCUUGAAGACAACAACAAGCAUCAGCAGCAAUGGAAAAACAAUGGAUAUUGCAACCGCAUGAUUUGGUCUACGCUAACUAGUACUUUUAAAUAAAGAAACAGACCAUAUGUGUGUAUCAGUAUCGACUGUGUCUGUGGGUGACUGCGUGUACGGUUCCAUGUAUACUUUCUCUUUCACUAAUCAACUUGUGGUUGGAUAGUUGAUUAUUUAAAGGUUUAAUUACACUUGGUCCUAUACUUGCGUGAAAUUUUUAAUUAGGUUUUUAUAGUUUUUUUUUUUAAUUGAACUUUUCACCAAUAUGAACUUUGGUAUUUCCAAUAGAAAAAGGGGAGAUACUUGAUAAAAAUGGAUAAAACGUUUUUUUUUAAAUAUAUUUUAUAAUAAUUAAAAUUUAACAUAUGUAAUCAAUUAAAUAAUAUUAUUUCUAUCAUAAGUAGAUUGGACAAAUCGAUUUGGCCGAAAAAUUGAUGAAUAAAAUUUUAAACGGACCAAAUUAAUAUUUUUUUAUAAAAAGAACGUUUUGACUGAGUGACUCCCACAAAAUAAUUCAAAACCAAAAAGAACACGACGACGACUCCAACAACAACGGUGCCCUUCCUCGUUGUCCUCUGUGCGGAGCACGGCGUCGUUGGUGGCAGACAAGUGGCUAGCCUCAUUUGAUAGUGUGUGGCGCGUCGCCGUGGCGUGAUCCCCGACCUUCUUCUACUCCAAAUGCGUGUGGCGUUGUGGCGUUUGCGGUGGAGGCGUCAUGGCCACCGGUCUGGCACGCGUGGCUAUAAGAUCUGUCAUCAAGAGUGGGUGGCAACACGCGUUCAACGUCGAGCGUCCAGCGUCGCGGCGAGAGGUGCUGCAUGGAGAGCCGCACGCAUCACGGGGAGAGUUGUUGCUUGGAGCCGUGUGCGUCGUGACGUAACGAUCAGAAUUGGAUGCGGAAGGGAACAGUGACGCAGAGAGAACAGUUGGGGAGGACACGGCGGCACACAAGGUACAAUUGACCAUGGGGACGCUCGAGAAGAAUUUCGGAGGGAAGACACCGCUUCGCGGUAGCGACGCAAAAGGGAAGUCACAGCAGGGAGGGAAACGGAGGUCGCGGUGUCGUCGUGGUUGGAAGAGAGUGACACGCGAAGGGUUGGAAGGCGUCAUCGUUGAAGAUAUUGGUUCGGUUAAAUAAAAAAAUUAAUAACUAUCCUUAAAAAAAUAAAUCAAAAUUUUCAAUUAAAUCAGUUAUUUGAUACGUGUUAAUAUCUAAUACAACAUGAUAGGUGUGCCUAAAGGUUAAGUAACUGCAUUCAGCUGAGUUAGUUAGAAUGUAACCAGUGAACUCUGCUUUAGUUAACCCUGUGGUCCAAUUAAGUUAGUUAGCUGCACUAGUUAGUUAAGCCAUUUAGAGAAUUGGUUAGUGCUGGAACCUUCUAGUGACCGGUUCUUAAAUUACAACUAUAAUUAGCAAUUCUUACUGCUACAGUGAUCACUUUUUAUAAUACACAAUCACAUAUUCUACAUUCCCUUCUUUCCUCUCUCUUCUCUCUAAUCUUCUUCUUCUUUAGUUCUUUAAUCUUCAACCUAGGUUCUUUAUACCUUUCAUGGUAUCAGAGCUACGGUGUCACUGCUUCCGUAAGAAAAUGCAAGAAGGCAAAUCUGACUCAAUUGAAGCUCAGUCAUAAUGGCACAAGGAUUUACAGCAACUCUAAUCUCGAUGAAAUUGGAUGAGGAAAAAUAUCUACGGUGGAAAGAUCAAGUAAAAUCAACAAUUGAAGGAAAUGACAUGUUGAAUCACAUUACAGGAGAAGAAAUCCCUUGCAGUUUCUAGUGUCAGAGAACGGUGGAGCUGGUACAGUGAACCCUGAGUUUUAGAAAUGGACGAGGCAAGAUGCACUCCUCAAGUCAUAGUUGUUAGCUUCAAUGAGCAAACCGUUCACAACAAGAAUGGUUGGAUGCACCUAUAUAUGUCAAGUUUGAAAGAGAUUGGAAGAUCACUUCUCCCCUCAGAUCAAGGAAAAGGUAAUGCAGCUGAAAAACCAGCUGAUCACUAUUCAAAUUGGUGCUUCUGUUACAGAUUAUGUGUUGUCUAUAAAAUGAACCAUAGAUGCUUUAGCUUCCGUAGGAGAGACUAUAAAAGAAAGUGACCAUGUGAAUGCGCUUGAACGGUUUGACUGAAGAAUACUCCUCGUUGAUAACCUCUGUCCUAACCACAGCAAGAUACCAAGGCAUAACAGUAGGAGAGUUAGAAGCCUUACUUUUAGCACAUGAAAGCAUAUUAGCAAGAUUUCGGAGACCAAAAACCUUUGUUCAAGCCAAUUAAGCUCAGCACUUUCAACCUAGACAAAAUCAGCAGUCAAGAGGUGGAUUUAGAGGUGGUUUUUGAGGCAGAGGUGGCCGCCCGUACAGAGGAGGCAGAGGCUCAUAUGAAGGUGGCAGAAUGAUGCAAGAACAAUACAAUGGAGGCAGAACAACACAAAGUCAUCCUACCUCUGGCUAUGGAAGAGGGUAGUAUGGAAGAGAAAAUUACAGUGACUCAAGAAACUAUGGGGAUUCAAGAGGCUACAAUCAAGAAAUAAGCUAUAGUCAAUUUGACAAGCCACAAUGUCAAGUGUUUGACAAAAUAGGCCACACAGCAAAAACGUGUUGAUAUAGGUAUGGUGAGGAUCAAUAUGAUGCAGGGUACAAUGAAGGAGGAUACAAUAAUCAGAUAUCUCAGCCCACAGCCAAUUAUAGCAAUGUACUGGCAACUCCAGCAACCAUUCAGGAUCCAAAUUGGUACCCUGAUUCAGGUGCUACGCAUCACAUGACACAUGAUGAACAGAUGGAAAAGGAGGAGUAUGGAGGAGAUGAGCAAGUUGUGAUAGGCAAUAGAACAGAUUUGCAAAUCAAUUUUGUUGGUAAUUUGUGUUUUAAGUUUGAUUUGAGCUCUAGGUUGUUCUCGAUGAGAAAAUUGUUGGAUGUACCUGAGAUUACUAAGAACUUGAUGUGUGUGCAUAAAUUCUGCUGUGAUAACAAAGUUUUCUUUGAAUUUCAUGCUAAUAAAUGUUGCAUUAAAUCUCAAGAAAACAAGGAAGUGGUUCUUCAAGGGAGUGUUGAUAGGGGAUUGUAUAAGUUUGUCAAGUUCACCACUGCACACACACCAGCAACCUAUGUUUCUUCUCUUAAAAGCUUGAAUAAUCUCCUUCUUUGGCAUGCCAGAUUGGGACACCCAAGCAAAAGUGUCAUGUCAAAAGUCCUCAAUACUUGUAAUCUUUCUUUUACAGCUAAUAAACUAGAAUGUCCAGCCUGUUGUAUUGGUAAAUCGCAUCAAUUACCCUUUCCUGUUUCACAAACAAUAUACACAAAACCAUUAGAACUUGUAUACAUAGAUAUUUGGGUCCCAACACCCAUAUCUGACAAUAAUAGAAACUAGUAUUUUGUGAAUUUUAUUGAUGCUUUCUCAAAGUUCACUUGGAUAUAUCUUUUUAAAUCUUGAGUUCAGCUUAAAUCAGUCUUUAAUCACUUUCACCAAAUGAUUGAAUUGCAACUAAACACAAAAUUAAAGAUGGUUUAAAGUGACAAUGCGGUUGAAUAUGUUGGUUUGUCAAAGAUAUUGCAGGAAAGAGGAAUUUGUCACAGGUUUUCUAGUCCGCAUGUACACCAGCAAAAUAGCUUAGCAGAAAGGAAACAUAGGCAUGUGGUUGAAAUGGGGCUAACAUUGCUGGCUGGAGCUUCAAUGCCUACAAAAUUUUGAGGGGAAGCGUUCACAACAAUAGCCAAGUUAAUCAAUGUUACCUACACCAGUCUUACAAGGACAGUCACCAAUAGAGAAACUGUUUGGAAAGAGACCUUCCUAUGAGAACCUAAGAGUGUUUGGGUGUCUAUGUUUUCCUCAUCUAAGACCCUUCAACAAGCACAAGUUAGACUUCUGAUCAUCACCGUGCAUAUUUGUUGGGUAUGGUACAACUCAGAAAGGGUACAAAUGUCUCACUCAACAAGGGAAGAUCAUUACAACUCCAAAUGUAACUUUUGUUGAAGAUAGAUUUCCUUUUGAAGAAGCAGCUAAGCAGGACCAAAAGCUAGAUGAUCAUUACAACUCCAUAUUUGUUGGCAUGAGUCUCAGUCUGGGGUUAUAAAGAAGAACUAACUCCCCUGGUCUGAAUUCUCUCCUUUUUAUGUGCUUGUCAUGGACAGUCUUCAUCUUCUCUUUGUAUCGCCUAGAGUUGUCAUAUGCUUCUAGGCGAAGGUUCUCUAAUUCUGUUAGUUGCAGCUUCCUUUCAGCACCAGCUUCUUCAAAAUUCAUGUUGCACUCCCUCACAGCCCAGAAAUCCUUGUGUUCCACCUCCACUGGAAAGUGGCAACCUUUCCGUACACUAAGCAGAAGGGGCUCAUCCCAAUGGGUGUCUUGUAUGCUGUUCGAUAUGCCAAGAGUGCAUCUUGUAGCCUGGCACUCCAGUCCUUCCUAUGAGGCUUUACUAUCUUCUCUAGAAUGCGCUUUAUUUCUCUAUUAGAUACUUCUGCUUGCCCAUUUGUCUGGAGAUGGUAUGCUGUUGCUACUUUGUGAACUAUCUCAUGCUUCUUCAGUAAUGCUGUUAAUCUCCUGUUACAAAAGUGAGUGCCUUGAUCACUCACGAUUGCUCGUGGUGAUCCAAAGCGACAAAUAAUAUGGUUUCUAACAAAGGAAAUAAUAGUGUUAGCAUCAUCAGUAUGGGUAGGAAAUGCUUCCACCCAUUUAGAAACAUAAUCUAUAGCUAACAGUAUAUAAAGGUAACCACUAGAGUUUGGAAAUGGACCCAUGAAGUCAAUGCCCCAAACAUAAAAAAUUUCACAGAAAAGCAUAAUCUGUUGAGGUAUCUCAUCCCUCUUGGAUAUAUUACCAAACCUUUGGUAUGGGAAACAAGAUUUACAAAAGGUAGCAGCAUCUUUAAAAAGAGUAGGCCACCAGAAUCCACAGUCUAAGAUUUUUCUAGCUAUUCUUUGAGGGCCAAAAUGUCCUCCACUCUCAGAAGAGUGGCAGGCCUCUAAAAUGGACUGGAAUUCUGAUUGGGGCACACACCUUCUAAUUACCUGGUCAACACCACACCUCCAUAAGUAUGGGUCAUCCCAUAUAUAAUAUUUAGACUCACUUUUCAGCUUAUCCCUUUGAUGCUUAGUAGAAUUAGGAGGGAAAGUAUGGCUAACUAGAUAAUUAGCUACAGGUGCAUACCAAGGAACUAUUUCAGAUACCGCAUGCAAGCUAUCAAAUGGAAAAGUAUCAUUAAUAGGAGUGGAGUCAUCCUUAAUGUGCUCAAGGCGACUCAAGUGGUCUGCCACUAAAUUCUGGUUACCACUCCUAUCCUUAAUUUCUAAAUCAAAUUCUUGUAGCAGUAGUAUCCAACAUAUUAGCCUUAGUUUAGACUCUUUUUUAGCUAAUAAAUAUUUUAGAGCUGCAUGGUCUGAGUACACUACUACCUUAGUACCAAGUAAAUAGGCUCAGAAUUUAUCCAGAGCAAAAACAAUAGCCAGAAGCUCUUUUUCAGUAGUAGUGUAAUUAGACUGAGCAGCAUCUAAGGUCUUAGACACAUAAGCAAUUACGAAAGGAUCCUUACCUUCACGCUGAGCCAGCGCCGCUCCUACCGCAUGGUAGGAGGCAUCACACAUAAUCUCAAAAGGCUGGCUCCAAUCUGGUCCUCUCACAAUCGGAGCAUGAGUCAGGGCGAUCUUCAGCUUCUCAAACGCUUGCAUGCAAUCCUCACUGAACUCGAACUCAAUAUCUUUCUGCAGCAGUCUGGAUAAAGGUAAUGCUACCUUACUGAAGUCCUUAACGAAUCUCCUGUAGAAACCUGCAUGGCCAAGGAACGAACAGACUUCCCUCACAGAGGAGGGGUAAGGUAAACUAGAAAUGACAUCUACCUUUGCUGGAUCUACAGAAAUACCAGUACCAGAAACAACAUGUCCUAGAACAAUCCCUUGUUUUACCAUAAAGUGACAUUUUUCAAAAUUCAAUACAAGGUUUGAACUAACACACCUGUCUAAUACUCUAGCUAAACUAUCCAAGCAAAGGUUAAAGGAAUCACCAUAAACGCUAAAAUCAUCCAUGAAUACUUCCAUACAGUUCUCAAUAAGAUCUGAAAAGAUACUCAUCAUGCAUCUUUGGAAAGUAGCCGGUGCAUUACAUAAGCCAAAAGGCAUCCUCUUAUAUGCAUACGUUCCAAAGGGACAUGUAAAAGUAGUCUUCUCCUGAUCUUCAGGAGCUAUAUGAAUUUGGAAAUAGCCUGUAUAACCAUCUAAAAAGCAGUAAUGGAAUUUACCUGACAGGCGAUCAAGCAUCUGAUCAAUAAAUGGCAAGGGGUAGUGAUCCUUGCGAGUAGCUUGGUUGAGACGUAUAUAAUCAAUGCAAACUCUCCAUGAAUUCUGCACUCUAGUAGUCAGAAGUUCUCCAUAUUCAUUCUUUACUGUUGUGACUCCAGACUUCUUGGGCACCACUUGUACUGGACUAACCUAUUCGCUGUCUGAGAUGGAAUAAAUGAUAUCUACUUCAAGUAGCCUGGUCACCUCUUUCUUGACAACUUCCAAGAUGGUGGGAUUCAAUCUUUGAUGAGCGGAUAAUUUAUACGCUUUUUGGCAUUGUUUUUACAUAGUUUUUAGUAUGAUUUAGUUAGUUUUUAGUAUAUUUUUAUUAGUUUUUAAAUAAAAAUCACAUUUCUGGACUUUACUAUGAGUUUGUGUGUUUUUCUGUGAUUUCAGGUAAUUUCUGGCUGAAAUUGAGGGACCUGAGCAAAAAUCUUAUUCAGGCUGAAAAAGGACUGCAGAUGUUGUUGGAUUCUGACCUCUCUGCACUCAAAAUAGAUUUUCUGGAGCUACAGAACUCCAAAUGGCGCGCUCUCAAUUGCGUUGGAAAGUAGACAUCCAGGGCUUUUCAGAAAUAUAUAAUAGUCUAUAUUUUGCCCGAGUUUAGAUGAUUCAAACUGGCGUUCAACGCCAGUUCCAUGCUGCAUUAUGGAGUUAAACGCCAGAAACAGGUUGCAAAGUGGAGUUAAACGCCAGAAACAGGUUACAAACUGGCGUUCAACUCCAAGAGAAGCCUGUACACGUGUAAAGCUCAAUGCUCAACCCAAGCACACACCAAGUGGCCAUCGGCCAUUCUACCCUAUUAUCACUUAUGUAUUUUCAAACGGUAGAGUUUCUACACACCAUAGAUUAAGGUGUGGAGCUCUGCUGUUCCUCAUGAAUUAAUACAAAGUACUAUUGUUUUUCUAUUCAAUUCAACUUAUUCCUUCUCUAAGAUAUCCAUUCGCACCCAAGAACAUGAUGAAUGUGAUGAUUAUGUGACGCUCAUCAUCAUUCUCACUUAUGAACGCGUGCCUGACAAACACUUCCGUUCUACAUGUAAACAAGCUAGAAUGAGUAUCUCUUUGAUAUCUAAUACAGGGGACCGAGUCCGAGAUAUUAGAAUCUUCGUGGUAUAAGUUAGAACCCAUGGAUGGCCAUUCCUGAGAUCCGGAAAGUCUAAACCUUGUCUGUGGUAUUCCGAGUAGGAUCUGGGAAGGGAUGGCUGUGACGAGCUUCAAACUCACGAGUGCUGGGCGUAGUGACAGACGCAAAAGGAUAGUAAAUCCUAUUCCAGUAUGAUCGAGAACCGACAGAUGAUUAGCCAUGCAGUGACAGCGCAUUGGACCAUUUUCACAGAGAGGAUGGGAUGUAGCCAUUGACAACGGUGAUGCCCUACAUAAAGCUUGCCAUGGAAAGGAGUAGGAAUGAUUGGAUGAAGACAGCAGGAAAGCAGAGGUUCAGAGGAACGAAAGCAUCUCUAUACGUUUAUCUGAAAUUCUCACCAAUGAAUUACAUAAGUAUCUCUAUCCUAGUUUAUGUUUUAUUUAUAUUUUAAUUAUUAAAACUCUAUAACCAUUUGAAUCCGCCUGACUGAGAUUUACAAGGUGACCAUAGCUUGCUUCAAGCCGACAAUCUCCGUGGGAUCGACCCUUACUCACAUAAGGUUUAUUACUUGGACGACCUAGUUCACUUGCUAGUUAGUUGUGCGAAGUUGUGACAAAGAACUAAGAUUAUGAACUUGCGUAAUUAGUUUUUAGCGCCAUUACCAAGGAAGGAACGAUCACGAUUUCUGUGCAUCAAGUUUUGGCGCCGUUGCCGGGGAUUGUUCGAGUUUGGACAACUGACGGUUCAUCUUGUUGCUCAGAUUAGGUAAUUUUCUUCUUGUUUCAAUUUUUAUUUGGUUUUCAAAAAUUUUUCUUUGUUUUCGUUUUUCUUAAAAUAAAUUUUUGAAAAAUAAAAAAAUUUAAUAAAAUCAUAAAACCAAAAAUAUUUUGUGUUUCUUGUUUGAGUCUAGAGUAAAGUUUUAAGUUUGGUGUCAAUUGCAUCUUUUUAAUUUUCUAAAAAUUAUUUUUGAAAAUUUCAUGCAUUGCAUUCUUCAUGAUCUUCAAGUCGUUCUUAGCCAGUCUUCUUGUUUGAUCUUCAUAUUUUCUUGUUUUGUGUCUUUUCUUGUUUUUCAUAUGCAUUUUCAAUUUGUUAGUGUCUAAAAAAUUAAAAAUUUCUAAGUUUGGUGUCUUGCAUGUUUUCUUUUCUUGAAAAUUUUUCAAAAAUAAGUUCUUGAUGUUCAUCUUGACAUUCAAAGUGUUCUUGGUGUUCAUCUUAACAUUCAUAGUGUUCUUGCAUGCAUCACAUGUUUUGAUCCAAAAUUUUCAUGCAUUGAGUCUUUUUGAUGUUUUUCUCUUUCAUCAUUAAAAAUUCAAAAAAUCAAAAAAAUAUCUUUCCCUUUUUCACUCAUAAAAUUCAAAAAUUUGAGUUGAAUUUUUCAAAAAUUUUUAAAAUCUAGUUGUUUCUUAUGAGUCAAAUCAAAUUUUGAAUUUAAAAAUUCUAUCUUUUUCAAAAAUCAAAUCUUUUUCAAUUUUUCUUUCAAAUUUUCGAAAAUUCCAAAUUGAUUUUCAAAAAUCUUUUUCUUAUUUUCUAUUUCAUAUUUUCAAAGUUAAUGCUAACAAUUAAUGUGAUUGAUUCAAAAAUUUUAAAAGUUUGUUACUUGCCUCUNNNNNNNNNNNNNNNNNNNNNNNNNNNNNNNNNNNNNNNNNNNNNNNNNNNNNNNNNNNNNNNNNNNNNNNNNNNNNNNNNNNNNNNNNNNNNNNNNNNNNNNNNNNNNNNNNNNNNNNNNNNNNNNNNNNNNNNNNNNNNNNNNNNNNNNNNNNNNNNNNNNNNNNNNNNUAUUUUAUUUAACUAAUUGUUUUAAUUUUUAAUUUAAUUUUAUUUCAAUUUUAAUUUUCAAAAUUUAACUUUAAAUUUUAUUUUUAAUUUAAUUAAUUUUCAAAAUUCCCUCUCUCUCAUCUCCUUCUAAUUAUUUAUUCAUUUACUAACACUUCUCUUCCACCCAAAAUUCGAACAUCAUCUUCCUCUCUGUGUUUGAGUUUUUCUCUUCCCCUCCUUUUAUUCUUCUCUUCUACUCACAUACAGGAAUCUCUAUAGUGUGACAUAGAGGAUUCCAUAUUUUCUUUUCUAUUUUCUUCUUUUUCAUAUAAGCAGGAACAAGGAUAAGAACAUUCUUGUUGAAGCUGAUCCUGAACCUGAAAGGACUCUAAAGAGGAAGCUAAGGGAAGCCAAAGCACAACUCUCUGGAGAAAAUCUUACAGAAAUUUUUGAAAAAGAAGAAAACAUGACCGAAAAUAAUAACAAUGCAAGGAAGAUUCUUGGUGAAUUUACUGCACCAAAUUCCAAUUUACAUGGAAGAAGCAUCUCAAUUCCUGCCAUUGGAGCAAACAACUUUGAGCUUAAACCUCAAUUAGUUUCUCUGAUGCAACAAAACUACAAGUUUCAUAGACUUCCAUCUGAAGAUCCUUUUCAGUUCUUAACUGAAUUCUUGUAGAUCUGUGAUACUGUUAAGACCAAUGGGGUUGAUCCCGAGGUCUACAGGCUUAUGCUUUUCCCAUUUGCUGUAAGAGACAGAGCUAGAAUAUGGUUGGACUCUCAACCUAAGGAUAGCCUGAACUCUUGGGAUAAGCUGGUCACGGUUUUCUUAGCCAAGUUCUUUCCUCCUCAAAAGCUUAGUAAGCUUAGAGUGUAUGUUCAAACCUUCAAACAGAAAGAAGGUGAAUCCCUCUAUGAAGCUUGGGAGAGAUACAAGGAACUGACCAAAAAGUAUCCUUCUGACAUGCUUUUAGAAUGGACCAUCCUGGAUAUAUUCUAUGAUGGUCUGUCUGAGCUAUCAAAGAUGUCACUGGACCAUUCUGCAGGUGGAUCCAUUCAACUAAAGAAAACGCCUGCAGAAGCUCAAGAACUCAUUGACAUGGUUGCAAAUAACCAGUUCAUGUACACUUCUGAAAGGAAUCCUGUGAAUAAUGGGAUGCCUAUGAGGAAGGGAGUUCUUGAAAUUGAUACUUUGAAUGCCAUAUUGGCUCAGAACAAAAUAUUGACUCAGCAAGUCAAUAUGAUCUCUCAGAGUCUGAAUGGAUUGAAGGAAUCAUCCAACAGUACUAAAGAGGCAUCUUCUGAAGAAAAAGCUUAUGAUCCUAAGAACUCUGCAAUAGCAGAGGUGAAUUACAUAGGUGAACCCUAUGGAAACACCUAUAAUCCCUCAUGGAGGAAUCAUCUAAAUUUCUCAUGGAAGGAUCAACAAAAGCCUCAACAAGGCUUUAACAAUGGUGGAAGAAACAAGUUUAGCAAUAGCAAGCCUUUUUCAUCAUCCACUCAGCAAAAGACAGAGAGUUCUGAGCAGGAUCCAUCUAGCUUAGCAAACAUAGUCUCUGAUCUAUCUAAGGCCACUCUAAGUUUCAUGAAUGAAACAAGGUCAUCCAUUAGAAAUUUGGAGGCACAAGUGGGCCAGCUGAGUAAAAGAGACACUGAAAUCCCUCCUAGUACUCUCCCAAGCAAUACAUAAGAGAAUCCAAAAAGAGAGUGCAAGGCCAUUGAUUUAACCAUCAUGGCCGAACCUACAAGGGAGGGAGAGGACGUGAAUCCCAGUGAGAAAGACCUUCUGGGACGUCCAGUGAUCAACAAGGAGUUUUCCUCUGAGGAACCAAAGGAAUCUGAGGCUCAUCUAAAGACCAUAGAGAUUCCAUUGAACCUCCUUAUGCCAUUCAUGAGCUCUGAUGAGUAUUCUUCUUCUGAAGAGAAUGAAGAUGUCACUGAAGAGCAAGUUGCUAAGUACCUUGGUGCAAUCAUGAAGCUGAAUGCCAAAUUAUUUAAUGAGACUUGGGAAGAUAAACCUCCCUUGCUCAUCAAUGAACUGAGUGAUUUGGAUCAACUGACAUUGCCUCAGAAGAAACAGGAUCCUGGAAAGUUCUUAAUACCUUGUACCAUAGGCACCAUGACCUUUGANNNNNNNNNNNNNNNNNNNNNNNNNNNNNNNNNNNNNNNNNNNNNNNNNNNNNNNNNNNNNNNNNNNNNNNNNNNNNNNNNNNNNNNNNNNNNNNNNNNNNNNNNNNNNNNNNNNNNNNNNNNNNNNNNNNNNNNNNNNNNNNNNNNNNNNNNNNNNNNNNNNNNNNNNNNNNNNNNNNNNNNNNNNNNNNNNNNNNNNNNNNNNNNNNNNNNNNNNNNNNNNNNNNNNNNNNNNNNNNNNNNNNNNNNNNNNNNNNNNNNNNNNNNNNNNNNNNNNNNNNNNNNNNNNNNNNNNNNNNNNNNNNNNNNNNNNNNNNNNNNNNNNNNNNNNNNNNNNNNNNNNNNNNNNNNNNNNNNNNNNNNNNNNNNNNNNNNNNNNNNNNNNNNNNNNNNNNNNNNNNNNNNNNNNNNNNNNNNNNNNNNNNNNNNNNNNNNNNNNNNNNNNNNNNNNNNNNNNNNNNNNNNNNNNNNNNNNNNNNNNNNNNNNNNNNNNNNNNNNNNNNNNNNNNNNNNNNNNNNNNNNNNNNNNNNNNNNNNNNNNNNNNNNNNNNNNNNNNNNNNNNNNNNNNNNNNNNNNNNNNNNNNNNNNNNNNNNNNNNNNNNNNNNNNNNNNNNNNNNNNNNNNNNNNNNNNNNNNNNNNNNNNNNNNNNNNNNNNNNNNNNNNNNNNNNNNNNNNNNNNNNNNNNNNNNNNNNNNNNNNNNNNNNNNNNNNNNNNNNNNNNNCUUUACAUCCCUGCUGAUUUCAUAAUCCUAGACACUGGGAAGGAUGAGGAUGAAUCCAUCAUCCUUGGAAGACCCUUCCUAGCCACAGCAAGAGCUGUGAUUGAUGUGGACAGAGGAGAAUUGAUCCUUCAACUGAAUGAGGACAAUCUUGUGUUUAAAACUCAAGGAUCUCCUUCUGUAACCAUGGAGAGGAAGCAUGAAAAGCUUCUCUCACUGCAGAGUCAACCAAAGCCCCCAAAGUCAAACUCUAAGUUUGGUGUUGGGAGGCCAUAACCAAACUCUAAGUUUGGUGUUGAACCCCCACAUUCAAACUCUAAGUUUGGUGUUGGGAGGUUCCAACCUUGCUCUGAACAUCUGUGAGGCUCCAUGAGAGCUCACUGUCAAGCUAUUGACAUUAAAGAAGCGCUUGUUGGGAGGCAACCCAAAGUUAUCUAAUUAUAUUUAUUUAUUUUCUAUUGUUAUUUUCUGUUUUCCUUAGGUUGAUGAUCAUGUGAAGUCACAAAAACUACUGAAAAAUCAAAAACAAAAUAAAAAAUAGCAGAAGAAACAGCACACCCUGGAGGAGAGCAGUAUGGCGUUUAAACGCCAGAAACAGGCACCAAGCUGGCGUUUAACGCCAGAAACAAGCAUCUACCUGGCGUUAAACGCCAGAACAGAGCAUGGAAGUGGCGUUUAAUGCCAGAAACAGGCAGCAGUCUGGCGUUAAACGCCAGGAUUGCAUGUAUAGGGCAUUUUACACGUCUAAAAGGUGCAGGGAUGAAAAACCCUUGACACCUCAGGAUCUGUGGACCCCACAGGAUCCCCACCUACCCUUCUUCUCUCUCUUCACACCUUUUCAUGACUCUCUUCCCCAAAUACCCUUCACCAAUCAACUCAAUCACUCUUCCCCAUCACCUCUUCACCACUCACAUCCAUCUUCUCUUCCCCAUAAACCCUACCUACCUUCAAAUUCAAAAUAUUUUCUCUCCCAAACCCAACCCUAAUGGCCGAAACUUAACCCUCCCCCACUUCUAUAUAAAUCCCUCAUUCCUUCUUCUAUUUCACAAACACAACCCUCUCUUCUUCCCCUUGACCGAAACCACCUUUCUCUCCCUCUCCUCCAUUUCUCUUCUUCUUCUACUUCUACUUCUUUCUUUCUUCUUUUGCUCGGGGACGAGCAAACAUUUUAAGUUUGGUGUGGUAAAAGCAUAGCUUUUUGUUUUUCCAUAACCAUCAAUGGCACCUAAGGCUAGAGAAACCUCAAGAAAGAGGAAAGGGAAGGCAAUUGUUUCCACCUCUGAGCCAUGGAAGAUGGAGAGAUUCAUCUCAAAUGUUCAUCAAGACCACUUCUAUGAAGUUAUUGCCAAGAAGAAAGUGAUCCCUAAGGUUCCUUUCAAGCUCAAAAAGAAAGAGUAUCCGGAGAUCCGACUUGAGAUCCAAAGAAGAGGUUGGGAAGUUCUCACCAACCCCAUUCAACAAGUCGGGAUCCUAAUGGUUCAAGAGUUCUAUGCAAACGCAUGGAUUACUAGGAACCAUGAUCAAAGUGUGCACCCGAAUCCAAAGCAUUGGCUUACCAUAGUUCGGGAAAAAUACUUAGAUUUCAGUCCGAAAAAUGUAAGGCUGGGAUUCAACUUGCCAAUGAUGGAAGAGAACGCACGCCCCUACACAAGAAGGGUCAACUUUGAUCAAAGGUUAGACCAAGUCCUCAUAGACAUAUGUGAGGAAGGAGCUCAAUGGAAAAUUGACUCAAGAGGCAAGCCGGUUUAACUAAGAAGGCAUGACCUCAAACCAUUGGCUAGGGGAUGGCUAGAGUUCAUUCAACACUCAAUUAUUCCUACUAGCAACCGGUCUGAAGUUACUAUAGACCGGGCCAUCAUGAUCCAUAGUAUCAUGAUUGGAGAGGAGGUCGAAGUUCAUGAGAUUAUACCUCAAGAACUCUACAAGGUGGCUGACAAGUCCUCCACUUUGGCAAGGUUAGCCUUUCCUCACCUCAUAUGCCACCUUUGCAAUUCGGCUGGAACUGACAUAGAGGGAGACAUCCUCAUUGAAGAGGAUAAGCCCAUCACUAAGAAAAGGAUGGAGCAAACAAGAGAUCAUGGACCUCAACAUGAGCAUGAGGAGAUUCCUCACCAUGAAAUCCCUGAGAUGCCUCAAGGGAUGCACUUUCCUCCACAGAAUUAUUGGGAGCAAAUCAACACCUCCCUAGGAGAAUUAAGUUCAAACAUGGGACAACUAAGGGUGGAGCACCAAGAGCACUCCAUCAUCCUCCAUGAAAUUAGAGAAGAUCAAAGAGCUAUGAGGGAGGAGCAACAAAGACAAGGAAGAGACAUAGAGGAGCUCAAGAGCACCAUUGGUUCUUCAAGAAGAGGAAGACGCCACCCUCACUAAGGUGGACUCAUUCCUUAAUCUUCUUGUUUAUUUAUUUUCCUAUUUUUUUAUUUUUGAGCUUUAUGUUUAUUUAUGUUUGUGUUUUAUUACAUGAUCAUUAGUGUCUAAGUGUCUAUGCCUUAAAGUUAUGAAUAUGAAUCCAUCACCUCUCUUAAAUGAAAACUGUUUUAAUUACAAAAGAAUAAGAAGUACAUGGUUUUGAAUUCAUCCUUGAAACUGGUUUAAUUAUUUUGAUGUGGUGACAAUACUUUUUGUUUUCUGAAUGAAUGCUUGAACAGUGCAUACGUCUUUUGAAGUUGAUGUUUAUGAAUGUUAAAUAUGUUAGCUCUUGAAGAAUAAGGAAAAAGGAGAAAUGUUAUUUGAUAAUCUGAAAAAUCAUAAAAAUGAUUUUUGAAGCAAGAAAAAGCAGUGAAUACAGAAGCUUGCAGAAAAAAAAAAUAUAGCGAAAAAAAAAGAAAAAGAAAAAGCAAGCAGAAAAAGCCAAAAGCUCUUUAAACCAAAAGGCAAGAGCAAAAAACCAAUAGCCCUUAAAACCAAAAGGCAAGGGUGUUUAGUUAGUUUUUAGUAUAUUUUUAUUAGUUUUUAAAUAAAAAUCACAUUUCUGGACUUUACUAUGAUUUUGUGUGUUUUUCUGUGAUUUCAGGUAAUUUCUGGCUGAAAUUGAGGGACCUGAGCAAAAAUCUGAUUCAGGCUUGAAAAGGACUGCAGAUGUUGUUGGAUUCUGACCUCUCUGUACUCAAAGUAGAUUUUCUGGAGCUACAAAACUCCAAAUGGCGCGCUCUCAAUUGAGUUGGAAAGUAGACAUCCAGGGCUUUUCAGAAAUAUAUAAUAGUCCAUAUUUUGCCCUAGUUUAGAUGAUGCAAACUGGCGUUCAAUGCCAGUUCUAGGCUGUAUUAUGGAGUUAAACGCCAGAAACAGGUUGCAAAGUGGAGUUAAACGCCAGAAACAGGUUACAAAUUGGCGUUCAACUCCAAGAGAAGCCUGUACACGUGUAAAGCUCAAUGCUCAACUCAAGCACACACCAAGUGGACCCCGGAAGUAGAUUUCAGCAUCAUUUACUCAUUUCUGUAAACCCUAGUAACUAGUUUAGUAUAAAUAGGACUUUUUACUAUUGUAUUUACAUCUUUAGUUUCAUCUUUAGACCUCCAUGGGAGGCUGGCCACUCGGCCAUUCUACCCUAUUAUCACUUAUGUAUUUUCAAACGGUAGAGUUUCUACACACCAUAGAUUAAGGUGUGGAGCUCUACUGUUCCUCAUGAAUUAAUGCAAAGUACUAUUGUUUUUCUAUUCAAUUCAACUUAUUCCUUCUCUAAGAUAUCCAUUCGCACCCAAGAACAUGAUGAAUGUGAUGAUUAUGUGACGCUCAUCAUCAUUCUCACUUAUGAACGCGUGCCUGACAAACACUUCCGUUCUACAUGUAAACAAGCUAGAAUGAGUAUCUCUUAGAUAUCUAAUAUAGGGGACCGAGUCCGAGAUAUUAGAAUCUUCGUGGUAUAAGUUAGAACCCAUGGAUGGCCAUUCCUGAGAUCCGGAAAGUCUAAACCUUGUCUGUGGUAUUCCGAAUAGGAUCUGGGAAGGGAUGGCUGUGACGAGCUUCAAACUCGCGAGUGCUGGGCAUAGUGACAGAUGCAAAAGGAUAGUAAAUCCUAUUCCAGUAUGAUCGAGAACCGACAGAUGAUUAGCCAUGCAGUGACAGCGCAUUGGACCAUUUUCACAGAGAGGAUAGGAUGUAGCCAUUGACAACGGUGAUGCCCUACAUAAAGCUUGCCAUGGAAAGGAGUAGGAAUGAUUGGAUGAAGACAGCAGGAAAGCAGAGGUUCAGAGGAACGAAAGCAUCUCUAUACGCUUAUCUGAAAUUCUCACCAAUGAAUUACAUAAGUAUCUCUAUCCUAGUUUAUGUUUUAUUUAUAUUUUAAUUAUUAAAACUCUAUAACCAUUUGAAUCCGCCUGACUGAGAUUUACAAGGUGACCAUAGCUUGCUUCAAGUCAACAAUCUCCGUGGGAUCGACCCUUACUCACGUAAGGUUUAUUACUUGGACGACCCAGUGCACUUGCUGGUUAGUUGUGCGAAGUUGUGACAAAUAACUAAGAUUAUGAACGUGCGUAAUUAGUUUUUAGCGCCGUUACCAAGGAAGGAACGAUCACGAUUUCUACGCACCAAUCUUCUUUGGGGUUGACAGACAGGCCUUGCUCCCUCUUCUAAGUAUAUUCUGUGCUCACAAACUUGAGGGUUGAUGCCUACUAUAUCCGCCAAGAUCCACCCAAUUGCUUUCUUAUGUUUUCUCAGCACACUAAGCAGUUGCUCCUCUUGUUGGGAAGUGAGUUCCCUUGCAAUGAUAACUGGGAAUUUCUAAUUAUCCUCAAGGUAAGCAUACUUGAGGUGGGGAGGAAGUGGCUUUAAUACCAAUUUUUGCUCAUGGCUAGGUUCUGGAUUAUCUUGAGCUAAUGAUAAUGGCAAAGUGUCCUCAUUGUGUUCAGAGGGUGUCCCCACACUUGGACCUUGCUCCAUGUGCUUCUCUUCUACUUCUUCUUGGUGAACUUCAGCUACAGUUUCAUCAAUGAUGUCGCAUUGGAAGAUAGAAUGAUCUUCUGGAGGGUGCUUCAUAGCUUCAUUUAAACUGAAACUCACUGCUCUGCCAUCUAUCUCAAAGGAGUAAGUUCCUGAGAAUGCAUCCAGCUUGAACUUCGAAGUCUUCAGGAAUGGUCUUCCUAGCAGGAUUGAUGAUGGUCUUUUUGAGUCAUUAGGGGGCAUUUCCAGGAUAUAGAAGUCAAUGGAAAAUGUGAGCCCCUUAAUGCUCACUAAUACAUCUUCAGCAAUUUCAACUACUGUAAUAAUGCUUUUAUCUGCUAAUACAAAAUGAGCUGCCGACCUUUUUAAGGGAGGAAGCCUCAAAGCAUCAUAUAUAGACAAUGGCAUUAUACUAACACACGCUCCUAAAUCACACAUGCAGUCAGAAAAUAUUACACCUCCAAUGGUACAGUUAACCAUGCAUGGACCUGGACCUCCCAUUAAAGCAGAUAUAGAACUACCUAAAGGAAUAGUUUCUAAUUCAUUAAUUUUUUCUUUAUGUAUGCAUAAAUCUUUCAGAAACUUUGCAUAUUUAGGUACUUGUUGAAUAACAUCAAAAAGAGGAACAGUUACCUCAACCUUUUUGAAAAUUUCUACCAUUUUGGGAUCAAGUUCCAUCUGCUUUCUGGACUUCCGUGCAAGGUGUGGAAAUGGGAUAGGGAUGGCGCCACUUGCAGCCUCUGCAUCCUUUGGUGCUCCAUUCCUUGGCUGAGCUACUUCUUCUUCAACCUUGUCUUGUACUUCUUCUUCCUCUUCAGCAUCUUCCACUUCAACUAUGUCUUCAACUGGGGUGUGUUCUAGCGGGCUUGGUUCCUCCUGAUUCCUCUCUGGCAGUGUGAUUCCGGACCUUAGAGUGAUGGUAUUGAUGCCACCCUUGGGGUUAGGUAAGGUUUGAGAAGGAAUUUCACUGGAGCUUGAAGGCUGGUUGGUGGAAGCAGGUAAAGAAUCUAUUCGGGAGACGAGAGCUUGUAAAGUGGCAUUCAGACCAUUUAGAGUAGAGUUUAGUGUAGUCUGCAUGUCUUGUUGUCCUUGUGCAAGAGAACGAAGCAUCUCGUCAUUUGAUGAGGAAGGGGGAUAAGUAAUUUGAGGGACCUGUUGUUGGUUGUGCUGGGAUCCUUGUGACUGUCUCAGGUGAGGUGCUCUGUAAGGUUAGUUCUGAUUUUGCUGUCUGUUGUUGUUAUUCCACCUCUGAUUUCCUUGGUUGUCUCUGCCUCCUCUGUUAUAGUUGUCCCUCCAGCCAUGGUUGGAAUUAUCUCUCCAACCUUGGUUGGAGUUGUCUUGCCAUCCUUGGUUAUAGUUUCCACCUUGGUUGUAGUUCCCGCCUUGUUGAUUGUAUCAUUGAUUCGGGCGGUCAUAAAAGUUAUGAGUAGCUGCCACAGUGUUGUCUUCUUGUUGGAGCUGCGGGUAUUCAUUAGUAUAAUGACUAUAAUCAGCACAGAUUCUGCAUACUCUUUGAGGAACUAACUGUUGGCUUUGUUGUGGUGGGGAAGGCUGAGUUUGUUGUUGAUUCAACUGCAUCUGCUUCAGUAGGUUGGUCAUUUUACGUAUACUCUGUGUAAGAGCAGUAGUCUCACUGCUAGAGGAAACCUCUGCAACAGUCUUUGAGUGGCUGUUCCUGUGCCUGUGAUUUCUAGUGGACUCAGCUAAGUCACUGAUCAGUUGCCAUGCUUCAUCUGCGGUCUUGUACUUUUUCAGAGAACCAUUACUAGCACCAUCCAGUGUAGUUUUAUCCCGAUGCUUCAUGCCUCGAGUGAAGUAGCUGAUCAACACUAACCUGUCAAUCAUGUGAUGGGGGCAUGCGUCCAGAAAGUUCUUAAAGCGCUCCCAGUACUCAUAGAAAGUCUCCGAUUCACCCUGAACAAUACAGGACAUCUCUUUCCUCAAUCUAUCUGUGACUUCAGCUGGAAAGUAUUUUUUCAGGAAUUCUCUCCUGAGCGUAUCCCAGUUGGCGACAGUUGCUUCAGGUUGGGAGUAGUACCACUCCCUCGCCUUUCCCUCAAGAGAAAAUGGGAAGGCGGUUAACAGAAUAGAAGUUUUAUUUGCACCAUGACGCCUUACAGUAGAACAGGCUGUCUGAAAAUCCCUUAGGUACUUGAUAGGCUCCUGAGCAAGUAAGCCAUGAAACUUGGGCAUCAUGUUGAUUAGUGCAGUCUUCAACUCAAAAUCUGUAGCUAGAGUUGGAUGAUGCACUUGAUACGGCUGCAGUGUAAAAUCUGGAGCUCCAGCUUCCUGGAGAGUAAUCCUCCUAGGUGCUGCCAUGUUAUCUACACGUGAAUCAACUGAAUCAGUAGUAAAGGAGCUUGUUUCUUCCUCAGAUGGCAGUUCAGAUUCGCCCUCAGAUGAGACUAGUGAAUCGAUAACAAUCACUUCACCACCCUCAGAGGCUAACCUGCGCCAAGCUCGCCUAAUACGUGAAAGAGUUCUUUCAAUUUCAGGAUCAAAUGCAGCUAAGCUCGGAUCAGGCAGUGAACGCGUCAUUCAAUGAAAGAAACAUACAGCUCAUGGUAAUAAAAUAAAAUAAAAUACGCAAAUAAAAUAGAAAUAUGUACACUAAUUAAUAAUUCAGCACACAAUUGCAACUCCCCGGCAACGACGCCAAAAAUUGAUGCGUGGCAGAAAUUAGACCAAUUAAGAGAUUAUAAUAUAAGAACAGCGUUGCGAGUAUAGCUCUUAACCAGCAAAAAUCUGCCUCAUCAAUUUAGAAAGGUUGUCACAAAAGUUUAGAAUAAAAAUACUGGGAGUAUGAGUCCCAGGUCGUCUCCCAACGAGUUGCUAGAAAGGGUGUUAAGUUAUUAAUCAGAAGUUUUCCAAGAAUUUUGAGAGUUGAAUAAUAGAAAAUAAACAAUUGUAAUUAAGUACAAUGAAAAUUAAAAGGAAUUUAUAUUAUUCAAAAUAAAAAGUCUUGACUGCGAAAAUGAUUAAUUGGAAGUUCUAUCCUUGUUAGAAUUCUCUCAAGUGUAGUAUAAAGAGGUUGUUAUUUUCACUUAGUUAACCCUUAAUAAAUAAAGGAAAGUCAAGUGAUUGAGCUAACCCUUAUUCGCAAAUCCUAGUCCUCUCCCUUGGAAAGGUCUAGCGUUAGUAAAUACAGAAUUAGCCAACAACUUCCAAUUUAACUAACCACUUGAGCAUUCCAACUCAAGUGUCUCCUCUUAAUCAACCCCCAUGUCAAGUAGGAAAUCUACUCUAUUGACAUGGAUACCAUCUUUGUUAUUGGGAGUUUGGAAUAGAAAAGAGACAUGAUAAUUUAAAUAAAAUAGUGAUUCAAAAUUAAUUAAAAGUAAAAGUAAUCAUUUGUAUUAACAAUCCAUGAAAAUAAUCCAAUAGUAACUUUAAACAAGAAUUAAGAAUAUGGAAUAAUUAAAGGAGUAAGAAAACAAACUAGAAUAGUAUCUUCAACGGAGGUGAUGACUCUUCAAUAUCCAAAAGCAAAAGCAUAAAACUAAUAAUCUAUGAAUGUAAAGAAAACCUAGAGGAAGAGUGAUUUUCUCUCUAGAUUCAGAUCUAAAAACCUAAAACUGUGCUAAUGAGAAUGUCUGUUGAGUCUCUGCAGGUUCUCUGGCUCUAGUCUGUGUUUUUGGGCCAAAAACUGGGUCAAAACUCGGCCCAAAAUCGCCCCCAGUAUUUUCUGUUAUUUCUGCAGAUCGCGCACGUCACGCGUACGCGUCAGGCACGCACACGCGUCAUCUUGCAAAACUCCAAUCCACGCGUAUGCGUCAGGCACGCGCACACAUCACUGCAAAUUUCUCCAUAUCGCGCGCUCGCGUGAGCCAUGCGUGCGCGUCGAUGCUCGCUAGUUAUCUCCUUAGUUUCUUGUGCUCCUUCCAUUUUUUUGCAAGCUUCCUCUCCAUUCUCUAAGUCAUUCCUGCCCUAUAAAGCCUGAAACACUUAACACACGGAUCACGGCAUCGAAUGGUAUAAAGGAGAAUUAAAAUAUACUAAUUAAAGAUCUCUAGGAAGCAAGUUUUCAACCAUAAAACAAAACUAGGAAGGGAUUGUAAAAUCAUGCAAAUGAUAUGAAUAAGUAGGUAAAGACCUGAUGAAACCACUCAAUUAAUCACAAGAUAAACCAUAAAAUAGUGGUUUAUCAGUAAACAACCGACGCAUGAGCUCAUGUCCUGCUUAGGACAGACAUGCAUCAUAUUAUUUGCGUAUUUGUAUUUGGUUGUAUUUUGCUUGUUGUAUUUUCUCUGUGAAUGUGCUAGUUGUCUUAUUCUUCCUUGCUUGUGUGUUCAAUUGGAUCUUUGGUACUACUAGUUUACGUAUUAAAGUGUUUAAGAAUUAUUGUUGUAAAUGAGUUUUGUUCUAAGUUCAGAAAUUUUAAUGAAAGCAAUUAAUUGUCUAAAGUAAAAUUAGAAUGUAUUUUCAAAGGCUUGAGAAAAGAAUAGUUUUACCAAUUAAAGUCAAUUAUUCGCAUUUUGUUCAUUACUUUUACGGCAUUCACUUUUCCUAUUGAGAACAUGCGAGGACGACGUUCUCACCCCACUAGAGAUUUUUCUUUCAGCAAUAGGUUCAGGAAUCCUUGGCAUGGAGCUGCGACUGAACAUCGGAGCUAUAUAUAUGUAAAUAUGUACUCCGUAUUUUCUGUAGUUGGUUUAGCCUUAGACUUUUCCCUCGCCAUUUAUUGCCUUUGAUUUUUUUUAGAGGGGUAGGACUUGUAUUUGAGAAUCUUGGAAUAAGUCUAUGUAUAUAUUGCUAUGUGAGUAUAUAUAUUUUUGUGAUUAAGAGUUUUAAAGUAAAGACCUUUCGAUUUCUUGACUAAAAUUUCGGUUCGUAUUUGUGAAGGCUCAAUAUUAAAUAAGGAUAGUAUAAAAUAAAAAGGUUUAGAGGUAAGUAACGCCUAAGCUUUUAGUAUGAUCAUGAGGUGCUAAAAGUUAGGGUGUUACAUUAUGGUACCAGAGCAGUUCGUUCCUGUUAGAGCCUUGGGAAUGGACUGACUAUGCUUCACUGCAUAUUCUGAGUGUCUAUCAUGCGAUAGGACUUGUCUUAAUGGCAAGAGUUUAGAUUUUAUAUGCAUGAUUGACCGUUGAUUAGCACUGUUAGCUUACCGUUGCAUUCCUCAUAGUAUUAGGUCUGGCCAACUUAAUACUAAUGAUUUAUGUAUAUGGGAACACUAAUGGGUUGUCAUGGACGAAAUAGGAAUAAUAAAUAAUGCGAAAUACGGGGUUUGGGGACGUUAGAGGUUAUGAAGAUAGCUUGGUUUCGAAGUAUAACCCUUAUUCGUGCUAAUGUGGAUCUCUUCCUUGAUUGUUUGCUGUAAAAUUCUUUGUUUCGAACUUCCUUCUUGGGAUAUGAUUGAUUUAUAUUCUAACCAUAUCUUAUCGCCAAUGCAUAUCCUUGAUUGACUAUGUUCCUAUGCAUUGCUUGGAUCUUUUGGAUCAUUCACCAUUAUCGCUAUUUACCUAUCAUUGUUUUGUGCAUCUUUGUUAGAGUCUAAUUUUAAGCAUCUUUCUAAAAUCUCUUUAACAUAGUACUUUUUCUGUUACCUUCAUAAGAUAUAAUUUCUUUUACAUUUGAAAAACUGAACACGCAAAACCUUUCUAUUUCAUUUCUUUGGUAUUUCUUAAAAUGGAGUUGAUAAGAGUCUUUUUCAUUUUAUAUCAAUUUUCGAGAGCAAAAAUUUUUGUAAGAUGGGUAGAAUAUAACAACUCGAGUUUUUAAAAUUUAAAUAAUGAGUGAUUUACGAUUUAUUAUAUUUGUUAAUAAUUUUACUUAAUAAAAGUNNNNNNNNNNNNNNNNNNNNNNNNNNNNNNAUGACACCUGCUUUCUUUCAUUAAUUGGCUAUGCCACCUAAUAAAAUUUACACCACAAAUCCCCAUCAAUCAUAACAUUCAUCCUUUCAAUUUAUUCAUGUCAUGUCAUGGGCAAGAAAAAGAAAGAAAGACCGAGAGAGAGAAUUUGAGCUUCCAUGGAACCGUAACCCUCACCAAAGAUUUUAACUUUGAUUUUUUGAGAUUCGUAACUUCAAUAAAAAAUCUAAUUUGAUAAAAGUGUUCGUAUCCUACUUUUUUACAUAUUGGUAUUACUUUUGUCCAGUAGAAGUUGACAAUGCCAUAGCUUUUCUUUCUCUUAAGUUCGACCAAUUAGAAUUUUAGGAGGCACAAAUAAUUUCUGACGUUUUCUUCUUCAGCAGCUCGAUCAAAAAGUUUUUUCAAAAUCUUCGUUGACUUUGAUUUCGUAUGGAGGUAGAGAUUUUGUUUUUAAAAUUAUAAAUUUUUAAUUCAUGAAUACUCAAAAGCUUAAUGAGUAAUUGCAAAUAGUUUAUGACUAUCUGGAUUGGUUGAAUAACGAAUUUGUGUUAGAUUUGUGAUUGUAAAAAUAAUUGAAUUUGAUGAAUAUGUGUUUGAUUUUCUAAAUGUUUGAGAAUUAUCGAAACUGUGGCUGUGAAAAAAUUAUGUGUAUGCUUUGGUAAAAUGAUGUAAGAAUUGAGUACUGGUUUGGAUUGAGAUAAGUUAAGGAAUGAUGGAAGUAAGCGAGCCGUGAGGGUGGUGAAGUCUAUUUUAAGGAGAGAUUCGACCAAAUUUUUAUAAAAAUAUACAAAAAAGUAAUUUUAUUUUGGAAACCUGAUUUACAAGUUUAUUUUGAAAAAUGACUCUAUGUUAAAAAAAGAUUUGGUUUACAUAUUUACUCGUAAUUGAGAAAAGGGUUUUUGUAUUAAAAAUUUGACUUAUUGGAAGUGAUUUUCGAGAAUUGAAAAUGGUUUGAAAGGGACCCUUGAAGGAUGGCAAAAUCCGGAUUUUAGAGGAAAUACUGCUGAAAUUUUAUAAAACUCCGAGGCUUGUUUAAAGCUUUAUCUAAAAGAAAGUUGAGUUUAAAAACUAUAUUAUUUGUUUUUGAUUUGUUAAGAAAAUAAUAAAUUAUGCUAUGAUUUUAAAUUGUGAGGAAAAGCAUUUUGUUUUGAGAUCUUUUAUUAAGAAACUGAAUUUUUCUUUAAUUAAACGUUAAAGAAGUUUGGGUAUAUGAAAAUUAAAGGUUUUAAUGCUAAGACUGAAAGUAUACCUAUAUGAUGAUGGGGAGGUAAGAGUGAUUGAUUAUUUGGUGAUGUGGAGGUAUGUGUAAUUAAGCGGUGAUGCGGAGGUACGUUUAAUAAUGUAGGUGAUGUGGAAGUGUGUGUAUGUAAUUGGUAAUGUGGAGGCAUAAUAAAGAGAAAAAGAAUGAAAAGUGCUAAUGCGGAAGUGCCCGCCUGACUGAUAGCCUAAGGUUGCUAAUGUGGGAAUGUUCGCCUAACUGAUAGCCUGUUUCUACCGUGAUGCCAAGAUAUCCUAACUGACAUAUCCAUGAUGAUACUUGUGCCUGACUGACACGGUAAAGAAACCAUAUUCGGGGUUCGUCCCGAGUAACGUUGGGUUGCAAGUAGACAACCGACGCGUGAGCUCAUCUCCUGCUUAGGACAGACAUGCAUGAUUUAUUUGCGUAUUUGCAUUUGGUUGUGUUUUGAUUGUUGUAUUUUCUCUGUGAUUGUGCUAGUUGUCUUAUUCUGCAUUGCUUGUAUGUUCAAUUGGAUCUUUGGUACUAUUAGUUUGCGUAUUAAAGUGUUUAAGAAUUAUUGUUGUAAAUGAGUUUUGUUUUAAGUUCAGAAAUUUUAAUGAAAGCAAUUAAUUGUCUAAAGUAAAAUUAGAAUGUAUUUUCAAAGGCUUGAGAAAAGAAUAGUUUUACCGAGUAAAUUCAAUUAUUCACAUUUUGUUCAUUACUUUUACGGCAUUCACUUUNNNNNNNNNNNNNNNNNNNNNNNNNNNNNNNNNNNNNNNNNNNNNNNNNNNNNNNNNNNNNNNNNNNNNNNNNNNNNNNNNNNNNNNNNNNNNNNNNNNNNNNNNNNNNNNNNNNNNNNNNNNNNNNNNNNNNNNNNNNNNNNNNNNNNNNNNNNNNNNNNNNNNNNNNNNNNNNNNNNNNNNNNNNNNNNNNNNNNNNNNNNNNNNNNNNNNNNNNNNNNNNNNNNNNNNNNNNNNNNNNNNNNNNNNNNNNNNNNNNNNNNNNNNNNNNNNNNNNNNNNNNNNNNNNNNNNNNNNNNNNNCUCACCCUUCUACAGAUUUUCCUUUCAGCAACAGGUUCAGAAAUCCUUGGCGUGGAGCCGCGACUGAACAUCAGAGCUAUAUGUAAUUAUGUAUCCGUAUUUUCUGUAGUUGGUUUAGCCUUAGACUUUCCUCUCGCCAUUUAUUGUCUUUUAUUUUUUUAGAGGAGUAGGACUUGUAUUUGAAAUUCUUGGAAUAAGUCUAUAUAUAUAUUGCUAUGUGAGUAUAUAUAUUUUUGUGAUUAAGAGUUUUAAAGUAAAGACCUUUCAAUUUCUUGACUAAAUUCUCGUUCGUGUUCGCGAAGGCUCAAUAUUAAAUAAAGAUAGUAUAAAAUAAAAAGGUUUAGAGGUAAGUAACGCCUAAGCUUUUAGUACGAUCAUGAAGUGCUAAAAGUUAAGGUGUUACAUAUUUUUUUUCUCAAUUUCAAUUAUAAUUUCCAUCAUUUUAUUUUAUUCUAUCAUGAAUUAUAUUUAUUGGUUUGGAUAUUGAUGUAGCUUAUUAGGUGAACAAAAAUGUUUGAUAACCAAAAGAAAUUAACUAAAAACAGUCAGAACUUAUUUAAUUUAAUAUUUAUUAAUGUUCAAUAAGAUAAAUUUUAACUUUUUUUUUUAUCUUCCUAAUAUUAUCGUAUGUAAAUUGAUAUAUUAUGAAUUGAUGAUGUUAUUCAAUAAUUUCUGUUUUGAAUCAUAAGUAUUUAUAAUUGUUUUUAAUACUUUUGAAUAAUUGACCAACAUUUAAAUGAUUAUUGAUUUACAAUGACUUGGGAAAGAAUUUGUAAAUAGAGUUAGUUAUUAUGAACACCAAAAAUUAGAGAUAGACAAACAUAAUUUUUGUGACUAAAUUCAAAGAACAACUUCCUUUUCUUAUGUAAUUUUGAACUAAGAGAUUAGUACAUAUACAUUAUUAAUGAGNNNNNNNNNNNNNNNNNNNNNNNNNNNNNNNNNNNNNNNNNNNNNNNNNNNNNNNNNNNNNNNNNNNNNNNNNNNNNNNNNNNNNNNNNNNNNNNNNNNNNNNNNNNNNNNNNNNNNNNNNNNNNNNNNNNNNNNNNNNNNNNNNNNNNUGGCUCAAGGAAGAAGAAGAAGAGAGGGAGAAGGGGAGGAGGAAGGGGACGGUGAUGGCAGGGUUGGGAGCCAUCGUCGCCAUCGAGCACAAAGAGAAAGAGAGACGGUGACGCGAGGAAGAAGAGGAUUGGAUAGAAGGUUGAGGAUUCCAUUCGAUUCAAAUUCUGAUUGCGGUGUGAACGAAUUAGUUUGAGGAUUCUCUAUCGUUGCAUCACAGUUUCUCUCUGAUUGUGAAGUGUAGUGGACACUAUAUCCCAAGAGUGUGGCGGAUACUAUAUCCCAGAUAGCGCUGUCUCCAGUGAGAUGGUAGAAGGUUGAGGAUUCCCUUCUAUAAGGUUGAGGAUUCCUUUCUUAUUGUUCCUCUUUGAGAUGCAUGACAGAGAAACAAUGUCCAAGUUAGCUACUAGAUGUGUCAGAUCUGGCAGUUUAACCAAUACGUAAGCUCACGACCAAUAGGACAGACAUGCAUCAUACUAUAUUUUUUUUAAAUUGAUUGGGUCUGCAUAAUUACUUAAUUUGCCUAAUUGAUAUUUUGUUAACUUCUAAUUUUACUACUUGUCGUAAUUAUUCUCUAUGUGUGAUUGUUUGAUUGUCUGACUGAUUACUUGUGAUUGUGACUUGUUGGUUCGGAUUAUGAUGGAGUGUUGUGGUAAAUUUUGGGCCGGAGGGCAUGGUUGAUUUGAGUUAUAUGUCUUGAUGUAUUGUGGUGUAUUUUUAAGCUGAAGGCCGUGAUUAAGUAAGUUAUAUGCCUUGAUAAGUUUGGUAAAAUUGUUUCUUUGGUAUAUAGUAAAAUGUUACGAAUUAUUGUUGAGAUUAGAAAAUAAAAUAUGAAAUUGGAUUUGAGAUGAUUAAUUGUUAUUGUUCGAAAAGUUGUAUGAAGAUAGGAUUUUUAAAAUGAGAUUGAUGAGGAUUACAACUUAAAUUUGAUAUAAAUUAGAGUUUCGAUUUUUUUUGUUUUGGAUGAAAAAUCACAUAAUUUAGAAUUAGUGAGUAAUAUGCUCAAUGACUUAGAUUUAAGGAAAGGAUAGUUUAACAAAAAGAUUCAUAAGACAAGCAAUGAUCACUGCUGUAAACAAAUUCUCUUUUAUAUAUCCUUUUAUGACAAUUCUAAAACCCUCUGGUGAGACUAUGUGAUUAGGUUCUCACCCCUUACAACCUUAUCUUUUUCAAAAAAACGGACGGAAAGUCUAUGAAGAUUUUACCGAGCAUUCAGUUGUACUUUAAUUGUUUUAUUUUCUUAGAUAUUUUUUCCUCAUCUUUGUUAUUGUUAUUUAUAUUUUGUAAAGAGGGAUAGUAGUUGUGAUUUUAUGCUAUGGCUUUAUAUAUAUGUAUAUGCUUGUAUAAUUAUUCUUGUGAAUGUAAUAGUAUUAUGAUAAUUUGUAUCUAUGUACUUGGUUAAAGAAAAAUAUUUCUGAUUUUUUAAAGAAAAAUUAAUGAGNNNNNNNNNNNNNNNNNNNNNNNNNNNNNNNNNNNNNNNNNNNNNNNNNNNNNNNNNNNNNNNNNNNNNNNNNNNNNNNNNNNNNNNNNNNNNNNNNNNNNNNNNNNNNNNNNNNNNNNNNNNNNNNNNNNNNNNNNNNNNNNNNNNNNNNNNNNNNNNNNNNNNNNNNNNNNNNNNNNNNNNNNNNNNNNAUAUAGAAGUGGUCAUAAUAAUCUCGCUAUCAGAGUGGCCAGCCAGAAGCGUGACAUUCUGGUAGUAAGAGUGUUACAUUAUGGUAUUAGAGCAGUCUUUCCUGUAGAGCCUGAGGAAUAUAAUGACUAUGCUUCAAUUGCAUACUCUAAGCGUCUGUCAUGUUGUAGGUUUUGUCCAGAUGACAAGAGUUAGAGUUUUAUGUGCAUGACUGUUUAUUAAUUAACUCUGUUAGUUUACCGUGAACAUUUGAUGAUAUUCGGUUUAGCCAACUUAAUGCUAUUAGAUUGUGUAUCUGGGAACACUAAUAAAUUAUCAUAGGCAAAAUAAAAUCGAUAAGUAACGGUAAUGGCUAAGUUUGGAAACAUUAGGUAUUCUUCUUCGAUGGGUUUUUAGUUGACAAAUGUGCUUUAAUUGUACUCUUAGUUAUCUCUUGGAUUUUUGAAAUCACAACUCUUGACUGUGCAUUCCUCUACAUGAACUAAGUAACCCCUUGAUGUGAUACGAACGUACUUUGCUAUGAUAUCUCAUAAUCCAUUAUAUUCUCUCGAAGUGUUUGUCUCAGACCUUUUUAAAGAUGUUUUGAUUGAUUCUUAUACAAGAUUUUUCUCGAUUUUGCAUUUUUUUUUAUGGACAAUACAAUUCCUUGAAAAACUCCGAACUUGUUUGGUUGAAUAUAUCUUUUCUUGUAAUUUUCUCCUAAAGUUCUUGUUUGGAUUCUCUUUGAAGAAAUUUUGAUUCAAUUCUUCUCUUGGUUGAAUGUAUCCAUAACAAUUUUUUAAUUUUGAUAAGGUCAUUUUGAAUUUAACAUGCACUCCUUUAUAUGAAGCUUUGAAACAUCUUUAUGUAGUUAAAAUUUGUUUGUUUGUAAUGCACCACUUAUUUUUCUAUUGAUCUAGAGAAAAACUUUACCUCAAUUUUUUUUUAAAUAGAAUUCGAUUUUCUUCUAACUUUGUUGCAACUUUUAUACACAUUUUUUUAUUUGAUUAUAUAUCUAAAUAUCUUUCAAGAUUUUUAAGAAAAUAUCUUUUUCCUUAGACCUAUUUAAUUUCUAUUUUACAAUUUUUGCACAAUUUAUUGCAACUUGAAUCCGUAUUGACAUAAUGUCAGAUUUAUGCUUUUGUUAUUUCCUUUGAAAAGUGUUUAUUUCGUACCCUUCCUUUUAGAGCAUGAAGAUAAUUUUUCCUUAAGUUUUUCAUUCUUUAUGAAUGUUUCAUUCAAUUGUGUUCCUAAUCAUUUUUUUGAAUAUUGUAAACGAUGCCAUUGACUUUAGUCAUUUUUUCUUGUGAGCCUUGUACUUCUUUGGUUUAGCUUGGACUUAUUCCAAACUAACGCACUCUUUUUCCUUUUCUUGUUCCUAUCAAAGUUCUUUGAUUCAAAAUUCUUUUUUAAGAUGGCAGGUUGAUUUUCUCUCUGGCAUACUUUAUUAUUUUUCUAUAUCCUUACUUACUUGAGAUUUCAACCUUUUUUCUAAAUUCUUGUAAACACCAUUCUUAAUUUUUGUUCUUCUAUUCCUAAGUUUUGUAUCCUUCGAGUUAACUCAAGCUUGUAUCGGCGUAACAUACGAUUCCUAGAUAUAACCAUCAAUACAUUAGUUCUUUAUGGCACUAAGUUGUGGAGCUUUGAUUCUCGCAAAAAAAUUUUGUUGAUGUCAGAUUUAUGAUUGGUAAUAGGUUUACAAAGUGAUUGAUGAGAUUAAGAACUCUCAGAUGAGUUGUGAAUUUAAGCUAUGUUAAAGCUGGGAAAAUUGAAAUCUUAAGACUUGAUGUGAAACUGGUUAUUACCAUGGAUAUAUUGGAUGUGUGCCACAGAAUAGAAAAGGAGAUUAUAAAGUAAGAGUGUACUUGGAGAGUGAUAAAUGAGUUAGAAAUUAAAGCGCCUAGUGUUUAAUUAGUCAAGGGAACAAGAGUAUUGGCAUGUUAACCACAUUGUUUUAGCAUAUAUUUAUCUUAAAAAAUUUGCACCCUGUUAUGCUUCUUCUUCAAAUUUUAGUAAAGUGUUAAAACUAUGCAAUAUUUUGUAUAUUAAGUUAAUUUUCGAGGGCGAAAAUUUUUGUAGAUGAGGUAGAAUGUAAGAUAUUGAAUUUUUAGAAAUUAAAUAAUAAGUUAUUUAUGAUUUAUUAUAUUUAUUUAUGGUUUUAUUUUUGAAAAGUUAUUUUUACCAAAAGUAAUUAAAUCAAAGUUACGAGACUUUGAGUUUAAAAUUAAUUAGGACUCAUAUAAUUUUCAACACAAUUGAAUAUUUUCUUAUUUAAAAUUUAAAGCUUUAGUAAUUGAAAAAUAAUAAAAAUUUGUUAAUUUAAUUUGAAUAUUGAGAUUUUGAAUUUAAUUUCAUGAAUAAAAGAAAAUUAUUUUGAUUACCUUUAAUUUUAAAUUAGAGUACUUAUUUAAAAAUAAUUUGUAAGUUGAUAAAAAAAUAGAAUUCUCAAAAAAAUUAUAUUGAACUAUAUUUGGUUUUAAAUUACUAUUCUAUUCCCUAAUUUAAUUUUAUUAAAAUUUUCAAUUUUACUAUUACCCAUUUUUACCCAAAAUAAACCCUAACCCUAACACAACACACUCACCUCACUCCCUCUAACCUCAGUGCUGCCUCCCCCUUUUUUCCACACACCCUCACCCACAAAAAAUGAAGAAGAAGGAAAAGAUAGAAGAGAGGGAUUGAGGAAGAAGGAGAACAGAAGGGGAAGGGAAGGAGGACGGGGACGAUGUUAGCAGGAUGGAGCCAUUGUCACCGUCGAGCACGAAGAGAGAGAGAGAGAGAGAGAAAGAAGGGUAGGGGAAGGACCGUGCGAGAGAGAAGGUGAUGCAAAGAAGAGGAGGACCGUGAGCCGUCGUGCUCAUCAUCAUCGCGAGAAGCCAUUUCUGUCAGCGUUGCGGGUCGUCGUCGUCACUGUUGCUGACCUGCUGCACCGCCAUCGAGCCGUUGUGCCACCGCAAGAGCUGCCCAGAGCCGUUGCUACCGUCACCAAGGACCGCUGUUGAGAGGAGCAGAAAUGGGAGAGGUUGGUGCUGCGGGAGUCACUAUCGGAGGAGGAGGAGACCGCGAUUCUGGUCACGGAAAUCGACGCUGACGUUGCUGGAACCACCGCCAGAGUUACUACUGCUUUGUUCCGUCAUUUGUCCUUAGUUACAGUAAGUAUUUUUAUUCCGGGACCGUCGCCGUUAGUAUUCUAUUAUAAUCUGUUAAAAAUUUUGAGGUAAUAAUGUCUCAAAGCCGUGCUACUACGCUUGCAUGCUGCGUUUGUGGCUGUCACUGUUGCGAGGAGUCAUCGGAGCUACUAGUACUGUUGUUGUUAUUGUUGUGUUUAUGUUGUUGCCGUUGGUUCAGUCGUGUGGUUGAGUCAUGAUCGAUGUAGGGAGUUUUCUGAAAAAAUACUUUUAUUUCGAGCAAUUGUUAUAAAUCGAUAUCCAUGUGAAAAAUGUAUUUUUCUGUAAUUGUGCGAGUCUUAUAGAUUGAAUUGGGCUGUGCUUGAUAAAUGUGUUUGAUUAAAUGCUCAAAUAGAAUGUGGCUGCCUUGUGUGACUAAUUGGUGAAGUUGAUUUGUCUGUGGUUAUGAGCUGUAAUUGGUUUACUGAUUGUCAGAAAAGGUUUGAUUGAAACAUGAUUAUAUAGAGUUGUGGUUAUGUUUGAUUGUGAUUAUGAUUGAGGUUGUGGAGAUGGUGGUUCGUCCUGCCCAUGGUAAGGACGGUGGCUUUGUCUAGCUCACGGAGAAGCAAGUUGAUGUUGAGGAUUUCCUCUCUUGUGUUAUGGUGGACAAGUGAGGUUGAGGAUUUCCUCUCUUGUUACACCAGAAGAUUGGAUAGAAGGUUGAGGAUUCCAUUCGAUUCAAUUUCUGAUUAUGGUGUGAACUAGUUAGGUUGAAGAUUCUCUAUCAUUGCAUCAUAAUUUCUCUCUAAUUGUGAAGUGUGGCAGGUACUAUAUCCCAAGAAUAUAGCGAACACUAUAUCCCAAAUAGCGCUGCCUCCAGUGAGAUGGUGGAAAAUUGAGGAUUCCCUUCUUAUUGCUCCUCCUUGAGAUGCACGACAGAGAGACAAUCUCUGGGUUAGCUACCGGAUGUGUCAGAUCUGGCAGUUCAACCAACACGUGAGCUCACGGCCAGUAGGACAGGCAUGCAUCAUAUUGUAUUUGUUUGAAAUUGCUUGAGUAUGUAUAAUUACUUAUUUUGCCUAAUUGAUUUUAUAUUAACUACUAAUUGUACUACUUGUCAUAAUUUUUCUCUAUGUGUGAUUGUUUGAUUGUCUGUCUGAUUACUUGUGAUUGUGACUUGUUGGUUCGAAUUAUGGUGGAGAGUUGUGGUGAAUUUUGGGAUGGAGACUAUGAUUGUUUGGGUUAGAGACUGUGUUUGAUUUGAGUUAUAUAUCUUGAUGUGUUGUGUAUUUUUGGGCCGUAGUCCAUGAUUGUUUAGGACGGAGGCUGUGAUUGGGUAAGUUAUAUGCCUUGGUAAGUUUGGUGAAAUUGUUUCUUUGCUAUGUAGUGAAAUAUUACAUAAUAUUGUUGAGAUUGAAGUUUUUGUAAAUAAAAUAUGAAAUUGGAUUUGGGAUGAUUAAUUGUUAUUGUUCAAAAAGUUGUAUAAAGACAGGAUUUUAAAAAUGAGAUUGAUGAAUGUUACAACUUAAAUUUGAUAUGAAUAAGAGUUUCGAUGAUUUUUUUGUUUUUGAUGGAAAAUCGCAUAAUUUAAAAUUGGUGAAUAAUAUGUCCAAUGGUCGAGAUUUAAGGAAAGGAUAGUAUGGUAAAAAGAUUCGUAGGACGACUAAUGAAUCUUUUAUGACAAUUUUGAAACACUUUUAAUGAGACCGUGUGGUUAGGUUUUCACCUCUACAUCCCUAUUUUUUUCAAGAAACAGACGGGAAGCCUGUGAAGAUUUUACUAAGUAUUUGGUUGUACUUUAAUUGUUUUAUUUUCUUAGAUAUUUUUCUCUCGCCUUUGUUAUUGUUAUUUACAUUUUGUAAAGAGGGAUAGAAAUUGUGGUUUUAUGAUAUGACUGUGUGUGUAUAUAUUAUUCUUAUAAAUGUAAUAAUAUUGUGAUUAUCUGUAUGUAUGUAUGUACUUGGUUAAAGAAAAUAUUUUCGAUUUUUCAAAGAAAAGUUAAUAAGGAUUGCACGUAAAAGCUUCUACUUAUUAUUAUUUAUAUGGAAGUGGUCAUAAUAUUCUUAUUAUCAGAGUGACACAGUCAAAAGCGUGACAUUCUAAUAAUAAAGGUGUUACGAGUGUUUAUUGAUCUUGAAAAAUACUUGAAACUAGCUAAGAAAAUUAGUCUUUAUAAAUUCUAAUGAAAAAAGUUGAGUUACUAAAUUAAAUAUUUUUAAUUUCAUAAUGAGCUGNNNNNNNNNNNNNNNNNNNNNNNNNNNNNNNNNNNNNNNNNNNNNNNNNNNNNNNNNNNNNNNNNNNNNNNNNNNNNNNNNNNNNNNNNNNNNNNNNNNNNNNNNNNNNNNNNNNNNNNNNNNNNNNNNNNNNNNNNNNNNNNNNNNNNNNNNNNNNNNNNNNNNNNNNNNNNNNNNNNNNNNNNNNNNNNNNNNNNNNNNNNNNNNNNNNNNNNNNUUUACUAAUUGUUUUUGUUAUAUUUAUAUUUCUACUGCAUUUUUUGGCAGACAAUCGAAUCAGUAACAUAAUCAAAUUUUAUCGAUUUAAAUAAUAGUUAAAAAAAUUUGGUACUUGAUAAUUUUUUGUAGAAAUAAUAUUUUAUUCGUAUAUUAUUUAUACAUCUAAUGAAAAAUUGAUCAAUGAAUAGUAUUGAUUCAAAUGCAAGAUAAAUAAAAAAAUAUUAACACCAAAUAUUUUUUUUAAGAAUAUUUAUUUAAAAUGGUCUCCAAAAAAUUUUAAAAUGACCAUUUUGAUCCUCAAUAAAAAUUAAUUAUAUAAUUGAUCUUAAACAUUUUCUAGCAUUAGACGAAUUGAUCGUUUUUGACACUGUUCCAUUAAGUACUAACGGAACAAUUUAACAUGUUACAUCAAACUGGUAACUUAGCUGUUAAGCGCCACAUGUUACAUUAGAACAAAUUGGUCCCCCUUAUGCAAACCAUUUAUCAGGCAGAUAUAUCUUUAAAAAAAUUCAUAUUAGGCAGAUAAGUCCCUGAAAAACUCUUAUAUCAGACAAAUAGAUCCCUAAUUAUUUCAUUUAACAGUCAGCUAAACCCUUCUAUCUUCUCAAUAUCAGAUUUUAUACACAUAAUUCUAAUACUACUUCAUAGUCAUUUGUCUUAUACAAACAUAGUAAUAAGUAUACAAUUAUCCUCACAACACUAUAAAUGUAAUCACAACAAUAUAAAUAUAAUCACAAUAAUAUAAACAUAAACAAUGCAAAUAUAAUCACAACAUUACAAAUAUGUUUAGACCAUAUUAAAAUUUUUUAACACAAGUAUGUUUUCUUGUUACACAUAUCUCUAAUUUUUUUGUCUUCAUAUAUAGAAUGUAGGCCUAUAUAGAAUGUAGGCCUAUUUUCAUAUUAAGAGUUUUUAAAUCAUAUCAAUACAUCUUUUUGUAUGCAUAGUAGCCAAAUUUUUCAAACAUUUUCUUCAAAUGAAAAUAAUUCACUAGGUCAAGAUCCAACCUAAAAAAUUACUUUACAUUAUGAUCUAUGAGCCUAAACAAAUUUGUGCUAAAGAAUUCUAAUAUGGCCAAAACAUAUUUGUAUUGUUGUGAUUUAUUUGCAUUGUUUAUGUUUAUAUUGUUGUGAUUAUAUUUGUAUUGUUGUGCUUAUAUUUGUAGUAGUCUUGUAAAAAUAAUUGCAUACUUGUCACUAUGUUUGUACAAGACAAAUGACUGUGAAGUAGUAUUGGAUUUAUGUUUAUAAAAUCUAGUUUUGGAGAGAUGGAACAGUUUAGCUGAUUAUUAAAUGAAAUGAUUAGAGACCUAUUUGUAUGAUAUAUGAUUUUCUUAGGGACCUAUCUGUCUGAUAAAUGAUUUUUUUAAAGGAGACUAAUUUGUCCCAAUUUAACACGUAAUGGUUAACGGCUGAGUCACCAACUUGACAUAACACGUCAAAUUGUUCUGUUGGUGCUUAAUGGAGCAGUAUCAAAAAUGACCAAUUUGUUUGAUGCCAGAAAACGUUGAAAACAAGAAUAUAAUUAAUUUUUGUUAGAGACCAAAACAUCUACUUUAAAAUUCUUUAGGGACCAAUUUAAAUAAAUACUAUAUUUUAGAAACAAAGAUAUCAUAAUAACAAGUUAACAACAGAAUAAAUUUUAGUAUUUGUUUAGAUAUUAUUAAAUUAUUAAAAAUUAUUUUUUGAAUUAUAAAAAUUACAUUAAUAUUGUUUUAUACAGUUUUUAAAAGAUGUUUUUAAUUUUUUGAAAAAUUAUUGAAAGUGUUAAGUAUGAUUUUAGUUUCUAACGUAGAGGUCGAAAAUUUAUUUCAUCUUUGACCUUUUUUCGCUACAAAAUGGUCCCAAAGGUUUAACUUAGUUUUAAAAUGGUCCUCCGAACUAAAAUACCUAUUCCCCACUAAAAUGCCUAUUCCCCUUCUUCCCCAAAAUCAAGCACAAACACAAGCAGAAGCAGAAGCAGAACCAGAAGCAACUUUUGUUCAAUUUUUAUAAAAAAAAAUUUAAAAUGAUUAAUAUUUCUCAAUUCUUACACUCAAAAUGUAGUCGAUGUAAAAGAAAUAACAAAAAAUAGAAAAAAAAUUUUAAACGGUUCUUGAAAAUUAUUCAAAAACACAACGAAACCUCAAACAAAAAAAAUUAUGUCAAUCCUAGUUGGGACAUAAUGGAUAAAUCAAUUAAUUAAUGUACUAUGUAGAUAUGUUUGGUUUAUUCAAGAGAAAUUAUUAAUAGAGAGACUAACAAAUCUCACAAAAUUAAAAAUUAAAAAUCAAAAACAAAAUUUUUUCAUUAAAAUCUCGUAAUCUUUCAAAAAAAAUUAACAAAAACUGAGAUAGUGAAUUUUAUUAAACUUUCGUAAUCUUUAAAAAAAACAUUAACAGAGACUGAGAUAGUUAUUCACUUUAUGGAUCUUUAUCUAAUUGUCUUUGUCUUCAUUUCAUUUUUAUUAUGGAUCUUUAUCCAAUUGUCUUUACAAAAGAUAGAUACAUGCAAAUAUUUAUGGAUAUUUAUUUUUAAAAAUGUUAAAAAAAUUAAUACAAUUAUUUAAAGUUAUCAGAAUUGACGGAUUGAAAAAUCCCAGUCACAAAAUUGGUCUGAUUAAUAAAUCUGAUUGCAUAAGGAAUAAAACCGAUGAGACCCAGUUUGGCCCAACUGAAUUUAACAAAAACUGAUGAACUAACCGAUGAGACCCAGUUUGGCCCAACUGAAUUUGUGGUCAGGUUAAAAACUUGGACCGGUAUGUUGCAUUUUUUUUGCCCCUCUUCCCAAUGAAACGGCGCGGUUUUUGGCCUUUUGAAGGGAAAAAAUGAAACCCUAAAAGCUACCUUCUGUUGGGAAUAAGGAGUAUGACCACAAUCCAAUCAAUUAUGUAUCAAAUAAUUUAUUGUUGUUAUUAUAUUAAAAUAUUAAUAUAAUAAGAUCUUUGAUUAAAUUUAGAGAUUUAUCAUUGUGAUAGUGAUCAUAAUAUUGAGAGAUAAAACUUUUAUAAUUUAAUCUAAAUUGUUCUUGGUCAUAGGAUUAUUAAAAAGGACACUAAUAAUCCGAAAAGAUCAAUAUAUAUAUAUAUAUAUAUAAUGGUUUUCAUUAGAUGAAGAUUAAUAGAUCUCAUUUAUAAAAUUAUAUAUAUAUAGAUGGUGCAUAUAGAGAUAUGACCAUUGAACUGACUCACUCUGAGAAUUCCUAAUGGUUAUAAUUAUCGCAUAUUUGUCAAUAGGAUAUUCUCAAGAUGAACAUAGUAAUAGAGUUUCCUUUGACCUGCGACUCUUAUAGUAAUUAACAAUGUAUUUAUUAUACUUUGAUUCCGGACACCUAAUACCCUAGGGUGCUAGUUGAAGGCAUAUUGGGUAUGAUUUAAAUAUUUGUAGAAUUAAUGAUUAGUCAAUAAGAAAUCCGUCAACUUUCGGUAAAGAGUUUGAGCUCUACAAUUAUAAUGACUGAGAUGAAUAAAUCCUUAGUCAAGAGGAUUGAAUGAAUGAAGAAAUGAGUUUCUUAGGUCAUUCACAAUUCAUUAUAAUAAUAGUAACAAGUUAGAGUUUGACCAUUAAACCAUACUCUAAGGGUUAACCAAGAGCUGGAAAGAUGGAAGGAAUUAUACUUUGUUCUUCUCGGGUUCUUAGAAAAAAUAUAUUACUUCAUACUAUCGGAUCGUUGAGGAGUGUUGUUAGACGCCAACCUUGAUUAGUAAAUUUAGCAUGACUAAUUUACUACCCACUUAGUAUUGAACCUAUGGGGUCACACACUAACGAGUGUUCUAAUCUUUACUAUAGAAUUAUUUAAUUAUUAUUUUGAUUUAAUCAAAUAAAUAAUUAUAUUAAUUCAAAUGGAAUAUUAUUAUAUUCUUUACUAGCACCAAGAAUAUAAUAAUAGUAUGAUAAUUGAGAAUAUUAAAUGAUAUUUGAGAAUAAUUAGUUAUUUUAUUUCUAAAUUUGGAUGAGAUCUUAACUAAUUCUGUUUUCAAAUUGAGUUAUGAUAUGAUUCAUAAAUUUGAAGGAUCCAGAUUUAUAAUUUCAAGAUAUGAUUUAAAUUUGAAUUAAGAUUCGAAUUUAAAAUCAAUAACAAAUCUCAUAUUAUAUAUAUAUGUAUGCCAAGAGUAGAGGAAUGUGACGGAGAUGAGAAUAAAACAUAAGAGUUUUAUUCCUUUACCUCUACACACAUAAACGUAUGUGAGCCUAAUUCUUGGAGACGAAUUUUAUAGCGUGCAAAGAGUUGCAAGAGGUUUCUCAAUUUAGAUUAGAUGUCCAUUGGUCAAGGAGUUGACAGCAAAGGUUGGCCUCGAUGUGGAUACGUAUAGUGCCUUCGUACCAUCGAAAGAGAAAAUAAUUUUUACUAGCGUACACAGGUAUUUAGAUCUGAUCUAUAUAUUGUAUAUUACUGGAAUAAAGUUUAAGCACAAAAUAGAUCUUUAAGGAUUAUUUUCUUUUCUUUCGCUGCGUGUUAUGAACACAUGGUAAUCCAACAGUAGUAUCAGAGCUUUGGCUUUUUUGUGUUUAAAUUUUUAUUCCUGUAUUUCUAAAAAUUUGUGAAUUAAUCGGAUUAAUUCAAAUUGUUUUUAAGCAUGUGAUGUAUUUAUUUUCAUUGAGAUGGUUUUCUAAUAAACUAAUAGUUAAUUUAUUUUAAUUAUUUAAUUGUGAUUAAAUUAUCAUUCUUUUAAUAUAAAAAUUAUAUUUAUAAUCAAAUAUUUUGUUUAUAUAUUAAAUUUUAUGUGAUUUUGAUCACAAUAAAAGGAAUAAGAUGUAAAAUAUCUUUUGUUUGUUUCUUAUAUAUAUAAGUGUCUAUAUAAAGGUCAAAUUUGAUUUGAUAAUUUUUUAAGGCUAAACGUUAGUAUAUGAAAAAUCAAAUUUUGAUUUUUUUUUUUUACUAAUCAAAUUUUGAUUUGAUUGAUGUGUUUUGAACACUAUAAUUUUAGAAAUUAGUUUUUCUAAUGUUCUUGAUUAUAAAAAGCGGCUUGACAACCAGGAGUUUUAUUUUCAAGAUAACAAUCAGUGUAUACAUUUGAUGUAUUAAGAAUUUAAUUUUAUAUUUUUACCUAGACAACUUAGGAGUAUAAAAUUUAAUCCAAGAAUACUGGUAGAAAUUCUCUAACAAUAGAGAUAAGUCCUAAAAAUUAGGAUAUAUAUUGUCAAAAAUAAAUUUAUCUCUUGUUUACAAGGAAUGACCUAACAACCAGGAUACUUGUAAUCACGGAUAUAAUUUAUUCAUGUAUAUGAUAAUGCAUAAGGAGAAUUAAUUUUAUACUUGAACCUAGACAAUCUAGGGGUAUAAAAUAUAAUUCAGUUAAAUAAUUGUCUGACAACUAGAUAAUUAUUUGGGAUUAUAAUUGUAUGUGAUACAAUUUAAUCAUAUUUAUUUAGAAUAGGUAUGAGUAACAACUUGACAACUAAGGUACUCAUUCAUGAUUCUAAAUAAUUUUAACAGAAAUAUAGAUUUCUUAAUUUACUUUCAUAUUUUAAAUUUUUAAAUAUGUCCAUUUUUGUGUGGCAUACUUGAAAGUAAUGCAUUGGCUACAAUUUAGAAUUGUUUUUUCAAAAAGUUAUCAUUGAGAUGACAAUCCUACUGAAAUAAUAUCUUCCAAUAAAAUUGGUUUUGAAAUGGUUAGAAUUUGUGAAGUAUUUGUAAUAUUAUUUUAUAUGAGUUGUUUUGAUAACUAUAAGUUCUAAUUUCAAAGACAUCUCUCCACUAUUUAUUACUGAACAUCUUGAGAAGAUGUAUGGUGUCCAAAGUAAGAUAGUAUGACUAUCAAAAAUUUUGUUUAAACUAGUGGGAGUAUUGGACGAUAUAUUUUGAAUUAAACAAUUUUAGAAGUUAGAAUGCCAUUAGGCAAAUGGCUUUAGUGAGAAUUGUUCCUGCAAGCAUUUUUGGAGAUUUAUUUUGUUACAAACAAUUUAUAAUUGGCCUUAAUAUGAUUAAUGUUUGUGAGCUUUUUAGAAAAACUCAAUAUGAGUAUUGAGGAUGCCAAUCAAAAUUGCUCUUAAGGGUUGGUUUGACCAAUAAUAAAGAUACUGAGUAUUUUUAUUAUAAGAGUUUAAAGUAAAAUCUCUAAAUAUUUAAUUGAUAUUCUAUUGAAUAAGGAAUGAGAUUCUCUCAAUGCAUAAAUAUUAGUACUCUAUGUACCCUAUCAUAUUUAAAAAAACAUGAAAUUUAAUUUAGUUGAGUAUCAUUAUUAGUUAAAUAUUUGGAUUACAUUUUAGAAACGUGGAUAAAUUAACAAGGUUUUCACUAAAUCAAUUUUAAACCCAUAUAAGAUGUGGAAAAGGCCAUAAACCGAAACUCAAGAACAUUAGAAUUUGGAGAUGUCUUAUAUGUGUUAAGAGAUUGCACAACAAUAGAAUUGAUAUUAGGUCUGAUAAAUGAGAUUUAUUGGUUACCCUGAAGAAAUAAUGAGUAUUAUUUCUAUCACCUUUCUUAAGAUAAAGUAUUUGUGAUAAGAGAUUGAACUCUUUUUUUUUUUUAUAAAAAAGGGAGAUUUCCUCCCAAAGGAAGAUAAGGUGAACAAAUAGAACUUGAUAAAGUCAAGACAUUCAAAAAGUUUGAUUUAUACAAUAUCAAGAAAAACUUUGUAUUUACAAAGAAAAAGUGGGAGUACAAUUAUUUUUAUUAGAAUUGUUUACCACUCAAUAGAGGAUAUACUUUCUCCGGGAAGUAUAAAAUGUUUGAUCGUCAAACUAAAUUUUUGAAAAAGUAACCUAUUUGUAUAAUGAUACAAUUCUAUAAAAAUAGAUCUAAUGGUUACUUAGAUUUUUUUUUAUAAUCAUGCUCAAUAAGGAUUGUCCUUAAAAUAAAAUUAUACACUAUUGUAGUGGGAGAUUUCAUGUUUUGAGAAAAUGUGAUAUUUAUUAUGCACUAGGUAUACCUUGUAAAAGGUCAAGCACAUGUGCUCAAAAGCUAAGGUGUUUAAGGUCAAAAGAGUUUUGAUAAACACAAAUCUGCAUUAAAAAUUAUACACAUGAUUGAUUGGCUCUAGUGCAAGUGGGAGAUUAUUGAGAUAAUAGUAUGCCCAAGAUCCAAUCUAUCAUGAUUGGCUCUUGUGCAAGUGGGAGAUUGUUGGGAAUAAGGAGUAUGACCACAAUCCAUUAAACUGACUCACUCUGAGAAUUCCUAAUGGUUAUAAUUACCGCAUAUUUGUCAAUAGGAUAUUCUCAAGAUGAACAUAGUAAUAGAGUUUCCUUUGACCUGCGACUCUCAUAGUAAUUAUUAACAAUGUAUUUAUUGUACUUUGAUUCCGGACACCUAAUACCCUAAGGUGCUAGUUGAAUGGAUAUUGGGUAUGAUUUAAAUACUUGUAGAAUUAAUUAUUAGUCAAUAAAGAAUCCGUCAACUUUCGGUAAAGAGUUUGAGCUCUACAAUUAUAAUGACUGAGAUGAAUAAAACCUUAGCCAAGGGGAUUGAAUGAAUGAAGAAAUGAGUUUUUUAGGUCAUUCACAAUUCAUUAUAAUAAUAGUAACAAGUUAGAGUUUGACCAUUAAACCAUACUCUAAGGGUUAACCAAGAGCUGGAAAGAUGGAAGGAAUUAUACUUUGUUCUUUUCGGGUUCUUAGUAAAAAUAUAUUACUUCAUACUAUCGGAUCGUUGAGGAGUGUUGCUAAACACCAACCUUGAUUAGUAAAUUUAGUAUGACUAAUUUACUACCCGCUUAGUAUUGAACCUAUGGGGUCACACACUAACGAGUAUUCUAAUCUUUGCUAUAGAAUUAUUUAAUUAUUAUUUUGAUUUAAUCAAAUAAAUAAUUAUAUUAAUUCAAAUAGAAUAUUAUUAUAUUCUUUUUUAGUACCAAGAAUAUAAUAAUAGUAUGAUAAUUGAGAAUAUUAAAUGAGAUUUGAGAAUAAUUAGUUAUUCUAUUUCUAAAUUUGGAUGAGAUCCUAACUGAUUCUGUUUUCAAAUUGAGUUAUGAUAUGAUUCAUAAAUUUGAAGGAUUCAGAUUUAGAAUUUCAAGAUAUAAUUUAAAUUUGAAUUGAGAUUCGAAUUUAAAAUCAAUAACAAAUCUCAUACUAUAUAUAUGUAUGCCAAGAGUAGAGGAAUGAGACGGAGAUGAGAAUAAAACACAAGAGUUUUAUUCCUUUACCUCUACACACAUAAACGUAAGUGAGCCUAAUUCUUGGAGAAGAAUUUUAUGGCGUGCAAAGAGUUGCAAGAGGUUUUUCAAUUUAGAUCAGAUGUCCAUUGGUCAAGGAGUUGACAGCAAAGGUUGGUCUCGAUGUGGAUACGCAUAGCGCCACUACAAGAUUUUUGUUUAUUUGUGGCAGUUUUUUUCCUUAUUUGUGGAGGUUUAUAACCCCCACCAAAUAGUUUGUGGGGGCUUUUUAAAACCCCCAAAAUUUGAGGUGCCACGAGGUUUUUUGUGGAAGUUUUUAAAAACCUCCACUAUCUAUUUAGUGGGGGGUUUUGUAUAUCUUUAGUGGGGGUUUUAUAUUGGACUUUUGUGACGAUUUUAAAUCACUUUUGUGGUAGUUUAAAACCUCCACAAAUUAUUUUUUAAUUUAAAAAAAAUAAUUAUUUUGUGAAAUUUUCAAACCUCUACAAAUCCUGUAAUUAUUUAUUUAUUUUUAAUUUCAAAUUAUUUAUUAAUCUCAUCUCAUUUACAUACUUUUACAUUAGAAAUUUAUUUUUUAAUAUCAAAAAUAGUAAACACACUCAAAGAAAAGUCUUAAACACCAAUUUGGUUCAGAAAUUCCAUAAAAUCACCACAAAACAAGAUAAUCCAAUUAAAUUAAAUACACAAUUGUAAGCUUCAAAGUUAAGCCAAUCCAAUCAAAAACAGAUUAACAUAGCUUGCUACCUAUAAAUGAAUCACAAUUCUCAUGAAAAAUAUAGAAAAAAAAAAUCAAAAGGGUAUUAUGAGGUAAAUCCAAUGAUUUUCAAACUAAAUUGAGUUAACCUGGAUUCAAAACACAUAGAUUUUAAAUGGAAAUGAAUAUAAAUCAAAGUUAAUUUAAUUCUGAACAUGCAUUCAAAACUCAUAAAAAGUUAAAAACAAAAUGAGUAUAUCUAUUCUAAAACAAUACACUUCUUACUAUAUCAAAUACAAAUUAAAAAUAAUAAAUCAAAAUUUUACACUAUAUAUGGUGUGCAGCGAGGUUCAUAACCUAUCCAUCUCACACCAGCUUUGGCAUAUCCAUCAGUCGACGGGACGAAGAAUGAAGAUCUUCUAAUUGAUGCCAUCUUUGUUGCCACAUAUAAUGGAACCUGCAUCAGAAAAAUCUCAAAUCAGAAAUGAAAAAAAAAAAUUCACAAGAAAAGAUCUUAGCCGUGAAAGCAAACUAACCCAUUUCAAUAUGAGAGUCAACUGAAAUAUUUCAUAAAUAAAUUAGACAGGUAUCCAACUUUUAUAAGUUAACAAGAAAAAAAAGGGUGGAGUGAGGGAAAGAAAAAUAUGAAAAUAACAAAGGCAUCCAAGAAUAUUGAAUUGCACUAUGCAUCAACCUAAUCAAAUUCACGAUCGUCGACAAUGUUUUCCAGUUUCUAAAUCCCAUUGACGACGGAAUCAUAUGCAACAUGUCAAUUUCUAAGAGCAUAGGACAAAAACAGAGCACCAUAGCAACUUCAUGUGAAUAAUAAAGAAGUUUAUGAAACAAAAAUGAUGUUAUGAACUAUUUCCAAUCAUCAACUACUAGUUGCUGCUAUUACAAACAUCAAGGAUUCAUAUAAUGUUGCUAAAAAUUGGCAAGGAGAUCCAUGUACCCCAAUAGCAUAUAUGUGGGAAGGUCUAAAUUGUAGUUUUGAAGGCAAAAGUUCUCCAAGAAUCACAUCUUUGUAAGUUAAUGAACUAGAAAUCAGAUCAUGUUUUUAUUCAUUAAUUAACACCAAUCAUAACCUCUUAAUCUGGUUUUUGAAAUGCAACCAGGGAUUUAUCUUCUAGUGAAUUAACAGGGCAGAUAUCAUCCUACAUAUCCAAGCUCAUUAUGUUACAAUACUUGUGAGUAUCUCAUCUAAUAUGGUUUACAAAUGGUGGAACCAAAUUAUUCCAUUUAUAUUUUUCGCUUUCAAUUUUUGUUUUAAAAUUAUUUGAUAUCCCGAAUUGUAAUAAUAAAUGCAUUUCAAUUGCAUGUUUCAGAGAUUCAUCCCAAUCAAAGACUCCAAGUAAAAGACUGAUACUUUAUAGAUUUAAAAAGUCACGAGGCUUUCCAGAGUGCAAAACUGGGUCUUUAAGGUUGAAAAUGAUGGUAAGAGUUGAAAUACAAAUGAAUAGAAAUUAAAACCACUAACCUUAUUGAUGCGGGGAACUAAUUCCUACAAAUUAAAAAUAAUAUUCUUUGUUAUACUCUAUUAUAAAAUAACAGAAUUUUUUAGUUAAAAAAUAUAAGAUCAAUUAUAUAUUCACUGCAUAUCACUGCCUGCAUAUCCACUCUACCAUCCGAAUUAAGUUUUCUUGAAAGGGAAUGCCCCUAUGAAGUACCAGACCAAGUGAAAUAAAUUUAAUAAGCAAGGCAAUUACAAAUACGCAGCUAUAAACUGAAGUAACUUAAUCCAAUAUUAUUAAUUUGAUACCAAAGAAAUAGUAUAUAAAUACCUUUCCAUUAAUGCCUCUGGAAACUCUGUGAGAAGCUUCCCUUGUAGAACUAGCAGCUUCUUUGGCCUCUUCAAAUAUCACCUAAUAUGUUGAAGAUGCCAUCAGAAAACCAACAAUACACUAAUUCACUCUAGAGAGUUAUUAAACCAGAUUCUAAAUGCUCACCCCAUCACUGCCGAUCCUCCUUGUCGUUGACGAAGUAUAGUAUGGUCCAUUAGCACCACCAUAGCGUACGGGUGAGCUCUGGAAGCAGAAUCUUUGAGUUUAAGAUUCAGCUCCUGUUGUUUCCUGCAUAUCACUACCUGUUGCCCUACACUGUUUUAAAUGGACAAAUAAAAAGGUAUCAUAAAUUUAUUCUAUCACAUCAUCGUUAACUUGCAAUACCUAAUGCAACUGACUAAUGUGAUAUUUGAUGUGAUAAAGAGCAAGAUCUUAUUAGAUUAUCUCUUUUUUGUUCUUUUAUUAUUUCUCAAACUUAGAACCUAAACACAAGCCUUAAGCAGUAACCCAAUCCAAAACCAGAGUGCAUAUUCCAUAUAUGAAAAAAAGAGAGUACCUUCACACGAUAUCCCUUCUCCAUCAACUUUUUAACCAUAUCUGCUUUCAUCUUCAGGUCAUCAUUCACUUUGGAAGUCGUGAGAAGCUUGAGUUGAGGCAAUUUUUGCUUCCUCUGCAAUUCAGUUCUCGAAAUCCAUAGAAGAGGUGCAGAAAUAGCAAUCUGGAAUCAUUGAAAUGAUAGAAGCAAGUGAAAAAGCAUCCGUAUGAAGCUGAACUAGGCACAAAUUAGAUUUAACAGAGAUCUCAAAUUCAAUUCACCUCUCUCAAAAACACGGAGAUUGUCUGAACGAGUUCUGAACGGAAGUGAGUGAGAAAAUUUAAGUAUCGAACUAAACAAGAACAAAUUAGGAAGAAAUUCUCACCGCAAUGACUUGAAACGACAUGAAAAUCUAUUCCACGAUAUCUGAUAGCUUCGAAAGCAGCUUCAAUCGAAGCUUCCAGAAACUCCCGCUCGCUCGCCUUCCAGAUCUCCUCAGCCAAUGCCACCGCGUCCGCGCCGAACCACGCUCUGAGUGCUUCAAGCCACCGGAGCAAAAGCAGAACUAGCGGAAGAACCCUAGAAGACGACGCAGAAGCAGAAGAGAGGCUCCACGAUCACCUCGUCCUCCAUUCGUAAUUCCACCGGUGACGUGCUGAUGAAGGAGACAAUGACGGCAACAAUGGCGGUGGCGAUGCCGAUGACAUUGAGAUUCUAGGGUUUCAAAGAGAUCUCACUCUCCCUCGUCCUCUCUCUCUCGAAGCCCUAUUUGAUUUUUUUUCCUCUUUUGAUUGGGCUGAGUUAAUAUUUGUUUUUUUUGGUGACUUGAGUUAAUAUUUGUUUGAGUAUUAUAACCGUGGGACUUUUUGUUAGUUAUUCAGGGAGUUUUAUAAUUUAUCACAAAUAAAAUAUAUUAUGGAGGUUUUAGUAACUCCCAUUAAAAAACUACCACAAAUAAAUAUAAAUUUUGUAGUGCGCCUUCGUACUAUCGAAGGAGAAAGUGAUUUUUACUAGCGUACACAAGUAUUUAGAUCUGAUCUAUAUAUUGUAUAUUAUUAGAAUAAAGUUUAAGCACAAAAUAGAUCUUUAAAGAUUACUUUCUUUUCUUCCGCUGCGUGUUAUGACUACAUGGUAAUCCUUCACCUUCUCCCUCUUCGAGCAGCAGCCGCCCCCAUCUCCCCUAACUCUCUCUCAAUCUCACUCAAGAAGGAGAGCCUCUGACGGUCAAACUACCAAAAAAGCACUCCCCACUGCCACCGCCGGGCUACUCUGCUUUGUAUCGUGACUCUCACGUCGGCCCCUUUGCAUCUCCUUCCUGACUCGUCGCCUCCUAUGCAUGACUGCGUCUUGCGUCAUCGUUGUCACAUCCUACCCCGACGUGGCUCACCGUCGCUGCUGCCUUCUCCUUGCCAGUCUUUGUUUCGCCGUGCUUGGUCUCCCUCUUCUCAGGUAUAUUUUUUAAUUUUAUUCAGUUAUUGACUUAUUUUUUUAUUGGGUUAUAAUUUGAUUAACUGAGAAAGUGAUUAAUGAUAUUGAUUAACUGAAUCUGUUGAUUCUAUAGGAGUUUUACAAUAUAUGAUAAAAAAACAUUCUACAAUAACUCGUUGCAGGAGCAAUUUGAAUUAGAAUGAAUGACUAAAAGGGUCCUUAAGGUCCAGCAACUAAUCAUAUAUAUAGUUAGACUCUAAAGAGCUAAUAACCCUAACACACCUGUAACUUAUCAAACCAACAUCUAACCAAUUUUUACUUAUCAACCUUACUUUUCUUGUUUUGGAGCCAAUCAAUUCUACUGCGUACUACUAAUAGAUUCUUUAUUGUUGUUAAUUGUAUUUGGUUGAUUGUAAUUUGNNNNNNNNNNNNNNNNNNNNNNNNNNNNNNNNNNNNNNNNNNNNNNNNNNNNNNNNNNNNNNNNNNNNNNNNNNNNNNNNNNNNNNNNNNNNNNNNNNNNNNNNNNNNNNNNNNNNNNNNNNNNNNNNNNNNNNNNNNNNNNNNNNNNNNNNNNNNNNNNNNNNNNNNNNNNNNNNNNNNNNNNNNNNNNNNNNNNNNNNNNNNNNNNNNNNNNNNNNNNNNNNNNNNNNNNNNNNNNNNNNNNNNNNNNNNNNNNNNNNNNNNNNNNNNNNNNNNNNNNNNNNNNNNNNNNNNNNNNNNNNNNNNNNNNNNNNNNNNNNNNNUUUUUUAAAACAGAUUAUUCAAUAGUGUAAUAUAUUAUUAUUUUAUAUUAUUGUUGUUCUAUAUUAUUUUAGAAUAGUUUUAUCAAAUAUACCAUCAAAUACACUAUUAAAAAUACCACUCCCAAAAUUUGUUGGCAGAUAAUUCAAAUUUUAUUGAUUCAUUGUAAUAUAUGUAAGUUUAGUGGUUGAUUGAUAUUUUUGUUUUUUUUAUUAUUAGUAUUUAGGUUGAUUUGUUGCUGUUUUUAUAUCAUUAUAGUGAAUUGAGAGACUAUUUUUAUGUUGUUGUUUUUAUAUUAUGUGAAUUUAUAUUGUUGGAUAGCGGAUAAAUUUUGUGAAUUAAACUAUUUUGUUUAUAUUAUUUUAGAUAAUAGAUCAGUUUUGUUAAUUUAUAUUAUUCUGCUCAUGUUUAUUUUGUUGCAUAAUUUUUGAUGGCCUGAUUUUGUUUGCAAGAGUUUAAACUAAAAAAUAUUUGGCACUUCUUAGGUUCUAAAUUUUUCGUGUAAAUGUUCAAAUUUUUGAAACUUUAUUGUUUUCUUCUAUCUUUUAUCUGCAGCACACAACUUUGACAAAUAAUAAUUUGGCAGAAUUAGUUAUUUUUAGAAAUUUAGACGAUUGUUAUUAAAAUAUUUGUGAUAAAUUGACCAUAUGUAUUUUAAAUUUUAAUUUUAAGUUUAAUCCAAUACAAUUCAACUAAAAUUUAUUAUAUUAAAAUACAAAUAUAAAUUUAAUAUAAUCUACAUACAAAAUUUUUUUUAGGUCAUUUAUAGCGUACAAAUGUGGAGAUAAAGAUAUUCUCAUUGAUUGAGCGGUAUGUUGACACCUGGCACUGAGUUAGCUGGGAGGAAGCUUGCGAUAUGUGUCAGGGCUGGCUUGGGAUGGAGCUGGAGCUUAGUUGACGUGAUCAAUCCCCAAAUCUAUAAGUGUAGUUUUACUUGUUGGACUCCGUUUUUUGUGGGUGUGCCUUACUAGACUGCUUAAUGAAUUUAUGAUAUACAAAUUUGGGUAUGUUAAUGGAUUUGACUAUAUCUGUUGUCUAAGUAUUAACUGAAUUGAAAAAUUUGUUAUAAGUAGAAGCAUAUUUAGUCCAAACCCAUAGGGAAGAAAAAGGGAAUGAAAAGAAGGAUAUUUAGUAAAUCUUUGGUACAUAGUAAUCUUCUGCUAAUAUUAAAAAAAUGCAUUAGAUAUUGGAUUUUUUUUUCAAACAUUCGUUCUAAGUAUUUAAAACAAAAUUGAAUGAUGCCUUAAUUUUGGAAUUUUGAAAUUCUACCAGAAAAUCUUAAAUAGUGUCGAAAAAUUAUUCCAAAAGAUAAUAAAAUUUUUUACCCAAAAAAAAAAUUCUUUUCAGUAUUUUAUUUUUAUUUCUAUGAGAAUAAUUAAUUUUUUUGUUAAUAUUUUUUAUCUUGAUUAACGGAACAUGUCUAUAUAACACAUCAAACUGUGAUUUUUUUUUGUUAAUUGUCAAUUAGAAUUGAUAUAUUUUUUUUUUAUGUUAGGGACCUUGUUGUAUUUUAGAGUAAUUAUUAGGAAUCGUUAGNNNNNNNNNNNNNNNNNNNNNNNNNNNUUACAAUAAAUAUAGAAAAGUUCAAAAAUUAUUAUUUUGCACAUUCAAAUAUUCAUAGAUAAAAGUGAAAAAACUAUAAAGUGCUGCAUAUCAUGACUUUAAAAAUAACGGUCAUAACAACGGAAGUAUAGAAGUUUAUCAUUCUCUUAGAGGGAACAAAAUUUCUUUCAAUAGUUUAUUUAAUAUUUUAACAAAAUAAAAAUGAAUUUUACUAGAAUAAAUUUCAAUAUGAGUUGGUGGUUGCACUUUAUUGAUUGAAAAAAAAAGAAAGAAAAAAAGAAAGAAGGAAGAAAAGACAAGUUUAUAGAGUUAGACUUGAGUACUGACGAAUCAUAAUUCACUAUAAUUCUAUUUUUGAACCAGAUAAAGAAAAAAGAAAGAGAUGAAGAAGAUAAAAAAACACUAGAGAAAUACUAUACACAUGUUGGUCGAAUAUUUUUUACCGACUGAAUCGAUCAAAUGGUCGAGUCGAUGAGAGGAGAAUUGAUGAUAAGAGUUUUGAUUCAUUAGAAGUUGUCGAAGGAUGAAGUCAUUAGAUUGAAAGAUCGAAGUGAAAGACAAGCUGAGCGAAAGUGGCAAUUAUUUGGGCUUGUAUUUAGCGGAAACAUUUACUUUAUGAUUAUUUAGAGAUGAUAUUUGAUAGAGUAGGAUUGGUCAAACUAAUCUAUAGAUACUUAGAUAAACAAUGCUUGAAAAGAAUAAGGGAUUGGUCAAAUUAAUCUAGCCGUUGAGAUUGUCUAGCAUGAUAAAAUAUGGUCAUAUCAUCACUCCGAUAGCUGACUCAGCAUCGAAAAUGACAAAGGGACCAAUAUAAUAUCCGGAGCUCUAUUUGGAGGAUCACUAUAAGAAAAUUUAGGCUUCGAUGACCAUUUCGGAAAAUUGCGUGAGUCUAAAGAACUAUUAUAAAAAUUUAUUCGACUUUAACCCAAAGAUUUUGAUCGUAUGCAUUAUGCAUGUUCUCUAUGAGUUGUAACUUGUUUGUGUAAGACCCAUAAAUUUUAGAAAAAAAUCUUAUUAAGAGUUAAUUUUGAUUUAUUUAUUCAUUACGUACCUUAGCCUCAGAAAUUAUUUUAUUAAAGAUAAAUUAAAGCAAAUUUUGAUUAAUUGAGUUUAAAAUAAUUUAAGGUUUUAUCUGAUUUUAUAAUUAUCGAAUUAUUUUCUAAAUUUGAAUAAUAAAGUUUAGCAAAUAUAAAAUAAUAAGAAUUUUAUAUGGCUUGGUUUAAGUAACUGAGGAUGAGAGUAGAGGGGGAUCCGAGAGAGAGGAAGAGAGCGUCGGGGGAGGAGCUGUCUGCACCGCCAUCACGCGUCACCGCCGCCAAGCCUCGUCGCCGUCGCCAUUGGGGCCGCCGAGCCUCGUCGUCGCCACUGGGGCCACCGAGCCGUCACCGUCACUAUUGGGUCGUCAUCACCGCCAGUUCCACCGAGAGGAGAGUUCGCGCGAGGGAGAGGUGACGUCGAGAGAGAGAGCUGCGCGAGGAAGGGGAGUUCUGUCCAACCGUCGCCUCCACUGUCACGAGUUGGGGGUUGUGCCGCCGAAGCUCCGUUGCCAUCCAUGGAGCCGCAAGUGUGCAUCGCGAUCGAGAGGAAGAGCGCCACGUUGAGGGAGAACCAACUGGAGAGAGGGAGAGGUGCUGCGUCUGCUAUGAGCCUGCUAUCGUCACCUUCAUCGUGACUUGUCACUGCUGCUUGUGAGCCUCUUCUCCUGCCAUUCAAGGAGCUGUGCCCGGUUUCCGUUUUUCCACCGUUGGAGCCGCCAUCUCCUUCUCCUUGGUAAGCUUUAGCCCUGUUCUGGUUUUUUCUCAUUGUCGGUCAAAAUUCUGGUAACUAUAAGAGUUGUUGUUGAGAUUGUUUGUGCCAGGGAUUGUUUAUCAUGAGUUGCUCCGUCGUACGCCACCGUUGGAGCCAUCAUUCCGCUGCUGCCCCCUUGCUCUGAGCCGUUCCAUUGUUGCAGCAAGUGUUGUUGUUGUGGCUGCUCGAUUUAGUCGCACCUCUUUAGUAUGGUAAGCUAUUCCUUGAUUCAGUUUCGAACUGUCAGUCACUGUUCUAUUAUAUAUUGUUAAGAUUCUUGUGACAUUAAUGCAAUAGGAUCGAGAUCCAGUCACCGCACGUUGGUGAAUUUAAGUUACUGCUGUGGGUGCAAAUACCGUGGAGCUGAGAUUGCGAUUGUUGCUGAUCACAGGUCGAGAGGAAAGGUUUUCUUUGAUGCGUUUGGUUUGUGGAUUUCGACUUUCCGAGGUAGGGGCACUUUUCUUAAACUUGUUUUACUUUUCAGAGUUGUUAUAAAUCGAUAUUAAUGCGUAAAAUAUAUUUUUUGUGUAAGACCCAGAACCUGUGAAAAGUCUUUUUAUGAUCAAGUCUCAAAUCAUAUGGUUAUUUAUAGCCUUAAUUUCAAAAAUUAUUUUAUUAAAGGUAAUUAAGGCAAGUUUCGAUUUAUUGAAUUUGAGAUAAGUUAUGAUUAUUAUCCAAUUUUACAAUAAUUGGAUUAUUUUCUAUAUUUGAAUUAUAAAGUUGAUAGUUAUGAAAUAAUAAGGAUUUUAUAUGAUUUGGAUUAGAUAAGUAAUAUUUUAAAUAUUAUUACUGCUAUUUUGGAAAAUGAAGAAAUCAAGUAUAUUAUUUCUAAUUAUUUGGUUGGGACAUUUUAUUGAGAAUAAUUUGUGAAAUUGAUGAGUAAAUAGUAUUUUUAUACAUUAUUAUUGUUGGGUUAAAAUUCAUUUCUAGUUACUACUAUAUUGUCCCUAUUUUCAUUUGAAAUUACAAAAGUAAACCUAACCCUAAUUUUUGAAAAUGAACCCCUAACCCUGAAAACCCUAACCCGACCCGUUUCACCCAGUUCCCUAAUGCUACAGCAGCAGCAGCUGCUGCCCCUCUCUACCCUAGACACACAAACACACGCACACAGUGAGACCCAAGGGGGAGAAAGAAAAUGAAAUAGAGGGAGAAGAAGGAAAGAGUUCGCUGGCGGGGGAGUGAGGAGAGCGACGCAGCCGCCGAGCCCAUCACCAUGCCGAUCAUCUUCAUCGCUGCCAGCUGAAGAGAGAUGUGAUGGAGAGGGAGGGUCUGCGAACGGAGGUGUCGCCGUCCCCCUGAGGCCGCAUUGUCGCCACUGCUUCUCCCAACGACGCUGCUGCACGACCCAGAGGAACUCGUCUCCGUUGGAACUGCCGCACCUAAUCCACCCGCGCUGCCGUCGCAGAGCAUAUUUGAGGCGAGGGAGAGGGUCGUGAUGGGGGAAGGGUUGCACUGCCCAGUCGCCGGUCUGCUCGUCGCCAGCGUUGCCGCGAGCUUGCCGCCGCCGUUGUGAAGGAUCCGCCAUUCCCUUGUUGCCGUUGGAGAGAGGGAGAUCGGAACGAGUAAGGGGGAGGAGCGUUGUGUCCGCCACCAUCUGAGCUCGCUGCUGCGGGUGAUGGCAAGCUGAACUGGAGCCAGAAGAGUGUUCAAGCCGCCGUAGGUGCCGCUGCCGGACAAGGGAGUUACGUCUCCGUGAUACUGACCGCCGGGAGUGGUUCUGUGACUUCCGGGACCACCGCCAGAGCCUCUGGUUACUUCUGCCGUCGCCGGAAAACUCUACCGGUAAGGGAUUUGAACUUGGUUUUCAUUCGUUUGAGAUUCCAGAAGCUUUAUCGCCUCUGUAUGUGGGUUUCAGUUACCAACGCCGGAGUUCGGUCGCCGCUGUCGUUUGAGGUGGCUGCCGGGCUGCCGCCGAACCGGUUCAGAGACCGCCGCUGUUCGGUUCAGCCGUUCCUUCUUUGUUUUGGUAAGUAAGUAUUUUCGGAAAGCCUCGCGUUAGUAUUUCGUUGUGUUUGGUUAAUGAAUAUGAAUUUUGGUAACGUGGGGUCGAGUCCUGAUUAUUGUAUGUUGUGAUUAGUGUCGCUAUGGUUAUUGCGGAUGUGGCUUGAAGCUGAGUUUGCAGUUGUUGAUGAUUUCGGGUUGAGGCGGAAAGGACUCUGUGACGCGUUUGAGUUAUGGAAUUUGCGUUUUGAGGUAGGGUGCUUUCCAAAAACUAUAUUCUUAUAUAUUGGAAUUAUUACAUAUGGAUACUGUUGUGAGAUAUUGUGUAUGGAUUUGGCUUGCCUUGAACUGAUUUUGGAUUUUGGGCUGUUGGAAAAGGAUUGUGGAAUGGUUUUGUUGGGACCCGAACCAGGUGGCAAAGUCCAAGUUUUAGGGGAGAUGCUGCCAGAAUUUCUAUAAAAUCCGAGUCUUUAUUGAAAUUUUGUAUGGAAAAAUGAUGAGUUAAAGACUUCUACUAUUUUAUUUGAAUUGUCAAGAAAAGGAUGAUCCAUGCUUUUGAAAUGAAUUAUUAAAGAGGAAAUUGUGAUUUAGUCUUGCUUCUCAAGAAGGGUAUGCUGAGAGCGGCUUUGUUUUAAAAAGGGAACUCACUUUGAGUAAAUUUGGCUUAUGAGCCUGAGAUGAUUUGAGAAAUGAGAUCUUUAAAGCCAAGGCUGAAAAGAGUUGAAACUUGAUUUCAAAGUGAAAUGAAUUGAGAAAAUGAUUUAUGGCUUAAAUGCCGAUUUCAUGAAUUUGAUGAUUUUGAAUGUGGAAGUGCUGUUUUGUUGAGAGCCGGAAUGGCUGUGUAUGAUUACACAUAUUGAUUGGUUCUGGAUUGAACCGUGAGCCGAAAUGGCUGUGAAUGAUAUGAAUAUUGGCUGGUUCUAGAAUGAACCGUGAGCCGGAUGGCUGAGAUGGAUGUUGAUCCAUGGAUGAGAUUGAAUGCAUGUUUAUGCUGAAUCAUUGAUAAAUGUGAAUGUUACACUUCCACUAUCGGAGAUAAGAGUUUCCCUGGGAGAAAGCAGUGGCUAGCCACCACGUGCUCCAGGUUGAGACUCGAAGCUCUUGUGACCCUAUGUCGUAAGUGUGGUCGGGCACUGUGAAAGGCCCGGAUGAGCUCGCCCCCGUGAAUAUACACCAGUGAGGGUGUUGGAUAUGGAUCAUGAUUAUGAUCAAGUUUAUAUUGAGUAUAACUCGAGUUGGGGAUGCGCGACAGAGGGACAGUCCAAUGGUUAGCUACCAAGACUUGUCGGGUUGGCUCUAUAACCGACAGAUGAUAUCAUCAGCCACUAGGGACAGGCAUGCAUCAUAUGCAUCUAUGUGACAUUGUUUGGGUGUGCAUAUUAUACUUGGUGUACCUAUGUGAUUAAUUGCUAAUUGUUCUACUCGCAAUAACUGUUUGUUUGUACUUGCAUCUUCCUAUUUGUGUUUGCUACUGGGAUUCUGUUGGAUUGUGGUGAUUGGUUGUUGGAUGGAUUGUUUGGGCCUAGAGCCGUGGUUGAAUUAAGAUGGACCGAUGGUUGGUUUCGGUUUUGUGGUUAUGGUUUGGGAAAGUAUGAAAGGCUAUUUUGGUUCUGCAUAGAUAAACUGUUUUGAAAGGCUUUUGAGUUUUUGAAAAUUGAACGGUUCUUCUUUCAGAAAAGAUUUCCGACUUUACUUUUAUUGUAAAUCGUUGUUUUUGAAAAGAGGCAUAAGAUGGUUAUUAAUCACUAGUGCGGUUAUCUUCACGUAUCCUAUUACAGUAAUUCCCAAAAACCCUCUACUGAGUACCCUUUCGAGGAUGAUGUUCUCUCCCCCCCUACAUUUUUCCCCUUUCAGGAUAUGGGCGCAGAAGUCACGAAGAGUUUAUUUAGUUGUUGAAAUGCUCUGUAUUGCUUUAGAUUAUUACUUGUUGUACCCUCGCCUUCAUCUUGAUAUAUUCUGUAAGAGGGAUAGGAAUUGUAUUGGUUAAUGCUUGUAAUGUUAUUUAUAAUAUAUGGAUGUACUCUUUAUGAGUUUUUGUAAGUUGUAUGGUAUCUAUGGAUGUACUUUGUCGAACGAAAGUAUUUUUGGGAGCGGUUUUGCGGUUUAAAGUUUUAAACAGGCUCAUAUUUUAGUAUUAAAUAGUAUAAGUGUCGUCAUAAUGUCCAAGCUAUCAGAGUCGCGCAGCCGGAAGCGUGAGCUUUGGUAGUUAGGGUGUUACAUUAUGGUAUCAGAGCAUUCCUUCCUGUAGAGCCUGAGGAAUGGACCGACUAUGCUUCAAUUGCAUACUCUGAGCGUUUGUCAUGUAUUAGGUCUUGUCGAAUUACGAGAAUUAGAGCUUUAUGCACAUGAUGGUCUAUUGAUUAACGCUGUUAGUCUUGCAUUGCAAAAUUCUUGGUAUUAAGUUUGGCCAGCUUAAUACUAGUGAAUUAUGUAUAUGAAGGCACUGAUGGGUUAUCAUAGAUGUUAUACGAGUUUUGAGUAAAGCGAAUCGCGGGUUUUGAGAACGUUGGAAACUAUUUCUCGAGGCUAUUCAGUUGUGUGUCUUGAAUUCUGUUCGAGUCGACCUGUUCUUUCGUAUCCUAACUUGAAGUUCUUGUUUGCUAAUUCUUUUAAAAAGUAGUUUGAUUUUUUUAACUCUAUUCCUCUAUUCAUAUGCAUUCUUGUUUGAUCUCAAUUGCAUAUGCUUGUUUGGAAUCCUUGUUGCAUCUGUCCUUUCUCUGUUUGAGUUCUUCCUGAUUCAAAUAUUCCUUGAUAUAGCUUUGAACUUGUCUUAAUGCGCUGUGCCUUUUAACUCCAGAUUCCGAGUCCAUUCUUGAGAAAUUAUUGAUAAAGUUUUUCUCUUGUUUGACAGUGAUUACAGCCAAUUUUGAGGUUUUAUAAAAAAAAAUUGCUGUUGAUUAGAUAUAUACUUAUCUAUAUAUGAAACUUCAUAUUUCUUAUACAGUUUAACAACUAUUUAUCUCUAAUACCUCGCCUGUACUUUUACUGGUUUACGGAAUUGCACUUACUUUAAAAGUAAAUUGACUUUCUAGUAAUUUUACUAUAGUUCCAAUGCACAUCUUCAAUUGAUUAUGUAUUUGGAAUAUUCUUCAAAAUUUUGAAAAGAAAGGAUUUACCACUUUUGUCUCGGUUGAGUUUCGUUUGAUAAACUUUACUUAAUUCAUUUUGAUUUGAGUUUGAUUUAGCAUACUACAUGGCUUAUGCCAUUGUUGUUCUUUUGAAAAUGUUAGACUCAUAGCUUUCUUCUUAUGAUCGGACUCGCUCCUUCUUAAGCUUUUCACCUCUAUGAAUGUCAUAUGUGAUUCUGUUUUUAAUUAUACAUCUACCUUUUGGGAACACUACAAUCAAUCUCAACUUUCCUUUCUCUGGUGAAUCUCAUUCUUAUGAGUUAGUUUGAUUCGUUUCAAAUUAGUGCAUUGUUUAUUCUCUCAUUCUCUCUACAAUAGUUUUUAGUUAAAGAUUUACCUUUGAGAAAUUACUAAUGAUUGAGUUGUCUUUUCCUAUGACUUUUGUAUUCUUUUGGAUCAAUUGAAAGCUUGUUUGAUGACUCAUGCCUAGUGAAUCUUGUUUGGACUACUUUGGUUUAAGAUCCUUUCUUGCAAGGCUUGACUCCUUUUAAGUACAUUCUAAUCUCCUUGAAUAUCCUUCUGAGAUGGUGAUUUCAAGAACACUUUUGGAGUCUUGUUUUGAACUUUUUAAAGAAGUUUUGAAUUCUCUUUAAAGGAGUUCUAAACUAAAUUUAUUUUUCAACUGCUUGAUUGUAAUGGAAACCAUCAUUCAACUUUGACAAAGUUGUUUUAAAGUGGCAUGCGCUAUUUUAAAUGAGGUUUUGGAAAGCUUCCUUGUUUAGUGGAAAUCGGUUCGUUUGUAACGCACUACUUAUUUCCUUUACCAAAUUGUAAGCAAAUUUUUACUUGGAGUUUCUUUUCUAAAAAGAGUUUAACUUUCUCUUUCGUACUUACUAUAAAUGUUAUACACGCUUGUUUGAAUAUGGACUUUGGGAGUUUCUGAACAAGCAUUUAAUUUCUUUCCUGAGUUUUGUGAAUUACUUUUGGUUAAGAUUGUGCACUUAACUAAUUUUCUAAAAGAGUAAAGUAUCGUUUUUGUCCCCAACGUUUGGGGUAAGUCUUAUUUGUGUCCCUAACGUUUAAAUCGUCUUAUUUGUAUCCCUAACGUUUAUAAAAGUGAUUCAAUGUUAUCCUACGAUCAAUUAUACUAACAAAUUAGAUUAUAUUUUUCAAUUAUUCUCAUUUGGAUGUAUUCAUUAUCAAUUAGGUCUCACUUAGAUGUGUUCGAUUUUAAUAUUAUACCAACUAUUUGUGUUUAAAUUCAAUUAUGUCCCUAGAAAAGUGAAUUAUGUAAAUGUUGUAGGAAUUAGUUUCAACUUUUGAUGAGUUAUUUUUCAGAGUGGAUCACCGAUUUUAUCCCAAACAUUUAUAUUCUAACUUCAAGAGAUUUUUAAAACUCAAACUAAAGCGUUCAUGAUGUGUAAUUGACAGCAAGAUAACAUUGAAUCACGUUUACAAACGUUAGGGAUACAAAUAAGACGAUUUAAACGUUAGGGACACAAAUAGAAUUUACCCCAAACGUUGGGAACAAAAACAAUACUUUACUCUUUUCUAAAAUAUUUGAUGAAAAUAUUUUAGCUCUUAGCCAAGCCGGUGUGCAUCUUGUUUUUAAAACUCUACAUGAUCUAUUUCAACAUGAAAUUGUAUUGAAGUGAAGCCACGUUUAUGCUAUUGCUACUCUCUUGAAGAAUGUUUGUUGCUCAACUUUUCUUCUAGACUGCAAAGUGGUUUUUUUCGCAAGUUUUCGACUCUUUCAUGAACAAUGUAUUCGAAAGUAUUUUUAAUCAUGCUCUUGAGUUCUGUGAGCUUUGUCUUGGGUUUGGAAUAUUCUCUUCUGUAAACCUCAUGCUUCCUCGACUCAGCUUGAGUUUGUUUCAAACUGAUGCACUGGUUUUCUUCUUAUUGAUCCUAGUGAACUUCUUUGAUCUAAGGGUUAUCUUUGAAGUUGUCAAUUGAAUUGUGUCUAGCAAACUUCAUUGCUUGAACAUCCUUGUUUAUCUGGAAUUGGAUAUAUUCUUUCAAAUCUAUGAGUAUUGUCUUUGACAUUUGUCUCUCCUUUCUAAGAUCUCAUAUUCUUCUGAGUAGACUCGAGAAUUGUUUUGAUAUCACGUGCGAUCUGUAGAUAUAGUAACGCGAUGCGUUAGUUCUUUAAGACGUGAUGUGUGCAUACGAAAGUUGAAGCGGUAGGUGUGCAACGUUAAGAGUUGUGGGUGUUUUAUUCCUUGUGAACGGGUUUGCGAACAUUAGGCUUAUGAUCGGAUAUGGGGAUUGUAAAGUGCUUGGUGGAGUUGGGAGAUUGAAGUUCUAAAGUGGGAACGAGAUUUGUCAGCGAACGUUAUGCCGCUGUUUAAAUACCAACAUGCUUUGCAGCCUUUUACCACACUAAUUACCACUUUGCUUGGUGAACGCCUAUCUUGAUUUGCACCCUAUUUUGGCACCUCAAGUUUUUGUAAAGCCUUGAGAUCAUAUGACCUUGUGCAUUGAGCCUAUCUUGUAAUGGUUGCCUUGCAAUCACACUCCUACCCUUGCAUCCUUAUGCAUACGAUAUGAUUAUAUUUUGAGAUGUUUUUGCUUCUUCCUUAAAUGUGUUCAAGGGUGAACUGUUAUGAAAUUUCUUUCGUUUUGUAUCAAUUUUCGAGGACGAAAAUUUUUAUAAGGUGGGUAGAAUGUAAGACCCAGAACCUUUAAAAAGUCUUUUUAUGAUCAAGUCUCAAAUCAUAUGGUUAUUUAUAGCCUUAAUUUCAGAAAUUAUUUUAUUAAAGGUAAUUAAGGCAAGUUUCGAUUUAUUGAAUUUGAGAUAAGUUAUGAUUAUUAUCCAAUUUUAUAAUUAUUGGAUUAUUUUCUAUAUUUGAAUUAUAAAGUUGAUAGUUAUGAAAUAAUAAGGAUUUUAUAUGAUUUGGAUUAGAUAAGUAAUAUUUUAAAUAUUAUUACUGCUAUUUUGGAAAAUGAAUAAAUCAAGUAUAUUAUUUCUAAUUAUUUGGUUGGGACAUUUUAUUGAGAAUAAUUUGUGAAAUUGAUGAGUAAAUAGUAUUUUUAUACAUUAUUAUUGUUGGGUUAAAAUUCAUUUCUAGUUACUACUAUAUUGUCCCUAUUUUCAUUUGAAAUUACAAAAGUAAACAUAACCCUAAUUUUUGAAAAUGAAACCCUAACCCUGAAAACCCUAACCCGACCCGUUUCACCCAGUUCCCUAAUGCUACAGCAGCAGCAGCUGCUGCCCCUCUCUACCCUAGACACACAAACACACGCACACAGUGAGACCCAAGGGGGAGAAAGAAAACGAAAUAGAGGGAGAAGAAGGAAAGAGUUCGCUGGCGGGGAGGUAAGGAGAGCGACGCAGCCGCCGAGCCCAUCACCAUGCCGAUCGUCUUCAUCGCCGCCAGCUGAAGAGAGAUGUCAUGGAGAGGGAGAGUCUGCGGACGGAGGUGUCGCCGUCCCCCUGAGGCCGCAUUGUCGCCACUUCUUCUCCCAACGACGCUGCUGCACGACCCAGAGGAACUCGUCACCGUUGGAACUGCCGCACCUAAUCCACCCGCGCUGCCGUCGCAGAGCAUAUUUGAGGCGAGGGAGAGGGUCGUGAUGGGGGAAGGGUUGCACUGCCCAGUCGCCGGUCUGCUCGUCGCCAGCGUUGCCGCGAGCUUGCCGCCGCCGUUGUGAAGGAUCCGCCAUUCCUUUGUUGCCGCUGGAGAGAGGGAGAUCGGAACGAGUAAGGUGGAGGAGGGUUGUGUUCGCCACCAUCUGAGCUCGCUGCUACGGGUGAUGGCAAGCUGAACUGGAGCCAGAAGAGUGUUCAAGCCGCCGUAGGUGCCGCUGCCGGACAAGGGAGUUACGUCUCCGUCAUACUGACCGUCGGGAGUGGUUCUGUGACUUUCGGGACCACCGCCAGAGCCUCCGGUUACUUCUGUCGUCGCCGGAAAACUCUACCGGUAAGGGCUUUGAACUUGGUUUUCAUUCGUUUCAGAUUUCAGAAGCUUUAUCGCCUCUGUAUGUGGGUUUCAGUUACCAACGCCGGAGUUCGGUCCUCGCUGUCGUUUGAGGUGGCUGCCGGGCUGCCGCCGAACCGGUUCAGAGACCGCCGCUGUUCGAUUCAGCCGUUCCUUCUUUGAUUUGGUAAGUAUGUUUCGGAAAGCCUCGCGUUAGUAUUUCGUUGUGUUUGGUUAAUGAAUAUGAAUUUUGGUAACGUGGGGUCGAGUCCUGAUUAUUGUAUGUUGCGAUUAGUGUCGCUAUGGUUAUUGCGGAUGUGGCUUGAAGCUGAGUUUGCGGUUGUUGAUGAUUUCGGGUUGAGGCGGAAAGGACUCUGUGACGCGUUUGAGUUAUGGAAUUUGCGUUUUAAGGUAGGGCACUUUCCAAAAACUAUAUUCUUAUAUAUUGGAAUUAUUACAUAUGGAUACUGUUGUGAGAUAUUGUGUAUUUGGUGAUUGUAUCUGCCUUAUGUGUCAUUUGAUUGACUCGAGUGAUUAUGGAUGCUGGUUUGGUUGAAUUGUUGUGCGGCUUUGUGAAAUGUAAUGUUUUGAAGUUGAUUCUUUAAAAGAUUUGAAAUCUGAGUUUAAUCCGUUGAGAAUUGGUUUGAAUUGAGUCAAUUAUUUUGAUGAUGUGGAAAAUAGAAUACACUCUUGAAUUCAGCCUGGCUUGCUUUAAAUGAUCUGGUUUUUGAUAAAUGAUUGUUACUGAAUCGUUUCUUUAAAGCUUUGGAAAUGAGUUUAUUCGGCUGAUAACGAUUUGAUUUUUGAAACGGUUUCCUUGAAAUAUGGAAUUGAGAUGACUGUUGGAUUUGGCUUGCCUUGAACUGAUUUUGGAUUUUGGGCUGUUGGAAAAGGAUUGUGGAAUGGUUUUGUUGGGACCCGAACCGGGUGGCAAAGUCCAAGUUUUAGGGGAGAUGCUACCGGAAUUUCUAUAAAAUCCGAGUCUUUAUUGAAAUUUUGUUUGGAAAAAUGAUGAGUUAAAGACUUCUACUAUUUUAUUUGAAUUAUCAAGAAAAGGAUGAUCCAUGCUUUUGAAAUGAAUUAUUAAAGAGGAAAUUGUGAUUUAGUCUUGCUUCUUAAGAAAGGCAUUGUAUCUCUUUCAGAAAAAAGUUAUUUAGAUGAAACGUAUGUUUUAAAGCUGUUUUAAAUGUGACAAGGGCAAUGCCUGAGAAAAUGAUUUAUGGCUUAAAUGCCGAUUUCACGAAUUUGAUGAUUUUGAAUGUGGAAGUGCUGUUUUGUUGAGAGCCGGAAUGGCUGUGUAUGAUUACACAUAUUGAUUGGUUCUGGAUUGAACCGUGAGCCGGAAUGGCUCUGAAUGAUAUGAAUAUUGGCUGGUUCUGGAAUGAACCGUGAGCCGGAUGGCUGAGAUGGAUGUUGAUCCAUGAAUGAGAUUGAAUGCAUGUUUAUGCUGAAUCAUUGAUAAAUGUGAAUGUUGCACUUCCACUAUCGGAGAUAAGAGUUUCCCUGGGAGAAAGCAGUGGCUAGCCACCACGUGCUCCGGGUUGAGACUCGAAGCUCUUGUGACCCUAUGUCGUAAGUGUGGCCGGGCACUGUGAAAGGCCCGGAUGAGCUCGCCCCCGUGAAUAUACACCAGUGAGGGUGUUGGAUAUGGAUCAUGAUUAUGAUCAAGUUUAUAUUGAGUAUAACUCGAGUUGGGAAUGCGCGACAGAGGGACAGUCCAAUAGUUAGCUACCAGGACUUGUCGGGUUGGCUCUAUAACCGACAGAUGAUAUCAUCAGCCACUAGGGACAGGCAUGCAUUAUAUGCAUCUAUGUGACAUUGUUUGGGUGUGCAUAUUAUACUUGGUGUACCUAUGUGAUUAAUUGCUAAUUGUUCUACUCGCAAUAACUGUUUGUUUGUACUUGCAUCUUCCUAUUUGUGUUUGCUACUGGGAUUCUGUUGGAUUGUGGUGAUUGGUUAUUGGAUGGAUUGUUUGGGCCUAGAGCCGUGGUUGAAUUAAGAUGGACCGAUGGUUGGUUUCGGUUUUGUGGUUAUGGUUUGGGAAUGUAUGAAAGGCUAUUUUGGUUCCAGAACCCUUUCGAGGAUGAUGUUCUCACCCCCUACAUUUUUCCCCUUUCAGGAUAUGGGCGCAGAAGUCACGAAGAGUUUAUUUAGUUGUUGAAAUGCUCUGUAUUGCUUUAGAUUAUUACUUGUUGUACCCUCGCCUUCAUCUUGAUAUAUUCUGUAAGAGGGAUAGGAAUUGUAUUGGUUAAUGCUUGUUAUGUUAUUUAUAUAUAUAUAUGUGUAUAUAUAUGGAUGUACUCUUUAUGAGUUUUUGUAAGUUGUAUGGUAUCUAUGGAUGUACUUUGUCGAACGAAAGUAUUUUUGGGAGCGGUUUUGCAGUUUAAAGUUUUAAACAGGCUCAUAUUUUAGUAUUAAAUAGUAUAAGUGUCGUCGUAAUGUACGAGCUAUCAGAGUCGCGCAGUCGAAAGCGUGAGCUUUGGUAGUUAGGGUGUUACAUUUUGUGAUUUCGUAAGUCUUAUGAAUUGAAUUGAGUUGCUUUGGAUGAAUGAGAUUAUUAGUUCGAUUGAUUGGUUGAUCGAUUAAGAAAGUUGAACAUUCUGAUUAGUUGACUGAUGUUAUUAAAGUGGUUUUCCUUGAAUUAUUGGAAGAGAUUUAAUAUUGGCAUUUAGUUUAAUUUUGGAAACGAUUUGAUUUAAUAUUGAAACUUGAUUUGAUAUUGAACCCGAUUUGAUAUCGGAAUUUGAUUUUAAAAACAAAUUUGGAAAGGACUUGAUAUUUGAAAACGGUUUGUUUAUUGAGAAUGAUUUGCUAUUUUGGAAACGAUUCGAAAAGGGCUUGAGGAAUGGUUUGGUUUGAAACUAUUUGAGAAGACCAAAAAUUCUUAAUUAUUGAUUGAUGCUGUUGAUUGAAGUUGGUUUAAAUUGCGAUUUAUAGGAUUGGUUAAUGGAAUUCUGGAUUUUGUAAUUUCCUUAGGUUGAGUGUUGUUAUUGUGAUAAUAGUAAUUGGAAGUGAUUUGAAUGAUUAACAGGUGUUUGGUUUGGUUUGGUUGGGACCCGGAAAGGGUGGCAAAGUCCGAAUUUUAGGGGAGGUGCUGUCGAAAUUUUUAUGAGGAUUUUAUGGAGAUUUUAUUUUUGGUUAAUUGGGAUUUGAAGAAUUAUUUUAAUUGAAUGAUUUGACUAAAGAAAAUAGUAUGGUUUGGGAUUUCUGGUUGGAUAAAAAAUGAUUAUUUAAAUUACUUUUCUACGGAAUGAAUUUGGUUUUGUUAAUUACAAAGAGGAGUAUGUUUUCAGGUAUUUGAUUGAACGGAAACGAAUUUUAUUAAAUUAAUACGAAUCAGAGAAUUAUGGUUUAAGGAUUUUGAUGAAUUUAAAGAAAUGAGCCCCUAAAGCUUAGAGGUUUUGCCAUGAAAUUUGAUUAAUUGAGGAAGUGCGGAAGGUUGCGAAUAUGCCGAAGAUGCAUAUAUGAGUUAAUGAAUGUAUGAAUGGUUUAUAAUGAAUUUGAAAAUGAAACUGAUUUUGAGCUUGACCUGGCAAGGAUCGUGGUGAUUUACCACUUGUCCAGUGUCGAUAUGUUGUGGGGAUCGUGGUUAGUUACUGCCCACGUGUGUGUUGUUUUCCAAUUGAAAAUGUCUGUGAGGAUCGAGGUGGUUUACUUCCCGCAGAUGGUGGGGAUCGAGGUGGUUUACCGCCCACCAGGUGAGGAUCAUGGUACUGUACCGCUCACCAGUUUUCAAGAGGACGAUGCCCGGGUUAGCUACCGGACAUGUCGGGUUGGCUAUAUAACCGACAAAUGAGCUCAUUAGCCAUAGGACAGGCAUGCAUCAUAUGCAUUUGUAUGCUUUCCUUCCGUUUGAACUUGUUUUGCCUAAUUGUUAAACUGUUUUUAACUGCUACCUGAACUAUUUGCUGUAACUGCUACCUAAACCUGCGUUUUCCUUGUCUAUUUUGCCUGUGUUUGUCCCGGUGUGCUACAUUUGAGAAUGGACUUUGGUGCUAAAUUAAUGAUUGUGUUGAUUGAUUGCGUGGUUGGUUUCUGAUUAGGAUUUUCUCAUAAGAAAAGAAAGGUUCUAGAUUUCUGAAAGGUUAAACAUUGUUUUUUUGAAAAGGUUUUGAAUGAUUAGCUAUUGGUUUUUAAAAGAUUCAUAAGGCAAUGAUAAUCACUGAGCUUGAAAACAGUUUUCUUAUUAAAUAUCUUAUGACAAUUCUAAAACUCCGUGGUGAGACCGUGUGGUUGGGUUCUCACCCCCCUACAGCUUUACCUUUUCAGGAAUCGGAUGAAGGAGCAUUAUGAAGAGUUAUACUGCGUUUUGGUUUAUAUGAUAUUGUAUUAAUUAGAUAAUCUUUCUUCCCUCGUCUUUGUUAUUAUAAUUUUAUAAGAGGGAUAUGAGUUGUAUGUUUUAUAUGUAUAUUACAAUAUAAGCUAUUAUGUAAGAAGUCUUGUAUAUAAUUCUAUACCUGUUUGUUUUUUUUAGGUAAUGUAUUUAUUUCUGGUUAAAAAAAAAAUUAGCGAUACGGUGUCGAGUCAUAGGCUCCUAUUUUAAUAUUAAGUAUAUAAAGUAGUCGUAAUACUUCUUGCUAUUUUUGUAAUAAAUCAAUAAUCAGUUUAUUUAUAUUGUGUAAUAUAAUUGAAAUAUUAACUAAUGAAAUAUAUCUAUUGAAUAAAAUAUUUAUUAUCACAAAAAAAUUAGGAAAAAGGUCAUACUGUGAAAUGAAUAUUUUAUUAAAAGCACAUUUAGUUAAAGGUAUGACGGUUGGGUGGAACAUAUCAGCCAAGUAUCAAAUUAUCCGUUUUAUAUUUUGAUCAUAGUGCAAUAAGUAUAAUAUAUUUAGCACCAACGAACUAUAACUCAAAUGGCAUAGUUUCUCUAUACUCAUUCAAGAAGUUGUGGGUUCGAGUCUUCCUAUCUUCGAUAAAAAAAAGGUAUAGUAUAUUUAGUUAUAGUCCAAUUCUUUUAUACUGAAGAUGGUCGAAAGUAUUUAGAAAGAUGAUAUAUUUUCGGCAUUCGGGGUAAGGGUUAGCUUAUAUAGUUUAAGGUUUGAAUGUAUAGAAUUUGGAUUUAAGUUUAGAGUUAUAAUUAGGGUUAAGUACGAUUUUGGUCUCUAACGUAGAGGUCAAAAAUUUAUUUUGUCUCUGUCUUUUUUUCGCUACAAAUAUGGUCCCGAAGGUUUCAGUUUAUUUUAAAAUCGUCCUUUUUACCAAAAUUUUAAUUUUUAUUCCAAAAAUACUCCUAAGUAAAAAAAAAAACAAAAACAUUGAAUAAGGGGGAAAGGGGGACAUUUAACCAAAUUUUAAAUUUUUAUUCCAGAAAUACCCCUAACUUAAAUUAAAAAAAAAACACACACACACACACACACAAAAUGUUGAAUAUGGGGGAAUGGAUUCAAUUCACGCUGGUUCAGGGAAGGGAAGGAAAGAGGGGAAAGAAAAGGGGGAAGGGAAGGUGGGGAAGAGAAGGGUAAGGGCCGCCGCCGCCGCUGCUCCUCUCCCCUUCGCGCUAACCCUAGAGCAACCGCGACCCUCUCCCCUCUUUCUCUCCUUCCCUGUCUCGGAUCUCCUCGAACCAGAGCUCACCGCCGGUGAGCCUCCCCUGCUUCACCACUGCGCAGCAACGUGGAGCCUCCCUUGCUUCACCAUUGCCAGCGAGCCUCCCCUGCUUUCCCUCCCUCAAUCCCUGUCGCAGAAGGAACCAGAGCCACCACUGCCUGUUACCCUCCCUCCAGCCCCUUCCUGUCAUGCCCAGACCGCCGGCGCUCCACCACUGCCUCCCCUGUCCCCUCUUUUCUAUUUUUGGUUAGUGUUAGUUCCUUGAUUUAAUUUUGGAUUAGUUUAGCUAGAUUUUAAUUUUCUAUUAGUUGAUUUUAGGUUAUUGAAUUGCUGAAAAUUGCUGCUGAAUUAUCGUUGUUGUUGUUGAAUUAGCUUAGCUUUGAUAGAAUUAGCUUAGGUUAUUGAAUUUCUAUUAAUGGUUAAUUGUAUACAUAAUUUUAGUAGGUUGAUAGUCCAAAAGUGUUGUAUGUUAUUCUUAUGAAAAUUUGAGUUUCAUUGAGAGUUUUCUAUUAUUUUUACUUAAUAUUUUGGACAAUAUUUUUACAUCAAAGGAAUAUUCCACCAAGAUGAAGAGUUGCAUAUGAAAGUAUUGAAUCCGAUUCAUCCUAUAACUUCAGAGUUGUUUAACAUAUCUCUUUCAGAGUUUAUCAUUGAAUAUUUUAUUUGUAAGUUUUAUCUUUUUUUAUUUCAUUUCGGUAGGAAAAGGCAUUUAAGUGAGACAUUAAAAAAAAGUCAUAGAGAAAAAAGACAAAGAGAUACUUAGAGAAAAAAGUCAAAGUUUAUGUCUAAUUUUUUUUUAUUGUAUUUCUAUUUUGAAUCUUGUAUGUGAGAUGUAUCUCUUAUUAAGUUGGGUGAGCACUUAGUGUGUUGUGAGUCUAGAAAGUGAACCUAGGCAAAUCAAGAUUAGUUAGAAGUUUGGUUUGUUCUUAUAGGAUUAGAUUAAAUUUUUGGGAAUUGGUGUUUAUGAUAUUUGAAAAGAUAGUGAAAAUUCUACCACUAUUGUGAUAGAGACUGAAUGUAGAUUACAUGGUACAAGAUAGUUGAACUAGGAUACAUGGCUAUGUCUUCUUCUCUUUCUUGUUUGGUUUUUGUUUUUGUUCUUUAGAAGAUAAAAUAAAAUUAUCUCAUGCAUAAUCAAUCUUACAUUUUUUUUAUUUGAGAAUUAAUUAAUUAAGUUUAAAAAAAAUAUAAAUUUAACUCCUUAUUCUCUAGGCCUUAAAAAACCUUCAUAACUGAAAGAGAUAGNNNNNNNNNNNNNNNNNNNNNNNNNNNNNNNNNNNNNNUCGCAUCAUUCGCAUCAUUCUUCUACGCGAUUUAUACAUUAAAAUAAUAUUUUAGAUGAAAGGAAUUAAAAAAGUAAUCCACAUGAUAUGAACAACAACGCAUGUUAAAAAAAAUCACACAUUUACUGUAGUUACUGGUCUAUUAGGACAAGUAGGAGAAUAUGUAAAACGGCUUGGCUUGGACUCUUCAACAAGGCUUCACAAGAAUUCAAACAACUUGAUCAGAAUCUUUAAUCAGAAUUUCUAAUCAUUUAUUACACGUGUCGUUCAACUAUGUAAAUCUGUAUAAAAUUAUAUGUAUACACUAGAAUGACCUUUUUUUUAACAUACACAUUGAUUCAGAUGGGUUUCGUGAAAAAUAGAUUAAGUGAAAAAUAAUAGUUAAGAUGAGAGAUUAGGGGUAAGUAAACUUGUGAGGAAGACACUUCUAUUAAUGGCAAAUAAGCAAUACAAGAACUAAUAUUGAGGAAGAGAGGUGGAGAACAAGUGUUGAGACCUCCACUAAUGUCACAAGAGGAUGAAUGAGCUUUGUUUAAAGUGGACAGGAAUGGUUUACAGAGAAGAGAAGCUCUCAGAAGAGGAUGAAGGUGAAGGUGAAAAAGUGAAAGUGAAGGUGAAAAGGGUUUCAAGGUCUGUGAAGAAGAUGAUCAAGGUGAAAGUGAAAAGUGAGAGUGAAGGAUGAAGGAUGAAGGAAAAGAUAAAAAAGGUUGAAAGGUGAAGGUGAAAAGCGAAGUGCUUUACAGAGGUGGCUUGGGGUCCUUUUUAUAGUGUAAAACCAUGAUGAAGAGGACACCCUUGGCCAAUGGUUUUAGUCUGACAUUUGGUUUACUGCUCUUUCCAAAAUAUCUUUAGGUAUUUGGGAUCACCUCAAGUCUUGUCCACUGAAAAGGGUAGGAAGUUGAUUCCCACACGUUAAACUAAAGCUCGUGACAUGUGACAUUAGUGAAGGGACAUCUAGUUUAGUUUUCUUUCAACUAGAUGACACCUUUACACUCCAAAUCCAACCAAUCCACUUCCACCAAUAUAGUUCCCACUGAAGAGAAAUUUAACUCCUCAAGGUGUUCUUUUUGGUUCCAUCCUUUUAGCCCAAUACCUUUAGGAGGAACUUAACUCUUUUUUGACCAUGUUUGUAGGUCAUUAUAAAAAUAAAUUAUGUACAAAAAAGGUUUAUAUUUUUAGUACACAAUCAUAAGCCCCCAUGCAGUAUUUGAGGGUACAAAGUAUUCCCUCAAGCUACAUUAAACUUUUUUGUACUCAACAGAACAAGAAUAAUAAUUUUUUUUUAAGAAGCUAACAUAUCAUAACUCUAAAGAAUCAAAUCUUCCAUCUUUUAUUCAUUUUUUGUUAUAAUAAGAUAUGUAUUUGUAAAUAUUAUGAUAUUCAAAUAUAAAUAUGUCUGUAUAAUUUAUUAUGUACCGAGCCCUCUAAUGGUUUAUGUACUAAAAAAAAAUGAAUAAAAGAAUGUUAUUGUGCAAAUAUUUAAAAUAUUAAUAAAAUAAAUAAAUAAGUAGUAUAUAUAUUCAUAAUUUAUUUGUAUGAAAAAAGAGGGAUGAUUUGAUUUAAUAUAAUAAUUUAAUAUAUAAGGGAAUAAGAAGGGGAGAAAUUCUUACCCUUUUAAUUGGACGCGUUUUAAAUUUGAGUACCUGAAUUUGGAGAGACACAUAAGGAGAGAGAACACCUGAAGGGUAGGGGAGAGGUGUUCCUCAUCAUCUCUGCUGGGCAUUUUUUUACACAGCGCAGUAUCAUCACUACUAUCACCACCAUCAUCCAAAUCCUCUGUCUUCUUCAACAAUUGGGAGUUUUUCUUAGGGCAAAGGACACUCCCACAUUCAACUUCGUUCUGUUCUUUUUACUCUGUCUUCUUACUUGGUAAGACCCUUUUUCUUCUUUUUCUUGUUUUUGUAUUAACCCCUCUCAGCCCCAUGUAUAUUGGGUUGCUAAUUUUGGAAUUAGCUAUAGGAAUUUUUGAUAAAGAUCUUUCUCCUUACAACCUUGGAUGUUAUAUCCUCAUUUGUAUACGUUUUCAAUGAAAUCACAAAUAAAAAAGAAAUUGAAUUAAAAUUAUGAGCAAUGUUCAUUUGUAACCAUAAAUAGAUAUUUAAAAAUAAAAAUAAUUUAUUUUAAUUAAUUUUUUUUUUGCAGGGAGAGUGUAUGAUUUUAAGAAAAGCAGUAGCCAUUUUUUUUUAGGCCAAAAAAAGGAAGGUACCCAUAACUUUCUUGCCCUGUUUAUGCUCGACUCUUUUUAGGAGCUUGGAGGGUGGGACACUUCACUUUUUCGAAACAGUUCCAAAAAAAAGGAAGGUACCCAUAACUUUCUUGCUCUAUUUAUGCUCGACUAUUUUUAGGAGCUUGGAGGGUGGGACGCUUCACUUUUUUGGAACUAUUUUGUACUGCAAAUUUCUUAAGAUGCAUCACUCACAUUUUGAGUGUAUGAUUGCUAAAGCAGUUUUCUCAUGCAUUGCAGGAUGCUUGCAGAAUAAUAUAACAUAAACAUUGGCUCUUGAUAAAGAAGCCUUUUGGAAUUAAAAUUCUAACUUCUAAAACUGAAAUUAGGCAUAGUACUAUUUAACGUACUUGAAAUUGAUGGGGCCGAUGGUUGUUCCAUGAUUUGGGUCCAGCAAGAUGCGGUGUCCGUUGGGGUGUACCUCAGAAACAAUGUAAGGACCCUCCCAUUUGGGAGCCCAUUUUGGCAAAGACAUUUUCCUUAUUACUGCGUCUACUGAUUUUUGGUACCAGAUCUCCCUCUAGGAACACCCUGGGCCGAAUGUGCUUGUCAUAAGCUAAUGCCAGUCUCUGAUGAUAUUCUUCCAUCUUGCUUCCCACAACUUCUCUUUUUCCUUCCAACUCUUGUAACUCAGCUUCACGAUCCCUUGACUUUUAGAAUACGCGUCAACUAUCUACAAGUAGUUGGGGUGUUCUCGUCUUCCUUUAUAUUCUCUAGAUUCGCGAACAGAGGUGGUGAGGGAGUUCUAUACCUCGUUUGAUCUCUAGCCAUCAUGUCGAAGUGUUCCUCCCCAGUGGAGUCGCCAGAUGAUUCGGGUGGGUUUCGUGAAAAAUAGAUUAAGUGAAAAAUAAUAGUUAAGAUGAGAGAUUAGGGGUAAGUAAACUUGUGAGGAAGACACUUCUAUUAAUGGCAAAUAAGCAAUACAAGAACUAAUAUUGAGGAAGAGAGGUGGAGAACAAGUGUUGAGACCUCUACUAAUGUCACAAGAGGAUGAAUGAGCUUUGUUUAAAGUGGACAGGAAUGGUUUACAGAGAAGAGAAGCUCUCAGAAGAGGAUGAAGGUGAAGGUGAAAAAGUGAAAGUGAAGGUGAAAAGGGUUUCAAGGUCUGUGAAGAAGAUGAUCAAGGUGAAAGUGAAAAGUGAGAGUGAAGAAUGAAGGAUGAAGAAAAAGAUAAAAAAGGUUGAAAGGUGAAGGUGAAAAGCGAAGUGCUUUACAGAGGUGGCUUGGGGUCCUUUUUAUAGUGUAAAACCAUGAUGAAGAGGACACCCUUGGCCAAUGGUUUUAGUCUGACAUUUGGUUUACUGCUCUUUCCAAAAUAUCUUUAGGUAUUUGGGAUCACCUCAAGUCUUGUCCACUGAAAAGGGUAGGAAGUUGAUUCCCACACGUUAAACUAAAGCUCCUGACAUGUGACAUUAGUGAAGGGACAUCUAAUUUGGUUUUCUUUCAACUAGAUGACACCUUUAUACUCCAAAUCCAACCAAUCCACUUCCACCAAUAUAGUUCCCACUGAAGAGAAAUUCAACUCAUCAAGGUGUUCUUUUGGGUUCCAUCCUUUUAGCUCAAUACCUUUAGGAGGAACUUAACUCUUUUUUGACCAUGUUUGUAGGUCAUUAUAAAAAUAGAUUAUGUACAAAAAAGAUUUAUAUUUUUAGUACACAAUCACACAUUAAAAAAUAAAAUAGAAAUAAUUUUUAAUAAAAUAAUAUAACAAUUUUUCUAUAUAGGUGAGAGUAUUUUAACAAUUUCAUCCUUGGUACAAUCAACAUGCAUGGUUUUCUUAUGCGUGCGUUUUUCACGUCAUCACGUGGAACCAGCAAGGCAGCAAACCCCGCCCGUAUAAACCGUGCUAAUAACUUUAAUAAUCGUUCUGUAACAAUUAAUAGAGUCGCUCUAAAUACAAUAAUAUUGUCUCCCUAGCUCUAAAUAAUAUAGCGGUCAAUAAAUACACAACAUCAAUAAUAGAGCGGUCAAUAAUAUUACUGAAAGAUUUAUCCUUAGCACUAUUGUUGAGAGAGUGAUGAAAACAGAGAAGACAAGGAACUCUGCAGAAUCUAAAGUUAUUUUAUUUGUAUUUUUAAGUAGGUCAAUUAAUAGAUGUAAAUUUAUACAAAAAAUACAUAUAUUAGUAACACUGUUGAUACACAUAUAUUUAUACACGUAUAUUUAUACAUAUAUUUUUAAAGAUGUAAAUUUAUACAAAAAAAUACAUAUAUUUAUUUUAAUCUAUACAAAUUAUUAUUUAAUAAUAUUAGUAACACUGUNNNNNNNNNNNNNNNNNNNNNNNNNNNNNNNNNNNNNNNNNNNNNNNUACACGUAAUAUUUUUUAAUAAAAAAUACUACAACAUCCAUAUUUUUUUAGAUCGCAUAAAAAUAUACAAUAUUGCAUAACUCUCAUUGUUAGUCACCGAUUAUAACAUCCGAAAAAUCUUCAUAGUAAUAUCUAAAAUUACUUAAUUAUACAAAAUAUGCAAUAUAUUAGCUAGAUAUAUAAACAUAUAAUAACACUAUUUCAUAAUUAUAAGAAGUAUCUACAUCUUUCAAGUAAAAAAAGCUCAAAAUAUUUUUUAAAUAGCUACAUAUUUAAAUUUUUUUAUAAAUCAAAUUCAACCAAAUUAUUAAAUAAUAAGACUUAGAAUAAUAUUAUAUAUUUAUAAUUAAUUUUUAUUAAUAUUAGAUUAAUUUAGUUAAACUUAAUAAUUAACAAAAAUAUUUAGAUAUAUAACAUUAUUUAUAUUUCUUUUAAUGUGAUUGAAGACAAUGAAAUUAAAGCGAAGAUCACAAAAAUAUUAAUUAUCAGGAUUUAAAAUAAAAGUUUUUUUUUAAAAUGAUAUAUAUGCAUAUUCGUACGAAUUUAAAUAGAUAUAAUUUAAAUUAAUAAUUUAAUUUAAUUUGAUAAAAAUAAAUGUAGUCGUAUUUUUGUACUCAUAAGAACAACAACAAUUAUGUUUAGUAAAAUAACUUUUAAAAAAAUUAAUUUAACAACAAUGGACGAACUUGUUAGUUUUAAUGAAGUUCGCUGAUGCAGUGGACAAAUUUUAACAAAAUCUACAAAUUUGUCGAUACAAUGGACAAACUUGCUCUAGUUUAAACAAAAAACGGAUUUUGAAAAAUAAAGAUGAAAAAAUUUGUUUUGGGAAAUAAUAACUUUUUGAAUUUAUUUCAGAUUUUUUUCUAAAAUUAGUCACUAAAAAUGAGAUAUUAUGUAUUUGUGUAUAAAUAUAUAUAUAGUUUAACUUAUUUUUAAUAUGUAUUUUAUAUUUUAAUGUGUAUUCUACUUUAAUAGUUAAUUUAGUAGUUAAGUUUACGAUUAUGCUAAGUGUACAUCAAAAUCAGCCACCAAUAUAAAAUAUAUAUAUUGAAAUAUAAAUACACAUUAAAAAUAAAUUAAAUCACACAUACAUAUAGUAUACACAAAUAUAUUAGUGACUGAUUUUAGUGGUAGAAUUUAGUAUAAAAAUAAUAUUUUUGUUAAUUUAAUAUACACCUAAAAUAGCGUGAUUCUUAAAUAAGAAUUAUUCUCCAUAUCCAAACAAUUUUAACAUCUAAGUGAUUUAGAGUCACGCGCUUCUUGUUUCAAAUUCACUUCUUCUUCUUCUUCUUCUUAUUCUUCUUCUUCUUCACUUUCGUUAUUGUCAUCACCAACACCACGACCUCCUCCUCCUCCUCCUCCUCCUCCUCCUCUUCCUUUUCUCAUUGGAAUUUCUUCUACUCCUUCUUUUUCAUCAUUCUCUUCCAUCAUCAUCAUAAUCAUUAUCUCGCUAUCGUCAUUGUCGUCUUCUUCUAAUACGUAUCGUCUUUAUCGUUAUCAUUUCAUUCGGAAUAUAAUUUCGGUUCAUUUUAGAUUUAAAUAAGGUGCACUUAGUCAGUGCUUAUUUUGAAACGAGUUUAUAUUCUAAAUUUAAUUUUCGAUUCAUUCUUAAAUAUAAUUUCGGUUCAUUUCUGAGUGAAAGAUGCAUUUGGUCUCGUUGUUCUGCAAAAUUCAAAACUCUUCCUCCUCAACUUUUACUGCUUCUUCUUCUUUUUUAUUUUUAUCUUCUUCAUCUUUUUCUUCUUAUUUCAUUUGUUAUAAUUUUUCUUAUUUCACUCUUGAGAAGAAUAAAACAAAAAAAAAGGAAGAAAAAUCAAACAAAAAAAACAAGAAUAAAAAAUUCCUCAUCGUAUUCUUCUUCUUCUUGUCUUGUUUAUCUAAUCAAACAAAGAAGAAGAAACAAAUAAUGCUCUAAAAUUAUUUGAUGAAUUUGGAUGUGUUUUUGUUCAUGAUUCAAUUUUGUUUGUAUGUUUAUUUUCGAACUGAGUUUGUGUGUUGCAAUUAUUAAAUAAUUUUGGUUUAUUCUGGAUUUAAAUAAGAUGCAUUUAGUCUAUGCUUAUUUUGAAAUGAGUUUACAUUUUAUAUUUAAUUUUCAGUUCAUUCUAAAUAUAAUUUCGGUUCAUUUCUGAGUGAAUUAAGGUGCAUUUGGUUUCGUUAUUUUGCACAAUUCAAAAUUCUUCCUCCUCAUCUUCUACAAUCACUUGAUGGAUUUGGAUAUGUUUUUGUUCAUGAUUCAAUUUUGUUUGUGUGUUUAUUUUUGAAUUGAGUUUGUAUGUCUCAAUCAUUAAAUAAUUUCAUUUCAUUCUAGAUUUAAAUAAGAUGCACUUGGUCUGUGCUUAUUUUAAAACGAGUUUACAUUCUGAAUUUAAUUUUCGGUUCAUUCUAAAUAUAAUUUCGAUUCAUUUCUGAGUGAAUUAAGGUGCAUUUGAUCACGUUAUUAUGCACAAUUCAAAACUCUUCCUCCUCACCUUCUACAAUCACUUAAUGGAUUUAGAUGUGUUUUUGUUCAUGAUUCAAUUUUGUUUGUGUGUUUGUUUUUUAAUUGAGUUUGUGUAUCACAAUUAUUACGUAAUUUCGGUUUAUUAUGGAUUUAAAUAAGGUAUACUUGGUUUGUGCUUGUUUUGAAACGAGUUUAUAUUCUGAAUUUAAUUUUCGGUUCAUUUUAUUUGAAUAUAUAAUUUCGGUUCAUUUUAAAGUGAAUUAAGGUGCAUUUGGUUUCGUUGUUCUGCACAAUUCAAAACUCUUUCUCCUCAUCUUCCACAAUCACUUGAUGGAUUUGAUGCGUUUUUCAUGAUUCAAUUUUGUUUGUGUGUUUGUUUUCGAAUUGAGUUUGUAUGUCAUGAUCAUUACAUAAUUUCGGUUCAUUCUGGAUUUAAAUAAGGUGCACUUGGUCUGUGCUUGUUUUGAAAUGAGUUUACAUUCUGAAUUCAAUUUUUUCAUUUUGAAUAUAAUUUUGGUUCAUUUCUGAGUGAAUAAGGUGUAUUUAAUCUUGUUGUUCUAUACAAUUCAAAAUUCUUCCUCCUCACCUUCUACUAUUUCUUUUUUUUUUUAUCUUUUUUAUUAUAUUUUAUUUUGUUAUAAUUUUUCUUGUUUUACUCUAUUGAGAGAAAUAAAAUAAAAAAAAAAUAAAAUAAAAAAAACACUUAAUGAUAUAAAAUCANNNNNNNNNNNNNNNNNNNNNNNNNNNNNNNNNNNNNNNNNNNNNNNNNNNNNNNNNNNNNNNNNNNNNNNNNNNNNNNNNNNNNNNNNNNNNNNNNNNNNNNNNNNNNNNNNNNNNNNNNNNNNNNNNNNNNNNNNNNNNNNNNNNNNNNNNNNNNNNNNNNNNNNNNNNNNNNNNNNNNNNNNNNNNNNNNNNNNNNNNNNNNNNNNNNNNNNNNNNNNNNNNNNNNNNNNNUAAAGAAAACACAAGCAAAAAAUUUCGGUAUGUGAAUGUACCUGUUAUCACACUCUUUUAAUAAGAAUGAUUUUUAUUGGUGUUAAAACCUACUUAAAUAAAUUUAAAUGACAAUAAAAAUUGAAUGCGUAGCAAUUCCCUUGAAUAACUAUUAUUAUAGGAGGUUAUUGCCACUACAAGAUUUCUAUUUAUUUAUGGGACUUUUUUUAUGGAGGUUUUUUAAAAUCUCCCCAACACAUUUUGUUUAUGGCAAUUUAAAAAACCUCAAUUAAUUAAAACUCAAAAUUAUUAAUGGAAAGUAUAUCGUGUGAAAAUGGAAUUUGAGCGUGGUUGCUUGAUUUUCAUUUUGUUCCAUGCUCAUUUUCUCUUUUUCCCCAAAUGAGAGGCGCUGAGUUAGCCGAGAGAGAGGCAUGAAACCCUAAGUUUUCUACCGCCAUUUUUGCCACCAUUUUCGCCGCCGUUUCUGCCGCCGGCACCGUUAUCACUGCCAUAUCCGUUGCAGUAGAGAACUUCUAGAUCGAGCCACCUCUUCUAUUAACGCAUCUAUUCUCUCUAUACUGUUGUUGUUGCCAUUGUUGCCACCGCAGUUUUCACCGUCGUUGCCGCAAUAGUUUCUGCCGUCGAUGCCACCGUAGUUGCCGUGGUACAACGCAUUUUCAGAUCUGUUCACUUCGGAGCUUCUUCUUCAACGACGCUUUCUCUCACUCUAAUUUCUCCUUUGAACUGCUGCUGGUACUUCUUUUUCUUCUUCUUCCCUAUUAAUUUGCUGAUAUUACUCCUUUGAAUGACGCGUUGUUUAUUAUAUUUCAAGAUUGCGGUGUUCGAACAAACAGGAAUUGAAAAGAAUGCCAGCCACGUAUGUUUCUUCAAUUUCAAUCACUUCUCGAUGAUUUGAUUCUUUUUCACGAGGCUUUUUUUUUCUACAACGAAAAUCAUUGUUAUUCUUUUUGAAUGUUACUUAAUUUUGUUUUCUUUGCCAAAGUCUCAAUGCAAUUAUCUUAUUGACUCAAUGCAAUGAUCCUUUUGGAGCAGUCAGUAAUCCGGCUGUAUCAGACUACUACUUUUAAGCAGGUGAAGCUUUGAUUUUUUGAUACACACUGUGACAUGAACCUUUCCAAUGUAUUUGUACAUAAAUGUGUCUAGAUACAUUAUUUUUUGAUGUACCGAAAAAGUAAGAGUGCUAAUUGGAAUGGAGGGAGUAGUUUUCUCUUGAUCUCAUUAUGUUUAUUGACCAGUACUCCUAUUCAUGCAGCCUAAUGCAAUAGAAAAUGGUCCCUAUGAUUAUACCAGAAGUGGAAAUUCCACUCGAGAUGCUUUAGAAAGGUUCACUAUGUCCUAUUAGUUGUGUUUAUUUACCAUUGCAACUGUCAAUAUUGUGGCAUUAAUGUUUUCUUUUCUCACCAUGUUUAACCUUACAUGAUGUGUUCUCAGUUUGUUGGCGAAACUUGAUAAGGCGGAUAGAGCCCUAUGCUUCACCAGUGGAAUGGCUGCUCUGAGUGCUGUUUCUCAUCUUGUUCAAGCUGGUGCCUUUUCUUUCUUCAUUGUGCUAUAAUUUGGUUUUUCUUCAUUUUUAGUUGUGAAAUUUAGAUUAGAUUCAUCACUGAGAAUUUAAGAAUAUGAGUAGUUUCAUGCUUUGGAGUCUCUGCAUGCAUUCACUCCUGCAGUGCCGUGUCAUUACUAUUGGUAUUUUUCUUAGAUUAUUCGUUUGUUGGAUUCAUUUUUAAAACUUACCGAUUAAUGCACUAUGGGACUGAAAGCCAUGAAUUCUCAAAGGACUGUUUUUUUCCCCUUUUUUGAUGCAAAAAUUAUAUUUUCUGAUAUUUGACGCUAAUAAUAUAAUAUAAUGUAGAUGAGAAAAUUAUUGUUGGAGAUGAUCUAUAUGGUGGAACAGACAGGUUGCUGUCCCAAGUAAUUCCAAAGAAUGGCAUUGUGGUCAAGUUAGUCUAACUUGUCAAUUAUGCUUGUUCAUUUUUUUUCAUAACCAGUGAUUAAUUAUGGCAACAAACCAAUCAAGUUUAUUUGUUCCAUGAAGUAAAAGACCAAUUACUCUUUGGUGGUUUGAUUCUUUUAGGCAAAUUAAAUGACAAAAACCAAUUACUAAAUAAGCAAUUAAAAUAAAAGAUUGAUUCUUUUAGGCAGUCGGAAAGAUUGGCAACUAUUAAUUUUUAGGUGAAUGAUACCUAACUUUCUCUAAAAUAACAUGUAAGUUACCUUUUAUGAUAUGUCAAAUUUUAAUUAGUCAUUAUUUUACCCAUAGUUGAGUUAUUUUGUAAUUUAUUAUUUGAUAUGGAUAAUGGUAUAAUUUCUUCAAAUAUCAAAACCUCACUCCCGUUAAUUGAAGCACCUUUCUACUCUUUCAUUCUUUCUUCAUCGCUUAUCUUCGGUCCUUCCAAGUAUCGCCGUCACCGUCGUGACAAGAAGCGCCGACGUCGUUGUCAUCUACUGCCCUCGAUCGCAUGCAAUUUCUCUUUUUUCGGUGCAUCAUCCCUUAACUACUCGUCGAAUGUCCGUCCUUUCUAGUAUAGGCAGCAUCGAUGUCAUUGCUAUCUCUUAUCUUCUCAUUCCUUAUCAACAUAAUUAAUGGUUAGUUUGGUUAUUAAAUUUUUUUAUUAAAAAAUAUAUAUCUUUAUUUAAUUACAUAAUGGAACAUAUAUUCAUAUGUAAAAUAUAAUAUAAUAAAAUAAAUCUAUUCAAAGUACUUAAAAGUAUAAUUAAAAUCAGGAAUAUAUAAAUAUAAUAGUAAAAUUUGUACUCUAAAUAAGUAAACAUAUUUNNNNNNNNNNNNNNNNNNNNNNNNNNNNNNNNNNNNNNNNNNNNNNNNNNNNNNNNNNNNNNNNNNNNNNNNNNNNNNNNNNNNNNNNNNNNNNNNNNNNNNNNNNNNNNNNNNNNNNNNNNNNNNNNNNNNNNNNNNNNNNNNNNNNNNNNNNNNNNNNNNNNNNNNNNNNNNNNNNNNNNNNNNNNNNNNNNNNNNNNNNNNNNNNNNNNNNNNNNNNNNNNNNNNNNNNNNNNNNNNNNNNNNNNNNNNNNNNNNNNNNNNNNNNNNNNNNNNNNNNNNNNNNNNNNNNNNNNNNNNNNNNNNNNNNNNNNNNNNNNNNNNNNNNNNNNNNNNNNNNNNNNNNNNNNNNNNNNNNNNNNNNNNNNNNNNNNNNNNNNNNNNNNNNNNNNNNNNNNNNNNNNNNNNNNNNNNNNNNNNNNNNNNNNNNNNNNNNNNNNNNNNNNNNNNNNNNNNNNNNNNNNNNNNNNNNNNNNNNNNNNNNNNNNNNNNNNNNNNNNNNNNNNNNNNNNNNNNNNNNNNNNNNNNNNNNNNNNNNNNNNNNNNNNNNNNNNNNNNNNNNNNNNNNNNNNNNNNNNNNNNNNNNNNNNNNNNNNNNNNNNNNNNNNNNNNNNNNNNNNNNNNNNNNNNNNNNNNNNNNNNNNNNNNNNNNNNNNNNNNNNNNNNNNNNNNNNNNNNNNNNNNNNNNNNNNNNNNNNNNNNNNNNNNNNNNNNNNNNNNNNNNNNNNNNNNNNNNNNNNNNNNNNNNNNNNNNNNNNNNNNNNNNNNNNNNNNNNNNNNNNNNNNNNNNNNNNNNNNNNNNNNNNNNNNNNNNNNNNNNNNNNNNNNNNNNNNNNNNNNNNNNNNNNNNNNNNNNNGAGAAAUAGAAAAUUAUUUUGUUUGUUUUAUUUAUUUUAUGCAUGUAUUUCAUAUUUAUCUCUUAAAUAUCUAUAUAAUUUAUUUUUGUAUUUAAAAUUUUUUAAUAUUAACUAUUUUUUAUUUAAAAUAUCAUUUUUACGUUAUUUUCUAAACUGUUAUAUUAGUCUCUUCUUUAAGAUAAUACAAAAAAUAAUUUCUCAUAAAAAUAAUUUGUUUAAUUAUUAAAUAAAUAAUAAAGUAUUAAUAAAUUAAAAUUUAAAAAAUAAAAAUAUUAUAAAAAAUACUUGUAAGAAAGUUGAAUUUUAUCAUUUUAAAUUUGUGUUAUUAAUUUUAACCAUUUAUUCAUUUUUUUAAAUAAUUUAUGUAUGAUAAAAGAUAUGUUUACUUGUUUAAAAUACAAAUUUUAUUAUUAUAUUUGUAUUUUCUUGAUUUUAAUUAUACUUUUAAGUAUUUUAAAUAGAUUUAUUUUAUUAUAUUAUAUUUUACAUAUGAAUAUAUGUUCUAUUAUGUAAUUAAAUAAAGAUAUAUAUAUUUUUAAUAAAAAAAUUUAAUAACCAAACUAACCAUUAAUUAUGUUGAUAAGGAGUGAUCCACGGCAGGAAGAGGGAUCGAGUGAGAGGAUAGGAGAUAGCGAUGACGUCAGCACUAACUAUAUUGGAAAGGACGGCAAAGUUACGGACCACUAGAAUUUAACGAUAUCGUUAAGAGAUGAUGACGACGACGUUGGCGCUUUUGUCACGACGGUGACGGCUAUGCUUGGAAGUUGGAAGGACAGAAGCUACGCGAUAAAGAAAGAACGGAGGAGUGAAAAGGUAUUUCAAUUAACGGGAGUGUUUUGAUAUUUUAAGAAAUUAUACAAUUACUCAUCUCAAAUAAUAAAUUACAAAAUAAUUUAAAUAUGAUUAAGAUAAUGACCAAUUAAAAUUUAACACAUCAUAAAUGAUAACUUAUAUGUUAUUUUAGAGAGGGUUGGAUAUAAUUCACCUAAUUUUUCACAUUAAUGAUCUUGACAUUCUACCCCUUUACCCCUUAGUCACCGCGUUUAGUGAGUUAGAAGGAUAGGAACAUUUUCCCCCUUGUUAAUGUCUUUUGCAAUUAUUGAAAGGCUGUAAGCCACUAGUAUCAUGCUUAGAACUAGAACUUCUGGAUGCAUAACUAUUAUUCUUUUUCCCCUAUAAAUACACGAACAAAAUCCCAAUGCAAAUCGUCAAAACCAUCCCAGAGCAAUCUUUUCGGUACAUUAUUCAAGUAUAUACAAAAAACGAACCCUCGCUCAAGUGCUCUCCCUCCCACCAUGAAACCAUUUUGUGUUUUACUUACUUUCUUUCUCUUGCUAGCAGCAAGUAGUAAGAAGGUGAACUCAGCCAAAACCGAAACAGUUUCCUUCAACUACAACUCUUUCAAUCAAGGUAACCCCGCAAUAAGUUUCCAAGGUGACGUCACUGUUCUUUCAGAUGGCAAUCUCCUACUCACCAACCUCAACAAGUCCAAUAGCGUCGGCCGGGUUCUGUAUGCCACGCCGGUGCGCAUUUGGAGCAGUGCCACCGGCAAUGUCGCCAGCUUCGUCACCUCCUUCUCUUUCGAGAUGAAGGAUUAUAACGAUUAUGAUCCUGCCGACGGUAUCAUAUUUUU